Molecule: long non-coding RNA, 277945 nt
Filed under: Ananas comosus (pineapple)
Lineage: Eukaryota; Viridiplantae; Streptophyta; Magnoliopsida; Poales; Bromeliaceae
Description: long non-coding RNA (ACOM_LNC015021)
Source: RNAcentral
UAGCAUGAUGUUCUUCAUGGAUGGCGUCGUGGAUUCGGCGUGAUUGAAGGCGGUUCGUGGAUUCGGAUCGUGGGCUCGUGGAUUCGAGUGGCGUUCGUGGAUACGGACAUGUGCGAGGCGUUCGUGGAUUCGAAUGUGAGGGCGUGGACAACCCGGAGGAUUGCGCGGGACUCAUAGAAGGUUAAGAGAGGUCGAAUCCGUGGAGCAGGUAAUUACCUUGUAAUCUUUUCUCUUAAUGAAUUAUUUUUUCGCGUGUUGGUCCCGUGGGUUUUUUACUCCAAGUUGGAGUUUUCCCACGUAAAUCUCGGUGUGAUUUUUAUUUUUCGCAUUUAUUUUUAUCGCAUUGAGAUUUAUGGUUUGUAAGGUACUGGACUUAUAAAAUUAUGAAGUUACGGUGUAUAUUUAAAUGGUUCCGGUAAGGUUGCGGUGGAAUGUAACAUACCGGAUUUUAAAUAUAAAAGUAAAAAUAAAUAAAAAUAGUAUGAGAUACUAUUUUUAUUGGAUUUAGAGAAGUAAAAUAUAAGUUGGGAAUGACCUGUGCUGAAAUCGGAGCGAAAACAGAAGAUUUAGAAUUUUCUGUAAAAAACGGGGCAGAUAAAUUAGCAGAAAAUACACAGUGUCAGAAAAUUAUAAAAAUUGACAGAGAUGUCAGAAAUAUUUUUAUGAGGUUAGAUUUAAAGUUUCAUAUUUUUCUGACACCCGUAGAGUGAGAAAUAAAAUCCGAGGGUUAUUUGAUAAAGAUUACAGUUCGGUACAGUUUUCGGUGACCAAAUGGGGUCCAAAGUGAAAACUUAAAAUAUAUUCUUACUCAGUACGUUAAACUGAGCCUACCUGUCAAAUUUGAGCUCAAACGGACAUUCAGAAGGGCUCCAACUGUUCCGAACUGCUAAAACUGCCUAGAGUGAAUAGUGCGAGGGGCUAUAAGUGUAUAAGAAGCUGAUGCUUCUUCUUCCUCUCCAUCAGCCCGAGCACACACCACACACGCACACGACACACAUACACACACAUGGAAAGGAAAAGGGAAAACCCUCCCUUUCUUUCUCUAAAUCUCUCCAAAAAAGAGAGGGUUUUGGUGGAAAUUGAAGCUCAAAGGUAGAUUUUCAUCUCAAUUGGCUUCUUCCUCUCCAUUGGAGCAAGCUUUGAAGGUAAGCUUUGAUGCCCUUUAAUAGUAUCUCUUUAUAGUUUGGGUUUUAAGCUUCAAGAAUGGAUUUAGAGCUAAUCUAGCAUGCUAAAGAGAUGAUUGUUGCUUAAAUCACGGAUCGAUUUAAUGAUUUCUUGCCUAGUUGUAAACCUAGGGCUUGAAAUGAGCUUUUUGAAUCCUCUCAUGGUAGAUCUUUAAAGCUUCAUUUAUAAUCCAUAGAAAUGGUUUAUUUGGGAUCCUAGCAUGCUAAAUAAAGGAUAAAUGCUAGAAUCUAGGAUCAAUUUAAUUAAUUCUUGCAAUAGAUGAAGCCUAGGGUUCAAAAUGCAAUUUUUGGAAAUAUGAGGGUUUGAUCUAAAUUGACCUCUCUCUAACCUAAUUGCUAGGUAAACAAAUGCGUUGGUGAAGUCGGUUUGGCGAUUCGUCGAGCCGUUGCGAAGUUAUUAAAGAAUUAGACGUUUAGGCUUCAUUUCCGUCUAGAGGGCCGAGGCGACGUCGUAAACUCAUAAAAACGGAUUUGAAGCACCAUGGCACAUAACCGAAGACCUUUAAUUUCCGGAUCGCAAAUCGGAGAUUGUUUGGGUGGUCGCGCGAGAGUUCGAGCCAAACCGGGUCGCAGGUGUCGCGGGCGGCCGAUUGCAAGUGACUACAAGCAAUCUGAGAGUAAGUUAAGGUGGGUUGUGCUUACCGAAGCGACUAGGUCGCCCUUAUGUCUAAGAAUAUUAAGAAUUCGUGUUGAUGCAUAUAAGUGUUAAACAAUACAUGUUAAUGUGAAUACUAAGUAGAAAUGCAUAGUGAGCAAGUUACAUAAUGCUAGUAAUGCAUGAUAAUAAUAUAAUGCUAGUAAUGCAUGAUAAUAAUGUAAUGCUAGUAAUGCAUGAUAUGAUGUAAAUGCUAAAGUAGAUGCAUAUAAAAGAUUAUAUAUAUGCAUGUAAACUAGAAGGAUGCAUGUAAAUAUAAUGUAUAAAAUGAAAUGCAUGUUGGUGAUAUAGUCUAGAAAUGCUAAAUGUAAUGUGCAUGUUAAUAUGAUAAGAAACCAUGCUAGUAAGUGAAUGCAUAUUAAUACAUAUGUGUAUAGUGAGCAUGUUGGAUAAGAUUCGUGUACAUGUAGACUCGAGAUGACAAUAGGAUGUCAAGUAGAUCGAGUGGCACCUAACCUAGUGUUAAAGAACAUAGGUUGUGAAUGAAUCUAGAGUCAUGUGAACUAGAUCGAGUGGCAUCUAACCUAGUGUAUAAAACAUAGGUUGGACAUGAAUGACAAUGAACCUAGUGUUGUUGAACCUAGGAUGAAUCAUGAGUGGCAUCUAACCUAGUGUUAAAGGACAUAGGUUAUGGAUUGAACCUAGAGUUAAGUAAACCUAGGUUAUGUGAUAGAGACGUUGAACCUAGAGUCAAUUGGACCUAGGGUGAAAAGGACAUUGGACCUAGAUAGGUCAAUACUAUAGGGUUUGAAACCAACCCUUGAGCUAUAUGAAGUGGAUUCCGGAAUCCCUAGUGAUGUGGCCGCACAUGGAGCGGUGGAAAUUGUGGUAUAAGAGAUGGCAAGCGAAUCAUAACUGCAGGUAUGUGUGGUUCUCCUCGUCUGGCAGUGAUUCAACGGGUAUGUGUGGUUCUCCUCGCCCGGGGUGCCAUGAGAAUAAGCUGGAAUUGGGUAUGUGUGGUUUUCCUCGCCCAUUAGCUUAUCGGAUGCUGCCGCCUAGAUUGACUUGAAACUUGCUGGGUAAGAGCGAUAUGGUCGCUGCCAAAUGACUAAGUCAUGUCUUGAACCAUUGUUCGGUGAGGUGCGAUUAGUUCGCCGCCAGAUGGCUAAGUCAUGACUUGAGUUGUUGUUGGGUUCGAUGCGAUGAGUUCGCCAUCAGAUAGUUAAGUCAGAUUUGCGGUAGGCUGUGACGGCAGCCAGGCUGAGAUGCAGCCAGUGCGCGGACUAUCCGCGGAUGAUUGACUCGAGGCCGAGUCGGGUGGUUAGCUUGAUUAGGUUAAUNNNNNNNNNNNNNNNNNNNNNNNNNNNNNNNNNNNNNNNNNNNNNNNNNNNNNNNNNNNNNNNNNNNNNNNNNNNNNNNNNNNNNNNNNNNNNNNNNNNNNNNNNNNNNNNNNNNNNNNNNNNNNNNNNNNNNNNNNNNNNNNNNNNNNNNNNNNNNNNNNNNNNNNNNNNNNNNNNNNNNNNNNNNNNNNGUUUACGUUAAUUCAAUAAUGUAGUAAACGAAUAAUGUUUAACUAUGUAACAUAAGAAAAAUAAAGGGUUUGGGGAUCCGAUACAGCUGCCCUAUAACGAUAGAGACCAGAGAGCCAUCCCGCGAUAGAGACCAGACACCCAUCCCGCGAUAGAUACCUCGAUGCGGGAAAGGAGCGCGGCAGCGCGGCGAGUGCACGUUUGGACUUUGUGGGGUUUUGUUGCACCCCAUUCUUGGACAAUUCCUAAAAUAUUCAACCGCCUAAAGCACUUCCCAAACCUAUCUCAGAGCUUCUUAGUCUUCUACUUCUAACUGCUUUUCUUAACUUCAAAACACUAGUUUCUGGGAACUCUUGAAUCCAUACUAAUCUUUGUUAAACACCACUUCAAAGGAGUUGGAUGUAAAGUAAAUGUAUUAUUGUGAAUGCAUGUAAUAACAUAGGAUGUGUUUGUUGUGAUACUUUCCUUAUGCAAUCAUGAUUGAUAUCUGUUCCUGGUUGGAACCCUUGUAAUGUUCAUUGUAUUGAUUGCGACGCCUAGGACGUACAGGGGAAACUCUGUCCGUUCGGCGGUCUGUCGACGCGCCCGAACUCGGCCAAAUAGGCGGGGCUCGGGGUGUGACAUGGUUUUUGGCCGUUACACCUAUUCACCUCCCUCUAGGUGUUUGAUACAAUCUAGAUAGAUCUUAGGGCUUCUCAAAACUCACAAUUGGUAUCAGAGCGGGAUCUAGAUAUAUUGUUAUCUAAUGGCCGAAGGCACUAACAUUAAUCGACCAUCACUCUUCGAUGGCACGAAUUAUGCCUAUUGGAAAGUUCGCAUGAGAGCUUUUCUAAUUGCAAUCGACGAGCGAGUGUGGCAAUCAAUCAAAUUCGGAUGGAAAUAUCCUACCGAAGUCGUCGAUAAUGCUACCGUCCCUAAACCGAGAAAUAAGUGGACUAAAGAUGAAAACGAGUCAUCUUCGUUUAAUGGCAAGGGAAUAAAUGCUUUGUUCAAUGCAUUAUCUCAAACGGAGUUUACUUAUGUCUCGGCAUGUGAAACCGCCAAGGAGGUUUGGGAUACGCUACAAGUUACAUAUGAGGGUACGAGUCUAGUUAAAAUUCAAAAGCUUUAGAUGUUGACAAGUCAAUUUGAUUCGAUUUGUAUUGAGGAGCAUGAAUCAUUUACUGAUUAUUAUACUAGACUUCAAGAUAUAAUUAAGACAUGUGCUAACUUAGGAGAGAAAAUCUCGGAUUCUAAAAUUGUUAGAAAAAUUCUUCGAGCUCUUCCGGAACGCUUUAGGGCAAAAGUUGCCACAAUUGAAACGGUUAAGCAUCCGGAUGAGAUGAAAGUCGAAGAGUUAGUAGGUGCUUUGCAAACUUAUGAGAUGACUUUUCCUACUAAUCUAUCUUCUUCUAAGUCUUUCUCUAAAUGUACAAGGAUUGCAUUGAAAUCGACAAAGGAGGAAGACGAGGACUCGGGUUCCGAUGGAGAGAUCUCAAUUGCGGAUUUUGAACAUCAAUUGGCUCCUAACGAAGAAGUUUCGUCGGAACUUCCGGAAGAAGAACAAAUCGAGCAAUGCUUCAUCUUCGAAGUAAAAAUCCUUUUCUAAACACUCUUCAAAUUCAAAAUCUAAGGAUAAGAAACUUACAAAAUCUUCUAAGAGAAAGAUGAUUUCGAAAGGGAAAUACAAUGUUACAAAUGUAAAGGCUACGGUCAUAUUUCAACGGAUUGUCCUUCUAAGAAAACUUAUAAACAAAAUGCUUUGCAAGUACAAACUUGGGAUGAUUCUACUUCAAGUGAAUCAACUUCAAGUGACGAAGAAAAGAAUGAAAAUCUUGCUUUAUUUACUAACACUUCUUUGCCUUCUCUAAUGUUGUUUGUUUGUCCUCAAUUGUUACUAAUUUUAGUGUUUCUUCUUCCUUGCAUGGUACUUCGAGCGAUGAUGGCGAGAGCGAGGAGGAGUCAAACGAUGAGGAUUUAGCAGAAGCGUAUAAUCAACUUCUUAUCGAAUCAAAGAAGAUGGCAAAGCUUAAUAAGAAGUUGAGGAGGCGCUUAUUGGAACUUGAAGAGGAGAACAAGAAUGAGAAGAUUAUAAACAAAGCUCUUGAGGGGGAAAAGGAAUCAAUUUUGAAGACCAAUUCGAUCCUCCAAGAGAAGCUUGAUGAAGCGGAUUCAACGAUUAAAUCGUCUAAAGACAAGAUUGGAUUUUUGGAGCAUCAAUUUGAGGAAACCUACUCAUCCAAUCAAGUCUUGACCAAUCAAGUUCGUCAACUUCAAUCCGAUAUUCAAAAUUUUCUUCUGGAUCGAAGAAAUUGGAUCACAUGCUCGUAUUGGGUCAAACGAACAAGCUCGGUCUCGGUUAUGAAAGGACUUACGUUGAGAAGUAUUUAAAGCAAAUUUCUAAUGUCUCAACAAAUUCAAAAGAAAAGGUGUGUCAUGGCUUUGGCAUCAAAGGACACAUAAAAAAGAAUUGCCCGGCAACGAAUAAGAAGAAUCAACCGGCGAUUUCUAAACGUCCGUUGGCACCCUCUACUACACGACUUCCCCCACUGUCACGCCUCGCCCCGAAACCACUACCAAUUUGGCACGAUUUGGGCGGGCCGGGCGGACUACCGAACAGACAGCACCUCCCAUGUCCACCCAAGGCUCAACAACAGGAAUGUGUACAAGAAUUUACCCAGAAAAUUUAAAUUCUAAACAUACACAUUCAACGGGGAACAAACAGUGCCAACAACUAAGAGCAAGUGAUCCACAUGAUAUACAAGUGAGAUAAAGAAAGUAUUUUAUUGACUAUUACAAUAGUUUUGCAUCUUUUUACAUGCACAUCUUUUCCUCAAAAUGAAUACAUUUGUUCAUUCAAAAUACAUAGCUCUCCAACCUCACCGACAUAAGUCUCUCUCAAAAUACAAAGGUGUACUAAUGCAAAAUGGAAAGCUACUAUACUACCACGGUCUCACUGGUCGGGCGCGAUGCCCUUGCCGCGGUCCUCGCUUGGUAAACCUGUACCUACCACUGAAAAUAGAGUGGGGUGAGAACUAUCUUGCAUAGUUCCCAGUGGGCUCGGCCGCCAACUCUGCCGGUCUCCCCACUAGGUCCAAGUGGGCACAAGUAACAACAAGUAGAUAGAUAGAUAGAUAUCUCAAAGCUGUAAAUGACAUAAUAAGAAAUCUAUGCUACUAUACCCAUAAUCAUGUGUAAUGAAUGCAUGCAUCAUAUAGUAAAGGUUUACUACCAUGCUAACAAGUUCGAUCCAUGUUCGAAUAAUAAUGUUCAAUGACAAUACUUGUUUUUCAUUUAUCCAAUCUAUGGCGAGACCCUUGGGUUCGCCUACAACUCACAUUCCCAUCCCGUAUUGGGCAAAGGAGCUCCAUGUGCCCCCAAUCCGGGACUGUCUGCGGACCUCCAUGUGGUCCCUAUCGCCCGACACUCCGGAGUACUUGACGACAAUCCUCUCCAUGUGAGGAUAUGGAUAGCUAUACCACCCCAAAUAACAGACCGUGAGCUAGAUCUAUCCUCUCCAAGUGAGGAUACCCUACGAACUAGGGCCAACAUCUCGAACGAAGUCAUCUACAUCCUCUCCAUGUGAGGAUACUUAGCUUUACUAAAUUCUUUGUCCACAAGGCAUUUUCUAAAGGAUUCACCUAUCCCUAGGUUCUCAAACCUCUAGUGUCAAGUACACUACAUUAAUGCCACUUGUUUGUUCUUUAGACAUUUAGAUGCCACUCUUUAAGUCACUAGAUAACCAUCAAUUUCACAUCUUUUCUUUAGCACUAUAGGAUCUAAUGUUCCGACCCAAUCCUCACCUAUCCUAUUCACCUAGCAUUCCAUGCAUACUAGGUUACCAUUUAGAAAGCAUAAGGAGAAGGUUAAACAUGCAAUCCUACAAUGCAACAUGCAAGAGAUGAAAUUAUAUGUUAUUCUAAGGCAUAGAAAAAAGUCCGGUAGCUUCGGGAUGACACCCCCCACCUUUCGUAGUCGAUAAUCGUUGUAGAGGUCCUAGAAGUGUUCCUCGGCACUUCAAACCACGUGAUCCCCGCUCUUUAGGAGAAACGAAGCUAGGUCGGCCCUACUUUGCAGAUAGCUCUACACCCGCUCGACGAAUCGUAAAUCCGACUCCGCCAACGCGUUUGGACACCUAGCAAUUAAGUUUACAAGGCCUCAAAUGAGAUCAAUCUCAUCUAUUUCCAAAAAUUCCAUUUUGGGUGCCCUAGGGUUCACAUCUUGCCAUUUGCACUAUAAAACCCUAGUUUCUAGCUCAAAGCCAGCAUUAAUGGUGCAAGAGGUCCAUUUGACCUCCUCUCCAAAGGCUAAAACCCAAAAACCCUAAGUUCUACAAGCUAGGGUUUGUAGCUUACCUCUUGAGCUACACCAAUGGAGAGGAGAGGAAGAGAGGAAGAUGCUCCAAGCCUUCUCUAGCUUGAUCUCCUCCUUCUUCUUCUUCUUCUCCUCAUCUUUCUUCUCUUCCUUCUUCUCCUUCUCUUUUGUUCUUUCUUUUCUAGAGAGAGAGAGGGAGCAAGAGAGUGAGAGAGAGAGAGAGAGAAUGAGAGGCUUAGGGAGAGAGUGGGGGCCUACAUACCCCUCUAAUGUAACAAAAUCCAAAUAAACCCCUCAACUUUCAUCUCUGUGCACAGCCCUCACUGGGCAUUCUGCGCCCAGAGGGACCGUUCCCUUGUCGGGGAGACCGGUCCCCGAGAGCCCUCCCCGCGGCCUGGGGACCUUUCGCGUAUGGGAACCGGUUCCCACCCGAGAGACUGGUCCCUGGGAGAUCGGUCCUUCUUGAGAGACCGGUUCCCGAGAGCCGAAUUUCUAGGACUUAGCCAUUUUUGCCCUUCUCUCGUUGGUGUCACAUACGGGGACCGGUCCCCUCAGCCGGGGGACCGGUUGCAUCAACCUCCCCCGCAACCAUCAGCUACGGGGACCGGUCCUCGUUUCCAGGGACCGGUCCCCGAUAGCAAAAUUUGCUAAGUCCAGAUUUUUUCAUAUCUGCUCUCGCGGACACGUUUCUAAUGCACUUUUUGUAUUUUGGACAACUUUAGCUUUCCCAAAGGAUACUCACUCGACAAGUAGUCGAUCUUGCACGAAGUACAACUCUCGGAUUUCGAGAAUUCACUUCCUUACAUCCUCCCCUCCUUAAAAGGAGUUUCGUCCUUGAAAUUAACUCAAUUAUUUACUUUAACUUAAAUUUUUACCUCGCUCCUCGAACAGAUGAGGGUGGUGCUUUCUCAUUAGAUCCUCGAGUUCCCAGGUGGCUUCGCGAUCAUUAUGAUUGCUCCACUGAACCUUCACGUAGGGAAUUUCUCGAUUCCUCAGCCUUCGCACUUCUUGGGCGAUAAUCAUUACCGAAAACUCUUCAUAGCUCAAGUCUUCUUGAAGCUUCGGUGGCUCAUAUAGCAUCGCGUGCUCGGGGUCGUGAAUAUACUUGCGGAGAUUGGAGACAUAGAACACAUUGUGUACAUCCGCGAGCUUCGGCGGCAAAUCGAGUUGAUAAGCCACCGUGCCAACUCGCUCCAAUAUUUCAUAGGGUCCAAUGUAUCAGGGACUCAACUUUUCCCGCACUCCAAACCGCUUUACACCCCGCAUCGGUGAAACCUUCAAGAAAACGCGGUCGCCCACCGCAAACUCUAUAUCUCGUCGGCGCCUAUCUGCAUAGCUUUGCUGUCUCGACUGCGCCGUGAGCAAUCUCUUGCGAGCAAGGCGGACUUUCUCCUUCGCUUCUCGCAGAACAUCGGGGCCGAACUCUGCACGCUCACCCACAUCACUCCAGUGUAUAGGAGACCGACACAUCUGCCCAUAAAGAGCCUCGAACGGUGCCAUCUUCAUACUAGCAUGAUAACUAUUGUUGUAGGCGAACUCGGCCAUAGGUAGGUGAUCACACCAACUUUUCUUAUAGUCGAUGACACAUGCUCGCAACAUAUCCUCCAGAGUUUGAAUGGUUCUCUCUGUUUGCCCAUCGGUCAGAGGAUGAAAUGCGGUGCUAAAAUCGAGCCGUGUGCCAAGGGCUUCCUGCAGGCUCUUCCAGAAGUGUGAAGUGAACCGGGGGUCACGAUUCGACAUGAUCGAUUUCGGCACACCAUGCAGUCUCACUAUCUCGUCGAGGUAUACCUGCGCUAACUUGUCACCCGACCAUGUGGUGUGGAUCGGCAAGAAGUGAGCCGACUUCGUCAAUCGGUCCACAAUUACCCAAAUUGCAUCGUGGCCGCCUAUUGAGCGAGGCAAGCCGACCACGAAGUCCAUCGAUAUAUCCUCCCAUUUCCAAACGGGGAUUGGUAGGCUUUGAAGCUUUCCCGCUAGAAAUCGACGCUCUGCUUUCACUUGUUGUCAUGUUAAGCAUUUCGCCACAAAGCGUCCAAUAUCACCCUUCAUUUUCGGCUACUAAUAGUGCAUUUUUAGUCCUUGAUACAUCUUGGUGCCGCCCGGGUGAUCAGCAUACGGAGAUCGAUGUGCUUCUUGCAAAAUUAGAUUUUGGAUCUCCUCAUUAUUUGGUACACACCGCUGGUUUCGAAACCGAAGUGUAUCAUCGGCGUCUAUACUGAAAUCGCCGCCUCUACCUUCCUCGAUGUUUUUCCUCACCUUUUGGAGUUCUGGGUCUGCGGGUUGUAGAUCUUUGAUCCUCUCCAACAAGGUCGGUGGGACAACGAGCGCCAUCAACUGGACCGGAACCUCGGGAGCAACCACCUCAAGGUUCAUCCGCUCUAUGUCUAACCACAAGGGUGAUUGAUUUGUAACCCACAUCGAGAGGUUCUCCGCCAACUUUCUGCUCAAUGCAUCAGCGACCACAUUGGCUUUCCCGGGGUGGUAAAGGAUAUCAACAUCAUAAUCCUUAAGCAAUUCCAACCACCGCCGCUGUCGCAUAUUAAGCUCUUUCUGUGUGAACAGAUAUUUCAAACUCCUGUGGUCGGUGUAAAUCUCACAAUGGGCACUGUACAAGUAGUGCCGCCACAGCUUCAAGGCGAAGAUUACCGCCGCUAGCUUCAAAUCGUGGAUGGGGUAGUUCUUCUCAUAGCUCUUCAGCUGACGGGAAGCAUAAGCAAUCACCUUUCCGUUUUACAUCAAAACACACCCCAAUCUUAGAUAGGAAGCGUCGCUGUAGACUACGAAGUCUUCGCCUUGCACCGGUAGAGCGAGCACCGGAGUCGAAGUUAAUCUUUGCUUCAACUCUUUGAAACUCCGGUCGCACUUCUCGCUCCAAACAAACUUGGUGCCUUUCUGAGUCAGGCGGGUAAGUAGAAUCACUAUCUUGGAAAAGCCUUCCACAAACCGCCUAUAAUAGCCCGCCAAGCCAACGAAGGUUCGAACCUCCGUGACAUUCGUAGCGUCGGGCGCGACCAAUCCUUGAUUGCCUCAAUUUUCCUUGUGUCUACUGAAACUCCACCCGCGGAAAUCACAUGCCCUAGAAAUGCGACUUCUCGGAGCCAGAAGUCACACUUCUUUAACUUAGCAUAUAGCUUCUCCUCCCGAAGGGUUUGAAGUACUAUCCUCAAAUGCUCAGCAUGUUCCUCGUCACUACGAGAAUAGACCAAUAUGUCAUCUAUGAAGACCACGACGAAUAGAUCCAAAAACUUUCUGAAGAUACGGUUCAUCAAGUCCAUAAAUGCCGCUGGAGCGUUUGUGAGUCCAAAUGGCGUGACCAUGAAUUCAUAGUGCCCGUACCGCGUACGAAACGCAAUUUUCUGCACAUUCUCCGGCUUAAUUUUCAACUGGUGAUAGCCAGACUGCAAAUCUAUCUUCGAGUACACACACGACCCCUGCAACUGAUCGAACAGGUCAUCGAUUCGGGGUAGUGGGUACUUGUUCUUGAUCGUGACUCUGUUCAACUCUCGAUAAUCCAUGCAGAGUCGAAACGAUCCAUCCUUCUUCCGUACAAACAACACCGGGGCUCCCUACGGUGACAUACUUGGCCGGAUAAAUUUCUUGUCUAGGAGGUCUUACAAUUGACUCCUCAAUUCUUUCAGUUCCGCUAGCGCCAUUCGGUACGGAGCCUUCGAGAUCAGUGCGGUACCGGGAACCAAGUCUAUGACGAACUCGAUCUCCCGAUCAGGUGGUAUCCCUGGCAACUACGCGGGAAACACAUCCGGGAACUCCCGCACCACCGAUAACUCCUCCAACAUUGGAGCUACUCGUCCCACUUCCAUAACAGUUGCCAAGAAUGCUAUGCAACCGCUGUUAACCAGUUUUCUUGCUCUUGUCGCCGACACCGUCGCGACGAAGCACGAGCUCUGACAAGCCCGAUAUGUGAACUCCUUUUGUCCUAGCUCACGAAAGGUAAUUACUCUGCUCUUGCAGUCGAUCGUUGCGUGAUAUUUCGAGAGCCAGUCCAUGCCCAAAAUGAUGUCAUAAGCCUCAAGCUUCUUGAGUUCUAGCGUCCGAAUAGGCAUUAUCCAGUCGCCUACUUGUACCGGACACGAUGCACACUCCGAGUAGGUAUUAAAAGUCAACCUAGGGCCCUCAACUCGCCACUUGUCACUCUCCUCUAUGAGAAUGUCAUGCAUGCGUGCGAAUAAUCUACUAAUGAAUGAAUGCAUGGCUCCUGUAUCAAAUAAAGCCCUGGAGCGAACUCCGUUAAUUAAAACCAUACCUGCCACAAGGCGAUGCUCCUCAGCCUUCACAGGCUCUUCAGCUUAGACCUGAGCGGCGAAUACCUGACCGCUCGGAGCUGAUCGCGUCACCUCGGGUUGACGCGGCAUCAUCGCGCGUCCCGUCGACGCUGCCGUCGGUGGAACUCCUCCAUACUGAGCCGGGAUCGCCGACGCCGAUGUAAUCGAUGGGGCAGGUGAGGCUCCUCCUCCCGGGCAGUCCCGAAUGAAAUGCCCCGGUUGCCCACACUUGUAGCACUUGCCUCGGCUCUGCUCACAUCGCGAGACUGGGUGGUCUCCGCCGCAUAUGAUGCAUCGUCGCGCUCCACCGCCCUUUGGCUGAGUCCGCGGAUACUUCGGGGGCUUCUUGGAACGUGUUUGUCCCCCCGAACUACCACCGCCUUGACGUUUCUUUCCCUUGUCCUUGGACUCGGCUAGCAUCUCACGCUUCUCCCGAACAUGGGCGUCUCCGUGCUUCGCCCAAAGUGCUCGGUCGAAGACCUCCACAAAGGUCGUGAGCUUGAGUAUCUGCACGGCCUUAUAAAUCCUCGGCCGAAGUCCUCGCAAGAACCAAUCGGCCCGGUCCCGGUCGUCCUUCACUACAUCCGGAACACAAUCAAUGAUGUGGGAGAACUCUUGUUCAUAUUCUGCCACUGAGCGGUCCCCUUGCUCCAACUUGCAGAACUUCUCAUUGAGCUUCCGCUUCAGCGUGCCGGGGAAGUAGUUGGCGAACAUCUCCCGCUUGAAUUCCUUCCACAAUAUCGGCAGGAGAUCGGAAAACCGAUCUCGCUUCAUGCGCUUCCACCAUAUCUUUGCCGCUUUCUCCAAACAGUGGGUGGCAAGGUACACCUUAUCCUUCUCCAAGGUACGCAAGUCCUUAAAGAGAGUCUCCAUCGAGUCAACCCAUGACUCGACCAUCGCCGGCUCCACCUUCUCGCCCUCAAAGAUAGGCUGAUGGAACUUGUUGAACUUAAUAAGAGCCGCCAAUGCGCGCUCUCCUUCCACAUCUUCAGCCGUCACAUCGGGUGUAGCCGAUCUCGACGUCGCCUGUGGUACGAUUGCUGGCGGUGGGCGUGCCGUCACCGGAACCGCCUCUAUACCCUUACCCUCUACCGCUCCGGGUACACGAGUUGAGGGUGCAGGCGGACCACCGCCCUCGUUCACCGUCGCAGCCGCCGCCGCAACCUGCCGCUCCAAAAGAUCCUGGAGCAGUUGAAUCGGGUCUCCUAGCGCCGCACGACAUUGGUCAACGCGGUCACUUGUGCCCGCAACUGAUCCAUGUCGCUCGGUUCAGCCUGCUCGGGCACCUCGGGAAGCGGUGCCGGAGUAGACUCAUGCUCGGGCGUCCUCUUGGUGCCAUUGGCUCCUGAAACGCAAGUACUUGGUUAAUUAUCUUAACCUAUGCGCCUCGUCGCAAUUACGACAAAUAACGACUCAACAACGAAGUCGGGCGGAAGCACACAAGUGUACUCGUUCUAGACUCUUGGUAUCAUGUCGUUGGCCGCCGACACAACCACCUCAAGACAAGAACUCAUACCAUUUGAAUUCGUCUCUAUUCACAACUAGAGACAUAUUACCAACUUCAACCCAAUCGAAUUAACUUCUGCUAUCGUUAUAGGUUUACGCUUCGCUCACGCACCUAUAACCUUAGGGCUUACCAACCUAGGGUCUCCUAAGUCAUCCUAGACUUUCUCUCUUUACUUUCUCUUUUUGCUCUGAUACCAUACGACUGUCACGCCCCGCCCCGAAACCACUACCAAUUUGGCACGAUUCGGGCGGACCAGUCCCCUCAGCCAGGGACCGUUUGCAUUAACCUCCCCCGCAACCAUCAGCUACGGGGACCGGUCCUCCCUUCCAGGGACCGGUCCCUGAGAGCAAAAUCUGCUAAGUCCAGAUUUUUGCAUAUCUGCUCUCGCGUAUACGUUUCCAAUGCACUUUUUGUGUUUUGGACAACUUUAGCUUUCCCGAAGGAUACUCACUCGACAAGUAGUCGAUCUUGGACGAAGUACAACUGUCGGAUUUCGAGAAUUCACUUCCUUACACCCACGGAAUUCAAAGCAAACUCAAUCGAGUUGAGCAACUCAAGGAAACCGGAAUUCAAAGCCACAACGACAAUUUGAACCAAAGUCACAUGCAACGAAACGACCAACGGUGGAUCAAAAAUCAAAACGAGUUGAGCCUAACGUCGACAAGCCAAGACAACCAACAAUCCGACAAGUUUGGAUUCGGAAAGAUGAUAUCUUUCCUUGUUCUACAUCUUAGUUUGUUUUGAUUAUUUCAGUAAUGCUUUGGUUGGUGCUUAUUGCAUAUUAUUAUUCAUUGCAUUACAUGUUCAAACGUUUUUUUUAUUUAAAUUUUAUUCUUUUAAAAUUGGUUUGAGAAGGAUGAUUGGGAAUUAAAAUUUGAUUUUUGAGAAAGGUGACGAUUUAAAAUCAUUAUUUCGGGGAAAUUAAGAUUUUCAAAGUGCCUUAACCAAAUUAAAACUCAUAUUGAGUUAAAUUCAUUUUAAUUAUCGGUUUUAAUCCACAUUUUAUUAUUUUGACGAUAAAUUAUUAUAUGAUUUCUUAUUGCAUAAAUUCAUCAAAAUUUUGAAAUCAAAUUUGAUCUCUUGGUGAUUAAUCUAUUUUGGUUGUGUGUGUUGAUUAUGAUGAAUGGAUAUUCACUAAUAGACUAAAAUUUGUCAAAAUUACUUUCAUUUGCGAGAUUGUCUAAUUUAGGGAGAGUUUGAAUAAUUUUUUUAAAAAAGAAACUCCUAUGUUUAAAAGAUGUGGAAAGAGUUACAUCCAAAACGAGUGUGAAAACUACCACCACAUAUAGGAAAGAGCUACAACCUCGGUCGUCCGGUAAGUGUGUGAAGCUACCACAUCGUAAUUAAUUGAAUAACCGAAAGGGUUGAUAAAAAAGAAUAUUUUAGAUUUUUCGGAGUUAUAAGGUGGCAGGAUGAAAAGACGCUCAAAGAGCCACCCCUCGGUGUUUUAUUAGUUAAAUCUCUAUUUUGAACGUUUUGCGACAAAUUGGUGUCAAUUUUGCCGACUUUCUAUAAGUCUUUUUUCAUUAACCGUUACAUCUUGAUGAUUUUGAAUCACUAGGUUAUUUUUGAUAACAAAAUUUUGAUGUUUCGAUGCAUUUAGAAAUCCUAUAAUAUUUUAUUUUCAUUAUAAUGAUUUUUGGAGUACAAUUCUUAAUUAUUUUGAAAUUAAUUUAUUUAUGAAAUUUUCUAGGCAAAUUUUUCGAAUUUUGUGAACUGUUAACCGGUUGCUAAAUCCCGAGUACCGGUACCAGUACUGCCCGACAGAAUUAUUUAACCGGUUCAAUUAUUUGUUUCUCUUCCAAAUCCGAAAUCAAAUCGCUCUCUUUCUAUCUCUAAAAUCCCUAUAUGUUUUCUAGUAUGUUUUCUCUCUAUAUGCUCUGUUUUGGCAAUUUUUGUCAAAAAGGGGGAGAACAUAGACGGACAGGUAUUGAGCAAAGAUGGAGAAGUUUUUGAAGAUCAAAGGGGGAGAAGAAGAGAAGGACUUGAAUGUAAGAAUAUCUAAUGUUUUUCCUUUUCUACAUCAUUUUGGAUAAUUUGUUUUGCAGGAAAUCAAGUCUUCAAGACUCCUAGUUCCGUCUAAGUCAUAGAGUUUGUUUAAGGAGUUUUGAUGUAAUUUGGACUUCAUAUUGUAUUUGGAUUAUACGUGAGAGGUUUGAUGUUUUGGUGAUGACAUUGAACUUCGUUUUUCAUUUAUGAUGUAAUUUUUGAGUUUUGUCACGAAAUUGUCAAAGAGGAGAUUGUUAAGUAUUUUGUGUUGGUAAGUUUCGUGAUUUGAGUCAGAGUAUUGAAGGGUUCGGUGCGUUAUUGUCGAAGAUCGAAGAAUUCAAGACUUCGAGAACUCAGAAACAUCUCACCGCAUGAAUCACGAUGCUAAGGUAAGGUUUUAAUUCGUGGUAUGGUGAUUCAUAUUUAGUUAUAGACAUUAGAAUCAUGAAAGUCAAAGUUUAAUGGAUUAGAAAGUGCUUCGGAACUUUGUGAAACCCGAAACUGUGCAAAAUCUGAAAACUGCACUGUGUAUGGGUAUAGCAUUGAAAGUGUACCGGUACAAAACUGGUUCCGGUACAGCAUUGACCUUGUAACUUGUCACGCCCCGCCCCGAAACCACUACCAAUUUGGCACGAUUCGGGCGCGGCGAGCGGACCGCCGAACGGACAGCACCUCUCCUGUCCGCCCAAGGCUCACAACAAGAAUGUGUACAAUAAUUUCCCAGGAAUUUAAAUUCUAAACAUACACAUUCAACGGGGCACAAAUAGUGCCAGCAACUACAAGAGCAAAUAAUCCACAGGAAUAACAUGUGAAAUAAAGAGAGUAUUUUGCUAGCUAUUGCAAUAGUUCAUCCUUUUCACUUACAUCAUUUUCUUUAAAUGAAUACAUCUUUCAUCCAAAAUACAUAGCUCUCCAAAUCCUCACCUACAAUGAAUCUCUCUCUCAAUACAUAGGUGUACUAAUGCAAAAAGGAAAGCUACUAUACUACCACGGUCUCACUGGUCGGGCCGAUGCCCUUGCCGCGGUCUUCUCUCGGCAGCUCUGUACCUACCAAUGGAAAUAGAGUGGGGUGAGAACUAUCUUCCAUAGUUCCCAGUGGGCUCGGCCGCCGACUCCGCCGAUCUCCCCACUAGUUCCAAGUAGGCACAAGCAACAACAGAUAGAUAGAUAGAUAGAUAUCUGAAAGCUGUAAAUGCGAUAGUAGGAAAACUAUGCUACUAUGCCUAUAAUCAUGUGUAAUGAAUGCAUGCAUCAUAUAGUAAAGGUUUACUAUCAUGCUAACGAAUUCGAUCCAUGUUCGAAUAAUAAUGUUCAAUGACAUUGUUCACUGUUCUUUUACCCAAUUUGUAGCGAAGCCCUAGGGUUCGCCAAUAACUCACCUUUCAAUCCCAAAGUGGGGAGGGAGCUCCAAGUGCACCCAAGCCCGGGACCGUCUGCGGACCUCCAUGUGGUCCUAGUCGCCCGACACUCCGGAGUACUCGACGACAAUCCCCUCCAUGUGGGGAUAUGGAUGCUAUACUACCCCAAAAGCAGACUGUGAGCUAGAUCUAUCCUCUCCAAGUGAGGAUACCCUACAACUAUGGUCAACAACCCAAUCAAAUCCUCUCCAAGUGAGGAUGCUCACAACUAAGGUCAACAAUCCAAUCAAAUCCUCUCCAAGUGAGGAUGCUCUACAACUAGGGUCAACAACCCAAUCAAAUUCUCUCCAAGUGAGGAUGCCCUACGACUAGGGUCAAUAUCUCAAUAACUCAUCGACAACCUCUCCAUGUGAGGGUACUUAGGUUUAUUAAGUUCUUUAUCCAUAAGGCAUUUUCUAAGGGAUCCACCUAUCCCUAGCUUCUCAAACCUCUAGUAUCAUUUACACUAUAUUAAUGCCACUCGUUAUUCUUUAACAUUUGGAUGCCACUCGUUUGUUCUUUAACAUUAAACAUUACUUUCUAUAUCACCAACCCUCAUCGGGUUCAUCUCUUUUCUUUCGGAUCAUAGGAUCCACGUUCCGACCCAAUCCUCACCUAUCUAAGUUACCAAGUGUUCCAAGUACACUAGGUUAUCAAUUAGAAAGCAUAAGGAAAGGUUCUACUAUGCAAUCCUACAAUGCAACAAGUAAGAGAUGAGAUUAAAUGCAAUUUAAGACAUAGAAAGGAGUUCGAAAGCUUCGGAUGGCACCCCCCACCUUUUACCAAUGUAGAGGCUUUAGAAAUGUUCCUCGGUGAACUUUACGAAAAGGCUUUAGCCUUUCUUGGUCCAAGACAAAGCUAAAUCGGCUGUAUUUCGCCGAUAGCUCCAAAUCCACUCGACGAAUCGCGAAAUCGACUUCGUGCCCGCGUUUUGUGACCUACCAAUUAGGUUUACAAGGCCUCAAAUGAGAUCAAUCUCAUACUUUACUAAAAACCCCAUUUUGGAGCCUUAGUGUCACGCCUCGAGACCGCUACCAAUUUGGUCCGGUUCGAGCGCGUCGAACAGACGCCGAACGGACAGAGUCUCCCCUGUCCGCCCAAGGCUAAGCAAACGAUCAUGUACAAGAAUUUACCCAGGAAUCAAUUCAUAAGUACACAAUCACAAGAGCACAACAAGUGCUAACAAGUAAGAGCAAGGCACAAGUAUAAAGCAUACAAGUAACGAUAAAGAGAGAAGGUCUAUCUAUUACAUUCAUUCAACCUCUUUAAUACAUCGAUUUACAUUUAAACUGCCAAAUACAACAUGAGUUUACAUUUCCAAAAUGAUACCUCACACCCUAUACAUCAUCUACUCUCAAGUACAAAAGGGUGGCUCUAAUGCAAAGGAAAGUAAACUAAUGCAUCUAGGGCGCUAAGUCUCCUUAACCUGCGAUCUUCUGCGCCGUGUGAUAUUGCUGCUUCUUGUUCCUCUGUAGUUAAAAUGGGGGGUUGAAGAACUUAACUUCCCUUAUCUACCAGUGGGUUCGUCCUGCCAUCCUGCCUGUCCUUUCCCAAUCUUAGUUCCUAGGUGGGCAUGCAAGUAGAUUAACCGAUAGAUUAUGAUAUGAGAACUGUAAGGCCAAGAAUAAGUAAAACUACUCUACAUGGCCUCGCAUUAUAAAUUAUUAUUUGAAUCCUAUGUUUCAAUGUAAAUCGGUAUGUCAACUACAUGUGUCAUCAUGUCAUUGUAAGUAAUUAAUGUUUAUUUACUGUUCAUUUUAAUCGUAUUGGCUCACUCGAGGGUUCCACCUACUACGCACUUAUAGCCAUAUUCUCGACGCGUUAGGAUGACUCAAUCUCAAACUAGCAUUUUUCGAGAUCUUCUGUUGCUGGCGUGAUCUCCGCCACUAUAUGGCUAUUUCUCUCUCGGGACCAUCCAAAUUAGUGCUAUCUACGUGAUUCAACUUUCGUAGCGCAUGCUACCUUGUGUUGGUAGUCGACUCAUCACUUAGAGGUAUUAGAACAAUCCGUGGAGCCAAGAUCCAAUCCUGCUCUCACUCGAAGAUCCCUUACCUCUAGGUCUUAAUUUUUCAUCACCAAGUCCAUAGUUCAUAUACACUAACUCACAUGAGAUGUCCCACUCGCCUCUUUUGUUACUAAUCAACUAGAGCCAACUUGUUCAUCUUUUGUUUACUAUCUAACAUAAGAUGCCACUAGUUCUUGUUUACAUAUCCACUAGAUCCACUCAUAUCUUUUGUUUACCUAUCAACUAGAUGCCAGCUAUUUUUUUGUUUAAUAUUAAAUCCCAACCAUUGAGUCCAUCUCACCUCGCACUAUAGGAUUCACGAAUCACGACCCAAUCCUCAUCAAUCCACUAUAUCAACAAUAAACAUUAUAGAUCUCCAAUCUAAGGUAGCAUAUAGGAACUCCAAUGCAUCAAUUCAUCCUAAUAAUGCAAGUAAUACCAAAUGUCAAGAUUAAUGUAGCUAAGACAUAAAGGAGUCCAGUUGCUUCGGAUGUCACCACCACCUCUUGGUAGUGCCGAAAAGGUUAGAAAACCCAACCUUUGUUAGUGGUAAUAUCCCGUACGUCCUCUCCACUCGCUCUGGCAACAAACCCAUUACUUGUAUUUCGAUAAACUCGCACCCGUUGUCGGAUCGGACGAACGUCUCGCCAACGUGUAUAGAACCUAGCAAUUAAUUUACAUGAGGGUUAAUUGAGAUCAAACCCCCAUUUUUCCAAAAUGCAUUGAAUCCUAGGUUCAACUGCAAAAAUCACAAAUUGAUCCAUGCUUAGGACAACACACUAUUAGGCAUCCCAUAGAUUCCAAUAAAUCCAUUUUUAUAGCAUAUAAAUGAGCCUACCAUCUAACAUUAUAGAUUUUGGGAAGUCCCUAGGUCAAACAUGAGGAAAUCCAUGCUCAAAGCUCAAAUUCGAGCCUAGAACCAUCAACUUAGCUCCAAUAAGGUUCUCAUUCAACCAAUUCUAAAACCAUAAAAUCGGCCUAUCUUAAGGAAUCUACCAUUAUAGGUUGGGGCUUACUCUAAAACUUCUCCAAAUGUUAGGAGAGGAGAACAGAUAUGAAUCUCCUCUUCUUGGCUUCUUCUCCUCUCUUCUUUCUUCUUUUUUUUUUUUUUCCUUUCUUUUCCUUCUUCGCUAUUCCUUUCUUCUUUUCUUCUUUCUUUCUUAGAGAGAAGAGGAAAAAAGUGGAGAGUUGAAGAAUAAGAGAAACUUGAGAGGAGAAGCUGUAAUGUGUUGUGUAUCGCAUGCAACCAGCACACAUAGUCUCUGAACAAUUUCAAUAAACCCUCUCACACCUAUUAACAACUUGCAUUUCGAGUUCGGAACAUGUGUUGUCGGGCCCUUAUGAAUGUCCGUUUGCUCAAAUUUCGAUCGGCAGGCUCGGUUAACGUACUGAGCAAGAAUAUACAUUAAUUUCAGUUUCGACCUGCCGUGGUCACCGAAAAUGGCCGGAACUGUAAUCUUUAGUAAUAGCAUUCGAUUUUACUCUCCACCUUGUCCGGUGCACGAAUGGGCUGAAACUUAAAUCUACCUCAAAAAAAUAAUUCUGUACAUAUCCUCCAGUUUCAUUAAAUUCUCGAACACUGUGCAUUUCUGCUAAUUUACCACUCCCCAUUCCUCACAUAGAAAAUCUAUAAUUUUCGGUUUUCGCUCCGAUUCAGCACAGGUCCUUUCAUAUACUUACUUCUAUGAGUCGCAAUAAAAUAGUACUCACACUAUUUUAUUUAUAUUAUUAUUAAAUAAACCCGCCAUCUAUCUCUACCGAACUCCUAUUUUCAGAAGUUCCGGUACCUAACAUUCUCCCCUCCUUAACAUGAUUUCGUCCUCGAAACGAACUCAAUUUAAUCAAAAUUUUAAGCUCGAAUCUUAAAUCAUACCAUUCCAAUCCUCAAAUAAGUGAGUGGUGAUUUCGCGCUUCAUUUAGACCUCGAACUCCAGUGCUUCGCGAUCGUAUAUUGCUCCACCGACCUUGACACUGAAUUUCUCGAUCCUCAAACUUGCGCACUUCUCGAGCUAAUAAUGCCACCGAAAACUCCUCGUAGCUCAAGUCCUCCUGAAGUCCGCGGUUCAUACAACAUCGGUGCUCCGCGAUAGGUAUUACUUCCGAAGAUUGGAGACUUAAUACAUGUUAACCAUCCCGCGAGCUUUUGGCGGCAACGCGAUCGAUAAGCCACACGUCCCAAAUCCGCUCCACCAGAAUCUCAUAGGGGCUCAAUAUAUCGGGACUAGCUUUUCCCCGAACUCCAAAUCGCCUUCAACGCCCUCAUAGGCGAUAAACCUUUGGAAAAACUAGGCGUCCGCCCAUGUCGCAAACCCAAGUCCGCGCCGGCGCGCCUAUCCGCAUAGCUUUGCUGCGAGACAGCCGUGAGUUAACCGUGCAGCAAAGGCGGACCUUUCUCUUGCCGCCUCUCGCAACCAUCGGGGCCAAAUUCUCGUGCGCCUCUGCCCACAAUCGCAAUAAAGGGGGACCGGCACUUCGCGCAUAAAGAGCCUGAAACGUGGCCUAUCUCCACACUUCAUGAUAAGUUAUUUGUAGGCAAACUCGCUCAUCGCAGAUACUUGCAGACCAACCUCUUCUGUAGUCCAUACACACACUCGAUGAACAUAUCCUCCCGGUCUGAAUGGUUCUUUCAAGUUGCCCUCCGUCUUCUGAGGAUCGAAAUGCAUGCUGAAGGAGCCGUGUGCCACGGCCUCGCUUGCAGCUUUUCCUAUGAAAUGUGAAUGUGAACUGGGGUCUACUAUCCGACACAAUUGACUUCGGACCCCCAACUCACGUGUAACCUACUACUUCCGCAAGAUAUACCUUGCGCAACAUUUAUCUCCUGCCCAAUGGAUGGGUGUGGACGUAGAAAGUUGCCGACUUUCGGUCAAGACGAUCCACAAUCACCACCCCAAUUGCGCGUGCCGCCUGUCGAGCGAGGCAAGCAACAGAAAAUCCAUCGAUAUGUCCUACCCAUUUCCAGACCGGAUAGUAGGCUUUAAAGCUUCCUGCUGGAAAUGGCUCCGCCUUCACCUUGCUACAAGCCUCAAACACUUCGCACGAAGCGCCCAAUUAUCAAUUUCAUCGCCCGGCCACAAUACAGUGCUCUCAACUCAUGAUCACACUUGUGCUAAGAGAACACGGUAUUGAUCAGCGUAAUGGAGACCGGUGGCGCUUUUGCAAAAUCACAUCGGCGAAGCCUCUUCACUUGGUGACACAGCCACGGUUCGAAACCGCGAAGCGCGCCACCGGCGUUCAACUGAAUAUCGCACUGCCUUGACCUCCUCGAUAUUACGCCGCACCUUUGAGACUGGAUUUGCCGCAGAUUGCAUUCUGAAUCUCUCCAACAUAUGUCGGUUGAACAAACGAGUACCAUACACUGAGUCGGAUCUCGGAGCGACCCUUCUAGUCACGUCCAUAUCCAGGCCAUAGGGUGUUAUGUUUCGGUAACAUCAAAAGCAAGGUUCUUUUCGCCGACUUUUCCUGCAAGCGCCUCCGCGAUACAUUUGCCUUUGCCGGGUGGUAGAGGAUAUCACAUCGUAAAUCCUUUAACAGUCCAACACCGCGUUGACCAUAUCAACUCCCUUCUGGUAAAUAGAAUUAUCAACUUUUGGGGUUAAAUCUCGGCGCGUACGCAGCCAUAUAGUAGUGCCUCCCACAGCUUCAGACGCAAAGAUUACGCCGCCUGCCAACCUCCAAGUCAUAUCGAUUGGGGAUAAUCUUCUCAUGGUCCUUUUAACUGACGGACGCAUAAGCAUCACUCUCCCGCCUUGCAUCAGACUAACACCCCAAACCUAGAUAGGAUGCAUCAUCUAUAGAACCGCAAAGUCUCGCCCUGCACCGGUAAGCGAUAAUCCGGGCCGAAUUAACCUUAUCUUUAACUCUUAAUCUCCGGUCACAACCGUCGCUCCAAAUAAACUUGAACGCCCCUUCUGCGUCAGAUCGGUAAGACGAGUCCACAAUCUUUCGAAAAGCCUCCACAAACCGUCGAUAGUAGGCCCCCUAACCAUGAUAGCUCCACUACUCGGUGACGUUCGUUGGGCGCGGCCAAUCUCAAUCUGGCUUCGACUUUCCUCUGUUCAACUGAUAACACCCGCCCUCGAAAUUACGUUGACCCUAAGAAGCAACCUCUCGAAGACUAGAAUCAACUUCUUUAACUUCGCGCAUUAGCUUUCUCCCUCCCGAGAGAUUUGAAGCACUAUCAGCGAAAUGCUCCGCGUGCUCUUCGUCGGUCCGCCGAAUAGACCAAGAGUCGUCUAUGAUAGAACCACGAAACACUACGGGAUCCAAGCACUCUUUGAACACACGUUCAUUAAUCCAUGAAUCUACCGGCAUUAUGACUCGCAAGGCAUAACCGUUAUUCGUAUGUCCCAUACGCGUGCAAACGCGUCUCUACCAUCCUCCACUUAAUCUUUAAAACUAUUGAAGCCGGAUUGUAGCUCUAUCUCGAGUACACUCGUGACCUACUUAACUGAUCAAAUAAUCGUCCGAUUCGGCAACGGGUACUUUGUUCUUAUCGUGACUCGACUUCACUCCCGAUAACCACCCAAGUCGCAAACGAGCCAUCCUUCUUGCCCGAACAACACGGGGCUCCCACGGCGAAACGCUUCGCCUAUAACACCCUUGUCCGAGAAGAUCCUGUAGCUGAUCCCUCACUCCCAUAACUCUGCCGCGCAUGCGUACGGGGCCUUGAGAUCGGCGCGCCGGGAACAAUGCUAUAACGAACUCGAUCUCGAUCCGGCGGCAUCCCCGUAACCUCCGCGAAAUACAUCCGAAUUCCGCACCAUACCGAUACAUCCUCUAACACGAGCCACUCGGAUCCACUCCAUGACAAGUCGCCAAAAUGCUAAUCGUCAGCCGCGUUGACACAACUUUCCUAGCCUCGUGGCGAUCUUCGUCGCGACGAAGCAGAGCUUCGACAAGCUCGAUAAAUCAACUCCUCCUGUCCUGCUCCCGAAAGGUAAUCAAUUUAUUCUUAAUCAAUCGUGCAUAACUUUUGAGAGCCACUCCAUGCCCAAAAAUGAUCAUACGGCCUCCAGUUACUUAAGUUCAACUCCGAUAGCAUUAUCCAGUCGCCUACAUCUUGUACUUGGGCAGCGAAGAGCACUCCGUGUAGGUAUGAACGAUCAGACUCAGCCAUCAACUCGCCAUUACCACCUCGCUUCUAGGUAUGUCAUGAUACGCGUCGAAUGCCUAACUAAUAAACGAAUGUUGCACCUGUAAGCACCAUACCUGGAAUCGAACGUCCGUUAAUUAAAACAUUACUGCCACAUUUCUUUACGUUAGCUCCUCGCUGGGUAGACUGCCUCGGCUUGGCCUGAGCGCGCGAAUACCGCGCUCGCGCUGAUCCAAACACUCCGGCCACGCGGCAAUUCCGCGCCUCCUGCCGAACGGGAAAUAAGGAGCUCCUCAUAAGUUAGGUGGGGUUUCGCUGGAGAUGUCGAUUGCGACUGACGUAGGCGGGCCCUGCUGGACAUGGCGGCUGAUAUGCCGCUUCUUGCCCACACCUUGAAGCAUUUGCCCUGUCGUUGGCCUACACUGCCGCGCUCGAGGUGGCACUCAGCACCGCAGAUAGCACAUCUGCGCCCACAGCGACCACGACUGGAUCGCCGGUGUUUCGGGGGUCCUCUUGGAACUCUUUGGUUGUUGCUUGGUUUUUCGACUGACUCCCACCACCGCUCGAUUGUCCCGCUUUCUCCCUCUUGUCCUGGUCCAGCCCAACAACUCUCGCGUUCCUCCCAGCACGUGGCUAUCUCCCUUCUCCGCCCACAACCGCUCUACAAAGACCUCGCGCAGGUCGUGACUUGAGCAGUCUGCAGGUCCGCCCGGAUUAAUCCAUUGCCGACUCCCACGCCAGAACCACUCGGCCCGACUGAGUCGCCCUAACAACGUCCGGUACAUACAGUCUAUUAAUGUGGGAAACUCCUGCUCCGUGAUUCCUGCUACUCAUGCCGAUCCUCCUUCCAAUUUGUCGAACCUCUCUUCAAUUUCCGCCUCUCUUCUCCGGUGCGGGAAUGUAAUCCCGAACAUUGCCCUCUAAACCCCUCCCAGAACAUUGGGAAGGUCAAGGACCGAUCCGCUUCACGCAGCUUCCACCACACCUUCGCCGCCUUUCUCGGGCAAUGGUGACGGGUAACCUUGUCCUUCUCCGAGGUAUAAUAGGUCCUACGAAGAGGGCUCCCAUAGAGUAAUCCAUGACUCACCAUUGCCGCCCACUUCUCCCCUCAAAGAUGCGGUUUAAACUCUUGAAACUUAAUAAGCGCGCAAUCUGCGCUGCUCGCUCGCUCCACCUCCUCGUCGUCGGUCAUGGUGUCCGCCGACCCGAAGCCGCCCGGCACACUUGUCGCGGGGAACGCGCGAUCGGAACCGCUUGCUAUGACCUCACCCGCCGCUACCGGCUGCGCGGCCGAAGUUCGGGCGAUCGUGACUCCUGCCGCUGUCGCGGCCGCCCGCGCCGCUUGCCGCCCAUCAAUCCCUGAGUCUGCUCGAUGAUCGAGCCUCCUGGCGCUGGAUCUCGCCACCAACAUUGCAGCGACCUUGCUCCGCCGCAUCCUGCACGCUCCUGAUCAGAUCGCUCGGCACCUGCAAGGAGGCGGUACUGAACACCUACCUAUAGCGCCUUGGAGACAGUUUGCUCCUGCAAACAACACGUUGGUUCGUUAUUUUAACCCGAUAACUUCUUAACGUUCACGGCAAAUAAACGCUCGCCAAUGACCAAUCGGCGAACACACAAGUCGUUCUAGUUUGGACUCUUAGACGUCGCGUCGUCGGCCGCCGACGGACAACUACGAGCCAAGAAACUAGUGUCACUUACCGUCUCUUAUCAAAGCUAAGAACAACAUAACAUCUAACUUCGAGCCCAAUGAAUCACUUACGCUACCGCCUAUGAGGUUCACGUCUCAACUCCACUAAUUCGCCUAAAACCUUAAGUUUUCUCAUCUAAGGUCUCCUAGGUCGAUCAUAGACCUCUCUUACUUGCUCUUACCUGCUCUGCAUUACCAAUUAAUCUGUCACGCCUCGAGACGCUACUGAAUUUGUCCGGUUCGAGCGCGUCGAACAGACUCCGAACGGAACCGUCUCCCCUGUCCCAAGUCUAGUCAGACGAUCAUGUACAAAAUUUACCUCCCCAGAAUCAAUUUAUAAGUAACAAUCACUAAGAGCACAACAAUCCUAACAAUGUAAGCGCAGCCCCAAAAUUAUACAAGCAUUACAAGCACGAUAAAGAGAGAAGGUCUAUCUAUACAUCAUUCAAACCUCUUUUAUACAUCGAUUUACAUUAAACUGUCCAACAUACAACAUGAGUUUCGUAUCAUUCCAAAAUGAUACUCAAUGUCCCUCCAGUAACAUCAUCUACUCUCAUACAAAAGGGUGGCUCUAAUGCAAAAGGAAAGUAAACUACUGCAUCCUAGGCCUAAACCUUACCGCCGAUCCUUCGCCGUGUGAACUCGCGCUCUUCGCCCUGUAGUAAAUGGGGGGGUAGAACUAACUCUUAGUUCCCAGUGUUUCGGCCGCGACCCCGCCUGGUCUCCCCACUAGGUCCAGUGCACAGUUAUAAAAGAUGAUAGAUAUGGAAAGCUUAAGAAGAAUAAAACCUACGCUACAUGCCUGACAUCAUAAGAUAUAUGAAAUGGCAUGUUCAAUGAAAGGGUAAGCAACUAAUGCAUCAAUGUAUAAAGUUAGUUAUUUAACUUGUUCAUUAAUCUUAGGCUCACCAGGGUUCACUCUACAACUCACACUAGCCUCUUCGACGCUAGGGAGACUCAAACUCAAAAACUACUAAUCCAGAGCCGGUCUGCGGACCACCAUAGGCUAUCCCUCGGUACCUCCAAAUAGGCUAUCCACGUGCACCAACUCCGAGCGCACUACUUGUUUGGACGACCAUCACAAGGUAUAAACCAGACGGAGCAAGAUCCAUAUCCCUCCCACUCGGAGAUUCCCUCUAUCCUCUAAUGGUUACUUUCAUCACAUUAGGUCAUAGGUUUCAUAUACACUAGAACCACAUAGAUGACCAUCGUUCUUUGUUGUUUACUAUCACAAUGCCCCUCAUUCUUUUGUUUUACUAUUCAACUAGAUGCCACUAUUCUUUGUCUACUAUCAAACAGAUGCCACUCAUAUCUUUGUUACUAUCACAGAUGCGCACUAGUCUCUUUUUAAUAUCAACCAACCCUUGAGAUCCAUCUUUCACACAGGAUGUCGCACUGAUACUGUUCACAAUUCUCGACCCAACCUCAUCAAUCCACUAUAUCCACAACUAAACAUAGUAUCAUAUCAUCUAGGUCAGCAUAAGAAGCAAAUGCACAUAACAUCACUAUAAUGCCAAGUGAAUACAAGAUCAAAUUAAUGUACUAAGCAUAAAGGGAUCCAGUUGCGUCGGUACUUGUUCACCACCCACACUCUGAGUGCCACGAAAUUAGAAAACCUACACGCUGCGAUCCUCCCGUGAAACGUCGCUUCCACCUUCGGGAACCAAAUCCCUCAUUACUUGUUUUGGCAUAAUCCGCACCCGCUUGUCGAUCGACGAACCCUCGCCAAAAGGUUUUAGACCUAGUCAAUUAGGUUUACAGAGGGUUUAUAUGAGAUUCAAACCCCAUUUUCUAAAAUGCAUUUGAACGCCCUAAUGUUUAACUUUUGCAAAAUUCACACUAAAAUGAAUCCAUGAUCUUAGGCAACAAUCAUCUAUUAGCAUCAUAGGACCUCCCAAUAAAUCUCCAUUUUAAUAGCAUAUAAAUGAAGCCCUAAAAUUCUUCUAACCAUUAUAGGCUUUUUGAAUAUCCCUAGUUUCAACGACAUGAGGAAUCCAGGCUCAGUUCAAAUUCGAGCUAAGAACUCUCUUAUCCUAGCUCCAAUAAGUUAGCAUUCAAACCUAAUUCUAAACAUAAAACUCUACCUAUCUUAAGGAAUCACCAUUAUAGGGUUGACUUACCCUUAAUAACUUCCCAAAAGGUUGAGGGAAGAGGAGGAUAGAGAUGAUCUCUCCUCUUCUGGUCUCUUCUCCCUUCUCUUCUAUCUUUCUUUUUUUUUUUUCCUUUCUUUCCUUUCUCUCUUUCUUUCUUUCUUUUCUUUUCUUCUUUAUCUUCUAGAGAGAAAAGGAAAAAGAUGUGAGAAGGGGAGAGAAUGAGAUAACUUGAGGAGAAGUGGUACUUUGUGUGGUACCAUGCAACCAGCCCACAUAGUCUCUGUAACCAAUUGAGCAAAACCCUCCCCUCCCACACCUAUUACAACUUGCAUUUUUCGCUUUGUGCUACAAUCGACACAGGCUCGUUAACGUACCUGAGCAAAUAAUAUAAUCUUAGUAAGUUUUCCCAUUUCGCAGUUUGUCACCGAAAACUCGUGCCGAACUGUAAUCUUUAGUAGAAUAGCAGUUCGAUUCUUAUUCCAGCACCUUCCGGUGUCAGAAUCGGCUAAAACUUUCAAUCUGAGCCUCAAACCAUAAUUCUGACAUAUCCUCCAGUUCAUAAUUUCUGACACGUGCAUUUUCUGCUAAUUUAUCUGCCCAUCCUACAUUUGCAGGAAAAUUCUUAAAUCUUCGGUUUGCGCCUUCCGAUUUUCCAGCACAGGUCAUUCCAACUUAUACUACUUCUAGAGUCCAAUAAAUUACUCACACUAUUUUAUUUAUAUUUUUUAUAAUACACUCUCGACAUACAUCACUACCUGUAACCUCCUAUUUUCAAAGUUCGUAUCUCUACCACUUUAGGUCUCCAUCUGCCAUGUGCACAUUUGAACCCUAACUCUCGCUUUGAUCCUCACAAUGGUCUAGGUCCAUUUGACCCCAUUUCCAAGCUCAAACCCAAAAACCCUAAGUUCUACGAACUAGGGUUUAGAGUUUACCUCGCUCUUGACUACUCAUAAGGAAGAGGAGAGGGAGAAGGUGUCCAAGGCCUUCCUCUUGAUCUCAUUCUUCUUCUUCUUCUUUUUCAUCUUCUCCUUUUCCUUUCUCUCCUUCUUGUUCUUCUUGUUCUUCUUCUCUUUCUAGAGAGAAAGAGGGAGAGAAAAUAUGAGAGGAAGAGAGUGUGAGUGAGGGUGAGAGAGGAACAGGGCUCAGCCCCUCUAAUCCUCCCUAACUAAUUCCAAUUUGCAUAAAAACCCCUCAACUUUUAAUCCUAUGCACUGCCCUUACUGGGCAGAAUUCGCGCGGAGGGACCGGUCUCCCCAACUUGGGACCGGUCCCCGAGAGCCUCCCUCGGGCGCACGCGUUCGGGAACCGAUCUCUCCCCGGGAGACCGAUCCUCGGGAGACCGGUCCUCGCCUGAGAGACCGGUCCCCGAGAGCUCGAUUUUCAGGACUUAGCCAAAUUUCGGCAUUUCUCGCUGGGGCCACGUUCGGGGAUCGGUCCCUCCCUUCCAGGGACCGGUUGCAUCAAGCAACCCCGCUACACCCAGCCGAUGGAACCGGUCUCUCACCUCCAGAGACCGGUCCCCGAGAGUAACAUCAGCCCAAUGAUGCAGUUUGCACCAUUUGCUCUCGUGGACUCAACUCCAAGGCACUUUUUGUGCUUUGGACAUCUUUAACUUCCCCAAAGGAUAUUCUCUCGACAAAUAGUCGAUCCUGAACGAAGUAUAACUCUCGGAUUUCGAGAAUUCAAUUCCUUAUAUCCGGUUUCAAGUAUUUAAAAGUUUUCUGUUCCGUCCUUGUGUAACCGGUAACAACUUAUUUUUGCACCGGUACACAGUGUAAAAUUCUGAAAACUUUCUAAUCCGACUCUAAUUGAUUCUAAAGUCUAUAAAUAAGGUAUUAGGGUUCUCUAACUCAUCAAGCAUCACGAGAAUUCUUGUUAGGGAAGCCCUAGAGGCUAGGAUUUCAUCAAAACUUAUUUUCUACAAAAUAGCCUCGUGUAGGUCAAUUCGAGAUAUCGUAAUUUGAGAUCUAUAUGUCGAAUUGAUCUAAGACUUCGCUUAGAGUUUUGUCUCUGGUUCAUUAUCGAUAUUCUCAGCGAAGGAUCACCAUAGCAUGAUGUUCUUCAUGGAUGGCGUCGUGGAUUUGGCGUGAUUGAAGGCGGAUCGUGGAUUCGGAUCGUGGGCUCGUGGAUUCGAGUGGCGUUCAUGGAUUCGGACAUGUGCAAGGCAUUCGUGGAUUCGAACGUGAGGGCGUGGACAACCCAGAGGAUUGCGCGGGAUUCGUAGGAGGUUAAGAGAGGUCGAGUCCGUGGAGUCGGUAAUCACUUUGUAAUCUUUUCUCUUAGUGAAUUAUUUUUUCGCGUGUUGGUCCCGUGGGUUUUUUACUCCAAAUUGGAGUUUUUUCAAGUAAAUCUCGGUGUGAUUUUUAUUUUUCGCAUUUAUUUUUAUCGCAUUGAGAUUUGUGGUUUUUGGCCGUUACACCUAUUCACCCCCCUCUAGGUGUUUGAUACAAUCUAGAUAGAUCCUAGGGCUCUUCAAAACUCACAAUUGGUAUCAGAGCGGGAUCUAGAUAUAUUGUUAUCUAAUGGCCGAAGGCGCUAACAUUAAUCGACCAUCACUCUUCGAUGGCACGAAUUAUGCCUAUUGGAAAGUUCGCAUGAGAGCUUUUCUAAUUGCAAUCGACGAGCGAGUGUGGCAAUCAAUCGAAUUCGGAUGGAAAUAUCCUACCGAAGUCGUCGAUAAUGCUACCGUCCCUAAACCGAGAAAUAAGCGGACUAAAGAUGAAAACGAGUCAUCUUCGUUUAAUGGCAAGGGAAUAAAUGCUUUGUUCAAUGCAUUAUCUCAAACGGAGUUUACUCGUGUCUCGGCAUGUGAAACCGCCAAGGAGAUUUGGGAUACUUUACAAGUUACACAUGAGGGUACGAGUCUAGUUAAAAUUCAAAAGCUCCAGAUGUUGACAAGUCAAUUUGAUUUGAUUCGUAUGGAGGAGCAUAAAUCAUUUACCGAAUAUUAUACUAGACUUCAAGAUAUAAUUAAGAUAUGUGCUAACUUGGGAGAGAAAAUCCCGGAUUCUAAAAUUGUUAGAAAAAUUCUUCGAACUCUUCCAGAACGCUUUAGGGCAAAAGUGGCCGCAAUUGAAACGGUUAAGCAUUUGGAUGAGAUGAAAGUCGAAGAGUUAGUAGGUGCUUUGCAAACUUAUGAGAUGACUUUUCCUACUAACCUAUUUUCUUCCAAGUCUUUCUCUAAAAGUACAAGGAUUGCAUUGAAAUCGAUAAAGGAGGAAGACGAGGACUCGGGUUCUGACGGAGAUAUCUCAAUUGCCGAUUUUGAACAUCAAUUGACGUUCCUAACGAAGAAGUUUCGUCGGAACUUCCGGAAGAAGAACAAAUCGAGCAAUGCUUCAUCUUCGAAGCAAAAAUCAUUUUCUAAACACUCUUCAAAUUCAAAAUCUAAGGAUAAGAAGCUUACAAAGUCUUCUAAAGAAAAAGAUGAAGUAGAAGGAGAAAUCCAAUGUUACAAAUGUAAAUGCUAUGACCAUAUUUCAACGGAUUGUCCUUCUAAAAAAGAGAUUUGUGGUUUUUGGCCGUUACACCUAUUCACCCCCCUCUAGGUGUUUGAUACAAUCUAGAUAGAUCCUAGGGCUCCUUAAAACUCACAGCAUACUACCCGCUUCAUUCAAUAAGAGUAUGAACUAGGCUACAUUAGUAGGGCAACAAGGCCUCGGGAAGAGAGAAAAAAGAGAGGGAGAGAGAGAGAAACAACAAACAGCAGACCCCCCCAAAAAAAAAAGAGAAAAGAAAUCCAAAAAUAAAAAUAAAACCUAUAUAUUAUGAAUUGUGAUAUAUUAACUGCCUUUAACUGCCUUCAGUUAUAGUGUCGCGCCCCGGGACCGAUCUCUUUGGCCGAUCCGGGCACGUCGAACAGACGCCGAGUGGACAGCACCUUCCUUGUCCGCCCAAGGCUCGACUCAUGUACAAUUCAAGUAAAGAAUGCACAAGCGGAAACAUACAUAAUGGCUUGCAUGAGGAUAAGCAAUAGCCAAAGUGAAAGAAUUAUAAUCUAUACAACCAUACAAGUACUAUGAUUCAUUUUGAUCACAUACAUGCAUAUACUUUUCACUCACAUUCAUAUCCCACAUUUACCUAUAUAUUCUUUUCCAUAUACAUGCUUUUCAUAAUUUCUUUUCUUUACAUCACAAUGUCUCCAAAGUAGGACCUUACAUUUGACCAUCUUUAGUACAUUUGCACCAUUCAUAUACCUAUAAUCAUCAAAUAACAAAAGAUGAUAUAAUAAUGGUAUGCAACUACAAAAUAUGAAAUCCGACUCGGGUGGUCACUAUUUAUGGCGCGAUAUCUUUACCGCAGUCGUCCGCCGGCUCACUCGGUCUCAGCUCUGUGGAAAUAGUGGGGUGAGAACUACAACAAAGUUCCCAGUGGGUUCAGCCCUCAACUUCGCCGACUUUCCCACUAGGUCUAACUCAGGCAUAAUAGAAUGAAUAAGCAGAUAGAUAGGUAACCAAUUAUACAAAUGCAGCUAAUAUGCCUGAACAAUAAUAUUCAAUAAUCAUGCUGAAUGAAGUGUUCAUGAUGAAUGCAGGUUCUCAUUUCUCAUUGUUUAAUCUCAUGGCUAACCCGUAGGUGUCACCCAAUGCAACUCACCAACUCAUAAUCCCAAGUAUCGGAGAGAAAUACCUACAACCUGAACGGGACCGUCGUCUGGGGAGAACUACUACGACCCAGUGAUGACUACUCCGAAGCUCAUCGCUCGAGGGGGAGCUACCACCCUCCGAGCCAUGACGUAAGGCGAGUAUGAUCCAAUCCUUAACUCUAAGGAUUCCAAGUUCAAUCCAUUCCUUAAAUAUAAGGAAGCAAUGCUCAUGUGACUCUUAACUAUAAGGUUGUUAUGUCACAAUGCCAACUCUCACAUGCACUUAGCAUUCUCUACUUUCUUUUAGUGUCAUUUAUGCUACAUGUUCUUGUACUCCAUCUCUAGCAUUUAAUACUCAUUAAUGCCAUACACUAACUCUAGUGUUUCAAUGCUCUAGCAUUCACGUUCUCAUUAAUGCCACACACUAACUGUAGUGUCAUCGUUGCAUUUACUAAUGCCACUCGAUCUAAAUGUCAUAGUGUCACAUUGUUCUUUGCCUCAACUAGGUUUUCAUAUCACAAUUCAUGCAUCAUAGGGUUCAUAGGUUCUCAACAAUCUCAUAAUGCAUUUGUACUCACAACAUGCAACAAUUUAUAUAACACCGAUCUCAAUUACCCUAUAAUGCAUGCAAUCCAAUAUAUGCUCAAGAGUGACACAUUAGGCAUAAAGGAAAGUUCAAAGAUUUUGAGAAGCACCAUCCACCUCGUAGGUUUGCUAAGGUGCUCGGGUUCAAGUUCCACGAUUUUUAGCCGCCUAUAUCCUUGCCUGCGGUAAAAUGAAGCCAAAUUAGGCUUUUUCGCUCCUAUCAUUGCAUAGACUUUUCGUUUCGACGAACCGAGUGUACCAACGCGUCGGAAAUACCCCAAAUUAGGUUUCUAUAAGGUCAAUUAGACCUUAGAACCAUUCAAUGCAAAAGCCCCAAAUUUGGGUGCCCUAGCCAUGUCACAUAUACUCAUACCCCAUUUUGAUCUCUACCAUAAGCAAGAAUAACCUUAUUAUCAUCUAGAGGUUCCAUUAAAACCAUUCCUAGGUCAAUCAAUUCCCAUUUUAGGGUUCUACCAUGAGAGGGCUUAAAUCUUACCUCUAAAAGCUCCCUUUCUUGCACCUAGGAAGAAGAAGAAGAAGAAGCUCCACCCUUUUGCCUUCUUCUCCACUAAACUCUCCUCCUUGCUCCACCUCUUGAGAGAGAGAGAGAGAUUCUAGAGAGAGAGGGAGAGAGAGAGCCUUGAGUGUGUGUGUGUGUGAGAGAAAUGAGAGAAAACUCACAUUUGCCUCUUUGCAUAUCCCACUUGAUGCACAAAUGCAUUUGGGCCCCUCAACUUUGUCCAUAUCACACUGCCCAGACUGGGCAAUUUCGAGCUGCGGGGACAGGUCUCUCUAGCAGGGUCCGGUCCUCGAGAGCACCUCUUCGUAGUCUACGCAGCCAAGGUCCGGUCUCCCACUGAAGGACCGGUCCCCGAGAGCACAUUUUGUGCAAACUGGCCUUUUUGCAUUUCCACACGUAUGGGGUCCGGUCCCUCCCACCAGGGACCGGUCCCCGAGAACACAAAACCUGCAAUUGUGCAGUUUUGCAUUAGCUUGCUCUCCGAGACCUCCUACAAUGCACUUUGUGCAUUUUUGACGCAUCCGGCCUUUCCGAAGCAUUUUUGACGCAUCCGGCCUCUCCGAGACCUCCUACAAUGCACUUUGACCAAUUUGGCUAAAGUUCGAUAGCUUCUACCGAAGUUUUGGUAUAUUACAUAUAGUGAUCUUUCUAAAGCUGCCUUAAUUUACGAAUUUCGCUUAGUGUGCAGUCUAUAUUGUUUUCCAAAUUCUGAAAUAUUCUGUUAUUUCUCUCCAGCCAUACAAGCCACUAGACCACUCUAAGCGUUAGAAAGCUUUUUCUCCUAUUUGGAUUUCGACAUGCUUCCCAAAGAUUUGUAGUUGUCGUGUUGCUUAAAAUAGCAUUAGUAUUAGGUAGGAGACACAGGAGCAAGUAUUGUUAGAUGUAUGCCCUAGAAGCCAACCAGGCCGACACAUGUAUUUUUUCUAGAACAUAAAUUUGUAUUUGACUUUAAAAUAUUAUGAAUAAAUUUGGGUUCUUAUUUUCAUUCAUGUUGUGUAUGUGUCGAUGAAUCGCCCAAGAAAUUAAUAAGAUGAUGACAUAUAUUCUCAAGCGUUGAGAAUUUGAGACAUGUGUCAUUGGUGGUUAAUUCCUUAAUGCUCCCGAUCAAUAGAUCAUCACGGGGACGGUGAUUGAUCCGGUAAGAUCGGUGCAUAGGUCGCUUACCUUUUUGGGUAGACGGGUCUCGAGUCAACAGUGUGGGGACACUGAAGCGAAUAUGUAGGUUGUUGUUAGAGAACAAGGGUACCGAGCGUGACCAACGCAAGAAGUCACUUGAAUGUCUACUUACUCGUCAGUGACUUACUCAAUGUUGAAAUAGUGUGACUGGUCCUUUGACCUGUGAUGCCUCGGCUAUUCACAAUGAGGUUACUGUAGUUUGACUGUAUAUACACUUGGUCCCUGACCAUUCGGAUCCUUGCGGUGCAUGUUGGCUGCACUAGGUUCACUGUAGGAAUAGAGUGCGCACUUAGAUAGAAUCUAUCUCCUUUGGUAGAUAGGGGUGUUAGUCCUAUGUGAUUUAUGAGACCGAGCUUAGAAGACCUUGGUUAGGGCAGAGUUAAUAGCGGAAAAGGGUUUCCGAUAUUAAAACUCGAGUCGAAUAAAUUUAACACAUGACAGACGAUGGGGUUUGACGAGUUAUUCUAUAACCUCCGUCUAGUCGAGACUCAUGAUAGAAGGAUUGUAUCACACGGUAACUGCACCAAGAGAUUCAGUAUUCCAUUCUACUAGAAUGCCACUACAUGCUGCUAGGCACCACUAGUGGAUUGUGAGACUCAUGAGAAUUAUCUAGAUGAUCGAUAAUUCUCAUUGGGCUGAGUUGGAAUUAUUCCGAUCCACUGAAAGGAGUUUCAGUGAUAUUGUUGAUAGUGAUCAAAACAUAUCUCACUACCAGAUAGAAUAGAACCUAUGGGGUCACAUACAUAAGAGGUUGUGAUUGAUCAGAUAGCUAGAUCGCGAUUAUUGAAUCACCGGAGGACCUAAUUAUCAAUAUGUUGAUAAUUGGACUAAUUUAUAAUUGUUACAAAUUAGUGGUAUUAAAGUGUAAAUAUUACUAGAGAGGAUUUACUAAUAGUUAGUAAAUUAUAAGAGGACUUAUGUGCAAAUAUUGCAUUAUUAAUUUGAUAUGAUUAAAUUAAGAUAAAGUUCAAGUCGAAUCAAAUUAGGAUUUGAUCGGUCUAACAAAUUAAGGAAAUGAUAAAUUUAAAUCUAGAUUUGUACUUAUUCUUAAUGGUUAUUAUAUUAUUAAAAGAGGACUAUAUCCCUAUAUAUAAUAUAUGAGAGUUUUUAAAAAAUCCUAGCCGUCAUCUUUCUUCUUCUCUCUCUUCUAUCUUUUAGCAAAAAAAGUCCUUUGCAAGGGAGCUAGCACCCAGGUGAGGACAUCGAUCAAAUCAACAACCUCGUUUGGAUACCCAUAAUGGCUGGACGCGUGUGCGGCUGUAACGACCCAGCCCACUAGCAAUAAUAACUCGUUGGGCCAAACUACCGGCCCGAAAUACUUAAGCCCAGUUAUUAUUACUAGUGUCUAAGUCUCUUAUAUACCCAAUCACAUCCCCAUUUCUAUCCGAUGUGGGAUUAUUGGGGUGUGACAGACUCCCCCCGUUAAGGCCCUGACGUCCUCGUCAGUCUAAUCACAUACACAGCCCAAGAUCAUCAGGCAAUGUAAGACUCGUCUCGCUAGCCUUGUCAUCCAGACCCUAACAUAGCCCGUCACCUCGUCAUUCAGACUCCGGCAUAGCGUGUCACCUUGUCUUUCAGACCCUGGCUCAGCCGAGACUCGCCACACAUUUUCGGCUGGUGAACUGGCUCUGAUACCAAAUGUAAUGACCUAGACCACUAGCAAUAAUAACUCAUUGGGCUAAACCACUGGCCCAAAAUACUUAAGUCUAGUUAUUAUUACUAGUGUCUAAGUCUCUUAUAUAUCCAAUCACAUCCCCAUUUCUAUCCGAUGUGGAAUUAUUGGGGUGUGAUAGCGGCUUCAAGAGAACCCAAUUCUACGAUCAUCAAAUUGAGGUGAAGAUCUAUCCGCGCAAAAGGUAAAAAUUCGAUCUUAUUUUUCUCUUUUAAUCAUAAAGAACAUGAGGAAUCUUGAUUGUGUGGUUUUUGAGAUUGGAUCUCGAGAGUUUUCAAAAUCAAAUUUGUUUGAUUUUUUUUCGCGUUUUUAUCGUACGCAAUUUUCUAACAGUGGUAUCAGAGCCAUCCUCAAUCCUCUUGUUUUUCAAUAUUAAAAUUAUGAAUUUGGGUAUUUUAAAUCGUUCUUCGCCGGUCGAACGAUUUAUAGAUCGUUUUUUAUUGAUUCGAAAAAUCGUCAGCUGAUUAAACAAUUUAAUCUAUUGUUGCAAGCAAAAAAAAAAAAAAAAACUGUAGCGUCCGUACGGACGCUACUGUACUAUCCGUACGGAAUUUUUUAAAAUUUUUUUAAAAAUAAUUUGAUUAGAUCGUUUUAAAAUAAUAAAAAGAAAAGAGGUGGAUCAAAUUUAAUUAUAUAUAUCAAAUUAAUAUCUUGAUGAGAUCAAGUUGUUUUGUUUGAAAAUUAAGUUGUUGAUCAAAAUUAUAAACGAUCAAUAAGAUUGAUUGUUUUUAAUAAUUUAGUCAUUGAUUUUUCGAAUCAUCGUUGAACGGUUAAUUAGAAUACCCAAAAUUAAUUAUUAUGUAUGUGAUGUAUGAGAUACAUAUCGAUGAUGAUCAUGGAUAGCGACCUAUUUAUUUUUGUUUUGAUAUGUGAUGUAUGAUGUGUAUGCAGAAUCCUGUAAUUUUAAAUUUGUUUAAAUAAGAACUUUGUAUUAGAGAUGGCUUUUUUGUGCCUGUGUGCACAAGCCGAUUUAUUUGGAGACCUGUGUGUCACAAUAGGUUAGAAAUAAAAAUGAUCAAAUGUAAUUAAUUUUUAUUUCAUUUUUAUUGUUAGGUUGUAUAAUGUAUGGUUGCACGUCAUUGGUUGAUCGGUUGCUAGCCGAGAGGUACGCAAAGACUUAAUCGAGAUGAAUAGUUGAUGGUGGUCGGAUCAAGAUGUUGAUAGGAUCGGAUCAAAUUAUAGCUCCGGAUCGAAUCAAGUAGUUGAAGACGAUCAAACUAAUGACGUGUGUGUGCUUGUAAUUUAUGACCCUAAGACCCCGAUUCCGACUUAGUGGCUCGAGUCCGAAUCCACUUCUAAGAUCCAUGAUCAUCACCAGCUAAAUUAUAUUUUUCAUGUGCAUAUUGUUUUUAUUUGCAUUAGAUGUAAAUAAAUAAAAUAAAAUUUGAGACUUAAAUUUUAAUCUCCUCACAAAUACUAAGUCGAGCGGUCUUUCGCCGUUGUAGAAGUGCGGGCGUUUUUCUGGUGUUGAUUGGCACGGCUGGUUACAGUGGUCAGUUGCAUCGGGAAGGCGCAACCACUCUAUUAGCAUGAGAUGCUGCGGAGUAAAGAUAGGGUUGGGCCCAAUAACUGUCAAGUGAGGGACCCAAUGACGGUUUUACUUACGCAUUUGAACGGUGGGUCUGACUUAACUAAGGAAUGGGCCAAUAACUGUUAGGUGAGGCCUACAGGAUUUUGUAAGGACUGAGAUUUUGGCAGUGCAGCUAAACUCUCUGUUGAUGAUGUUUCUGUGUGUAAUUUAAUUACAUAAGCACUCAUCAAGUUUUAGGAGAAAACGAGUUAGAAGGGAGAUUCUACGCGACUUUUACUUUUCACUUAAGUGAAUAGUAACUCCGAUUUUCCGGAGAAGCCACGAAGUAGAGUUGGCUUUCGGCGCGUAUCAGACUUCGUUCAUAGCGGUCCAAUAGCUCGUUUUGAACGGUUCAGCUAUUCUGGAACCAAUAGCCCUGACAGAUUUCAGAUCUGAUGCAUGGUUUUCGAGAAAAAGGGGUUUGAUUGGAUUUAUAUAUAUAUAUAUAUAUGUGUAUAUAUAUGUGUUUUAUAGUGGAAAUAUUGAGGGUGGGUUUCGUCGCAAAUCGACGACCAAAUUAGAUCAAAUGAAAAGCUAGUUCGAUGCCCUUGUCGUGUUGAACGCGCUGGUGUGAUCCGUUCGGAAAUUCGACAGAUGGAUCGUCGAGAAUCGAUAUUUGCUGAGGGGUCGAAUUGGCAAAAACGGAAUUUCGCGAAAGGUCCAAUAUUUAAUGUACCGUUUGGUGCGAUUUCCAACGUCGAGGUGCGGGCGUGCAAAGUGCUCAUGCUGUCAAGGCUGGACCAUAAAUACUUAUCUUUGGGAGGGGUUUUUUGCAAAUUGUCCAUAGUAUAUAUAUGGGCAGCUAGGGUUUUCUUGCACAAACCCUAGCCCUAGCUGACCCAUCACCUCCCUGCUAACCCAAGCUGACCUCAGCCCUUCCCUGCCCUCGUCGUGCUCGCGCCCCGGCCGCCGGCAAGCUGCUCCGGCCGCUGGAAGAACCUCCCUCUCAACUCCUCUCUCCAUUUGUUCCUACCACUGUGGCUGUCGGCCUCUGGAUGUCACCAUAACCCGUGGAGUCUUCAUCCUCUGGCGCGGCCCAUCUCCGGCGCCGUCCCCGCCUGCCUCUGCUGUCUCGGGGCGCCGCAGGAGCCCCUGUGCAAGCUAUGCCCAAACCGAGCCAACUCAGGCCAAGUUGACCUAGGCUCGGGACUCGCGAGUAGUGGAAGCCCAAGCUCGGCUGUCCCGUCGUCGUCUGGCUGCCGGCGUCCUCUCGCGCGCCCCCCCGCAGUCCCCGNCUGUGUAAGCUGCGGCCAAACCGAGCCAACUCAGGCCGAGUUGACCUAGGCUCGGGACUCGCGAGCAGUGGAAGCCCAAGCUCGGCUGUCCCGUCGUCGUCUGGCUUCGGGCGUCCUCCCGUGAGCACCCCCGCCGUCCCCGCGCGCCGCCGGCCGCCGUUCGAGCUCCCUGCGGCCGCCCAGACUUGGUGCGGGCCGAGGAUGGGCUUCCCUCCUAUCCGCACGUCGCCGCCGCCCACAACGGGGAGCACCACCCUUCCCACGGCCUUCGGCGACGGAUCGUCGUCGCCCCGAGCUCCUCCGGCCGCCGCCGGGCCGCCGCGGACCACUUGAACCCGAGAGCAAGCCGCGGCUUGAUCUCCUCCGCCGCGCCACCGGCCGCCGCCCGCUGCUGGCCAGCACCUGCCCCGGACCUCUCCGACCAGACGCACCCUUCCCCGGCCGGAUCGCCUGUCGCCCGGCCACCGGCGACCAACCCUAGCUCCACUACCUAGGUAAGGCUGUAAUUUUGUUGACAACACUGUAGUUUGGAGUUUCGGUCACCUUUCCGGUGAUCCGAGGACACUUCGACACCCCAGGAAGUGAGCACGAUAAUCUUGGAUUCGUGUUGAACAUCGUGCUCACCUCCGCAGGGUCAACGAUGCCCUGGUUAGCGAAUUAAACGUGAUCUUAGCGCUGUGCGCGCUAUUUUGCUAAUUUCUGCAUCGCUUAUGCGCGUGCCACAGUGGCCGGCAGUGCUCUAAAAGGUAAACACGGCCUUCGGCACGUCGAGACCUAUCAGCUGGUGUUUCGGUUUGGCUGAUUGACCUCUGGUUUGCGUAGACGGAGCAUAAAAGCCCAGAAAUCACAUAAAAUAAUAUGAUUUUAUGCAUUUGGGAGGGCUUUUAUGCAAUUAUGGUUAUUGUAGUCGCUGUUGGCAGCAUGUGUGGGCAGAGGGUAACCUCUGGACUGAUUGUCCAAGGCCCUAGGCCCUUUACGGAAUCGGAGAGUGAUUUUCGGUGCGUUUUUCGGCAAAAUUCGCUUAUAGAACGCGUUUUCGGUUUGGAAUUCUUCCGACGGUGUUUCGUGGUCGAUUGGUGAGUCGCUGAGCCUGGUUGGCUGGUCACCCGUGUCGUUUUGGGUGUUUGGAAACGACUGGUGAGCGACGGUGGGUUCCGGUGUUGAAAUUGACACUUCUGGGAACCCGGAUCGGAACGAUUAUCCGACGGUAAUCGUUUCGGAGUGAGAUAAUGUUUUGGCUGCCAAGUCACACGUAAAUUCGUGUUUUGUGGCAGCAGUAGACUCAUAUCUUGAGUUGGUGAGUUUCGGGACAGUUCGUGGGUCCCGGCGGAAUCUCGAUACGGUUUUCGGGACUUCCGGUGAGUUCGGCAAUCGGUUUUGGGAAACCGAUUCCCGUAGAUAUAAUUGUGGGGUUAUGUGUUAGUGUUUUAUAUUUGUGGGUUAGAUACUAACCCGGUGGACCCUCCGUAGGUCCAGUUUACGAUCUUUCGCAGUCAGAAGACAGACGCGACAUUCGUACAGGUGAAUACUUCGAUCCGACGUCGGUAUAGUGGUGCACAUUCGGUGAUGGUUUCUUACCUUUGCCCUCUUAUUAUUAUUCGUGCUUAUACUAUAUGUUGAGCCUAGCACCCACGUUGUUUGGUUUUACUCUACUCAGAUGUUUUCAUGCUUAGUAUCAUGUGUAGGAGUAGAGUAGUUUAUCUGUAUGUGAUACCAUGUUUCCUUGUUGCUUUACUUGCCUGUUCUACAUAUCCUGUAUCAUGUCUAGAGUAGAGCGGUUUCGUGACUAUCUCUGAGAUGGUGACCUAGUCGGUCAGUGCAUUGUAUCUGUUUUCAUGACCUGAUUGGUCGGUCGUUGUAUCUCGUGUCGGUUCCUUGACUUCUGUCGUUCGAUAACCGUUGAGGUCGAUAUACCCUGAGGGGUUGGAUUGUCGGCUAAUGGUCGACGGCAGUUCUGGAUUCUAUUUAUACACUCUGGUGACCUAUUCAUCGAUUCGUCAUGCAUAUAUGUUAGUUGACUUGAGUAGUCAGCACUUGUAUACCUUCGGUAGGAUGUUGAGUUGUUCCAUCCUAGUUGACCUGGUUGGUCGGUUCUCCUAUGUGGUAUCUGUGACCUGGUUGGUUGAUGUUCAUAUAUUAUACCAGUGACCUGGUUGGUCGAUUAGAUUACUUGAUGACCUAUACGGUCGAUGUGCCCCGAGGGGCUGUGAUUGUUGGCUGGUUGCCGACGGUUGGCCUUUGAGCAUAUCAGCAUUGAUCGUCCGAGACUCGUUCUCAUUUCACGAACACCAGCGAUCUGAUCCACCGCAAGAGGGUGUUCUUUUCCGGAAAAGUGGUUGCAGGUGCCAACUCGUGAGCCCUAGAGGGGUUAUAUGCAUGGUAGAGUGGCAGUGGUACUGUCAGGAGGUCUCCGGUGUGAACCUCCAGGGCACAGGCUUGAGGUUUGCGGUGUGGACCAACAGAGCAGCAGAUUUCAGAUUGGGUAUAUUUGGUUUAUACAUCCGGUUGACGCAUAUGUCUAUAGUAGCAGUUAUUGCAUGCAUACUUACAAUUCUUUCCAUAUACUUGUCUUGUUACUAUAGUUUUGAUACCCAUGUAUGCAUUCAGUUCUUCUUUACGAUAGCGGUAGUUGUUCUUUUACAUCCCGUUUAUGUAUUAUCGUUGCUACUGUAUUUUGUAUAUCUGCUCAUGAUCUUAUUUAUCUCUUUCUGAUCCGGUGAGUACUCCUCGCCUUCAUCGACUUGCGGUACCCACUGGGAGGGGAGACAUAUUUACAUGUUCUCACCUCCCCCACCAUUUUUCAGGUAUUGCGGGCAGUGAGGGUUGAGACAAGAUAUGAGACAUGUUCGUAGCGGUCGAUAGAGCUUUCGACUCGGUUGGUUUGGUUUAGUUACUACCCCUUUACUUCUGUUGAUAUAUGACUUAGACAGUUAUUUGGUUUAGUUGUUAUUACUUAUGAAUUCACAUGGUUUUAUGAAAGUAGUAAAAGGAAUUGUGGAUUUUGUGAAUCAGAAAAUUAUUUUCUACCCCUCGUGGUAGUGUUUUAAAAGAAAAAGGGUUUCCGUGUAGAAAACAGAUUUGAAAAAGGUAUUCUUGUGAUUUUCAUAAACUAGUAUUUGAAAAUGUGUUUCCGGGUAGAAAACAUUUAAACUAAUAGUUAUGGAUUUCUGAAUAAACCCGGAAUGUGAUUCUGUGGUGAAUGGUGUAUGAAUAUGAAUGUCUUUAUGUUCAGAUGUGGUUGUAUCCUGUUUGUAUCUUGUACUUCUGCGACGCCAUGCAAAUACAGGGGAGACUCUAUCCAUGUGAACAGUGGACUCCCUAUAUUUGCGGCGGAUCUGGCAUACCUUCGGGGUCAGGUUUUCAGAAAAAAAAUUUUCGUUGCGUUUUUAGACUACAAAAAGUCCCCGAGGCGUGACAGAUUUGGAGACCGAUCACUGCAAUUUGCUUGAGAAGCAUUGGACAAGAGUUGUCCAUUCAUUGGUUAGCAUAUCACCAAUAACUAUUAGGUGAGGUGGUAUGUUAAACUGGUGGGACCGCAGUACCCACUUGAAAUCUUUUGUCGCAUUGGGUUUCCGUUUCUCUACCCGAGGAGUGUAAGAGACUCGAGAAAAUAGCGGGAGGCUAAAAUUUGUUUUUAAAAUCCCUAAAACAAAAUUUUCAAAACAAAUACAAAUAUCUAACUUGAAUUUUUUACUUUCUGCAAAACAAAUGUCUGCUUCAAAUUAUCUCUCUCGUAUUUUUGAAACAAACCGCUUAACCAUAACUAAUUAUAAAGACUGGCUAUGAAACUUAAAAAUAGUUUUAAAUUCUAAGAAGCUCUGCAAUGUUCUCGACCAGGAAAACUUCACGUUACUAAACCAUUCAAUAACUAAUCAAAGGGCAGUCUGUACAUGAUCAAACAAUGAUCAAAGACCUCAAGGAGCUUGAGAAGCUUGGCGUGAAAAUGGACAAGGAAUUGCAAGUUGAUCUGAUCCUAUAAUCCCUUCCUAUAUCAUAUGGAUAUUUUAUUGUAAACUACCAUAUAAAUAAAAUUGACUGCACCAACGCGGAGUUAUUGAACAUGUUGGUAACUAUAGAGAGAAGUUUGAAAAAUUCAAAGGACUCGGUUCUCGCUGUGGAGCGGGCUUCCUCUCCAAAAGAACGUCUAAUUGGAUGAAGAAAUCCGCAAAGAAACAAAAGACGAAGAAUAAGCCCAAGAGGGAAGCUCUUAAGAAGAAGGUCGCUAACAAAGAAAAAUGUUUCUACUGCAAUGUUGAUGGUCAUUGGAAGAGGAACUAUCCUGUUUACCUGGAGAGCCUGAAGCCUGAAGAAUAAUAGGAAGGUGUAACGACCCAGCCUACUAGCAAUAAUAACUCGUUGGGCCCAACCACUGGCCCAAAAUGCUUAAGCCCAGUUAUUAUUACUAGUGUCUAAGUCUCUUNAGAAUUAAAUUAAAUGGAGUAGAAAUUGCUCUUACUCAAUAUAAUGAAUUUUUAGAAAUUAAUUCAAUAAAUUAUUCAAAUAGGGAAAAAAUUUUCAAAUAGUAAAUAGUAGUUUAUGUGAAAUGUAUGGUGUUGAUGCAACUGCUUCGGGUAGUAAAUGAUCAUAUUCUUCACAGUUACAAAGCAGCAGCAGUAUUAGUAGUGGUAAAACUAGUAAAAAUAUAAUUUUAUCUUUAGUGAGAAAACAAAAACAAACGGAUUUUAGUGCACCUUCUUUUAUUGAACUUUAGUUUUACUUAAUGAUGAAUCAGAUAAAUUAGAUAUUUUAGCCUGGUAGAAAACAUAUGAAAGUACAUAUCCCGUGCUUUCUGUCAUGGCACGUGAUCUACUAACUGUGCAGGUUUCAACAGUGGGGCAUCCGAGCCUACUUUUAGUGUAGGUGGAAGAAUAUUGGAUGAUUAUAGAACCCAGAAUAUAAGAUAAAUGAGGUCAUGAGUCUAUGUAACGACCCAGCCCACUAGCAACAAUAACUUGUUGGGCUCAACAACCGGCCCAAAAUGCUUAAGCCUAUUUAUUAUUACUAGUGUCUAAGUCUCUUAUAAACCCAAUGACAACCCUAUUCCCAUCCGAUGUGGGAUUAUUGGGGUGUCACAGACUCCCCCUGUUAAGGCCCAGACGUCCUCGUUAGUCCAAUCACACACACAGCCUAAGAUCACUAGGCGAUGUGAGACUCGUCUCGCUAGCCCGUCAUCCAGACUCUCGCUCCGCCGAGACUCGCCACACAUGUCCAGCUGGUGAACCGGCUCUAAUACCAAAUGUAACGACCCAGCCCAGUAGCAACAAUAACUUAUUGGGCCCAACAACCGGCCCAAAAUGCUUAAACUCAGUUAUUAUUACUAGUGUUUAAGUCUCUUAUAAACCGAAUGACAACCCUAUUCCCAUUCAAUGUGGGAUUAUUGGGGUGUCACAGUCUACAUCUUCAGAUGAAACAGAAUUAACUACCUAAAAAUAUACCAACACUUAUGGCAUACUAGAGUGCAAUCGCCCCAAUCUCCAGACUAUUGCUUACUAGUUUUUGCACCUCUCCUUUUUUAUUUUGUACCUCUCUUUAGUAUGUACCCUUUUUUAAGUAAAAAAAAUGAUGUAAUGAAGAACAAAAUUAUAUUAAUUUUUUUUUCUAUUGGUUGCUAAUUGGUUGCAUAAACAAUACCAUUUUAUUUUAAAUAUAUUUUUGAUUUUAUAAAUAUUUGUACUUUUCUCUAAUGUAAUUAUAUAAUAUGAUUAAUUCAAAUUUUACANCCAGACCCUUGCUCAGCCGAGACUCGCCACAUAUGUCCAGCUGGUGAACCAGCUCUGAUACCAAAUGUAAUGACCCAACCCACUAGCAAUAAUAACUUGUUGGGCCCAAUCACCGGCCCAAAAUGCUUAAGCACAGUUAUUAUUACUAGUGUCGAAGUCUCUUAUAAAGACAAUGACAACCCCAUUCCCAUCCGAUGUAGGACUAUUGGGAUGCCAUAGAAGGACACACCUUCGGAAGGUAUGUCAGACUUGCUCGUAAUAGAAACUAACCUUACGGCUUGCUCUACUUCCAGUUGAGUUAUAGACUCUGAUUUUAGUGCUUUUUUGUACUUCAAUGUAGAGUCUAUGGAAAAGUAGAGGGCUUAGAAAAGAUGAAGUGACCCUACAGGUAGGCAACGGGGCAAGAGUUGCUGCUGUGACUGUUGGCACCUAUCCUUUGCGAUUACCGUUAGGAUAUGUUUUAUUACUUAAAAACUGUUAUUAUAUACCUGCUGCUAGAAGGAAUUUGAUUUCUGUUUCUUCCUUAGCAGUUGAUGGUUAUAUAUUUAACUUUGACAAAGACUAUUGCAUAAUUCAUUUUAGAAAUAAAAUUAUUAGCCGUGGUUUUGUGAUUCACAGUAUUUAUCAUUUACAUAUGGAUGUAUCUGUAAAUGUUCCUGAGCAGGUAGUGAGUGCUGUUGAGUCUAAAAGACCUAGAGUUGAGUUGAACCUAAAGUAUAUGUGGCAGCUUAAGCUUAGUCAUAUUAGAGAAGAAAGGAUAAACAAAUUGGAUAAAGAUGGGCUUCUUGGCUCAUUGACUUCAGAGUCUUAUCCAGUUUGUGAAUCUUGUCUUCAAGAAAAAUUGACUAAAUUAUCCUUUGUAGGACAAGGGGAAAGGGCAACUGAGAUACUUGCCUUGAUACACACUGAUGUGUGUGGCCCAUUUGAUGUGCAUGGUAGGGGUGAUUAUCUCUACUUCAUAACUUUUACUAAUGAUUAUUUACGGUAUGGGUGUGUGUAUCUUAUGAGAUACAAAUCUAAGACUUUUGAAAAGUUCAAAGAAUUCAGAUAUGAAGUAGAAAAGCAAACCGAAAAAUGCAUCAAAGUUUUUCGAUCAGAUCGAGGAGGAGAAUAACUUAGUGGAGAGUUCCUAAAUUAUCUCAAAGAAAAUCGCAUAGUCUCACAAUGGACUCCUCCGGGAACACCCCAACUCAACGAGGUGUCGUAACAGAGAAAUUCGAUCCAUGAUGAGUUUCACUAAUCUUCCUUUGUUUCUUUGAGGACAUGCUUUGCUUACCGCAGCUUAUUUGUUAAAUAGAUUUCCCUCUAAAUCUGUUUCUACCACGUCAUAUGAGAUGUGGGAUGGUAAGAAGCCAAGUCUCGGUCAUAUCAAGAUUUGGGGGUGUCCGGCAUAUGUCAAGCGACUACAGGCUGACAAGUUAGAGGUUAGGUCUGAGAGGGCUCGUUUUAUUGGAUAUCCUAAAAAAUCUUUAGGUUACUAUUUUCAUAUCCCAAAGAAUCACAAUGUAGUUGUGAGCUGACAUGCUAUGUUCUUGAAAAAACAGUUUAUUCAAGAAUGAGCUAGUGGGAGGAAAAUUGAGCUCGAAGAGAGUCUCUGAAGAGUAACGAGUCAUCAAACCUACAGAACCUAUUCAAGCUGAACUAGUACAUGUAGUACCUCCUCCACCUCAUAGGUCGAGUAGAAUCUCCCAUCCUCCUAAAAGAUACUUAGAUAUCGUUACGGAAGUGUAGAGAAAAUGUUCCUCAUGGGAGAUAGGGAAUAUGGAGAUGAUCCCAAAACCUACAACGAGGCGAAGUCUGACAUCGAUUCCGAGAAAUGGCCGGAUACCAUGAAAUCAGAAAUUGACUCAAUGCACUCCAACUAGUUUGGAUUUUGAUAGAUCCACCAGAAGGUAUAGUACCUAUCGAGUGUAAAUGGAUUUACAAAAAAAAGAUAGGUUCGGAUGGAAAGGUUGAGACCUAUAAAGCAAGGCUAGUGGCGAAAGGCUAUAGUCAACUCAAAGGUAUUGACUAUCAGGAGACCUUUUCGCCUGUGGCCAUGCUUAAAUCCAUUCAAACACUGCUUGCCCUUGCAACAUACCAUGAUUAUGAGAUCUAGCAAAUGGAUGUGAAAACUGUCUUCCUAAAUGGAUAUCUUGAGGAAGAAAUCUAUAUGAAGCAGCCUCUGGGUUUCACUCCCGGUGACGAAAGUCACAAAGUAUGCAAGUUGCAACGGUCCAUUUAUGGACAUAAGCAAGCAUCUCGGAUUUGGAAUACUCGUUUCAAUGACGUGAUUAAAUUGUUUGAUUUUGUUAAGAAUGAGUAGGAACCAUGUCUUUAUAAAAAGGUCAGUGGGAGAGCUGUCACAUUCCUCGUAUUGUACGUGGAUGAUAUUCUCCUAAUUGGGAAUGACAUUCCAAUGCUGACUUCAGUUAAGAUGUAGUUGUCUAAAGAAUUCUCCAUGAAAGAUCUAGGAGAAGCAUCUAAUAUUCUGGGAAUAAAGGUAUAUAGAGAUAGAUCUAAAAGGAUGUUAGGCUUCUCACAAAAAAUGUACAUAGAGGAGGUGCUGAAGAGGCUCGGCAUGGAAAACCCCAAAAGAGGACUUUUACCUCUUAGACAUGAAAUUUAUCUCUCUAAAAAAAUGUGCCCCAAUACAUUUGAAGAGAUUCAACGUAUGAGUAAGAUCCCUUAUGCCUCAGCUAUAGGGAGUCUUAUGUACGUCAUGCUAUAUACACGACCUGAUAUCGCGCUUGCUGUGAGUGUCACAAGCAGAUAUCAAUCUAAUCCAGGCGAUGAGUGCUGGACUGCUGUGAAGAAUAUACUUAAGUACUUGAGAAGGAUUAAGGAUAUGUUCUUGGUCUUUAGAGUAGGAGAAUUAAAAAUACAAGGAUAUACUGAUUCAGACUUUAUGUCUGAUAUUGACGAUAGAAAGUUUACAUCAAGAUGUGUGUUCUUAUGCAAUGGUGGCUCAGUGUAUUGCAAGAGUUCCAAACAACCAAUUAUUGCUGACUUUCUAUGGAACCAGAGUAUAUCGCCGCAUCUGAAGCUGCAAAAGAAGCCUUCUGGUUCAAGAAAUUUAUCGCAGAACUAGGUGUGAUGCCAUCGGAUGCCAUACCAUUCUAUUGCGACAAUAAUAGCGCCAUACCCUAGCUAAGGAGCCUAGGUCUCAUCAGAAGUCCAAGCAUAUAGAGCGGCGGUUUCAUAUAAUACGCGACUACCUCGACAAGAAAUACAUUGAGAUAUAGAGAGUAGACUCCACGGAUAAUGUGGCAGGCCCAUUGGCUAAACAAGUUAGCCAGCAAAAGACUGAAGUGUAAGAUAUGGAUCCCAAAGAUCUAAAAGGUAAAUAACACCUAGAAGGGGGUGAAUAGGUGUAAACCACAAAUUCAAAAUUCUCGAUGCAAAAUAAAACUAAAUGCGGAAAAUUAAAACCAACACAUCAAGAUUUUACGUGGGAAAACUCCAACUCGAAGUAAAAAACCCACGGAACCGAUCACACGAAACAAUCCACUACUAAAAAUUGAGUACAAGGUGAUUUACUAAAUACACGACCCAACUUUUACCGAAUCCUUGUUGUUGAUCGUCUUCGCUGGUCCUCGAUCGAUCGAACUCCUCCAAUCGAUCACGCCGCUACUCCUCGCAGCAACAACGCCUCGAAUCCACGAGCGUCCACAGAAUCCUUGGCCUCACGUGAAGUCCUCGCACAAACACUCCAUCCGGAGCUCGUAGAAGAUAAUAAUUAGUGGUGAUUCAAUUUCUUAGAAAAAUCAUAAGAUAUGAGGAGAAACCUUUCAAUCCAUCACUAACUCGAUUCUCAAUGAAACUUUGGAAUAGAAAUCUAGAAUCGAGUUGAUGAUUGAAAAUAAAAACUUGUUUUUAAAACAUAGAUCGAAAAGCUCCAAGAACAAGUUUUUAGGGUUUCUAAAAGUUUUUCUUUCUAAUCUUAUGUAAUAGGACGCUCCUCAUAGCUUAUUUAUAGGUUUAGAAGACUUAUAGAUAAACUAGGAUUUAAAAACCAAGUUUUAAAAAUGAAAGACGGUCUCAGGGUCCGGACCUCCCGCAGGGUCCGGACCUUGACACCAGGGUCCGGACCCUCUCUGCGUAUCAGAAAAUACAACGUACGGUGUCCGGACCCUAACCCGAGGGUCCGGACCCUCUCUGCAUGUACACAAAGAAGACCUAUGGGGCCCGGACCCUAAACCUAGGGUCCGGAUCCCGAACCUCGAAAAACUCAGUUUUUCUAGUUUUUACAUUUUAAAAACCAUCCUAAGUCUUCCAACCACUUUUACAUGUGUAGAAUUUCACCACAAAUUAUUAACACACAUACGUGAGAUACCAAGCAUCACGAACAAGUCUUUUCAUCAAGAAUCACACAAUCUUCGUCUCAAUCUUCGUCUUCAACUCUUCAAGACUCCAUUCGACUUCACAAAAUCCGUCAACUUAGAAAAGUCCUUAACAUGAAGUCCACCUUGAGAAUAUGGGGCUUAGUUAUAUGGCUGAUUGGUUUUAGUGCAAGUGGAAGUUGUUAGAUGUAUGCCCUAGAAGCCAACUAGGCCGACACAUGAAUUAUUUUUAGGACAUAAAUUUGUAUUUGACUUUAAAAUAUUAUGAAUAAAUUUGGGUUCUUAUUUUCAUUCAUGUUGUGUAUGUGUCCAUGAAUCGUCCAAGGAAUUAAUAAGAUGAUGACAUAUAUUCUCAAGAGUUGAGAAUUUGAGACAUGUGUUAUUGGUAGUUAAUUCCUAAAUGCUCCCGAUCAAUAGAUCAUCACGGGGACGGUGAUUGAUCCGGUGAGAUUGGUGCAUAGGUCACUUCCCUUUUUGGGUAGACGGGUCUCGAGUCGACAGUGUGGGGACACUGAAGCGAAUAUGCAGGUGGUUGUUAGAGAACAAGGGUACCGAGCGUGACCAAGGCGAGAAGUCACUUGGAUGUCUACUCACUCGUCAGUGACUUACUCAAUGUUGCAGUAGUGUGACUGGUCCUUUGACCUACGGUGCCUCGGCUAUUCACAAUGAGGUUACUAUAGUUUGACUGUACAUACACUUGGUCUCUAGCCAUUCAGGUUCUUGCGGUGCAUGUUGGUUGCGCUAGGUUUCAUUGUAGGAAUAUGGUACGCACUUAGAUGGAAUCUAUCUCCCUUGGUAGAUAGGGGUGUUAGUCCAAUGUGAUUUAUGAGAUCGAGUUUAAAAGACCUUGGUCAUGGCAGAGUUAAUAGCGGAAAAGGGUUUCCAAUAUUAGAAACUCGAGUCGAAUAAAUUUAACAUAUGACAGACGAUGGGGUUUGACGAGUUAUUCCAUAACCUCCGUCUAGUCGGGACUCAUGAUAGAAGGAUUGUAUCACACGGUAACUGCACCAAGAGGUUCAGUAUUCCAUUCUACUGGAAUGCCACUACAUGCUGCUAGGCGUCACUGGUGGAUUGUGAGACUCAUGAGGAUUAUCUAGAUGAUCAAUAAUUCUCAUUGGGCUGAGUUGGAAUUGUUCCGAUCCACUAAAAGGAGUUUUAGUGAUAUUGUUGAUAGUGAUCAAGAUACAUCUCACUACUCGAUAGAAUAGAACCUAUGGGGUCACACACAUAAGAGGUUGUGUGUCACGCUCCGAGCCCGCCUCUUUGGUCGGAUUCGGGCACGCCAACAGACUGCCGAACGGACAGAGUUUCUCCUGUACCGCAGACAGAGUCUCCUCUGUAUGUUCAAGGCGCACAAUCAUACAAUACGUGAGGUUCCAACCAGGAACAGUAUUCAAUCAAAGAUUGCAUAAGGAAGGUAUCAAAAACAUAAUUACAACUAAGUUAUUACAAUCAUUCAACUUACAUACAUUUUACAUAUUACAUCUUUCAUUCUUUUUAGCUUCCAAAUACAAUCUAGCUUUAACAAGAUUACUACAUUUAUGAUUGAAUGAUUCUAACCCCCAAACACAAUGCAAUUCUUGUUAUUUCAUUACAACUUGGUUCUUUUUUUUUUUUGACAUUCCUAAGUAGCCGACUCAGGGUACCGCUAUCUUUGGUCUCGGUGGUAGGGCGCUAACUAUGGAGUUACGCCCUCGCCUCGCGCCGCCGCGCCGCUCACGUGUGAACCUGUACCCCCAAAAGUAACACGGGGGUGAGAACUAUUGUCCAUAGUUCCUAGUGGGUACGGCCAUCCAAGGAAAAAGCUCGACCCACCAGGUCCAAAAGAGGCACUGCAAACAUAUUAGUCGAACAGAUAUCCACAAAUAUUCAAUGCAAAUAUUAAAUACAUGUUUAUACCUCAAGACAUGCAAUAUGUAAAUCAUGCAACUUAUGCAAGUAGAUUUAUUGAUUUUACUCUCUAUCAUUUACCUUUCUUUAUAUUAUUAGCAAUUCUUUAUCACUCGCCAUUCUUUACUUUUUAUUCUUAGCCACAUUUCGCUCAAAUGUCAUUCUUUCCUAAGGCUACAUUUACCUUAGCCAACUAUGUCACUCGACUCGGUCUUGAGUCAAUUCAUGAUGAAUGCAAGAUCACUGCUCAGAAUCCAAUCUCUAGGCUAGCCCGUAGGUUUCGCUCUCAAUAGACUUACCAACUCAAAUCCCAAAAAUUGGGGAGACUACUACACCCGACGGGACCGUCCUCUCGGGAGACUACUACACCCAGUGAUUAUAACUCUGGAGCACAUCGCCUGAGGGGGAGCUACCGCCCUCGAGCAAGGACUUACAAGUGAGUAUGAUCCAAUCCUUAACUAUAAGGAUGUCAAGUUCAAUCCAUUCCUUAACUAUACGGAAACAAUGCACAUAUGAUUCUUAACUCUAAGAUUGUUAUGUCAUAAUGUCACUAUUACUCUUUUACUUGCAUUCUUUACUGUCAUUAGUGUCAUUUACACUACUUGUUCUUUAUACUCGUUUUCAUGCACACGUUUGUUCUCAUUAAUGCAACACACACUAAGUGUUCUCUUUCUAGCAUUCUUUAGCAUUUAUUAUAUUCAUUAAUGCCACUUAUAUAUUUAUGUCAACAUGUCACUUUGUUUCUAAGUUUUCAUUGUUAUGUCAAAUGCCACGAUGUCACAAUUGCACAUGUAUAUACUUUUUAGCACAUUUCACAACUUUCCAUCAUUCAUACUUUCAUCUAGCAUACUCCACAAUGUGAACAUGCAUAUUCAUUUAUCAUAUUCCAAUAUAUGUCUAUAUACAUAUACCAAACAUUCAUAUGCCAUCUAACAUGUUCCAUAAUUUAUCAACAUGCAUAUUACCUCUAACAUAUUCCUCAAUGUAUUAACAAGUUUAUCUCAACGGUAGGUAAUAAACAUCAAGCAUAAUAAGGUUCAUGCAUCCAUAUUACCUUAUGCAACCUACCACUAUACAUGUAUGCAUCAAUAAUGAAAUAUUACUUUGCUUCGACAUGGAAGCGAGAUAGACAUUUCGGUAAGCACAACCCAACUGUUAUCGCGUUCCGAUUGCUUAUCGACACUUGCAAUCGGCCUCCCGCGGCACCCGCCGCCCAGUUCGGCUUGAACUCGCACUUGACCACCAAACAGCCGCCAAUCCGCGAUCUGAAAAAUUAAGGUCUAUAACUUGAUGCAACGAUGCUCCGGAUCCGUUCUCAUGAGUUUUGGACAUCACCUCGGCCCUCCAGGCGGAAAUGAAGUCGAAACGCCCGUUUCUUCAAUAUCUUCGCACCGGCUCGACGAAUCGCCGAACCGACUUCGCCAACGCGUUCGUAUACCUAGCAAUUAGAUUUAUAUAGGUUCAAUUUAGAUCAAAACCCAUCUAUAACAAAAGCCCCAAUUUGGAGCUCUAAUAGUGCACUAUGACAACAUACACUCUAAACCCAUUUAAAUCAAGCAUUAACAAGCAUGGUUUCAUCUAGAGAUUCCUCUAAAAUCAUUCCUAGGUCAAUUAAACCGAAUUCUAAGGUUCUACCAUUUCAAACCUAAUCUUUACAUAUGCUCCAAAUAACCCAAAUUUUAAGGAUUUAGCAUGCUAACAACACAGUAGAGAUCAUUAGAACCUCAUACAUAAAGGAUUUAAUUAAAAUCCCAAUUGCAACCCUAGAUUUCCAUUUCAUCAAGAGAGUCUCAUUAAUCAUGAUAAUCUUUUCAUUAAACUAGUUUAGAAUCAUAUAGAGUUUCCAUUUAUGCCAUUCUCAAAGAAUUUACACAAAACCCUAACCUUAAAUCCACAAAAUCUCACCUUGUUCUCCAAGCUUCCAAGCUAAAUCCACCAUUGGAGGGCUUGCUUUACCAUGGAGAGCUCCAACUUCAUCUCCAACAUCAUCUCCUCCAAAAUCCCGAAUUUGAGAGAGAAAUCAAGAGAGAGGAGAGAGAUAUCUCGAGAGAGAAAGGGAGACUUUCUCUCUCCCUCCAUGUGUGCGUGUGUGGGCUGGUGUAGUGCACGGUUGACGGAGAAGAAAAAGGCUAGCGCUGAUUUUACACAAAGCCCCCUCUACAAUAUACUAUUCACACUAGCAGUUUAGCAGUUUACAAACUGACGUUUUUCGCCGGAGCCCUUCUGAAUGUCCGUUUGCGCUCAAAUUUUACAGUCAGGCUCAGUUUUACUUUACUUAACAAAAAAAAUUUUAUCUUUCAAUUUCGACCCUGUUUGGUCGCCGAAAGCUCUACCGAACUGUAAUCUCUAGUAGAUAGCAGUCGGAUUUUAUUUUUCAUUUUUCGGGUGUCAGAAUGGCAUGAAACUUUAAAUUUAGCCACAUAAAAAUAAUUCUGACAUAUCCUCCAGUUUUCAUAAUUUUCUGACACUGUACAUUUUCUGCUAAAAUAUCAGCCCCGUCUCUUAUAGAAAAUUCUAAAUCUUCUGUUUCCGUUCCGAUUUCAGCACAGGUCAUUUCUGACUUAUAUUUUACUUCACUAAAUUGAAUAAAAAUAGUAUCUCACACUAUUUUUAAUUAUUUUUUACUUUUAUAUCAAAAUCCGGUAUGUUACAUUGUGAUUGAUCGGAUAGCUAAAUCGUAAUUAUUGAAUCGCUGGAGGACUUAAUUGUCAAUAUGUUGAUAAUUGAACUAAUUUAUAAUUGUUACAAAUUAGUGGUAUUAAAGUAUAAAUGUUACUAGAGAGAAUUUACUAAUAGUUAGUAAAUUAUGAGAGGACUUAUGUGCAAAUGUUGCAUUAUUAAUUCGAUAUGAUUAAAUUAAGAUAAAGUUCAAGUCGAAUCAAAUUAGGAUUUGAUCGGUCUAACCAAUUAAGGAAAGGAUAAAUUUAAAUCUAGAUUUGUACUUAUCCUUAAUGGUUAUUAUAUUAUUAAAAGAGGAUUAUAUCCCUAUAUAUAAUAUAUGAGAGUUUUUAGAAAACCCUAGCCGUCAUCUCUCUUCUUCUCUCUCUUCCAUCUUUUAGCAAAAAAGACGUCCUUUGCAAGGGAGCUAGCACUCUGGUGAGGACAUUGAUCAAAUCAAUAACCUCGUGUGGAUACCUAUAGAGGCCGGACGCGUGUGCGGCUUCAAGAGAACCCAAUUCUACGAUCAUCAAAUUGAGGUGAAGAUCUAUCCACGCAAAAGGUAAAGAUUCGAUCUUGCUUUUCUUCUUUAGUCAAAGAACAUGAGGGAUUCUAAUUAUGUGGUUUUUGAGAUUAGAUCUUGAGAGUUUUCAAAAUCAAAUUUGUUUGAUUUCUUUUUUCGCUGCAUUUUUACCGUACGCAAUUUUUUAACAGGUAUUUGACACAAACACACUUCAUGAAUAGGUGGUCUAUUGUCUCGAAUUCAAUAGCAUAGAGCACACAGUUUUGUUCCCCAAGCCAACCUUUUUUUUACAGAUUAUCAACAGCAAGUACUUUUUUUCUCAAUACAAGGCAAACGAAGUUCUUAACUUUCUCUGGUGUCUUCAGCUUCCAAAUUUGUGUAGGUGGUUCAGUCUAUAACUCCACCAUGCUUAAGAAAACUAUAAAGCGAUUUAACUAAGAACUGUUGUAAGUCCAUCUCCAUUUGGCCAAGUCCUAUCCAUCCUUCACAACUACAUCUAUGAGUAAUUCUUUCAUGUCAUCCAUCAUAUCUCUCUCUUUCUGGGAUGAGGGGCCAUAGUCUCUUAGAAUCAUAUCCCAUUUCCAUCCCCUUCUUGUAAAGCAAUCUUUCACCUAAUAGUUUUUGCAUCGAGUAUGGUUGUAAAUAGUAGGGAAGGAUGUUCGUAGCGAGCAAUCACCACACCAUAUAUUUGACCAAAAAUCAAUCCAUUUUCCAUCUCCUAACGUGAAUGUCAUCCCGUGGCCCGCAUUUAAAAAUAUCUCUCAUUUAUAGAACACCUUUCCACUAUUGUGAGUAUGGCUGAAAACUUGAUCUUUCUCUAGGAGGCUUUCUCCUUCUAUAAUAUAGUGCCCUAAUCAACUUGUUCCAUUUAAGUUUCGGUUUCGUAAAAAAUCUCCACCACCGUUUUGCUAGAAGAGCAAUAUUCAUCGUCGCAUGAUCUUUGAUCCCAAAACCACUGUCUUUUUUGCUCAUGCAAAGAGAUUUCCACUAGAUCAAGCAAAAGCGCCACUGACUGUUGUGUUGCCCUUCCAGAAGAAAACCCUUCUUAGUGCCUUAAUGCGACGUACAACCUAUUUUGGUACCUCUUGCACCCUAGAAUGGCAGCCAAUCUGAUCUUGUGCAUGCGGCGUCCAAAGUAAAAUAGUUCUAAUUUAUCCUUAUUGAUCUUCAAACCUGAGGCCCAUUCGAAGAUAUGCCAUAUAAAUUGAGGAUUCUUCAUAAAUCUUUUUUUUGCCUCAUAAAUAUAUAUCAUAUCAUCCGCAUAUUGAAUAAGAGUUACUUUACUAUCCGGCAUAGGUCCCAAUCCUCUAAUCAAGUUAUUUUUCUCUGCUAGUUCUGUCUCCUUGCUAGACUCCAAUCAUUAUGAGAAAGAGAAAGGGGAAGAGUGGGUCCCUUUAUUGUACUCCUUUUUUUUACUUUGAUCCACUGGGUUGGCUUUCCAUUCACUAAAAUCGCAACUUUUGCAUUGAUAGUACAUUGAUCGACCCAUCGGCACCAUUUGUGAUCCACUCCCAACCAAAUCAUAAUCUUUUAAGAAAUUGCCAAUUAACCUUGUCAUAAGCUUUCUCAAAAUCAACUUUCACCCUUGCUCCUUUCAUUGCUAAUUUGGUGCCCCACGUUACUAGCUCACUAGCCGUCACAAAUGAGUCAAGAAUUAUACGACCCUUUAUAAAUGCAGAUUAUGAAGGUGAAAAAUAUCCUUCAUUACCAUUUCCAAUCUAUUUGCAAGAACUUACGAUAUUAUCAUUUACACUCCAUUAAUAAGGCUAAUUGGCCGAAAAUCAUUAGCACUGUUAGCACCUUCUUUUCUAGGGACCAGACAAAUGUAGGAAAAAUCAAUAGCUCCCGCGUUUACUCGGCCUUCAUAGAGCUCCUGAAAGAUUUUCAAGAUAUCUUCCCGUAUAGUCUCCCAAAAAGUUUGGUAAAAUAAAUCAGGCCUAGGUGCCUUAUCUGCUCCCAAUUGAAAUAACCUCAACCCUAUAGUGCAUGAAUGCCAAUUAUAUAUAUACGUAUAUGCUCAACAAGGAGACAUAGACAUAAUGAAGGAUUCGAAGAUUUCGGAUAGCACCACCCACCUCGUAGGGAUGCCGAGAUGCGAGAAUCCAAGUCCCGCGAUUUUGGACACCUAUCUCUCUUGACCCAUGGCUAACGAAGGCAAAACGAAGCUUUCUCUCCAUAUCUUGCCGUAGACUCGUCGGAACGUCGAUCCGGGUCUUCCAAUGCAUCGGAUUUACCCUCAAUUAGGAUUACAUGAGAUCAAUUCCAUGCUAGAUCUCCAAUCCUACAAAAUUCCAAUUCCAUGUUUAGGGUUCACAUAACCUCAACCUACAUAUCAGGAAGUGGUGAAUCGUGCACUUAUUGUGGAGAAAGGUGCAGAGAUCACUAAAGAGGAAAGGGAAGCUUUUGAUCGAGAAAAAGAAAAAAGGCAAGCAGCCGAGGGUAGCAGUCAAACACACUCUAAGAGGCCGCUGAAGCAUCCGAGGAGCCAGUCGCGAGGGCGCGGUUCUACAAUGACUCGUGGAGCACCGGAUCGUCGGCGAGCACUGCGUUGUUUGAUCUGUGGUGUUCCUUACUUUCCACCGUAGUGUCCACAACGUGGGGGCAAGUGCUCCUCUGUGGCCAGGAGGGCCAUUUUUGUUCUGAGUGCCUGAGGGGUUUCUUUCCAACGCCGUCAUCUGCGUCAGCACCCGCGUCACCGGCUCCAAGUCAGGGACUCUAUCGACACACUACCAGAUUGGGCGGCCACCUGUUCAAUGUUAGUCUGAGACACUGCGCCAGGCACCAAGUGGGUGUAUGUAUGCCGCCUAGACUGAGGAGGCAGCAGCAGCAGAGAAGGUCGUUACAGGUAUCAUUUUAAUUAAUGACGUCAAAGUUCGUGCAUUAUUUGAUACCAGUGAAUCUCAUUCCUUUAUUGAUUGGCUAUUUGCCGAGUUACACAGCAUUGAGCUUGUAACACACUGAACUUUAGCAAAUUGCAAGGUUCGAGUGUUUGAUUGUGUUCUGAGCUUUUCCGAGUUUUUUGGAGGGUCGUUGACCGUGUUCUGACGUAUGACUCAUGUCCCGAUGAGCGAGGAUGAGAACUUAGCACCAAAAUCUCUAAAUUGCAGAUUUUGGGCUCCUCUCGGGUUGAGCUCUGCAGGGCAGAGUAUCGGUGCUGCAUCGGUCGAGUACCGGUACUAGACCUAGUACCAGUACGGCAUUGCAAGGAUAUCGGUACUCUGUGUGUUUGCUCGCUUACCCGAGGCUCGUGUUUGCACGUGCUGUUGCCUGGUACCGGUAUUCCAACCCGCGUACCGGUACGCAGUGCAGAUGCAGACUGCACGAUUGUUGAGGAAUUUUUUUGAAUUUGUAACAACUCUAUAUAUACCCCACGCCCCCUUUUGGGUUCCUUGAGCUUGGAACCAGUAAAGAGAAGGGUAAGGAGCCUCUCAUCUUCCCCUCUUUGAUUUUCUUUUCUUUUUGCUUGGAUUUUGGAUGAUUAAUCACCUCUUUUUGCUUCUCUUUGCAUGUUGGUGGUUCUCCCACCAUUGGAGAAGCCUUGGAGCUUGGAUUGAAGCUUUUUUGAGGAUAGAACUUCAACCCUAGCACCUUCCUAGCUAGGUUUGGAGCUUCAAGAGAGGUUAGUAACCUUGAUCUUCCCUUUAGAUCAUAUUUUUUGUUGAUUUUUGUGAUAAAAACUUAGAAUGAGAGAUCUAAAAUUUUAUUUGGGGAUUUUUUAUUUGUAGCUUUUGGGGUUUAAUUGAUGGGUGUAGAACUUUCUUUUAGGUGGGAUUAGAAAUAUUCUAGCUUCCAUUUGGAGUUUGGAAGGGUUCUAUACCAUUCAAGGUGAGUUUUGACCUCUUGUUGGGUUGGUUAAAGUUUAGCUCAUGGGUAUUCGUUCGUUGCCCCUAACCCUUUUAGAAUCUUUGUUAGGGAGCUAGGAGACUAGUGGUCAUCCUCGUUCGCGCAAUCGAAGGAGAUUCGAGGAGUUCUUUGUGGGUUUGACCUUAUCGAAAUGGGUGGACUCCUCCUAUGUUAUACUCUUUAUUGUAAAAUAGAAAAUCUUGCAUAUUCAUGCUAGAUAGAGCAUAUGUGAAUUGUAGAAUGCUUAAAAUGCAUAUGUUAUAUAUCAUGUUAUUUCACCUCUAUGUAGUAAAGAGAUAAGUACAUAGUAAUCAUGUAAGUGAAUGGCAUUCGUUUAUAUGGUUUGAAAUCAUAUUUCAUUUAGUAAAAAUGAUAAGUAUAACAUACUCUUGGACAUAGAACUCAUGCUUGACAUAGUGGACAUAAAUGUCAUAAAGUGGGAUUCAACUUAGUAAAUGGAUAAACUCUUACUUGAUGACAUAGUGACAGGCCAUUGGGACACUAGCCUUUAUACCAUAUUUUAGAUAUGAUGACAUUGCACUUGAGACGGAUGACUACGCUUGCUUGCUAUUGUGCUCAUUCGCACAUGCUUGUGAGGGUCGCUUCCCACAAGCCGGUACUCCGAAGAUAACUAACGCGACAUAAGCUCGCCCGUGCGGGAUUGGGCGCCGAAAUGGAAUGUCGUGGGGAAGGCUCAUUCCUAGAGUGGUAAUGUUGACUACUAUGGGGCCAUUAGGCACGGCGCAAACCGAACUACCCUUGCGUAGGUCCUAUAUGAUUGGAACAAUAUUGAAUUAAAAUGCAAUAUUGACAUUAGACUAAUUGUAAAUGUUGACAUUCUACUAGCUGUACUUGUGGACAUCAUGCUAAUUAUAUAUAUGUUCAUUCAUGUUAGAAUAGCACAUAUACUUGUGGAACUUCAUGCUAAGUAGAGGCAUAGUAGUUUAGUAAGUUUUACUUCAGGCUUAAUAUACAUGUUGUUCAUUUCAUUGACAUGUUAAAUUUCACUACUUAUGCCUCCAUAACCUAGUGGUGUAUUUCGCUGAUGUCUCUUACCCACUCGAAACUAUUGAUUAAUAGUUCUCACGCCCCCUGUUUUGUUAUUUUCGUUACAGAGCCUUCCACUCCGGGAGAGGCUAGGGAUCGCGGCAAGGGUGUCGCAUCUAGCUAGAUUGCAAGGAGUUUUUACUUAGGUGGCUCACCUCUCUAUUUUUGUAUUUAUUGUAGAGAGAGACUAUUGUACCAUAUGUGUAGAGACCACUAUUUUUGUAUAUUUUGUACCUUGUAUUUGGAUCUUGGGAUGUAUCUUCCUUAUGGUUUAUGUUCGUUGUUUAGUUCUUUUAUAUUUCCAUUUGUCAUUAGAAUUUAGUUGUAUUCUCGCUCUGAUAUCUCUAGAUGCUUAUUACUUUUGUUUUAUUUAUGGCUUUGUUGUAGACGUCUUAUAUGUUGUAGGCAUAUGGCGGGUCUGGACACGCACCGGGCGGGCUUCCACUGGGUCCCGGGGCGUGACAGAGUUGGUACCUACUUUGCAUUCUAGAUGAGUGAUUGUACCGAACCAUAUCUUGGACAUUCGAGAGUUCUGCCCUAACUGGCCUAUAUGGGUAGGGGAUUGGAUUAUGCCUCUUGAUUUGUUGGCAGUGCAUAAGCUUGGUGAGUUUGAUAUAGUGUUAGGUAUGGAUUGGCUUACGAGGUACUAUGCUACUAUCGAUUGCAAGAAUCGAACGGUGACCUUUCGGGAACCGGGACAGGAUGUGGUAGUAUUCAGAGGAUGCCAGAGCUCGCUAUUUGCGAUGACUAUAAGCUCUUCGCGAGCUAGAUAGCUGAUCAGGAGAGGUUGUGUAGCCUUCUUGGCUAGUAUUACUGCGAGGGAUGGAGAUAUCCCUAAGAUUGAUGAUAUCCCGGUGGUACGGAAGUUUGGUGAUGUGUUUCCAACGGAGUUGCCAGGUAUGCCAUCUGAUAGAAAAUUUGAGUUUGUGGUAGAUCUUGUUCCCAGACUACCCUAAUCUUAAAAGCACCCUAUAGGAUGGCGCUAGCUGAAUUGAAAGAGCUGAGGGCAGAGUUGCAGGAUCUAUUGGACAAGGGUUUCAUCUGUCACGCCCCGGGGCCGAUUUUAAAAGUCUUUUUAAAAUUCAUUACCAUGUUUGAAAUCAGAGUUGCGGAAAACGUGCCCUUUUUUUUUCAACUUAGCCCACGUGACGUAUAGAUCCGCCACAAAUACAAAGUUCCUCUGCCCACUCGAACAGAGUCUCCUUUGUAUUUGCUUGGCGUACCAACAGCUACAUCAGGAUCUCAACCACAGUCUAUGUAAUAUACUGAACUUCUAAUUCAUGAAGUUACAAUGUAUGUUAGCAUAGAAAGCCAUUGGAAUCAUUCCAGUGAGGUUCGGGAGCAUUCGGGUGCUUCGGUGCGCGUAGGCGCGAAAACGGAACCCAAAGGGCUAUGUCGGACCAUAGACUAAAUCCGGCAUUAGCGUUGAUGAAAAGAUGAUGAAAAUAUGUUUGAAAACAUAUUUGGAGAGUCUCGAUUCGAUUUGAAAAGAAUCGGAGACCAAACGAGCGAAAACGAGCGAAAACAGACGAAAAUUGGUGAAAAUGCUGAAAAUUUGGCUAAGUCCUUGAAGGCUGAUUUCUAGACCUUCGGGGACCGGUCUCUCAGCCAAGGACUGGUCUCUCAGGGACCGGUCCCUCAUCCAAGGACCGGUCCCCGAAGCCCGAAAAUGCCCAGUUCGGGCUGUUGCAAGAGAAGCAUAGUUGAGGGGUUUAUAUGCAAUUUUGGCAUGAGAAGAGUGUAUAGAAUGGGGAUUUGGGGCUUUUCUCUCUUCUCCCUCACCCUUUCAACUCUAAACCCUCUCUCUCUCUCUAGAAGAAGGGAAGAAAGAGAAAGAAGAGAAGAAGAAGGAGAAGAAGACAAGGUGGAGGAAAGUCAACCUUAUCAUAUUCUUCCUUGCAAUGGAGCAAGCUUCUUGAGGUAAGCUUCUUGGAGCUUUAAUGGUAGAUCUUUAGGGUUAGGUUCUUAUACUCUAAAGAUGAUUUUAGUGGAAUCCUAGGAUGCUAAAUAGAUGGUUAAUGCAUGAUUCAUGAAGUUAAAUGAUGGAUUUUGUUAUAAUAGCAUCUAGGGCUCCAAAAAAGGGGUUUUUGUAAAUAGUUGGGUUUGAUUUCAAUUGACCCUCUGUAAACCUAAUUGGGGAUCAAACGAACACGAUGGAACGCUCGGUUCGACAAUCCGACGAGUGUACGCAAAGUUAUUGAUGAAACGGUAUGUUUUGGUAUAGAUAGCCCAGCACGCGAGAUAGACGCCCAAAAAUCAUGAAAACGGAUCUGAAGCAUCGUGGUAACGGGGAAUAAACUCCAGAAUAGACGGAUCGCGGAUUGGUGACCGUUCGGGUGGUUGCGCGAGAGGACAAGCCAAACCAGAUCACGGGUGCCGCGGGAGGCGGAUUGCAAGUGACUACAAGCAAUCGGAACGAGUUAAGAGGUGGGUUGUGCUUACUGAAGCGACUAGGUCGCCUUCAUGCCAAAGUUUAGUGUGUUUCACUAUUGAUGCAUGAUAAGAAUGUUAAGUAUGAAUGCAUGAUAAGAAUGCUAAGUAAGAAUGCACCAUAAUGAUGCUAAUAAAUGCAUAUAAUGGCAUGAGCUAGAUGCUAAGUAAAUGCAUGUGAAGUAUGCUAAUGAAUUCAAGAGCUAAAUGCUAAAUGAGUAUGUAAGACAUACGCUAGAUAAAUGCAUAAGUUAAAUGCCAAGUAACAUGAGCUAGAUGCAUGUUUUAGAAAUGGAUGCAUGAUUGAAAUGCUAAUAAAGAAUGCAUGAGAUAUGUGCUAAGUAUGAAUGCAUGAGUUGUAAGCUAAAGUGUAAAUCGAUGAUCAUUUGAGAAGAACAUAAGUAUGUGCAUGAGAUGCUAAAGAAUAUAUGCAUAAUUCAUAUUAUGAGAAUAUGUUAGAAUAACAUGAAGGUUGAACUUGAGUCAAUGAACUCUAAGUAAAGUAAGGAACUCAAUAAAUGUGGCAUGUAAAGAAUGCUAAGUAUAAAUAACAAGAACAUGAGUGGCAUUAAACCUAGUGUUAUUGAACAUAGGUUACUCACGAGUGGCAUGUCAAGUAUAAUUCCUAGGUGUGGACAACUAGCAAAAUAAGAACAUGAGUGGCAUUGAACCUAGAGUCAAGUAAACCUAGGUUGUGAACAAAGUGACAUGGAAUCUAGGGUCAAAUGAACCUAGGUGGUAAAGAAUAUUGAACCUAGUGUUAAUGAACCUAGGCUAAAAAGAUAACGACGUUGAACCUAAUGUAUAAACUUAGGUUGAGUAAAGGCUUGGACCUAGAUAGGUCGAUACUAUAGGGUGAGACCAACUCUUGAGAGAUGUAAAGUGGAUUCCGGAAUCCCUGUUGCCAGAGCAGCGGCUGCUUGUGACGCACUGGACCUUUGCAAAUUGCGAGGUUCGAGUGUUUGAUCUAUGCGACGAGCCAUCUCAGACUUUCUGAAGGGUCGUAGACAGUGUUCCGACCCAUGGUUCGAGUCCCGAGAAUUGUGGUUUGAAGCGGUGUACCAAAAUCCAAAAAGUUGGAUUUUUGGUUAGCUCUCGGGUUGCCUUCAGCAGGCUGCGUACCGGUACGGGUUCGCUUGCUGUACCGGUACGUGAUCGAUUGCUGUACCGGUACGCGGUUGUGUACCGGUACACAGACCAAUUCCCAGCAAACCCGAGGCUCGGGUUUGGCUUUUCGUGGGUGGUGUACCGGUACACAAACCCGUGUACCGGUACACAGUGCAGAGCGGGCUGUUUUNAAAGAAUAAAGAAUAAAGAAGGGCUAAUACUAAAGAUUGGCAAGUAAUAAAGAAUAAAGAAAGGCAAAUGUUAAAGAAUAGCUAGUAAAAUAAAGAAUGACUAAGACUAAAGAAUGGAUAAGAAUAAAGUGUAGAAGCAAUUAAUCUACUUAUAUGAGUUGCAUAAUAUACAUGAUGCAUGUUGUGAGGCAAAAGCAUGGUAAUGUUAGUUGCAUGAUUUAUGAUUUCAUAUCUAUCUAUUGGACUAACAUGUUGUUUGCCACUUUUGGACCUGAUGGUCGAGCUCUUCCCUUGGGUGGCCGUACCCACUGGGAACCAUGGAGUUGGUUCUCACUUCACGUUGUUUUGGGGUGUUACAGGUUCACAUGUGAGCGGCGCGGCGGCGCGAGGCAAGGGCGUAGCUCCGUAGUUAGCGCCCUACCACUGAGAUCAGAUAGCAGCACCCUGAGUCGACUUCUUAGGGGUAUAAAAUCCAAAGAACCAAGAGUGUGAUAAUUGUAAGAACAAUGUUGUAAUAACUAUGUUAAAACUAAAUUGUAUUUGGAAGUAAGAAUCAAGGAAUUAAAUGUGAUGUAAUUUAAGAAUGCAAAAAUAUAAUAUGUGAGAUGAAUGCUUGUAAUAGUAAGUAGAUUUAUAUUUUUGAUACUUCCUUAUGCAAUUUUUGGUUGAAAUGUGUUCCUGGUUGGAACUUCGUACAUUGUAUUGAUUGCGACGCCUUGAACGUACAGGAGAAAUCCUGUCCGUUCGGCGGUCUGUUGGCGUACCCGAAUCCGACCAAAGAGGCGGGCUCGGGGCGUGAUAAUCUACAUAAAAGGUACUGGACCUCUAAAAUAAUGAAGUUACGGUUUAUGUUUGUUUGGAAAGCCAUUGGAAUUGUUCCGGUGAAGUUCGGAAGCAUUCGGGCGUUUCAGGAGCGCGUAGGCGCGAAAACGGGACCCGAAAGGCUAUGUUGGACCGAGAGCUAAAUCCGGCUUCAGCGUGGAUGAAAAGAUGAUGAAAACAAGCUCGAAAACAUGUUUGGAGAGUCUUGGUUUGAUUUGAAAAGAAUCGGAGACCAAACGAGCGAAAACGAGCGAAAACGGGAGAAAAACGAAAAAGGCUGAAAUUUGGUUAAGUCUGGAAUUCUGGACCUAUGGGGACGGUUCCCUCGGCCAGGGACAGGUCCCUCAGGGACCGGUCCCUCAUGCAAGGACCGGUCCCCGUAGCUUGAAAAUGCCCAGUUCGGGCUGUUGCAAUAGAGGCAUUGUUGAGGAGUUUUUAUGCAAAAAUGGCAUAUAAAGGGUUAAGUAAGGGGUCUCUCUCUUUUUUCUCCCACUCUCCCUCAACCUAAAACCUAAAACACUCUCUCUCUCUCUCUCUAAAACUCUCUUGCUCUCUCUCUUGGAGGUGGGAAGAAGGAAGAAGGAGAAGGUGGAGAAGGAGGCUAGGAGAAAGAGCUUCAUCUCCAUUAUCUCCAUCAUCUUCUUCCUCGCUUUGGAGCAAGCGUGUUGAGGUAAUUAAGCUUCUAGGGCUUUAAUGAUGAUUUCUUAGGGUUUGGUUUAUGCACUAUAAGAGUUGUUUAGAGAGAAUCCUAGGAUGUUAAAUAGAUGAAUAUUGCUUGAAUUGAGACCUAGUUUGGGUAUUCUUGCAAUGGUUAACAUCUAGGGCUCCGAAAGGAGGUUUUUGUAAAUAGUUGGGUUUGAUUUCAAUUGACCCUCUGUAAAUCUAAUUGCUAGGUAAACGAACGCGUUGGUGAAGUCGGUUCGACGAUUUGUCGAGCCAUUGUAAAGAUAUUGAAGAAACUGACGAUUUAGCUUCGUUUCCGCCUGGAGGGCCGAGGCGACGUCCAAAAAUCAUGAAAGCGGAUUUGGAGCACCAAACCGUAGACCUAUAAUUUUUGGAGCCGCGAUUCGGCGCACGGUUGGUGCGCAACUGCAAGAUCGGGCCAAACCGGGUGCCGGGUGCUGCGGGAGGCCGUUUGCAAGUGUCGACAAGCAAUCGGAGAGCAAAUCGAGGUGGGUUGUGCUCACCAAAGCGACUAGGUCACCUAUAUGUCUAAGAGUAAUGUUUAAUAUUGAUGCAUACAUCUGUAGCGGUAGGUUGCAUGAGAUGAUAUAGAUGCCUGAAUCUUAUUAUGCUUGAUGUUUAAUGCCUACCAAUGAGAUAGGUAUGUUAAUGCAUGAUGAGCAUGUUAUAGAGAUGCUAGAUGAAUGCAUGAUUACAUGAUGCUAAGAGGAGCAUAAUAACAUAAUGACUAAUAAUGAAUGCAUGUUGGCAUUGAGAUGAAUGCAUGAUUACACGAUGCUAGGGGAAUGCAUGAUGACACGUUGCAUAUACUAGAUGAUGAUGACCUAUCACGAGAUGCUAGUUGCAUUGUAGGAUAUAUGUCCAUUGCCCUUUCUUAUGCUUUCUAAUAUAUAUCAUAGUGUGAGUUGAAUACUUAAUAUGUGGAUAGAUAAGGAUUGGAUCUUGACGUUGAAUCCUAUAGUGCCAAAAGUAAGAUGAACUCGAGGUUAUUUAGUGACAUAGAGAGUGGCAUCUAAAUGUUUAAAGAACAGAACGAGUGGCACCAAUGUAGUGUAUAUGACACUAGUGGAAUGUGAACAUAGGGAUAGAUGGAUUCCCUAGUAAAUGACUCGUAAACAAAGAACUUUGUAUAGCUAAGCACAUAUGCAUGAUUGUCGGAAUAGGUGAGUUCCGAAAGAGUUGUUGGCCCUUGUUCGUAGGGUGUCCUCAAGUGGAGAGGAUAGAUCAAGCUUACGGUCUGUUAUUGGGGUGGUAUAGCCAUCCGGGGUGGUAUAGCCAUCCAAAUUGUCAUCGAGUACUCCGGAGUGUCGGGUGACUAGGACAGAGUUGAUGUCCGCAGACAAUCCCGGGUUUGAGAGCGAGUUGAGUCUCCUUACCCUACGGGAUGAUGAUGUGAGUUGAGGGCAAACCUUCGGGUUAGCUAAUGGAUUGGGUGACAAACAUAUGAGUUGUAGUUGCAUCCUAGUUGAGUGGAUUUAAGGCUGAGGUGCAAGCGAGACGUCCUUCACCUUGAGCCUGGCUUUGUGCGGUAUUCCGCGGAUGAUUGACUCAAGACCGAGUCGGGUGGAUAGCUUGUAAAGGCAGGUUAAACCUUAUGAGCAGAACUGUAAUUGACAUGAAUCUAAGAUAAAGAAAAACUUAGAAGUCAAUUGGAUGAGCUAUGUAUAGCAGGAUUGAAAGUAGUGUCGAUUGAAUUACUAGUUGGUUGCACGGUUGCAUAAACUGCAUGAAUUUCAUAUUACAUGUUGCGAGGCAUGUUAUCUGUUAGUUGCAUAAUUACAUGACGAUAUAUAUCUGUAGAGAUUUUUGGACUAACAUGAUUGCAGGGCCUCCUUGGACCUAUUGGUCGAGCUUUUCCCUUGGGUGGCCAUAUCCACUGGGAACCAUGGAGUUGGUUCUCACCCUACGUUGUUUUGGGGUGUUAUAGGUUCGCACGUGAGCGGCGCGGCGGCGGCGCGAGGAAAGGGCGUAGCUCCAUAGAUAGCGCCCUACCCCAGAGACCAGAGAUAGUGGUACCCCAAGUCGACAUAGCCUAGGGGUAGAGGAAACGGACAAAGAACAAACUUAUAAUAAUCUUGCGAUCAUUGAUUUUAUGUGCAAGUAAAGGUAAUGAAAAUGUAAUGUAAUAAUGCAAUUGUGAUGUAAAAAUGAAUCUAAUGGGAAUCCUUGUAAUAACAUAGGAUGUGUUAUGUUGUUUUAUACCUUCCUUAUGCAAUCAUUGUAUGAAUAUUGUUCCUGUUUGGAACCUCUUGUAUUGUACUAAUUGCGACGCCUAGGACGUACAGGGGAGACUCUAUCCGUUUGGCGGUCUGUCGGCGUGCCCGAACCUGACCAAAUAGGCGGGGCUCAGGACGUAACACUACAUUUACCAAUCAACAAUCAUCAUGCCAUGCAUUUCCAUACAGCUAGCAAUCCUUGGAGAUGAUGCAUGCCUCUAAGCACUCCUUAGGCGCUGGAUGAUGCAAUGCACAAUACAACAGUCAUCCUAUUAAAAGUGCUCCCCACCCGGAAGCUUUGCUUUUAAAACUCUAAUUCAAACAUUUACGAAAACCAAUUCGAAAACCUUUUGAAAACUGUUUUCUACACGGAAACUCUAUUUUGAAAAUCGGCUACCUCGAGGGGUAGAAAACCACAAUGUAUAAAUCCGUAAAUAUAUAAAUCGAGAAUCAACUAUCCAUAAAACCAAAACCAAGAAUCCGCAAAUCUCUAAUCUCAGAUCCACAAUCUAAUGCAUAGGAGGAAAACCAACUCAUUCAAACAUUCAAACAUCAGUAAUGAUCAUCUAACUGAACCAUUUAUUAUUAACAACUACUAAGAGCAAGAAUGAAAUAUAACCAGGGUGACGGUCGCUACUGCCAACUAGCUAGAUCGUCCUCCCGUCAAGCCCAAAAACUAACUCCUCGUCCAAGUCACCUGGGGGGGAAUGGGGGGUGAGAAACCGCAACCAUGGUUUCCCAGUGGGUACGACAGAACCACGAAGGCAAGCCGUAAUCACCGAAAACCAAAAGAGAUAAAUAAACAAGUAUAGAUGCUAAUAUACGAAAACGAACUACAGUAGCUAUAACAGAUAUGAACAUGAUAUGAUAUAAGAACAACUACAGUAGUAAUAGAAACAGGAUAAUAACUGAGCAAGAACGAAACUACUACUGUAAUAAAACUCAACUGAACGGAUGCCUCAAGGGUAAAUAGUCCAAAAUCAAACCCAAUCUGAUGCUGCUAUAUUGGUCCACAGACCUCAAGCGUUGCCUGUCACAUAACAGACACUGUCAACUUAUUCAUGCGUCACCGACGACCUAUCCGGAUACGUACACCCCUUGGUUGGUGGCCAAACCAACCUGGUGUCUAGAAUACACAGUGUUGUGACUAAAUUAUGCUGGUAUGCUCAAACAAAAACCGACAAAAGAGACCGGUGCCUUGGCCGAAGCCAGGUGCAAGGGCGUACAACGCCGAACCACGAUCAACUAGAUCGAAACACACGACAAAAGAGUCGAUGUGUUGUCUGGACCCAAGGUCCACAGAGAUACAAUAUAUAUGCAACCUGCUCUACAUGUCUAUAUACAACUAACCACAUGUAAUCAAUAAGGUAAAGAUAACGAACGGUAAGCAAAGGUACAUGACAUGUAGAGACUACAAUACUGAUAUGAAAGAACAGAGGAAAGGUGAAACGAUCUCACCAACUACAAGCUCGAAGCACCCACCUGUCACUGUCGCGUCGGAACACUUGGUACGCACAGAGUCUAUCGGACCUAAGGAGAUCCACCAGGUCAGUAUCCAAACCACUAACCGAAAGCACGAUACUCACAAACCCCCACACAAGAUCCCUGUAAUCGGUUUCCCAAAAUCGAUCACCGUAACUCACCGAAAGUCCCGAAAACCACACUGGGACGCUGUCGGGACCAACUAAGUGUCCCGAAACUCACCGACUCAUACCACGAGUCACCCGCUGCCACAAAACACACUAAUUUGAAUGUCUUGGCAGCAAACACAAGGUAACACAACCCAACAAUUAUCGUCGGAUAAUUGUUCGGAUCCGGGUUCCCGGAAGUGUCUAUUUCGACUCCGGAACCCACCGUCGCUCACCCGUCAUCACCGAACCCACAAUAUGAUGAUGGUGACCAGCCAAGAAGGCUCAACAACAAUUUACAGGACAACCAAACCACGUCGGAUGAAAUCCAAACUGAAAUCGCGUUCUUUCGGCGAAUUUCGCCGAAAAACACAACGAAAUCGACUCUUCGAUUUCAGCAAAAGCUAACGGAUUAUGGACAAUCAGUCCAGAGGUCACCACACACGCCUACACACUACCCACAGUAGCCACAAGGUGCACAAUUGCACAAAAGCCCGUGUGUUUACAUAAAAUCCCAAUAUUUUAUGUAAAUCGGGCAAUAACAUGGUUCGUUCAUUCCAACCGAGGACUUUCGAGGUCCACCGAGACACGUACCGACAGGUCUCGAUGUGCCGGAGGCCAUGCUCCUGGUCCGGAGCACAUCGGUUCACUGUGGGAGGCGUGGGAGCAACCCGAAAAUUCUGCGAAUAGAGCGCAGUCGGGGAAAAUCGCGCCGAAUAGCACUAACCGGACUCUGUUAAUCCAAAGUGAGGUGAGCACUGUGAUCAGCACUGACCAACGAUCACCGUGCUCACCUCCGGAAGCAUCAGGACAGCCUCGGAUCGUCGAAAAAGUGCGCGCAAACCCACAACGACAGUCAAAAAGGCCCAAAGGGAGCGACACUACCGAAACAGCGAAACGGAGCUUUUCCGACAGAAACUAAGGUGAACACGAUGAUCAAAAGUUUGCCACGAUCAUCGUGCUCCCUUCCGUGGAGAUCGAGGAGCCUCGUAUAGCUCGGAACAACAAGCCGCAAAGAACCCUAUUUCAGGCUUGGCCGGAGCAAGCUUGCUUCGGCCGGCUUCCGGCGGCACGGCGAGGCACGCGCGGGCCAGGGAUGGGUGCGGGGGAGCUGAGGAGUAUGGUGCUCACCUUGGAUGGUAGCGGAGAGCGGCGGCGGCGACGGCGGAGCAAACCAAACCCGGACUAGCUAGGGCUUGGGUUCCAGGGAAACUGCGGCCACGGCGGUGGCCGGAGCACCUCGGGGACUACGUCGGGGAGUUGCUGGAGGCCGGAGGGUGCCUCGGGUGCGACCUCGAGCUGCGGCGGCGCAAGGAAGGAGCCGCGGAGUCAGCUCGGCCCGAGCAGACUGGGGCGGCCGAGGGCUGGCCGAGGCGGCGGCGGCGUCUCGCUUGGGUGGCGGCGGCCGGCCGCCUGAGGUCGGGGAGGUGCUACAGGAGUGGCCCAAUGUGGCGGCAACGCGAGGGGAAGGUUGCGAGCUGACCUCGUCCUGGGCUCGGGCUGGGUGGCUGCAGAACCUUGUAGCGGCAGCGGCAGCGCGGAGGAGGCGGCGGCGGUCGGCGUGGAGACUUGCCGGGGCACGGGGCGACGCCGGCGAAGGGCCUGGAGGCAAAGCAGCCUCGGCCUGGCUCUAACCCGAGAGAAAAAGAGAGAGGAAGAUGGCAAGGCUGCGGCUGCCUUGCCAUCUGCGGCAGCAGCGGUUGCUGCACGCGCGGUCUCGGUCGGCGGCGGCCGGCGAGUGCGCGGCAUGGCAGGGGAGAGGGAAGAAGGCGGCUAGGUCAACUGGUUCAUCUAGGGUUAGGGUUAGGGAGAGGUGAACCUUAUCCUUCUUGAGGGUGUAGAUGUCCUCAAACAACGCCUCCAUCGUGGCCAACCACGACUCCACCAACCACGGAUCCUUCACGUCUCCAUUAAAGGGUGGUGGGUUGAAUCGCUUGAAUGUCGUCAACGCAGCAAACGAUCGCUCCUGCUCGAAGCCGAUGAACUCGAUGCCGUCGGAGGAAUAGUCGUCACCGGUGCUGCCGCCACCGCAGGAGGUGGUGCUAUAAGUGCAACAGGUGCAGGCGGAUCCCUCGGCACAGAUGACGCUGCCGCCGCCUGUCGCGCCAUCAUCGCAUGGAGCUGUCCAAUUUGCUCCCCCUGAAGCCGCAUAGCCCCGGCCAAAGCCGCGACUUGGGCUCGCAGCUCGCGCACUUCAUCCGAUCUUUCCUGCUCGGGCACUUCAUCAGGCAAUGCCGAAGCGGCUCUACGCGUGUAGCGUCUCGGGGACAUUGUUCCUAAAACGUAACACACGCAUUAAUACUCGACACAUGUGACUCUUACAUGUUCCAAAUAACUACCCAAUUAAGCAAAAGCAAUCAAGUGUAUUUAUUUCUAACCCUUGGCAUCAUGUGGUCGGCCGCCCCACAAGACCUCUUAAGAAGAAAACAAUUAGGCACUUGAAUUCAUCUCUAGUUCCUUUUAGACAAGUACAAAUGUCAACCCAAUCAACUAGCUUCCGCAAUUACCAAGUCCACUUAAACGUUUCCUAAGUCCCUAAGGUCUCCAAACCUAAGGUUCCUAAGUCCAUCCUAGACUUUUGCUUUCUUCCAUCGCUGUGAUACCAUUAUAUCUGUCACGCCCUAAUCCCCGCCAAUUUGGUCAGGUUCGGGUCACGUCAAUAGACGCCGAACGGACAGCAUCUCCCCUGUCCGCCCAAGGCUCUAACCACAAGUAUAAUUAAGCAAUCAACCAAAAUAAUUUACAAUUAUACAAGGCUUGCGCGAGGGUAAGGAAUAACGGAAGCGAAAGCUCUAAGCUAAUAUAUACAACCAUACAUGAUAUUUGAUUAAAUUUAAACUAAAUACAAGUGAACUAAAACUAUUACAUUCUUUUCCUUUUCAUUCAUAAUUUCUUUUACAUCUUAAUCAUUCUCCAAAAUACAUGAAUUGUUUCAACUUUUACAUCUAUAAAUCAACAAAAGAAAGUUGAUACAUGUAGACAAAAGGGAAUGACUAAAUGCAUAAACUUUGGCGGCCACUAGCUAUGGCGCAAUACCCUUGCCUCGGUCAUCCGCCGCCCCCUUGCGCUCGGACCUGUAGGGCUAGUGGUGUGAGAACUACAAUAAAGUUCCCAGUGGGUUCGGCAACCGACCUCGCCGACUUACCCCCUAGGUCUAUUCAGGUAUAAGUAUUUCAAAGGAAAGAUGAUAGUAACCAUACUAAUGCUAAUACUAUGCUUGCAAGAAAUCUGUCAGUGGAUAUAUAUAAUCGAAGCAAUAUUAAAUAUGCAUGCAUGUUUUUCCAUGAUUUCACUUUGGCUUUUACCCAAUCUUACCGGUUAAUCUUGUUAACCGCAAUAACUCACAACACAAAUCCCUUUUUGAUUUGGGAGGCUCUAAGCACUACAAGACCCGAGGGACCGUCUUCGGGGACCGCGCUCCCCGUGGUGACAAUUCCGGAACGCAUCGCUUGAGGGGGAGCUGGGAGCUACCACCCUCAAGCCAAGACUUAUCGCGAGUAUCGAUCCAAUUCCCACUUAGGGAAUGUAUAGCCACUAGCCACAAUGCCAUUAUCAUAAUAGGUUUUUACCUAUUUAUUCAUACCACUCUCUAGGUCAUUCUUACCACAAUGCCUCAAUUGGUUAAACUAUGUUUAACAAUUCAUCUCUCAAUGCCAAUCAUGUCUCUAGUGUCAAUGUCACCAUUAUUUAAUAUUGUCCAAGUCCAAGUCUCACAUUCAUACAAGUUUAGGGUCUCAACAUACAUGUCCAUUAUGAUUCUAUCAUUCUCUAUGUCCAACUACAUUAGAAGCAUUCAAAUGAUGUCUAAUCAAAUUCACAUGUAAAAUUACCCUACAUGCAUGAAUGAAUUUAUAUACAAGUAUGCUCAAUAAAGGUGAAAAUAGACAUAAAGGAGAAUCUGAUGAUUCCGGCGGGCAGCCCCCACCUUGAGUUGUAGUAGAUGAAGAAUACGAUGACUUCCGAACUUUACGAACGCCGAAUCCGCAUCCUAUAACUAAAAUAGUGCCAAAUUAGGCCCUAUAUACACAAACUAUACUUAGACAUUUUCGUAAUGUCGAAUGGAGUUGUCCAACGCGUCGGGAAUACCCCCAAUUAGGUUUCCAAGAGAUCAAUUUGCCUCGAAAAAAUUUUAGGACAAAAAUUUCAAUUUGGGUGCCCUGACAAUGCCAUAUUCGAAUUUUUCCUAGAUUGAUCUCAACUCUAAGCAAAUACUAGCUUAGAAUCACCUAGGAAGCAUUCUAAUAAGGUUUCCAAUCCUUUAGAACCAUCCCUAGGGCAUCUACCAUGAACCCUAGAAGUUCACCAUGAGAGCUCCUCAAGAAAACCAUGUAUUUCAUGGAUUCAAGGUCUCUAGGGGUUUCCUCACUUGUAGAGAGAUCAAAAUCCAAAAAUCUAAGGUUUAAACCCAAACCCUAGACUCAUAUUUGCAUAAGGACUCACCUUUGCCGAAGCUCCUCCAAAGCCUUCUUGUUGGAGAGCUUCUAGGUCCACCAAAACCCUAAAACUCCACCUUCUCCAAGCUCUUCCCCACCUUUCUCAAGCUCUAGGGCUUGCUUCUAGAGAGAGAAAAAGAGAAAAUGUGAGGGGGGAGUGUGAAUGGCUGUGGGAGAGAAGGAGAGAGGGUGUAGGGCCUAUAACAUGUUGUAACAAUUGCAACAUGGCCCUCCCAGUUUUCAUUCAGUGCACUGCCCAGCUUGGGCAAUUUUCGUGCAGAGAGACCGGUCCCCCGACGAGGGAUCGGUCCCCGAGAGCCUUCAGCCUGGUUACGCGUUCGGGAACCGGUCCCUCUGGCCGGGGGACCGGUUGCAUCACGCGUACGCCGCAACCUUCAGCUAGAGCAAUUCAGCACAAAAUGGGCAGUUGCCCAUUUUUCACGCGUACAGGGACCGGUCCUUCAACUCAGGGACCGGUCCCCGAGAGCACAAAGGCUGCAGUCUUACAGACUUGCUCCAGCUUGCUCUUGAAGACCUCUUAUAAUGCACUUUUGCUCUUUUUGAUGCCUUCGGCCUUUUCGAAGUGUACAAACCUCGCACUUUGGUCAUUUUGACUAAAGUUCGAUAUUCACUUACCGAUAUUUCGGUAUGUUACAAAUAUAGCCCACAUGCUCUGGUUUUCCAAUGUAAACUUCUUUAAUCAACUUAGAGUUAUCGACCCAUAUUCAACUUAUAUGAAUUAAGCAUUCAUUUAGCAUUCUCUACAACAUGUCAUUAUGCAUUCCAUCUAGCAUGUUCUACAACAUGUCAUUAUGCAUUCCAUGCCCUUUAUCAUAUGCAUUCAACUAGCAUCAAUCACAUGCAUUUAUCUAGCAUUUCUAUAAUAUGUUAACAUGCAUUCUUUGGUAGCCUAACAUAGCAUUCACCUCAUGCAUACAUAUGUUUUACCACUAGCUACCAUUAUAUGCAUCAAUAGUAAACAUCACUUCGCUUCGACAUGGAAGCGAGCUAAACAUUCCGAUGAGCACAACCCACCUCAAAUCGCUUUCCGACUGCUUGUAGUUACUUGCAAUCGGCCUCCCGCGGCACUUGUUGUCCGGUUCGGUCCGAUCUUGCUAAUAAUCACCAACCGUGCGUCAAUUCGUGGCCUCGACUUUUAAGGGUCUAAAACUUGAUGCCGCGAUGCUACGAAUUCGAUUUCGUGAUUUUUGGAUGUCGCUUCGACCCUCCAGGCGGAAACGAAGCUCAAACGGUCCUUUUUCCAAAUAUCUUUAUGUAGACUUGUCGGAUCGUCGAACAGAGCCCACCAACGCGUCGGAAAUAUCUUCAAUUAGGUUUACAUAGGGUUAAUUUACAUUUAAACCCACCCAUGACAAAUGCCCCAAUUUGGAUGCCCCCUAACAAUGCCAUUUGCCUAAUACACCACUUUGAUCUCUAAAACAAGCAAAAGAGAGCUUGUUCAACCUCUAGGAACUCAUUUAGAACUAUUUAAACCAUUCUUAGGGCGUUUGAAACAAACCCUAGAAAUCCACCAUAGGAGCACUAUGAAGAAACAUGAGUUUUCAUGUGUUCUAUUGCCUCUACAAGGUUUCUUCACUUGUAAGAAGAUCAAAACCAAAGAUAUAGGGCAUAAAACCAAACCCUAACAUCGUUGUUACAAGAAACCUUACCUUAGCUCCAAGCACUCCAAGGUCCACCUUGUAGGAGAGCUUCUAAGCCCUUCAAAAGCUCCAAUCUCCACUUGAUCUCCUUCAAAUCCACCUCUAAUCCACCUUAGUAGAGAGCUUCUAGAGAGAGAGAGGGAGAGAAAUGAGAAAAGAGGGGUGUUCUCAGCUGGGAACAAGAGAAAAGAGGGGUUGGGGUCUUAUAUAGGCUGUUACAAUAGCAAAUAAGCCCUCCUUUUUAUAUUUACAGCAGACCAACUAGCUAUUUUCGCAGCACUGCGUAUCGAUACGCAGGAUUCUGUCACCGGUUUAACAGCCUUUUUUACUCAAACCCGAGAGCAGCUGUUCUCGGUCUGCUGUCUGGUACCGGUACUAACCAGGGGUGUCAACGGUUUAACAGCCUUUUUUAGACUCAGCCAAAUUUUCAGCUUUUCUCCGUUUUCCCUCGUUUUCGCUCGUUAGGCCUCCGAUUCAUCUCAAAUCGCACCGAGACCCCCAAAAAACAUUUUCGAGCGUGUUUCAACCAUCUUUUUAUCCACACUUAUGCCGGAUUUAGUCCAUGGUCCAACAUAGCCUUUCGGGUUCCGUUUUCGCGCUCAACGCACACUAAAACACCCGAAUGCUCCCGAACCUCAAUCUCGCAUUGUUUCGACUCUAAUUCACGCCGAGCAAUGCUAAAACCUUUCCAACUCCAUUGGAACUCAACAUUAACCCUUCCAACAUUGUUGGAAUGUUAAAUGAACUCGACCUAAGUCUAAUAACCUUAGGUCCAAUGCCACUAUACUCAUAGCCUAGGUUCAUUUGACUCUAAGUUCAAUGCCACUCAUGUCAUAACUUAGAUUUACUUGACUCUAGGUUCAAUUCUCAACCUAUGUUCAAUAACACUAGGUUUCAAUGCCACUCAUGAUACUUGUCAUCCUAGUUAUUCACACUUAGGAUUCUUUACAUGCCACACUUGUCGAGUUCUUGACUGUACUUAGAGUUCGUCGUCUCAAGUUCAACAUUCAUGUCAUUCUAGCAUAAUCUCGCAAUAUGAAUCAUGCAUAUAUUCUUUAGCAUCUCAUGCACAUGCAUAUGCAUUCAUAAUUAGCGUCUUAAUCUCAUACAUUCAUUUAGCAUUUAGCUCUUGCAUUCGUUUAGCACCUAAGUUAGGUACUCGUUUAGCAUCUAGCUCAUACUUCCACUUAGCAUAUAUCUUAUGUAUUCUUUAUUAGCAUCUCAAUCAUGCAUUUACAGAACAUCUAGUUCAUGCAUCUAGCUCAUGUAUUUAUUUAGCAUACAUCUUAUACAUGCAUCUAGUAUUUAACUCAUGCACUUAGCAAAUACUCUAUGCAUUCAUUUAGAUUCUAGCUCAUGUAUCCACUUAGCAUGUACCUCAUGUGUUCACCACUAGUAUCUAUCUCAUGCAUUCUUGAUUAACCUCUACAUCAUGCAUUCAUAUAGUAUCUCAUGGUAGGUAACAACAUCAAGCAUAAUAUGAUCUAGGCAUUCAUAUUAUCAAGUACAACCUACCAACUAUACAUGCAUCAACAACACUCAUACUUUACUUUGGCUUGGAAGUGACCUAAUCACUUCGGUGAAGCACAACUCACCUCGUAUGGUUACUACAGUGCCACGGUUCAAGUUUCGUGAUUUUUAGUCGCCUAUUCUCUCGCCUGCGGCAAAACGAAACCAAAUUAGGUUUUUUUCCUCAUAUCUUUGCGUAGACUCAUCGGAUUGGCGAACCGACUCUUCCAACGAGUUAGAAAUACCCCUAAUUUGAUUUCUACAAGGUCAAUUUACCUUGAAACCAACCUAGGGCAAAAGUCCCAAUUUUGAUGCCCUAACAAUGCCAUUUGCCCAAUACACCAUUUUGAUAUCUAAGACAAGCGAAAACAAGCUUAAUCAUCAUCUAGAAACUCAUCUAGAACCAUUUAAACCAUUCUUAGGGCAUUUAAAGCAAAUCCUAGGAUUCUACCAUGAGAGCAUAUAGACAACCAUGAAUUUUCAUGAGUUUCAUGGUCUCUAGUAGGUUUCCUCUCAUGUAAGAAGAUCAAAACCAAGUGUUCUAGGGUAUAAAACCAAACUCUAGCCUAGUUCUUACAAGAAACCUCACCUUAGCCCAAAAGCUCACCAAGCUACACCUUAUAGGAGAGCUUUAGAUCCUCUAAAAGCUCAAAAAUCUCCUUUUUAUCUCCUCCAAUCUCCUCCUUUCACCUUUGGGAAGAGCUCCUAGAGAGAGAGAGGGAGAGAAAUGAGAGAGGAGGGGGUGUUUUUGGCUGUGAGUGAGAGCGGAGGGGUGUGGGAUCUUAUAUAGGUUGCCACAAUUGCAAAUAAGCCUUCCACUUUCUUUUAUUUGCAACAAACCAGACCUGCUGUUUCGCAGCACUGCGUACCGGUACGCGGGUGGGCAUCAUCGGUACUCCCCCUGUUCAACAGCCUAACCCGAGAGCUGAUGUUUCUCGGGUUGCUGUAGGGUACCGGUACUACCAAGGACAGUCACCAAUUAACCAGCUUGGCAGAGGCCAAACCCGAGAGCUGGCUUCUCGGGUGGCCUGCCUGGUACGGGUACUCCCCUGGUGCUUCACCGGUUAAGCAGUGCCCAGACUGCAGUUUGGCAGUGUUUCGACUUCGUUUCACGCCGAGCAAUGCUAAAACCCUUCAAACUCACUUGGAACUCAACUUUAAUCCUUCCAAUAUUGUUGGAAUGUCAAAUGGACUUUGUCCAACUAUUUCUCUCGCAUAUUUUGGUCAAUUUGACUAAAGAUCGACAUAGCUUACCGAGAUUUCGGUAUAUUACAUAUAGCAUUUCAAAAUAUCAUCUAUUCAUGCCAAAUCGCUCAAAUUGAACCCAAAAAAUUCUAAUUAACCUCAAAAUAUUGCUAAUUUUUGCCAAAUCACUCAAAUCUAUAUAAAAAAAUUGUUAUAUUUGAAAAAAAUACUCACGGAUGGGAUCGGUGGCAUGGAGAUUACAAAAGCGAUAUGUGUAGAGGAGGAUCAGCGCGAGAAUAUUAAAAUAGAAUUAAUCUUGUAAUGAUUGAUACUGUAAGCCUAAAUUUAAAAUCUAAUUAUUUUACAUAUUAGGUAAAUAUAUUUUAAAAUUUCAUAAAAAAUUUAACAAAAUGAAAGAAUGAAACGGUAGCUACGAAUAAUUGGUCUAGUAAUCAAUUAUGAUUAUAAUUAUCAUUAAUUGAUGAAACGUUAAUAUACAAAUAAUUGAUGAAAUAUUAAUAAAUCAUAUACUAUACGGCCAAGAACGUAUAGUUGGGGAGGAGAGGGGAGGGGAAGGGAUGGGGGAGAGAGAGUUAUUAUAAAAAGAAAAAAUAGAAUUAAUAGAUGAAACGUUAUAAUUAAUAGAUGAAACGUUAAUAUAGAAUUAAUUGAUGAAAUAUUAAAGAAUUAUAUAGGAGAGGGGUUAAUAGAUUAUUAUAUUAUAUUAUAUAUUAUUAUUAUGAGGAUGAAGGGUUUCUUGCCACGUUGCAAGAAAUAUUGUGGCUUCAUUUAGGUUAAUAGAUAAUAAAUAAUAAAUAAUAGAAGUAAUAGAUUAUUAGAUAAUAGAUGGAUUACUCUUUAGUGUAAUUAAUAUAUAGGUAUCUCCCCUAUAUGCUUUCACUGGAAUAAAAAGGAAAAAAACACACCAUUAGAUUCUAGGAACUUAAAUUUCUCAUGAAUGGCAUUAAAUAUUCAACAUAAUAAUAGUUCAAUAUUUCGAUGAAGAUGUGUAAAUGUGAUUUAGGCUAGACCUAGCUACUUAUAAGCUGAGGUGAGAAAAUUUACAAUCCCUGGGACACGUGUAAAGGAACGAAAAUGAAUAUGGAUAUAUUUGAUGUUCCUUCGGAGAAACGCAAUUGUUAGUUAAUGCUAUCUACGUAUUCCUUCGUGUGUUAAUAAACACAUAAACACUGAAAACCAAACGAAUAAAUUAAAGUCUCCAGAUCAGAGAGAGAGAGAGAGAGAGAGAGAGAGAGUAAGAGAGGGACUGAUUUGUUGUUUUGUGAUUUGGACCCAACACUUGUAAUCUGUAGCUAUGUAUCUGCUGUCCGAGUGUCACGCACAUGUACAGUACAUGGUCGUGCUUAUACUUGGAAUUGUUAUUCAUAAUCCAGCCAAACAUCAAUAAUGUCGGUUUUGCUUCGAAAGCUAGCUUUUGCGACCAAAUGUAACCGUGACCUUACUGAUAUUAUUCAGCUGAUACCUCAAACAGGUACUUAAAAAAAAACACUAAAAAAGGUGCAAAGCUCCUUUUUUCUCGUUCGGUAAAAGGUGCAAUGCUCUUCUUUAUUUUGCUUGGUGAAAGGUGCAAUGCCGGCAACUCUGGACAUCCAUUGUCAGCAUUGCUUGUUUUAAUUACUUGGUGAAAGGAGCAAGAGCAAUGCGUGUUUUUUUUUUUUUUUUUUUUUUUUUUUUUUUUUUGAGAGGGGGCAAGGAUUAAAUCCCUGACCUCUUGGUUUACAGCCGGAAUGCCAUCUGACAGCACUUGACGAUGGUGGUAGAGAGGCCAUAUUAUUAUAAUAAAAUAUUGAUGAUAUUAAGAGAAGUUUCAUAAUAAAAAUUCUUAAUUUCAACGUAUCUUCACUCUUGCGAAAAGUUGCAAGUUCAGAGUGAAAAUUUCAGUUGUGGGCCUGAAAAACUUUUUUCCGCACAUUAGAUAUGUGAUGUGAAGUUACAUGCACAAUAAGCAAAGCAGAAAGAACCUUUCUCCUUCCAAGCAAUUUGGGGACGCCCAUAAAAAGUUCCUACACGGACUAAUGUGAUGCAGUCAGAUGGUUUGAUCCGUCACGAAAAAGUAACGGAGCGCCCACGCAGUUGCCGCUACCGUCACGUAUUUCCGUCACGUUUUAAAGUCGAGAAGCAAGUAGAAACAUCAAGCACUCCUCUCAUCUUUUUCCACCUACCCCACCACCACAGCCACGUGUCAGUUAGGAUCGGGCUGUGGCCCGAGUAUAAAUACCUUGGAGUUCUCCCAACUUGUUCCUUCCCAAAUUGUAUGAGCGGGCACUCCUAAGCGUCCAAAUUAAGAGCCAGCGCUCUACCAAAAGAAGUGGGGGGCAUUCCUCUGGAAUAAUGCACUUCUGCUAGCUGCUAAAUCUCUAUCGAUUCGAUCUGUCUGUCUGUCUAUCGAUAUCUAUCCAUCCAUCCAUCCAUCCAUCCAUCGAUCUAUCUGUCUGCUAAGCUAUCGGAUCGCCGUCAUCUAUCCAUCUGCGUCUAUUUUCAUUUUGUUUCUACUCCAGGGGAUUUUGAGAGGUACGAGCGAGAUGAAGUGAUCACUUUCCAAGAUGAAUGGCCAUAUAUAUAUAUAUAUAUAUUUGACCUGAUUAUUUGGAAUUUUAGUGGCAGAAUUAAUUGUACUAAUUAACAGUCUUUGGUUUGUAACAUCAAUCGAUAUAAAUAAUAAUAUAAAUAAAUUGGUCGGUCGGUGGUUUGGUGGUGAUCGUCACAGGAAGAUGACGGUGACUCCGAGGAUCACGAUCAGCGACGGCAACCUGGUGGUCCAUGGCAAGACCAUCCUCACCGGCGUGCCUGACAACAUCGUCCUCACCCACGCCUCCGGGGCCGGCCUCGUCGACGGCGCCUUCGUCGGCGCCACCGCCGAGGAAUCCAAGAGCCUCCACGUCUUCCCCGUAGGCGCUCUCCGGUAAUAAUUAAAUAAAUAAAUUGACUCAAUUAAUUAACUCUCCUCCUCCUCUUAAUUUACUAUCAUCCAUGAAGGAUGGUUGCCGAUCGAUAUGUAUGUAUGUAUGUAUGUAUGUAUGCACAUACAGGGAUGUUCGGUUCAUGUGCUGCUUCCGGUUCAAGCUGUGGUGGAUGACGCAGCGGAUGGGGACGUGCGGGCGGGAUGUGCCGCUUGAGACGCAGUUCAUGCUGGUGGAGAGCAAAGACGGGGGGGGCGCCGCGGGGGAGACGGUCUACACGGUGCUGCUGCCCCUCCUGGAGGGCCAGUUCCGUGCCGUGCUGCAGGGCAACGUGAGGGACCAGAUCGAGAUCUGCCUGGAGAGCGGUAAGUUGGAAUUUGGAAUUCAUCCGAACAAUCGAACUAGCUAGCAAUCGGAGACGUCCGUACGGUACUUGUAGCAGUAGCAGUAGCAGUAGCACUAGUGGUAGCUAGGAUGCCUCAGAUCAGAGGGCUAGAAUUGCAUCGCGCCGGAUUCUCUGUGUGGGCAGGGGACAAGGCGGUUCAGACUAAGCUGGGGAUGCAUAUGGUCUACGUGCACGCCGGGGCCAAUCCUUUUGAAGUCAUCAACCAGGCUGUCAAGUAUGUACCGCAAGCUUAAUUUCCUCAUUCCUCAACUUCACUUUCUUUUUUCAAUUCUUUUAAUCUAUUAUUAUUAUUAUUAUUAUUAUUAUUACCAUUUUUUUUAAUCUUUUGUUUUAUUUAAUUUUUUUUUGUUUUUAAACUGUUAAACGAAAUGAUACUAUGUUUAAUAGUUUCAUUAAUUAUUAAUUAUAUAAUAAUUACCUAUUAACCGCAUUUUAUUAAUUAACUAGCUAUUAACCGCCAUUCCAAAAUGUUUUUUUGUUGGUUAUUUGUUUGUGUUUUUGUAUUUUUCUUUGUUCCCUCCUUUUUAUCUAUCAAAAAUGCCUAAAUGCUGACCGAGAAUUAAACAAAAAAUAGGGUGGUUGAAAGGCACCUGCAGACCUUCCAUCACAGGGAGAAGAAGAAGGUACUCAUAUAUAUUUAUGAAUUUAUGGUCCACUCACGUUACUCAUAUUUAAGUGCAUGCUAUCCGUACUCAUGAUACUCGACAGUUCUUGUGUUGUAAUUUUUCUUAUAUUUUACUCAUCUAUCUAGUAUGUUCUGCCGUAAGAAAAACGAAGCGACUUAGCUGUUGAUGAUUACAUAUACCCCACACGCAGUUGCCUUCGUUCCUCGAUUGGUUCGGAUGGUGCACAUGGGAUGCUUUCUACACUGAUGUUACAGCUGAGGGCGUCCGCCACGGCCUCCAAAGGUAACCAUCUGAGUCUCGAUUCAUCGAUCCAUUCGCUCCUUUGUUUGAUUCAACUAUGGAUUCAUUGGUGAGGGGGGUGUGAAUCUCAACGGCUGGUUUCUACUCGUGUUCAUAUAGUUUAGCAGAAGGUGGGACCCCGCCGCGGUUUCUGAUCAUAGACGACGGAUGGCAGCAGAUCGGGACAGAGGUCAAGGAUCAAUCCACUGCUGUCGUACAGGAGGGAGCACAGUAUGAUCGUCAAUCAAUCAAUCAAUUCAUUCUUUCCUCGCCCCAAUUGGGAUCGGUACUUGUCCUGCAGUUCGCUGAUCCGAUUUGCUAUAUGUUCUGCAGAUUUGCGAACCGACUCACGGGGAUCAAAGAGAAUGCAAAGUUCCAGAAAAAUAAUGAACAAAACGACCAAACCCCAGGCCUCAAGCUGCUCGUGGAUGAGGCCAAGCGUCAGCACAACGUCAAGUAGGUGCACUCCCAAUUUGCUGUUUGAAAUUUGAAAUAUGCUGCAUCGGUAGGAAAAAUCAUGCUUGCUUGUGUUGGUUGCAGAUAUGUGUAUGUGUGGCACGCGCUGGCGGGGUAUUGGGGUGGCGUGAAGCCGGCGGCAGAGGGUAUGGAACACUACGAGACGGCGCUGGCAUACCCUGUUCAGUCCCCGGGUGUGAUGGGGAACCAGCCAGACAUUGUGAUGGACAGUCUGUCCGUGCACGGGCUGGGCCUGGUGCACCCACAGAAGGUGUACAACUUCUACAACGAGCUUCAUGCGUAUCUUGCCUCGUGCGGCGUGGAUGGGGUCAAGGUCGACGUGCAGAACAUCAUCGAGACCCUCGGUGCUGGACACGGGGGACGUGUCUCUCUUACACGUGCCUACCACCAGGCUCUGGAGGCCUCCGUGAGCCGCAACUUCCCGGACAAUGGAUGCAUUUCCUGUAUGUGCCACAACACCGAUAUGCUUUACAGGUACUUAAAUCUGAUGUGUACAAUUCCUUGUAUUCAUUGUGAUUCUUAGUUUGUUUCGGAUGUGAAUAGCUGGGUUUCUGCUUUUUGCAGUGCGAAGCAGACGGCGGUGGUGAGAGCAUCGGAUGACUUCUAUCCGAGGGACCCUGCUUCGCACACUAUCCACAUCUCAUCCGUGGCGUACAACACGCUCUUCUUGGGAGAGUUUAUGCAACCUGAUUGGGAUAUGUUCCAUGUCUGUACAUUUUGCGAGUAAACUUAUUUGUCAAUUAUUUACGAUGAAUUACGAGUAAUUAUAACCCAUAAAUUGUGGUAUUUUCAGAGUCUACACCCAGCGGCGGAAUACCACGGCGCAGCUCGAGCUAUAGGUGGUUGUGCCAUUUAUGUUAGGUAAGCUACCAUUUAAAGAUCUUUUCGGAUUUCUAUUGUUGUUUCAUAAUUGAGUGCUGCAAUUGUCCUACUGGUUCACUUGGUAUUUGGUAACACUUGUGAAUCCAAUUUGUGCUGUUAUGUCUUUUUUUCUCAUUCUAUGAUUGAUAUUUCUACCUAUGGAUUGCAUGGUAUAUAUAUCAGCGACAAGCCAGGAAACCACAACUUCGACCUGUUAAAAAAACUAGUUCUACCUGAUGGGUCUGUCCUCCGUGCUCAGCUCCCUGGCCGCCCUACGCGUGAUAGUUUAUUCUCCGACCCGGCCCGUGAUGGCACGAGGUGAGUUAUCCAUUAGCACUUCUACUGUCUAAUACUGAUCAAUUUGUUGAACAAAAGAGGAACAUAAAGUAAAGUGGUGGUGUCACUCUUGCAGCCUGUUGAAGAUAUGGAAUGUGAACGAGUGCUCUGGAGUGGUGGGCAUCUUCAAUUGCCAGGGCGCCGGAUGGUGCAGGAUCACAAAGAAGACACGUGUCCAUGAUGCAGCACCCGGUACCCUGACCGGCAACCUCCAUGCUGAAGAUGUUGAUACCAUCGCCAAACUUGCAGGCCCGGACUGGGAUGGACAAACUGUUGUCUACUGUUUCAAAUCAGGUUAAACUAGAUGGCUCCAUCCAACUAUUUUAAGUUCAUCAUUCUUCGAUCUCGUGCAUAGUGUUGAGCUAGUCUGACGUGCUCUACUCUGUGUCCUCAGGUGAAUUGAUUCGGCUACCCGUAGGUGCUACCUUGCCGGUGACCCUGAAAGUUCUCGAAUAUGAGCUCUUCCACAUCUGCCCUAUCAAGGUGCCGAGCUGUCCCAACUCUCGCAAUCACCGUUUUAAAACUGUUUAAUUUAUAAGCUAUAGCCCUUUCAUUUCCUGUUAUCUUCCCACUUCCAGGUGAUCGCCCCCGGCAUCUCCUUUGCGCCCAUCGGCCUGCUUAAUAUGUUCAACUGUGGCGGAGCCAUAGAGCAAUUCGACAUCCGUUAUGAAGACAAAAAAGCAGAGCAAUCGGGGGAUUAUGGAGCAGCCAAUGCAGCGGUGCUCCUCAAGGUCCGAGGCUGUGGUCGAUUUGGGGCUUACUCUUCCAAGAAGCCGAUUAAAUGCACAUUAGAUUCGUCCGAGAUGGAGUUCAAUUACGACUCGACCACCGGUCUCAUGACUAUCGAAAUCCCUGUGCCGGAGAAGGAAAUGUAUAAGUGGACUCUGGAGAUCCAAGUCUAGAUGUGCAAUUAUAAGCCUAUUUGGAGUGCCUUUGCUUUGUUCUCUCUAGUACUUGUGUGUCCGAGGGUCGACGGAUGUUGUGGUGAAUGUUUUAUUGCGGAGGGAGCUUUAUCCGGGGAGGAUUUGUACCUUUCGGCUUUCGAGCCGUGUAAUAAGCACAUUGUGCUUGCAACAACUCAUGCAAUAAGAUUUUAGUACUUUUAUCUAUAAUACAAUCCAAUGGUGUACUCUUGCUUUUGUAUUUCUGCUCGGAUUCGGCAGAAACCCUUAACUUGAAAGUUCUAUCUGUACCUAGCUAGCCCUUUAUCUCCUUUUGUUAUUUUUCACGGAUGCAGUAAAAGCCGUUUAAGUAGGCAAUUAAUGAAUGGGGUAACGGGUGAACAUCGACAGAGUUCCAGCUAAUUCACUUUUCACUGCGCUGAAUUUAAUCAAUUGGCACGUCAAUUUUCAAAAUUAUUCUAUUCCUCUCAAUAUUGAUUCGUCGUACUACCCUUUGGAGUUUGGCACUAUAUUUCAUUUCAACGCCUGCUUGAACAAACAUGAUCUGAUGGACUCUAGCAGUGUUCUCUUUUCAAAAAAUUGCGUCCCUUUGAAACCACAGUCAAGCAAAUAAAUAUAGGCUAUGCAUAUCAAAUCCGGCAGGACUAGUUGUUGCUUCACUCGACAGCCUUUGUUUCAUAGAAGCUGUUUCUUCUAGAAAAGUCAUAUUUUGGAUAACUCAAGGAAACUUAAUUCCAAAAAAGAAAAUAAUUCGCCAGUUGAUCUUGGUCGUGUGCUAUGCAUUUACACACGCUCUUUAACCAUCUUAAUUAAUUCAAAGUCUGUUGCGGACAACCCAAAAUUCUUUGGAAUCCUUUUUCGAAACAGUUGGGCUAUUGCUCAUCAUCCUACACAUGCAGAAAAUUACUAUUAUUUUGCUCAAUGAACUUAGGACGCGUUUGGUUCAGAUGUGUUGGCAUUCGGUUAACCCAAAUCGGGUGUGCCUAUGAUCAGGCUCAAUCCAAUGAUUAUUAUAUCGUCUAAUUAGACUAGACUUAAUUUAGCUUUUAAGUUGAAAAACUAAUUUGAGAUAUAUUCUAGCUAUAUUAGAAUAACUAUUAAAAACCGAUUCGGCCUAAUCUUUUACUUACCUAUUAGGGUGUUGGGAUCCCUUAUAAAUAUACAACCGAUCCUCUCAUAAAAUAACAAGAAGGAAAAUAGAAAAAAAAAAAAAUCUUUAUAAAUUCGUGAUAAAUUUGUGAGUCAUCUUUGCAAGAUUGAGAAACCACAUCCUCCGUUAAUAUAUUGCUUCUAGAGAGCCUUGAAUGGUGGAUUAUAAAUGUAACUCAUUCGUAGCUCGAUCUACCGCCAGUUUGGAGCUCUAGAAGACCCUCACGGGCGAUCCGAUGAUACAUUAAUCAACUUUUACGAUCCGGGGAUUAUCGCAUGCUAACACGACUUGCUUUUGAAACAAGUACGAACAAAUAUUUCUGCUGCGAUCUACAAGAAGAGAAAUCAAAAUCAGAAUGUUGGAAUAGAAAUGAGCCAGAAUUUAAAACAGAAUUGAUAAAAAUAAUAAUUUGUUUGGUUCAUAGGAGGAGUUCGAAUCGGAGUCGGAAUUAGAAUCAUGUCUAAAUAUAUGGAAAUUCAAAAAAUUUACAUUUUUGUUAUAAUUUAAAUUUUUUAUUCAAAUUUUGAUUGAAAACUUGAAUCUAAAUUUGAACUUACAAUUUGAACUUAAAAUUUGAAUUUACAAUUCAAAUUCAAGGUCUAUGUUGAAACCUAUAUAUAUUCAGAACUAUAAAUUAAAAUUUAGAAACUUAAAAUUUAAAUUUUAAAUUCAUAUUUCAAAUUUAAAUUUGAAAUUAUGGUUUAAUCUAAUGAUUUUAUAUGAUUUAUACUUGAAUUAAAAUAAUUAUUAAUGGAAAAACAAUCUUUUUUAAUCCCUUCGGAAUCAAAAUUAACUCACACUAUGAAGGUGGGAGUUACUUCUGAGAUAUUCGAAUUCCCCUAGACUGAGAAUCAGAAUGCCAAUACUUCAAUCCAAAUACCAAUAAUGAGAAUAGUUUAUUCCGAUUUUUAUUUUAAGUCUCAAAUAUUUCAAACCGAACAUGCAUGCAUUGAAUUUUACUGACAUAUAUAGUUAUAACUUUCGGAUUCCUUGAGCGUGCUACUUCAUUAGCUAAGAAAAUCAGGCGUAAUCUUCAUGAGUCAUAUGUCGUCUCUGCGUACGCGGAGGACCUUCGACAAAGAAGCGUGAAUGCCGUGUUCGCUUCUGCUUGCAGAAUUUGGUCGACGACAUUCCAUCUCCAAAAAUUUUCUUUCUUUGACACCUGGUAGGGCUCAAUCAAGAAAAAUCAAGUACUGACGUGGGUGACCUUUUAUCUUCAUUUGGAAUAAAAUGGCCCUAAUGAAAAUGUUACUACUGGUUGUUCAGAUUUGCAUAUCAGUAAAAUACAAGAAAUCUUUAUAUAUCAAUACCAGAGGUUCCAACAGAUAUUAAUACCUGGUCUAGCUCUUUAUUUCCUCUAUCAAACAUUUCUGUGUUUCAUUUUUUAAAAAAAUAAUAAAAAAAUAAAAUCAUCUCUAUUCAUAUUUUCAUCCGUUUAAAUCCUUAUUUUUGAGGGAUCUAGUGAGAAUCAGGUUAGCAUUAAUAUCUAAUCUCCCUAUGAUCUAUAAAUAUAUGAGGAAUUGACCAUGCACAUAAUAUAUAACUAAAUUAGAAUUAUCGCUCCAUAAAAAUUCUUUCUCUUUAUUUCACUCUAGGGCAUCAUCAGAAGCUCUAGGAAUUUAGGCAGUGUGUUUCGAUUAACUCUGGUAACAGGUUUGUGACGAGAAAAAUCAACUCUGUAUACAUGCUAAGGACGAAAAAAGAUAUUAGUUGGAUUGAGCAGUUCGUAAAACAAGCUGAGAUUAGAUCUGAGCAAUUACAAAGUAAAAUUUGCAACAAAAGGAUAUGUAAAAUCUAUGUGACUUUUUAUCAUGAAUUAGUUCAUAAUUUCCAACAAUAGUAUUGGAGCUGUACGGUGCUUGUUUUUCGCUCUAUGAUCCAUUUUUUUCGAUAUCUAAAAAAAAAAAUUAUUUAAAUUGUUUUUUGGAUACUAUGGAAGGAUUAAUUUGCACAAAAAANAAAAAACUGGCAUUGUCUUGAGUUGCAACUGGUGACCAGACUCCGCUCAAUCGUAACUCAAGAUUGUAUACGAACUUGUCCCCAUCUGUGCAUGUGAUCUGCAUGAUUUUAGGCGUGCUAAAUUGUGCAUGCCAGAUGUGCAGGACAAAUGCGUAAGUGUCCCUCACCAGCCCGUACAGGUUCAACCGGUGCCUUGGGCCGCGCAGGGGCCCUCUCUAGCGCAGGCUAGCCUGCGAGCCAAGCCAGCCAACGUCACGCACGAAGUUGCAGUGGAAGUCCCCCACUGCAUCAAUAGACCCGUCGUAUGCGCAAGGACGUACCCUGUAUGCACAAAGCAUCAAAGAACAACCUGCUAGAAAUCAACAAUCCUAGAUGUCCACAACUAACCAGAAUGCAAAAUUCCUAGAUGUCUAAAUCUAACAAGUAUAACAGGUAUAGUUAUAUGUACAUCCAUCAUAUCAAAAAUAUCAACAUAAAUAUACAUACAAAGAUAUCAACAUCAAUCAGCCGAAAAAUAAACUAUAAGUACAUCCUAUACUGGCUGUCAUGUCCCGAGCUCGCCAAUUUGGUCGGUUCGGACACGCGCACAGACGCCAAACGGAUAGAGUCUCUCCUGUCCACCCGAGGCUUAACUACAACAAUAGCAUGUAUAAAGAGUUGCCCAGGAAAACAUCAAUAUACAUGACUUGCACUAGGGCAAGUAAACAAGAGCAAGUGAAAGAAAAUUUCUAUCUAUUACAACCAUACAAUUUGAACUUUGAUUACAUUUAGCCAAAAUACAACUCUUUUACAUAUGUCAUUUCAUACAUUGUUCAUCUCCCAAAAUACAUCCAUUACAUGUUUUUUUCAUCAAAUACAAAAGAUGAAAAUAAAGGGUACAACUAAUGCACCAAGGUCCACUACCUAGGGCGCUAUGCCCUUGCUGGAAUCCUCGACCGCCUCACUCGCGCUAGGAUCUGCAAAAUGGUGGGGUGAGAACUACAAGAAGUUUCAUGUGGGUUCGACCGCCGACCCCGCCGACUUUCUCAUUAGAUCUAAUCAGGCAUAAGUAGAGAAAGAUAGAUAAACAACUCAAAACUAAUGCAGCUACUAUAUCUGUAACAAGAAACAAUACAUAUAAGAUACUCAUGAUGCACGUCAUGUCCAUUACCAUAAACUAAUCAUUUUGGCUAACCCAUAGGUUAAGCCCAACUCACUAAACCAAAUCUCUUUUUAUAGAGGAGAAUUUUGCUACAACCCGAUGGGAUCAUCUGCUGGAGAGAAUUUCGGUACCGCCCAGUUGAUGACAACUCCGGAGCUCACCGCUUGAGGUGGAGCGACCACCCUCAAGCAUAUCAGACUAUAUGUGAGUAUGACCUAAUCUUCUAACCAUGAGGAUACCAUGUCAACUAAUACCAUAACACUCGUAGUGUACCAUUCUCUAACAUUCAAUGUUUCUAGGUGCUGUUCAACUCAUCUAGCCAUAAUGUCACCAUAUUUACUGUAACGCCCCCAAUAGUCCCACAUUUGAUGGGAUACUGAUUUCGAUCAGUUUAUAUGAGACCUACACGCUAGUAAUAAUAACUGGGCUCAAGCAUUUUGGCCGAUGGUUUGGGUUCAACGAGUUAUUAUUGUUAGCGGGUCAGGUCGGGUCGUUAUAAUUGGUAUCAGAGCCGAAUACCAGCCGGAAGUGUGAGAGCUAAGUGUUAUGCGGGGCAAAGUGCUACACCAAUGGGUUUGGUGGGAGCCACCUCUUGAACCCGUAGGAGCCACCUCUAGAUUCUCACAUCGAAAGGUAAUUCUGGUCCCGGUCUGUCUGUCUAUAAUCUGGUUUGGACCCGACGAGGACGUCAGGGUCUAAACAGGGGGAGUUUGUAACGCCCCCAAUAGUCCCACAUCGGAUGUGAUACUGAUUCCGAGUUUAUAUGAGAUCUACACACUAGUAAUAAUAACUGGGCUUAAGAUGGAUCGGUUGUUCGGGCCCAAUGAGUUAUUGUUGCUAGCGGGUCGAAUCGUUACAUUUACUACAUUGUCAAUGUUCACAUCUUAGUUCAUACAUCUAUUGGGUUCUCAUGUGUCCAAGGUUCCAUUCUCAAUUUGUCACGCCCCGAGCGCCGCGUUUUCCUAAAGGUGUCGCCGAUGCGAGGAAUUAGACGGUUUGGGCUCCGGGGGAAGCUAAGUCCCCGGUACCUCGGACCGUUUGAGCUAUUGGAGCGGGUCGGCGCGAUGGAGUACAAGAUAGCAUUACCACCGAGGCUUGCAGGAGUGCAUGAUGUAUUUCACGUAUCGAACCUCCGCAAGUAUGUUCACGACCCCGAGCAUAUCCUGUCGUUUGAACCGUCCGAGAUCCAAGAGGACGUGACCUAUGAGGAGUUCCCGGCAUACAUCAUCGAUCGAGAAGUAAGAAAACUACGAAAUCGCGAGAUUCCGUAUGUUAAGAUUCGUUGGUUCAAUCACGAUGAUCGGGAAGCUACUUGGGAGCUCGAGAGCGCAAUGCGGCAGCAUUAUCCUCACCUCUUUAACGAGCUGAAAUGAGGUAUGAGUUUAAGUCUAAAUUAAGUAAGUUUCGCGGACGAAACUAAAUUUAAGGAGUGGAGAAUGUAACAUACCGAAAUCUCGGCAAUUAAAUUCGAACCUUGGUCAAAUUGACCAAAGUGCGAGGUUGGUACACUUCGGAGAGGCCGAAGGCGUCAAAUAAUGCAAAAAUGCAUUACUGGGGAUCUUCGAGAGCUUUUGGAAAUCAAAAUCUGCAAACUGCAGGUUUUGUACUCUUGGGGACCGGUCCCUGGUGGGAGAGACCGGUCCCCGAACGCGUAGGCAGCGGGGUGGGCUGAGAAAUUGGCUAAGUCCUGGAAAAUCAGCUCUCGGGAAUCGGUCCCUGUGAAGAGAGACUGGUCCCCAGCGACCGGUUCCAUUGAGGGAGACCGGUUGCAUCGCGCGCAGCCUGCCCAGUCAACGGGAGAAGUUCUCGGGGACCGCUCCCGGGUCGGGGAGACCGGUCCCUCACUGCGAAAAAUGCCCAGUCUGGGCAGUGCACUGGAGAUAAAAUGCGGGGGCUUAAAUGCAAUUGUCACAACACCUUAUAUGGCCCAACCCUCUCUCCCUCACAGCAGCCAACCUCUCCACUCUCACUCCUCUCAUUUCCCUCUCUUCCUCUCUCUAGAAUCCUAGCUCUAGAGCUUGGAGAAGAAGAAAAAGAAGCUUGAGGAGGGAUUUUUGGUGGAUUUGGUGGGUCUAGAAGCUCUCCAACAAGAAGGCCUUGGUAGAGCUUGGGACUAAAGGUAAGUUUUUGCAAGAUAUCUUCUAGGGUUAGGAUUUAAACCCUAAGUUUUGGAGUUUUGAACUUCUUAGAGGUUCAUGUUAGAGCCAUGAACACCAUGAAACUCUAGUUUUCUUCAUGGUGCUCUAAUGGGGGAUUUCUAGGGUUUGCAUUCUAAGCCCUAGAGAUGGUUGGAAUGGUUCUAAAUGAGCUCCUAGAGGUUAGAUAAGCUCUUUUUUACUUGUUUUAGAUAUCAAAACCUAUGAGUUUGCUAAUAGUGGCAUUAGGGCACCAAAUUUGGGACUUUUACCUCCGAGUGUUUCUAAGGCAAAUUGACCUUGUAGAAACCUAAUUGGGGGUAUCCCCGACGCGUGGGACAACUCCGUUUAACGUUACGAAAAUGUUUAGAUGGAGUUAUUGAUAAAAAGCCUAAUUCGGCUUUGUUUUGCCGUAGGCAAAAAAGUAAAGCUUCAAAAAUUUUAAUUAAGAAAUUCACCGUAGCAUCCUCUCAACUUUCUUAGGUGGGUGGUGCAUUCCAAGGAUCUCGAAAAUUUCUUUAUGUCUAAGUGUCAUGUUUUGAGCAUAUGUACAUAUUUAAGCAUUUUGCAUAAUAGGGUUAAAUUGUAAACUUUUAUAGCAUGAUGUAAAUUCAAAUGCAUGUCAAAUACUUGUAAGAAUGUGAGAAUGAUAAUCCCUAUGUAUGCAUGAAUGUGACAAGAACCUAGAAGGGUUAGUAAACAAAAGUGACACUAUGACAUAGAUCUAACGAGUGGCAUUGAUGAGUUUAGAAUAUUUAGAAAACAAGUGUGGCAUUUAGCAUGAGAACAAGAACAUAGCACUUAGAAAACAAGUGUGGCAUGAGUACAAGAACUUUGUAGUGUAUAUGACACUAGUGAUAGUAAAGAAUGCAAAGAAAAGAAUGAUUGAGACAUUAUGACAUUUUAACCUUAGAGUUAAGGGUCAUUUGAGCAUGGUCUUCCUUAAAAGUUAAGGAAUGGAUUGAACUUAGAAUCCUCAAUGUAGGAUUGAUCGUACUCACCUUUAGUCCUUGCUUGAGGGUGGUAGCUCCCCCUCGGGCGAUGUGCUCCGGAGUUGAUAUCACUGGGUUGUAGCGGAUAUCUCCCCAAAGGACGGUCCUAUCGGGUUGUAGCGAGUAUCUCCCCGGUUAUUAGGAUUUUGGGUUGGUGAGUUUGUUAAGGGCGAAACCUACGGGUUAGCCAAGAGAUUAGGUAAAGAAAUUGUGAUCCUGCAUUCAUCAUAAGUAUUAUAUCGAGCAUCGCAUUUUAUAUUGUUCAGGCAUAUUAGUUGUAUUUAUUAGUUGGUUACUUUCUUUUCUCUACUCUAUUAUGCCUGAUUAGAUCUAGUGGGAUAGUCGGCGUGGUUGGUUGCCGAACCCACUGGAAACUUUGUUGUAGUUCUCACACCCCUAUUUCCAUAGAGCCGGAACCGAGCGAGCAGGCUGAUGAUCGCGGUAAGGGCAUCGCGCCCUAGUUAGAGACCUCCCGAGUGGUUAUCAUUUUGUAGUGGCAUACCCUCUACUUAUACAUCAUCUUUGGUAUCUUGAUGAUUAUACUAUUAUGAACAUGUUAAAUGAAUGAUGUAAAAGAGUUUAUGUUUAAAUGCAAAAAUUUAUAUUUGAGAUCAUGCGAUGUAAAAGAGAAGAAAUGAUGCAAAAUUAUAAUUGAUUUCCUAAGUGCAGUUUAUUACUUUCCCUAUUGGCUAUUGCUUGCCCUCGUGCAAACCAUUGUGUAUACUUCCGCUUAUGCAAAUUGUUACUCUAUUGAUACUUUUUGUUGAGCCUUGGGCGGACAGGGGAGGCUCUGUCCAUUCAGCGUCUGUUCAACGCUCUCGAACCGGCCAAAAGGAUCGGGCUCGGGGCGUGACAAUUUACCUUACGAUCAAAAGGUCACAAAAUUGAUAAUUUUUAACGGCCGGUAUGAGAUAUUUGCUAGUUUAACAGUGUAAAAGAAUCGAAAUCGGUUGAAUAUUUGAUAGAAAAUUUUAUUCACUACAUAGAUAAAGAUCAAUAACUCCGAUCUUAAAUUGAAAGAUCCGAUCAUCCAUUUUUAAGAUGUCGUUCGAUUUUGACCGUUCAUUUUAUACCCGCUUGAUGGACUUUAUUAUGAUUUUGAAAAAUUACGAAAUUUAUUUUCUAGAAGUUUGAAAUACUCUAGAUCAUAUUUAACGGAGUGGAUCGUCGAUCUGGAAGCUCCAUCAUUGAAAACAACUUAUGAGUACGAAGGGCCCAAUACUCAUAGUAGCCUUACUCUCUCUCUCUCUCUCUCUCUCUCUCUCUCUCUCUUCUUUCCUCUAUAAUAUUAUAAUAUAUAAUAUACUAUAGAAGAGAGAGAGAGAGAGAGAUGAGAGAGAGAAGAGAGAAGUGAGAGAGAGAGCAGAAGAGAGGCAUAUGCUUCUGGAAGCACGGAGGCGGCUCCGUAUCCAGGUCGUUUUCGAUGUUUCGACUUUCGAAUCGUCGAUCGGCUCCGUUAGACUUGAUCUAGGUAUUUGAAGUAUCUAGGAAAUAAAUUUGCGAUUUUUCGAUAUAUUUGCAAGUAAUCGAAGUGGCUCAAAAUCAACGGUUGAAAAUAAAAAUCUUACAAAUAUGAUGAUAUGACAUUAAAUUUUAGAUCAAACCUAUUUGAUCUUGUUUUAUAUGGUAUAAAAGAAUUUUCUAUCAAAAUUUCAUGUGAUUUGGAUAUUUCUACACCGCUUAAACUUGCAAACGGCUCACCACGGCCGUUAAAAUUAUUGAAUUUGAGCCCAUUCGAUCACUAGGCAAAUGAUAUCGAAAAUCACAAAAUUUAUUUUCUAAGUACUUCAAAUACUCUAGAUCAACUCUAAUGGGCGCAUCGUCGAUUUCGAAAGUCCGAACAUCGAAAAUAAUCUGGAAGCACGAGAGGGCUGGUAUGGGCUCCUGUGCUUCCAAGAAGCAUACCAGCCCUCUCUCUCUCUCUCUCUCUCUCUCUCUCUCUAUACUAUAAUAUAAUAUAUAUAUUCAGAGGGAGGAGGAGGUGAUGAGACCUGAGAUCUGCUUGGGGUCUUCAGUGAACCCGGGGAUCCUCACGAGAGGACGGAGAAAGAGAGAGUAGGGCUGUUUUGCUCUUAGGAGUAUGGAGGCCUCCGUGCUCCUGAGCCGUUUUCAAUGAUGGAAUUUUCGAAUUGACGAUUGGCUCCGUUAAACUUGAUUUAGCAUAUUUGAAGUUUAUAGAAAAUAAUUUUUGCGAUUUUUUGAUAUCAUUUACCUAGUAAUCGAAAGGAUUCAAAAUCCAUAAUAUUUAAUAGUUGAUAUCUGCCGUUUUCAAGUUUAACGGUGUAGAAGUAUUCAAAUCAGAUGAAAUUUUGAUACAAAAUUCUUUAUACUAUCUACAACAAGAUCAAUAUUUCUGAUCGAAAAUUUUAGUGCUAUAUCACCACUUUUUAUAGGACUUUUAUUUCCAGCCGUUAAAAAUUAUUGAUAUUGAAUUCUUUCGAUUGCUAGGUAAGUAAUAUCGAAAAAUCGCAAAAAUUAUUUUUUAGAAACUUCAAAUACGCUAGAUCAAGUUUAACGGAGCCGAUUAUCGAUUCGAAAAUUCCAUCAUCGAAAACGGCUCAGGAGUGAGAGCACAGCAGUCCUGCUAUAUAUAUAUAUAUGCGGGGGCUACUAUACUCUUAUGAGUAUAGACCCCCUUAUACUCAUAAAUUUUUAACCAUUGAUUGAUGGGAUGUGAGGUUAGGAUGAUGGUGGUCCCUACUUAGAAUGAUAGUGGUCCCCUAGAGUUGAGUGGGUAGUUAGUUGAAUAGUAUGAUCUAACGGGUGAAAAUGAUCAAUUGAAAAAAUCCAAAGGCUAAAAACUUAUGAGUAUAAGGGAGCCAAUACUCAUAAAAGUAUAGUAGGCGGACUCUAUAUAUAUAUAUAUAGAGAGAGUACGGCUAAUGUGCUUAUGGAAGCACUGAGGCCUCUGUGCUUUCAAUUUGUUUUUGAUGUUGGGACUUUCGAAUCGACGAUCGGCUCCAUUAGACUUGAUCUAGAGUAUUUGAAGUAUCUAGAAAAUAAAUUUUGCGAUUUUUCGAUAUCAUUUGCCUAGUGAUCGAAGGGGCUAAAAAUCAACGGCUGAAAAUAAAAAUCUCACAAAAUGUGAUGAUAUGACAUUAAAAAUUUAGAUCAAAGAUAUUGAUCUUAUUUUAUAUAGUAUAAAGACUUUUCUAUCAAAAUUUCACGUGAUUUGGAUAUUUCUACACCGUUAAACUUGCAACCGGCUCACCACGGUUAUUAAAAUUAUUGAUUUUGAGCCCCUUUGAUCACUAGACAAAUGAUAUCGAAAAAUCGUAAAAUUUAUUUUCUAGGUACUUCAAAUACUCUAGAUCAACUCUAACGGAGCCGAUCGUCGAUUCGAAAGUCCGAACAUCGAAAAUAACUUGGAAGCACGGAGGCCUCCGUGCUUCCAUAAGCAUACCAGCACAACUCUAUAUAUAUAUAUAUAGAGUGAGGCUACUAUGCUUCUGGAAACACGAAGCCUUCCGUGCUUCCAGGUCGUUUUCUAUGUUGCGACUUUUGAAUCGUCAAUCGGCAACGUUAAACUUGAUUUAGAGUAUUUGAAGUGCCUAAAAAAUAAAUUAUGCGAUUUUUCGAUAUUAUUUGCCUAGUGAACAACGGGGCUCAAAAUCAACGGCUGAAAAUAAAAAUCAUACAAAACGUGAUAAUAUGAUAUUAAAAUUUUAGAUCAAAGAUAUUGAUUUUGUUUUAUAUAGUAUAAAGAAUUUUCUAUUAAAACUUCACGUGAUUUGGAUAUUUCUACACCGUUAAACUUGCAAAUAGUUCACUAUGGCCAUUAAAAUUAUUGAUUUUGAGCCCCUUCAAUCACUAGGCAAAUGAUAUCGAAAAAUCAUAAAAUUUAUUUUCUAAGUACUUCAAAUACUCUAGAUCAAGUCUAACGAAGCCGAUCGACGAUUCGAAAGUCACAACAUCGAAAACGACCUGAAAGCACGGAAGGCUCCGUGCUUCCAAAAUGAUAGUAGCCUUACACUAUAUAUAUAUAUAUAUAUAUCUAUAGAGAGAGAGAGAGAGAGAGAGAGAGAGAGAGAGAGUGGGUUGGUAUGCUUCUGGAAGCAUGGAGCCCUCCGUGCUUCCAAGUUGUUUUCGAUUUUUGGACUUUCGAAUCGACGAUCGAUCUGUUAGAGUUAAAUUCUAGAAGUAUUUUGAAGCUUACCUAGAAAAUAAAUUUUGUGAUUUUUCGAUAUCAUGUUGCCUAGCUGAUCGAAGGGCUCAAAAUUAAUAAUUUAAAUAGCGUCGUGAGCCGUUUGCAAGUUUAAACGGUGUAGAAAAUAUUCAAAUCUACAUAAAAAUUUUGAUAGAAAAUUCUUUACCCAUAUAAAACAAGUUAAUAACUUUGAAUCUAAAAUUUUAAUGUCAUAUCUUAUAUUUUUGAAGAUUUUUAUUUUCAGUCGUUGAUUUUGAGCCACUUCGAUCAGCUAGGCAAAAUGAUUAUCGAAAAAUUCCAAAUUUAUUCGAGAUAAUUCAAAUACUCCAGACUCAAGUUCUAAUGGAGCCGAUCUCGAUUCGAAAGGUCCGAACAUUCGAAAACACUUGGAAAGCACAGAACGCUCUUCUGCUUCCAGAAGCAUACCAGACGCAAUAUAGUAUAUACUAUAUAUAGAGAGAGAGAGAGAGGAGAGAGAAGAGGCGGCCGGGAGAGAGAGAGAGAGAGAGGCUAGGCUGCUAUAUAUAGCAACGGACGCCUGCCGUGCUACAAGUUGUUUCAAUGAUGCCGCUUCCAAUCGACGAUCGGCUUCGUUAGAUUUGAUUACACUAUUCAAAGUAUUUGAAACUAAAUUUCAUAAUUUUUCGUAUCAUUAUCGGUAUUAAACGAGUAGUCUAAAAAUAAACGGCCGAAAUAAAAUAAUCUCAUUAAAAAGUGCAUGAUAUGAAGACUUUGAAUUUAAGAUCAGAGAGUACGUUACUAUCUUUAUUUAAAUAGUAAAAAAAAUUUCUAUAAAAAUUCAAUCUGUUUGGCAUUGUUUAUGACACCGUUUAAAUUUACAAAUAUAUCCAUUUUACCCAUUAAAAUUACAAUUUUGAGAUAUUUUUGAUCACUAGCACAAUGAUGUCGACAAUUUUGAAAUUUCAUUUCCAAAAUACUUUCAAUAAGUUGUAAGACAAGUCUAACGGAACGAUCGUUGAUUUUUGGAAGCUGCAUCAUCGAAACAACUUGAAUAGCACGGAAGGCCUCCGUGCUAGUCGAUAUAUAGCAGUCCCGGAUAUAGAUAUAUAUAUAUAUAUAGUAUAUAUUAUAUAUAUUAUAUAUAUCAUAUAUAUUAGUAAUAUAGUAUAUAUGUCCGGCUAGCUAACUAUCAAUAGUAGCAAGUCCAUUAGUACUAUGAGGGGCUUUCUAUCGUUAAGAGUUCACCCUUUGAUCAUUUUUUCAUACCGUUGGAUUAUAACUAUUAAACAACCACCCCACUCAACCUAGGACCACUAUCAAUUUAACCGGGACCCAUAUCUCCUAACCGGACUAUUCUUCUAUCAACGCGGAAAACUCAAUAGUACCUAAGGGCUUGGGUACUAUUGAUAGUAUAAGUACAUUAAUUCUAUACUAUAAUUAUAUUAUAUGACUAUAUAGUAUAUAUAUAUAGAAGUUGGACUGGCUACUAUUAGGUAGCAAAAUUCUAUGUUGCUGACAGUUUUUUACGCUUUGAGAUUAAUCAUUUUUCAUUAUUUCUAACCAAUGGAUUAAGAUACUAUAACCCAGUGGGACCACUUCAACCCUAGGGGGGACCAUUCAACUCUAACCGACUAAUAUCAUCCUGACCUACAAUUUCUUAUCCAAGGGUAAAAAUUUGAUAGCAAAAAAGCGUUUACUAUUAAUAGUAUUCCAGCCUAAUUCUAUAUAUAUAUAUAUAAUAUAUAUAUAUAUAUAUAUAUAUAUAUAUAAAAGAAACUAUCUCUAUAUGCAGUGCAACCAAGGAGCGUAAUUCACCACUUCAACCAUCCAAGGGCCAUUUCCGUCAACUCGUGGUGUCCAGUAUUUUCUCCAACUAAAAACAGAAAAAGGAGAGGUAAAUUCUAGGCUCUUGGAUUGAGGGUUACAACAAAUGUACCCACAAAAGUUGUAGACUUAUUUAUUAGUGAUUCUUUUUUCGUAUAGGUGAAAUUGAACAAAUGGUCCCGUAUUCCCCGCAUAUUGCAGCAUCUAGAUUCUGCACUUUUAAUAUUUCCUUCUUAAUUGGUAAGCAGUACUGUACUGUAUAUUUAAACGCUUUAAAAUCUAAACUGGCACAAUGUACACUUUAUUCUCUAAAUUAUUGCUUUUCAAAAUAAUAUAAUUAUUUUGUACUGUCAUGCACAGAAUAACUUAUGUAUUUAAGUUUUUUUUUUUAAAAAAAAAGUUAGACAUCUAAAAUGAUAUUUUCACUGAUUAUUUGAAAUUAUUUUAAUUUUUAACAAAAUAAUCAACUUUUACCUCCUUAUCUGUAAAAUAAACUAUAUAUUUAUUUUAGUGCAAAAGUGGAUGUAAGAGGAAUACUUUUUACUAGCUGUCAAAGAUCGAUAUUCCACUUCAUAUAAAAUGAUAAUUUUGCCGCUUCAUUUGCAAGCGCAAAUAGAAUUAAAAGGAUACAUUUUGAACAAAAGUCACAUUUUAUACAUCCGGGGAGAAGAAUAAUUUUUACGGAUACCAGUGAAGAUCCCGCAAUUUGGCUGGUUUGAGAUUUAAUAAUCAAUAUAAAUUAGUUAUCGCCUCUUUUAAGGUAAUAUAUUUUCGGAAAAAUAAUAAUUUUAUCACAUGAUCACUUAUCUAGUUUAGAGCAAAGCAAUUAUUAACAAAAUUGCAGAUUCAAAUUAUAUAGGUGUAUUUAUGUAAAAGAAUGAGAAGAAAAUGUUUUACAAGAUCUCUAUUCGUAGACAAAAUAUAUCAGAGGAAUAACUUUUCAUGGACUAAAUAAUAGGACUAAGACUACGUAUAAAAUAUAAAUAAUAAAGUAGUUAAAAUAAAGUUGAUUUAAAUAUUAGUGGAGGAAAGAGAGCUGCGGAGAGGUAUAGAAGUUUACUAGCAAUUUACCCGCUCAUUGUAGCGGGUGAGAUUUUUAAAUUCACAAUUAUUAUAUUAUACGUUAGAUAAAAUUAUUUAAUAGAAUUAAAUAAAAAUGUUAAUUUAUAUAUAUAUCUCUUGCUGUUUGAAGAGAGAGAAGAGAAAAUUAAAUAAAAAUUAAAGUGAGAGAGAGCACUUUCAAACUUUCAAAUAUAGUAUAUUUUACUCAUAAUGUAGAAAAAUAAAAUUAAAGAUCUUUGAAAAUAUAUAGUUAUUAAAUUCAAUUUUAAAAUUAUUUUAAAUAUCUAUAUCUUCUAUAUGGAGGAAGUGAAAAAAGAGAGCAUUAAAUUAAAAAUUAAACUAAGGGAGAGAGAAAAACGGCAUGCACAUUUCUCGAUUAGAGAGAAAAAGUAUGAACAUUAAAUUAAAUAAAAAUUAAGUAAGAGAGAAAGUACAGUAGGGAUUUAAAAUUCUAAUUUUUGAAGUUGAAAAUUUGGGAAUAAAUAUUAUAAAUUUUAAAAUUGUAAAAUUUAAAUUUUGAAAUUUGAAAUUUGGAAUUUAAAAUUUUGAUGUCCAAAAUUUAAAAUUUUAGAAUAUAAAAUUUUAAAAUUCUAUAUAUAUAAAGAGAGAGAGAGAGAAGAGAGAGAGAGAGAGAGAGAGAGAGAGAGUCCGGCUACUUUACUCUUAUAAGUAUGAUCGCCCUCGUACUCAUAAGUUGUUUUUAAUGAUAGAGUUUUCGAAUCGACAAUCCAUACUGCUAAAUAUUAUCUAGAGCAUUUAAAACUUGUAGAAAUCAAAUUUCAUAAUUUUUCAACAUUAUUUAUCUUACCAUCAAAAGGUCACAAAAUUGUCAAUUUUUAACGAUCGGUAUGAGAUACUUGCUAGUUUAACGGUGCAAUAGAAUUAGAAUAGGUUAAAUUUUUGAUAAAAAAAUUCUAUUCACUACUUAGAUAAAGAUCAAUAACUCUGAUCUUACACUAAAUGAUCUGAUCAUCCAUUUUUAGGUCGUUAUUCGAUUUUGAUCAUUUAUUUUAUGCCCGCUUGAUGAUUUUAUUAUAAUUUCGAAAAAUUACGAAAUUUACUUUUUAGAAGUUUCAAAUAUUUUAGAUCAUAUUUAACAGAAUGGAGAGAGAGAGAGAGAGAGAGAGAGCGCUAGGCUAGUAUACUAUCAGAAGCACCGAGGCCUUUGUGCUACCAAGUUGUUAUCAAUGAUGCAGCUUUCAAAUCGACGAUCAAUUUCGUUAGACUUGAGCUACACUAUUAAAAGUAUUUAGAAAGUAAAUUUUAUAAUUUUUCGACAUCAUUUGGCUAAUGAUCAAAAAGUCUCAAAAUUGACAAUUUUAAUGAUCGAUAUGAUACGUUUGUGAAUUUAACGGUAUAAAAUAAUUUAAAUCUGAUGAAUUUUUUAUUGAAAAUUCUUUUCACUAUUUAGAGUAAAGGUGUAUUUGGUUCGCUCUUUUUCACUCUAGAUCGGAAUCGGAAUGGGCGAAUUCGUUUGUGGGUAUUUGGUAUGCGGGAGUCGCAUUCCCAUUCUGAUUUCGUUUGCUGAGUGGAAUAGGAAUCCCCCAAUCAUCUUUUUUUCCAAUCCAGCCUAGGAGGCUGGAUUGGAAGUUGAAUUCGGACGGAAUGGAUAUUUAUUCAGAUUAAAUUUAUUUUUUCAACUUUUUUAAUUAAAAAAUGAGUUUAAAUUUAGAAAUUAAAUUUAUAAUUUUAAAUUUUAUUUUGNCAGCUUUCAAAUCAACGAUCAGUUUCAUUAGACUUGAUCUACACUAUUAAAAGUAUUUGGAAAGUAAAUUUCAUAAUUUUUCGACAUCAUUUGGCUAGUGAUCAAAAAGUCUCAAAAUUGACAAUUUUAAUGAUCGAUAUGAUACGUUUGUGAAUUUAACGGUAUAAAACAAUCCAAAUCCGAUGAAUUUUUUAAGAAAAUUCUUUUCACUAUUUAGAGUAAGGGUGUAUUUAGUUCGCUCUUUUUCACUCUGGAUCGAAAUCGGAAUGGGCGAAUCCGUUUAUGGGAAUUUGGUAUGCGGGAGUCGCAUGCCCAUUCUGAUUUCGUUUGCUGAGUGCAUGGAAUAGGAAUCCCCUAAUCAUCCUUUUUUCCAAUCCAGCCUAGGAGGCCGGAUUGGAAAUUGAAUUCGGAUAGAAUGGAUAUUUAUUCAGAUUAAAUUUAUUUUUUCCACUUUUUUAAUUAAAAAAUGAGUUUAAAUUUAGAAAUUAAAUUUAUAAUUUUAAAUUUUAUUUUGAACUUGAAUUAAAAAUUAAAAUUUAAUCAAAUAUUUUGAAUUUAACUUACGAAUUUGAAUUUAAAUUAAAUUUUAAUUUAUAUAAAGUUUUAUUCAAAUUUUAUUUAAAACUUAAAUUUAAUUUAUGGAUUCAAAUUAAAAUUUAACUUGUAAUUUUAAGUUUGAAUUUGAAUAAAUCAAAAUUUAGUUUUAUAUUUUGAAUUAUCCACUCAACUUCAAAGUUUAAUUUUUUUUUAAAAAAAAUAGAUUUAAAAUUUUGACAUUUUUCAAAAUUUUGAUAUAAAUUUUUAAUAUUUAAUUUUUAAUUUAAAUUUAAAUUUAUAUAUUAUAAAGAUAAAGUUAGUAUAUUAAUUUGAUUACGUUUUUUAUAUCUAUCUGAACCAAACACCGACAAUAGAAAUGAUUUAUUUCAAUUUCGAUUCAGGUGAUGAACCAAACAGAAUUAGGUAAUGAGUCAUUCCGAUUCUGAUUCCAGCUUAUUUCGAUUCCGAUUCUGAUUCCAGCUUAUUUCGAUUCCGAUUCUGAUUCCGAUUCGACUUUAAACCAAACAUGCAGAAUAUUCUACAAAGUUAUAUAUUUAUAUGUAUAAAAAAAUUUAAAAAUAAAGUGAUUAAAAUAUUUUAAAUAAACUAAUUUAAUAAAAAGACGAGGGAAGUUUUUUUUUUUUUUUUUUUUUUUUUUUAAGAGAUAGGUAGUACGCUACCCGCUUCGUUUAUUUCAUUUAGAAAUAAACUUAGCUGGAAAUGUGAAUCAACUAGGAUUCGAACUUGGGUGUCGAGUACCAACCACCAAUCUCUUUGCCACUUGCUCUAGGGACGGUUGGUGACCAAAUUAUAAUCUCAUAACCGAGGGAAGUUAGUUAAUAUAUAAUCUUAUAACCAAAUUAUUUGAUAUAUUUAGGAUUUAAAUAUUCAGGUGAAAAAUACAGGGACUGAUCCACAAAAGUAGAAUAUUAUAGGGACUAAUCAUACAUUCUAUCCUGUAUAUAUAGAGGCAGUGAGGCCUCAAAUAACCCCCGCUCUCGUGUGUUCUUCUUCGUCCGCUUCCCCGCGUCUCCAGCUACUCCAUAAGCCCUCGCGUGGAAUUUCGAAGGAUUUGGAGCCGAAUUGGGAAGGAAUUAAUCCGUCUCAUCACUGUUUUUGCGUUCUUCGUCGUCGAUUCUGAUCUCCGAAGUUGCAUUCUUGGUACGAUUCCAUUUUCUUACCAUCCUCAGUUGAAUAAUCUCGUUAUGAGAGUUUUAAUCGGCGUAGCAUCAUAGUUUAAUGGUUUGUUCAUUGGAUUAGGGCCGUUGGGGUGGAAAUGCUUCUAUAAUCUUUUUCAAUCUCAUAAUUUUGGUUUCAAAUGCGUUAAAAUUGGACAAGAGGCAAAGAUUUUAGUAUUAGCAGAGUUUUUCUUUCCGAUCGUUCUUUAUUUUGGUGUGAAUUAUUUGUUGUUCUUUACUGGGAAUGUGGACAUUCUGUAAUGAAUGUUGUAUAGGAAGCAGGGUUUCUGAUUACCUUUGAAAUGGAAGUUAAAGUUUUUGUAUGAUUUCGUAUAAAUUAAACGACAUUGAUCUGAUGUGAUGAAGUUUGUGGCCUAUUUCCUUUCUGUAGUUCUUUUUCUUGGAAAUUUCUUUUAUUAGGUACCCUCGUUUACGUUUCUGCACAAUUCAGGAUCAUUUAGUAAUAUAUCACGCAGGUUUACAUCGGAUGAGGAAUAGCCUCUUUGCCCACUUGCUGCAUACUAGGUCUUUAGGUUUCAGCUACAUAGUAAUAAUGUUGGUGCUCGAAUAAAUAAUGUUGGUACGCCAUAGCUAACAUGGCAAGAACAGUCUACAGAACUAGGAGGAGUCAUUGGCAUCCAAAUCUUGGUGGCCGUUCUAAAUCUGAAACUAUAGGUAUGGGAUCACAUGAGCUAAAGUUGGCUUAAUUUGGAUAAUUUGUGGAAAAUUUCUUCUGCAUGACAUAUAUAUGUCAUCAUGGGAAUCGAAUCGAUGAUAUGUUUUCGCUUGGAAGUCAAAACAUCUAGCUGGUUAUGGAUUUAAUUAUUUGGCAGAUGGGAAAUAAGAACGUUACUUUUCAAGAAGAAGGGAAAGAACGAAAGAACGAAAGAAAGAAAGAAAGAGCAUAUUAACCUCGUCCAUACAGGCAUCCGCAGUAGUAAUCGACUUUAAUGACCUCAGAAGGUUAUUGAGUUUAAUAAUAUCAUCUCCUCUUUAAGUUUCUAUCAUCCUAUUUUCUCUACAAAUGUGCAGUUAGGGUCCAGGUCCACGGAAUCAUUCAAUUUUAGGCCUUCCACUGUUCUGCUCCUACAGAAGUGCUGUAACUUUGCCUGAGAUAUCAUGUGGAUACUUUUGGUUCUAGAGAUCAGCCUCGAAUAUGUUUAUUGCUGUGUGUUCCAUAUAAUUCUAAUUGUUGAGUCUAUUUCCCCCAGCUUAUCUAAAGCGAAGCAAAGACCGUAAUAGCAGCUGGGAAACAAACUGGGAGUAAAAGGUCAAAUUGAGAUAAAAUGGGUGCUUGCUGCUCGUCGGGGGGAGCUGACUCAAAUAACCCACCUGUAUAUUUCUGCUUGAGCAUUUCCUGACUUCCUCUAUUGAGUUAGAUGUGUUCCAUUACCUUUUUAUUUUGUAAUCGGGAAAUUUCAGUCUGAAGCUCUGAUUGCUUCAAUCCUUAACAUGGCUAUAUUGCACACCAUAAGGAUGUCUUUUAUUGUAAUCUGAACGUUUACCUGAGGUUAUCCCUCUCUAUCUGCAUGUUUAUAAUGUGGACGCAUUUGAUCAAGAUGUUUUGUGCUUCUAAUGUUUUGUUAAUAAUUUGACAUACGAGAAACAAGAUGCUUGUUCUGAAUUUAGGGAGUAUUUUCUGAAUAUUCUACAUUAUAUUUGUUUUUUGCUUAUGCACUUUAGUUUGAAAGGGUGAUAGUCGUGGCAGGAUUCAAGGUAGAUGCCAUGACCAUGUAUCUCCUCAUAAUAAUUUGUUGAACCUGGGAUGAACACACAAAGAACGUUUUUUUUUUUUAAUAAUAAUAGAAGAUUUGCAAAGACGAUCAGCAAAAUUCUGUAAAUACAGACUUGUAACCUAUUUUAAAGCUCAUAUUCGAAGAAUGUGGGGUUCUAAAUCAUUGGUAGAUAUGUUUUCUAGAUAACUUGGACGAAGUUCUUGUUAAGGGCUGGAAACAUUUUUGUUUUUUGUUUUUGUUUUCCUCUACUGGAAAUUGAGAAGUGCAAACAUUUCUUUUUUUUUUUUGGAGAAGAAAGUUAGGAGGUUCAGAGUUAAAGAGUUAUACAUCUCUAGAUAUUUACUCUUAUAUGUGUGUUUCCACUGACAAAUAAACGGGCUCAUUUUUGUUUGAAGUCCAGCUUGAUUGAUUUUAAAAGGUCAAAGCUUGCGUUCCUUUCUAGCUCGUGCGUAAAUAAUGCAUUAUUCAGUCUAGAUUUCUUGUCUUAUUUGCACUGUCCAUUGGCAAUGUCUUUUGACUGUACCAAUUCAAUGGGUAUGGAUACGCUUUGUUAUAUUGAACUGCAGUCAUUUGUAGGAAUCUCUAUAUUAUGUACUAGUAGACGACAUAUUUUUGGCAAAUUCUUUAAAUUUGAGUUUUUAAUCUAAAGAACAAAUCAAGUAAUUAAUCUUCUUUAAUGUCUAGCCCUCACAAAACCAAGCUCUCCAGCCUGCGCAAAUCCAACAGGUGCAUGAACAAUUACCUUCUACCCAACCUGUGGCGAAUGUGGAUACAUCUGCUCCAAUUACCUUUCCAGCAAUGCCUCGACCAUUGCCUUUCAGUCUUCUCUAUGGGAGCUCAGAAACGGCUGCUGGAAGUUCUGAAAAUAGAGGUAAGAUUGCUGAUCAUACAGCAGCAGAGGGUUUAAUAAAGAUUAUGAGGUCAAGAGAUGUGUUAAUGUGGCAGAAGAUGAAAUUCAUGAGGUAAAGGAAACAAUUUCUCAAGCCAUUUCAGAAGAGGAGGAUUUUUGUAUCAUCUGUCUUGAAGGUAACUGUUAAACCUCCCAGCCCCUCUCUUCUUGUAUAGAAUCAAGAAAUUCCUGUCCUAUGCUGUUAAUAUGUUUGUUAGAACACUUUAGUUUGGAAUUUGAUAGAAUACUAGCAAGUCAUGGAUAUUUUCUUCGUAGAAUUUUUUUCUUUCUUUUAGUUGAGCUUUCUAUUUUGCUGAGAUACAUAUAAACAUAUAAAGUUUAAGUAGCACUCUUUUUUUACUUUUAUUGUACGACAUGCUGCCAUGCUUUUGAAACUUAGAGACAUGCAUAAUUGUACAGUAGUACCUGACUACAAAGGGUACAAAAAAUAUUAUUGUGAAUCGAUUGUGUUGUUCAAAAUGAUAUUUGAACAAUUUCUGGGAAAAAAAUGUACUAAAUUAAUCUUGUUAAUCUUAUUUAGCCCAACCAGCCUUCUUUUGCAACUCUUGCUUCAGUUUGGUGAUUUAAUUCACUUUCAUGAAAAUGUUGUGAACUCUCUCUCUCUCUCUCUCUCUCUCUCUCUCUCUCUCUCUGUAUGUGUAAUAAAAAGGUGUUGGGUUAAUGGUUGAUUUAUUACAUUAGAUUUCCUGAACAACUUCAUUGUGCUGCAAUCAACAGACUAUUCCAAAUAAUUGCGCACUGAAAUCUUCCCCUUUCUCCAGAGUAUACUGCAGAGAAUCCUCACAUUGUCCCAAAAUGCGGACAUAAUUUUCAUCUGAAUUGCAUACUUGCUUGGCUGGAGCGAAGUGACCGCUGCCCUGUUUGUGACCAGGUGUGCACUUUGAAGAACUAGGAUUGCUAUUUUACACAUUGUAACAUGUUCAUUUUAAAUGCUCUGCGCGCACAGUUAAAGAAUCGAAAAAGGAAAGAAAAGAAAAAUAAAUGGGGAGUUUUCAUCUGAAUUCCUGUUUGCAGAUAAUAUUGAGAGAUGAUCUUCUCGGAAUGCAAACCUGAUACGUGUAAAGCGGGCUUUGAGUUUCUUUCAUGUUGGUGCCAGACCGGAUGAAAAGGAAUAGAAACUCUUCUUAGCAGGGAAACUUUUUUUUUUUUUUUUUUAAUAUUUUUUUUUUUUUUUUUUUUUUUUUUUUCUCACUCGAAUUUUUGCGUGGAGCGGUUGGUGAUGGCUCUUUAAAUUCUCCAGAUUUUCACAAAAGGAGGAUAAGGUGGAAAAGGAAAAGGAAAAAANUGUAAAGCGGGCUUUGAGUUUCUUUCAUGUUGGUGCCAGACCGGAUGAAAAGGAAUAGAAACUCUUCUUAGCAGGGAAACUUUUUUUUUUUUUUUGUUAAUAUUUUUUUUUUCUUUAACAAUCGAGUGCUCUCACUCGAAUUUUUGCGUGGAGCGGUUGGUGAUGGCUCUUUAAAUUCUCCAGAUUUUCACAAAAGGAGGAUAAGGUGGAAAAGGAAAAGGAAAAAAGAAAAAGGAAAGAGAAAGAUGACUUCCAACUCGAGUAACCAAAUUUUCUGUGCUCUCUAGUUUUCCUGUAGAUGCUCUGAUGUUUUUGUUCUGAUUACAGAAUAGGUUAAUAAAUAGUUACUUGAAAUUCUACGAUUUAAACUCAAGGACUACCGUUGAACGAGCAUUUGGUUCAACAUAUUUUUGUUGCCUAUUGUUCUACCACUAUGGAUAAGUGAUCCGAGCUUUCUAUUAUUUUCUCUUUAUUCUUUGGAAAAUGUGCAUUGUACAUGAAUACUUCUUCUUGACUCUAUCGCAUUCAAUAUUAGAGCAUCCAGAUUGACGCAUCAAAUGUAUUAUUUCUGUGCUGUACUUUUAUUACUUGCCUGUUUUUAUCAUCUGUUAUCCGAUAUAUAUAUAAUCAAUAUGAUAUUCAAAGUUUCAGCAGUUCUGGGACUAUCUGAUAUAGUUGGGCUGGUAAUUGGUUCAAAAUAAAUGUUACUUGGACUUGAUGAGGUUUCUCGCCCCGUUGAAUUGUUUUGCCGCGAGACAAAGGCUUGAAGCUUGUUAUGAGUCAAUAUUAGGAAACGAGAAGAUCAAGCAAACUUGCUAUCACUUAUAUAUACUAGAUUACUCCUAGAUAAUUCCACUGAUUGAUAUUUCAAAGCAUGUGGUAGUGCCGUCCCAUUGCUAAAAUACUAUCCGAAGAAUGAUGUUGCAAUAUUAGAACAUGCCCCAGUCUUAAUGAUACGAUUCUAUUUUAUCAUUAGAGAGAAAUGAUCACUCUAAGGGAAUCGAACCUCGAAAAGAAAGAUAUUAAGAGAUGGAGAGAGAUAGGAAGGAAUAGAAUGAGAAGAAAGAUAGAGCAAGACGGCUAAUUUCUUAUUAUUCUCUAAAUCCGAAGGCCGUGUUUGGUUCGAGUAUAGAUAAGAACUGCUUAUUCUAGGAAUAGGUACUAAGUUCGGGUAUAACCAGUAACUACACCAAUUUUGCGUUUGGAUAAAAAUUGAGUUGUUCCUUACAAUAAAAUAAAUAGUGUUUGGAUGGUUAGGUUGGAACAAAUGGAAUAAGAGUUAUAUUUUAGAUUAAAAUUAUUUUAUCAAAUUAAUUAACACCAAAAUAUUACUUAAAAAUAAUAAAUUAAUAUUAGUAAUUAUAAAUAAUAAAAUAAUAAAUAAAUAAAUAAAUAAUUAUAAAUAAUAAAUUAUUAAUAAUUAUAAAAUAUAAAUUAAUUAAUUAAUAAAAAAUUAAUUAGAUAAUAAAUUAUAAAUAAUAAAUUAUUAAUAAUAUUCAAUAAUAAAUAAUUAAUUAAUAAUAAAUUAAUUAGUUUUAGUUUUACGGUUAACGGUAACUAUUAAAAUAGAUAAAUAUACUUAAAUAAUCAAUAAAUAAUUAAAAAAAAAUUACAAUUACUAAUUAAUAAAUUAAUUAUAAAUACGUACAAAUAAAUCAUAAUAAGUAUACAAUAAUCAAAAUUAUUAAUAAUUAUAAAACAUCAAAUUUGAAUUACGAACAAAAAAAAAAAUAAAAAUAUUACAACGAAGAGUGAGUACUAAUAAAAAUAUAAAAUAAAUAAAUAAUAAAUAUUACUAGAAAUAAUGAGAGUCACAUAAUAGAAUAUAAUUGAAGGACAAUAAUAAAUUGUUUAACAUUAUACUAAUCUAAACAUUAAAUAAAUCUAAAUAAAAAUCAUUAUUAUUAAUUAAAAAAUUAUAAAUAAUAAUAGAAUAAUUAAUAAUAAUAAAUUAUUAUUAAUUAUAAACAAAUUAAUUAAUUGAUAUUAAAUUAAUUUAUUAAAUAACUAUUAAUAAUUAUAAAAAAUAAUAAAUAAAUAAAUUAUAAUUAAUUAAUUAAUAGUAAAUUAAAUAAAUAAUUAAUAAGAAAUUAAUUAAUUAACAAUAAAUUAAUGAUAAAUUAGUUAAUUGUAGAUUAAUAAAUUAGUUAAUAAUUAAUUAAUUAUAAAUUGAUAAAUAAACAAAAUUAAGUAAUUAUUAAUAAUUAUAAAUAAUAAUAAUUUAAUUAAUAAUUAUAAAUUAAUAAAUUAAUAAAUUACUUUAUUAUUUAAGCAAUAAAUAAUGAUUUAAAUAUAUUUAAAUAUCAUAAUAUAAAUUAUUAAUAAAAUUAAUUAUUUAAUAUCAUAAGUAAAAUUAUUUUUAGACUUCAUUUAACCUUAUUCUUGGAUUGGAACAAGCUUGUUCCAGGGAAAAGGUGGAACAGUAGUUCCAGUGUUAUACCGGCUUAUUCUAGAAAUCCGAGAACUGCAAUUCUCGGGUACCAAACGUAGCGUUUGGGAACAAAAGGGGGAACAAGAGCUUAUUCCCCUCUUGUUCCCGAACCAAACGCUACCACAUUUAUAUAAUCUAAUCCUAAUUAAACUUUAUCCAAAAUAAGCAAAAUAUUCUAAAAUAAUAAUAUAUCUUUUCAUAAUUAGAAAAUUUCUAAUUUAGGGAACAUAUCAUUCCACCACCCUCGAAAGCCACUUGUUCUCAGGGUGGAAAAUCCACAAUCCUAUCUAUUGCCUUUAGAUCAUUUUCUUUGUUUUCCUCAUGUUUGCCCUCGAUCAAAAAAUAGUUGCUUUAAGUUGCAUCAAUGUCUGGGACUAUAUUUUUAAUCACAUUUGUAUUAGAAGCCCUAAUCUUUCUUGCUUUUGCUUCAACCGGUGUAAGGCGUUUUAUAGAUGGAAGCGCCUUAUUAGAUGUUGGUAUUGUUGCAACGACCUGACCCGCUAGCAACAAUAACUCGUUGGGCCCAAACCAUCGGCCCAAAAUGCUUAAGCCGGAUUAUUAUUACUAGCGUGUAGGCCUCAUAUAAACUGAUCGGAAUCAGUAUCCCAUCCGAUGUGGGACUAUUGGGGGCGUUACAAACUCCCUCUGUUUAGACCCUGACGUCCUCGUCGGGUCCAAAUCAUAUCACAGACAGACAAACCAGGACCAUUACCACGCGAUGUGAGAUUCUAGAGGUGGCUCCUACAGGUUCAAGAGGUGGCUCCCACCAAACCCGUUGGUGUAGCACUUUGUCCCGCAUAGCACUUAGUUCUCACACUUUCGGCUGGUAUUCGGCUCUGAUACCAAUUGCAACGACCCGACCCGCUAGCAACAAUAACUCGUUGGGCCCAAAUCAUCGGCCCAAAAUGUUUAAGCCCAGUUAUUAUUACUAGUGUCUAAGUUUCUUAUAAACCCAAUGACAACUCCAUUCCCAUCCGAUGUGGGAUUAUUGGGGUGUCACAGACUCCCCCCGUUAAGGCCCUGACGUCCUCGUCAGUCCAAUCACACACACAGCCCAAGACCACCAAGCGAUGUGAGACUCGUCUCGCUAGCCCGUCAUCCAGACCCUAGCUCAGUCGAGACUCGCCACACAUGUCCAGUUGGUGAACCGGCUCGGAUACCAAAUGCAACGACCCGACCUGCUAGCAACAAGAAUUCGUUGGGCCCAAACCAUCAGCCCAAAAUGCUUAAGUCGGAUUAUUAUUACUAGCGUGUAGGCCUCAUAUAAACUGAUCGGAAUCAGUAUCCCAUCCGAUGUGGGACUAUUGGGGGCGUUACAAUUGUGGAAGCAAACAAGAGGGAAGACUUCAUAAUGCUAUAUUGAGCUAUCAACUUCUUCUCCUAUAGAUGAGCAAGACCGAUGGCGGCUGACAUAGAAGCUAGUUGGAAGGUGCGAACAUCAUGCUUUAAAUCCUCCCUCAACACACUAACAAAGCAACUUAUGAAAAAUGACUCGAUCAACCCUAAAAUGCAAUUUGAAAGUAUUUCAAAUCAAGCCCAAUAGCCAUGAACACUCUGAGUAGGUUCUUGUUGUAAUUUUGAUAACUCUUCCAUAUAGUCCUCAUACAUGGUCAGACCAAAGUAGUGCAGAGGGCUUCUACGAAGUCCUCACAUGCUAUGACUCCAUGGCCCUUCUCAAACCAUUAAAACCAUUGUGAUGCUUCCUUUCCACAUGGUAAGAUGCAAGCAAAACCUUUUGUGGAUUACUCAGCCCGAUACACCCAUCAAGUCGGAUCCUCUCCAUCAAAUUUAGGAAACUCCAAGCAUGUGACGCAAGGUUGCACCAUCAUAUAAUUUUGGAAAAACUUCAAAUACCACCCUGUGGUUUCACACUUUCUCACUUGAGUACCCUAUAGUUUAAAGUGUAUCAAUCUAGUGUCAUGUGGUUUCAUUUUUAUAUUUUUAUUAUCCAUUUCACUAAUUUUUUUUGAAAAAAUUUCAAAAACCCCCCUGUGGUUUCGCACUUUUUCAUUUUAGUACCCUGUGGUUUAAAGUGUAUCAAGUUAGUACCCUGUGGUUUCGUACUUUUUCAUUUUAGUACCCUGUGGUUUAAAGUGUAUCAAGUUAGUACCCUGUGGUUUCUCACUUUAUCACUUUAGUACCCUGUGGUUUAAAGUGUAUCAAGUUAGUACUCUGUGGUUUUAUUUUUGUAUCAAGUAGUACCCUGUGGUUUUAUUUUUGUAUCAAGUUAGUACCCUGUAGUUUUUAAACCACAGGGUACUAAAGUGAUAAAGUGCGAAACCACAAGGUACUAACUUGAUACACUUUAAAUCACAGGGUACUAAAGUGAAAAAGUGCAAAACCACAGGGUACUAACUUGAUACACUUUAAACCACAUGGUACUAAAGUGAAAAAAAGUGAAACCACAAGGGGGGUAUUUGAAGUUUUUCCCAUUUUUUUUGUUAAAUCAGCGACAAAGUUAAAACUAAAGGGUAUUAAAGUAAAUAUUUGAUAAACCUAGGUGGGGUAUCUGAAGUUUUUUUUAUAUGAUUUAACAAAAUAUCAACAGAAAAGCUGACGAAAAAUAAAAAUGAAACCACAGGGCACUAAUUUGAUACACUUUAAACCACAGGAUACUAAAGUGAGAAAGUGCUAAACCACAGGGGUGGUAUUUGAAGUUUAACCUAUAAUUUUCUAUUAGAUAUGUCUCGAAUUCUAGAACCGCAAAGUUUUCUAACCCUAUAAUAUUUUGAUUAUCCCAUUAAGUUUAGAUUAUACCCAAUUGUAUUGAGAUAUUCCUAAUCUUAGUGGGUUUGUAUUCCUAAUUAUAUUAGGAUUUAGCCACUAUUACAAAUAUACAAUUUAUUCUAUUAAUUUGGUGCGGCAGGUAAGAGAGAGUAUGGGUGUAUUUUUUGGAAUUAAGAUUUUGUAAAAGAGGCAUAUUUUGUACACCACUUUGAUUCUAAUAAAAUCUUCGCUCCAUAUUCACCCGUGGAUGUAGGCCGGUGGCCGAACCACGUAAAUAUUGUGUGCUUUAUUUUUCUUCUCUCGUUCUAAAUUCUUUUUUGGUAUUUUCGCACCCAACGAACUAGAUUUUUUUGGUUUUAGUUCUAACAAGCUGGUAUCAGAACCAGAUUGUUCGUUUGGUUAUUUAAGACGUCGACAAAAUUUGAGAUCGAGAAGUUUGCUCACUCCAGUAGUUUCGCUCUACGGCAAGUUGUCAUUUUGAUGCAACAGACAUUGUAAAAUGCGUAGUUGGAGAAUGAGAAGAUUGACACUUCAGAGAACCCUGCAGAUUUGCUUAUUAAGUUUUUUCGGUGGUCAAGUUCAAGUAUUCCAUAAACUUGAUUCACAUGUGCAAUAGCAGUUCAGGAGCUUUUGGGAUUUUGGUGGAGAAGACAGAGAAUUCAAUCCAAUGUGGAGAUUGUUAAAUAUUGUGUGUUUUAUUUUUCUUCUCUCAUUCUCGAUUCUCUUUUGGUAUUUUCUCACCCGAUGAAGCAGAUCUUUUCUGCCUUUGUCAUAACAACCUGGUAUCAGAGCCGGAUUGUUCGUUUGGUGUUUAAGACGUCAACAAAGUUUGAGAUCGAGAAGUUUGAUUUGCUCUAUGGCAAGUUUGUUGGCUUAAAUGGGCCAGCAUCCUGCCAUGUGGCAGGAGGCCAUAUGGGCCAAGUUAUGUUCGAAAUGGCGUCAGGCUGGGUGGACCAAGUCAUGUUCGAAGUGGCAUGAGGUAUGUUGGGCCGAGUCACAAUCGAGACCCGUGGGCGCCGUAUCUGUAGGCUUUAAGUGAAUUGGUUACGUAUUUCUAACGGCUCGAGCUUUUGGGAUUCAUGGUUAGCGCCAACGAUCCGACAAGUGGUAUCUGAGCCAGAGGUCACGGGUGUGACUCCCGCAUGCUGCAAAUGUGUGCAAGUGCUGGAGGGGGGAUUGUUGACAUAAUGGGCUAGGCCAGCAUCCUGCCCUGUGGCAGGAGGCCAUGUGGGCCGAGUCAUGUUCGAAAUGGCAUGAGGCUAGGUAGGCCGAGUCAUCCUUCAAAGUUGUCAUUCUGAUACAAUAAAGGUUGCAAAAGGCGUAGUUGGAGAAUGAGAAGAUUGACACUUCAGAGAACCCCGCAGAUUUGCUCAUUAAGUUUUUCAGUGAUCAAGUUCAAAUACUCCGUAAACUUCAUUCACAUGUGCAGCAACAUUUCAAGAGCUUUUUUUGGGUGUUCAAGACGUCGACGAAGUUUGAGAUCGAGAAAUUUGAUUGCUCCAGCAGUUUCGCUCUAUGGCAAGUUGUCGUUUUGAUGCAAAAAAGGUUGCAAAAGGCAUAGCCGGAGAUGAGAAGAUUGGAACUUCAGAGAAUCCCGCGGAUUUUCUCAUUAAGUUUUUAGACGAUGAAGUUCAAGUAUUCUGUAAACUUGUUCGCAUGUGCAGUAGUACUUCAGCAGCUUUUGGGAUUUUUGUGGAGAAGGCAGAGAAUUCAAAUCAAGGUGGAGAUUGUUAGAUUUAUCUCGAAUUCUAAAACUGCGAGGUUUUCUAUCCCUAUUUUGUUUUGAUUAUCCUAUUAAGUUUAGAUUGUGCCAAUCUUAUUGAGAUAUUCCUAAUCUUAGUGGGUUUGUAUUCCUAAUUAUAUUAGGAUUUAGCCACUAUUAUAAAUAUACUCUUUAUUCUAUUAAUUUGGUGAGGCGGAUGAGAGAGAAAGAGUAUGGGUGUAUUUUUUGGAAUUAGGGUUUUGUGAGAGAGGCAUAUUUUGUACACUACUUUGAUUAUAAUGAAGAUCCCCGCUCCGUUUUCGCCCGUGGACGUAGGCCUAUGGCCGAACCACGUAAUAUUGUAUGCUUUAUUUUCUUCUCUCGUUCUCGAUUCUCUUUUUGUAUUUUCGCACCCGACAAACUAGAUUUUUUCAAUUUUAGGUCUAACAUCUUCUAUAGAAGGAACAAACACUCCUUCCUUUAUGGGAAUUGGUAGCAAAGGACAGUUUUUGUUGGAACUCGAGACAGAUCUAUCUUCAGAUGGUGCAUGCGCCUGCAAAUCCAUCUUCGUGCUCCUAGCAAUGAUCAGAUUUUUAAUAUUGUUAAUAGAGUCGAUAAUGUGCUUUACUUCGGUUUCCAAUUUGUUGAAUCAGGCGUCGACAUUGGAAAAUCGAGCGUUCAUCUUCUCUUUUCUUACAAACUCCUUUUCCGUCUUCAGGAAAUUUUUUUGUGCUUGAGUCAAACACCAUACAAGACUCUGAUACCAAAUGAUAUGAUUCUACCAUAUCAAUAGUAAUAAAUGAUCACUUCGAGGUGAUCGGACCUCGUAGAGAGAGAUAUUAAGAGAUAGAGAGAGAUAAGGAGGAAUAGAAAGAGAGAAAAGAUAGAACAAGAUGGCGACUAAUUUCUUAUUAUCCUCUAAACCCUAAAAGAUACUCAUUUAUAUUAUCUAACUCUCAUGUCCCGGAUUACCACGGUAACCUGCACACGCCAACAAAUCCACCGCAUAUAAGGGAAGCCCCAUUCACACGAAGCAUUUAAACCUGCAAAGCAUAACCAAAGAGCUACUACUAUAAUAGAUAUCAAAGCUAAAAUAAAUAGCAACCAUGUAUAGAGCAUAUUAAAUCACAUCCAUAACACAACCACAUCUCCACAAAAACAGUCGAAAUAGUAAAGGUAACCUUGCAAGUCCUAAUAUAUACAAUAUGCUUGUGAGGACUGAGAUUUUUCUGUGUAAUUUGAUACUUUUUAAUGAUGUUUUAUGAGCAAUUUAAUUUUAAAAUCGCUUGUCUAAUUUCAGCGGAAAAUGAGUUGAAAUAAAGACGUACGGUGGAUUUUACUAUUCACUUAAAUGAAUAGUAAACGGUAUUUCAAAUUGAGGCAAUGACAUGUGGAUGGCUUCGGUCGUGAAUCGGACACCAUUUCAAACGAUCCAAUAGGUCGAUUUUGAUGGUCUGACUAUGCCGAAGAUAAUGGUGCUGACUGAUUUUACGUUCGAUGCACGAUUUUUGAGAAAACUAUCUUUAUUGUAGAUUGGUCAAUUAUUAUUUAGUGUUCUUGCUAUUUAGAAUUAUCUGAUGCUUCGUUUUGCUUGAAAAUGCAUGAGGAAGGACCUUUCUGCGAGAGAAAGGCUGUGAAAAAGGACCAGGUCAUAAAUCAGGGAGUUUGUGGUGUUUUUUGGGCUAUCAUCCUAAACCAUGCAUGUAUAUAUAGUUAUAUUAGGGUUUCAUUAGCCCUAACCCUAAUUCCAAACCCUCUUCGCCUCCCUCUCUGGCCAACCUGAGGCCUUCCCUGCCACCAUCGUCGCCGCUCCGGCCGCCGGGAGAAACCUCUCAUUCUUUUCUCUCUUUCUCUCUCUCUUUGUUGGAGAGGUGAUUCAAGAUCCAUCCCAUGCAGCCGCCACCUUUGGACCGUCGCCAUUACCGGCAGGGCCUCCGGUGACGCUCCUUGAGCCGCUCCUGGCGCUUCCACGUUCCAGGAAUAGUUGAAGCCGAGAGGGGGUGCCCUGGUGGGUGCUGCGGCCGCGGGGUUCUACCUAACCGCCAUCGCCGCGCUACGCCGCCGCCGUCCUUCAUCGGUCUCAGGGGGACCUCCGGCACCGCCCCUGCCGUUCUCGGCCUAUCACCAUCGUCGCAUGAGGCUGCCCAAGCUGCGACCUCUUUCUGACCACAGCACCGCCACUAUCGUCGCCCUCGCUGAAAGUUUUGAGGGGCCCAAGGAUCUAUCUAGAUUGUAUCUAUCACCUAGAGGGGGGUGAAUAGGUGUACCAGCCAAAAAACACAAAUCUCGAUGCAAUAAAAAUAAAUGCGGAAAAUAAAAAGCACAUCGAGAUUUACGUGGAAAAACUCCAACUUGGAGAAAAACCCACGGGACCAACACGCGAAAAAAUAAUUCACUAAGAGAAAAGAUUACAAGGUGAUUACCGACUCAACGGACUCAACCUGUCUUAACCUCCUAUGAAUCUCGCGCAAUCCUCCGGGUUGUCCACGCCCUCACGUUCGAAUCCACGAACGCCUCCACUUCGAAUCCACGAAGCUUCAAUCACGCCGAAUCCACGACGCCACUCGAAUCCACGAGCCCACGAUCCGAAUCCACGAACCGCCUUCGUUCACACCGAAUCCACGACGCCGUUCAUGAAGAACAUCAUGUGUAUGGUGAUCCUUCGCUUAGAGUAUCGAUGAAAACUAGAGAAGCGAACUCCAAGCGAAGAGGAGAUCAAAUCGACAUAUUGAUAUCAAAAUCCAAAAUCUCGAUUUGACCUAAAAGAGGCUUUUUGUAGAAAAUAGGUUUUAGAUAAAAUCCGAGCCUCUAGGAUUUCUCAAACAUGUAUUUUCGUGAUGCUUGAUAUGUUAGAGAACCCCAAUAGCUUAUUUAUAGACUUUAGAAUCAAUUGGAGUCGGAUUAGAAAGUUUUCACGAUUUUACACUGUGUACCGGUACGCGAAAAGCUGUCACCGGUUACACAAUGACGGAACGAAAAUUUGCAUUGCCAAUGUUGAUGGCUGUAGCAGUACUGGGCACUUGCUGUACUGAUACACAAUGCAAUUUUCUGGAUUUUUCACUGUUUCGGGUUCCGCUACUUUCCGAGGCACUUUCUAAUCCAUUAAACUUUAUGUUUAUGAUUCUAAUGCCUAUAACUAAGUAUGAAUCACCAUAACAUGAAUUAAAACUUUACCUUUACGUCGUGAUUCACAUUGAGAGCUAUUUUCCAAAAUCUUCGAAAUUUUGAAUUCUUCAAUCUUCGUCAAUCCGCUUCGAUCCUUCAAGACUCCGACUUACUUCACGAAACUUGCCAAUACUUCACGAAACCUCACUCCGCCGGCAGUAGGUGCGACGGCCUCCCCUAGGUGAGGCGACCCUUCUCUGGCUGGAGCUUGCCUCGGCAUUCCGCCAGCCACCUAGGGUGUGCCCUAGCUCUGCCUGGGCUAGGUUCAGGAGUGGUCUAGAGUUGGGUUGGUUGUUCUGGCCAACAACAACAUCAUCAAACCUCCGUAGCGUGUGCACGGCUUCUCUGGGACCCUGAAGAGUCCAGUGCUCACCUCCGUUGCAACUAGGAAGCCUCAAAUAAAAGUGCUUGGUGUGUUAGCAGCUGCACAUCAUAGUUGGAUGUUUUCUCGCUGUUUUGAGGCUUUCUAAGUCACUGAUUGUGCUUCGUAUAGUGAGCAUGAGUCUCGUAGCAUCUAGACGAUUUAAAUUGAUAGGUUGCUUGGGUCCAUUGCAGCACGGAUCGUGGUAACGAGCCUAAAAGCCACCUCUAUGUUAUUAUUUGAAUAGUACUUAAUAAUAUAGUUACAUCGCUGAGUGAAUGGAGCUUCGGGGACCCAAAGCACUGCCCUGAACAAUGUGUAAUCAUUGUCGGUGACCUCUUGACUGAUUGUUGAAGGUCCAGGGGCCGUUGCAAAGAUAAAACGGGAUUCCGCGGGUAUUAAUUGGUGGAAAUACAUCGGACGUUGUUUGAGUUUGAGUUUCCACAUUUUGGCAAUGUGGACUUUUCGUAUUUUGGCAAUGUGGACAUCCCUAAUACACCGCCAAGCCUUAUUGGCUGGUUGCUACUACCAUCUCUAAAACCUAAAGAUGAUAGGUUAGCGGCGGAGGGUUUCGGAGCCAAAAUCGGCAAUUACGGAAACCCAUUUCGGCAGAUUCUCGCUUAAUCGAUCCCUCGAUUUUUAUUGGGGUUGCUUGCUGCCCAAACAUCUAAUUUCAUGCGUUUGGGGUCAGCGAUUGGCUUACGUGAGGAUCAAGAACUUUCGGAGCUCUUUGUGGGUCUCGAAGGCGUCCCUGUGAGUUGCCGAAAGCUUUUGGCGAGUAUAGGAAAAUCAAUUUUCGUAACUGUUCUUUCGAGAGUUAUAGGUCUUGUUGGUUUGUUUGGAGUCUUGUGAGGGUAGGAUUUGACUCGGUGGAUCUUUCAUAUGAAUGGCAGACAGUUUCGUGCAUUCUAGAAGUUGAGUGCACGAUAGUAUAGAUGGGUACUUCAAGCUGAUAGUCAGUGAGAUCGUAUCAUCACUAUUCGCUAUCUCUACCUUUCUAUAUCUGUUUCUUUCGUCUCUACAUGUCGGCGUUGCUUCAUUUACCAUUCGCAUAUAUAUGCUUUGUUACUUGCAUAGUGAUAGUUGUUCUUAGACAUGUAGACCAAGCUUGUAUAUAUUGACCAUAUGUGGACUUUUAGGCCUUGUCAUGUGUUUCGAUCUGGUUGAUCAAGAUUCGGCAUCUAUACACCCUAGCAUCUGGCUUCGGCCAAGGCAUCGGCUUAUGCCAAGUUUGUAUUAAGCAUAUUGCAUGACUUCGUCAUGACAUUUGGGUGUAUUCAUUGACACCAGGUUGGUUUGACCAUCGACCAGAGGUGUACUUAUUCGGGUAGGUCGUCUAAUUGGGCGCAUGGAUCGGGUCGGUGCAAGUUAGUGACAAGCUCCACCUGAGGUCAAAGGUCCAAUAUGGUAGGAUAUAGAUUGGGUACAGGCUUUGGUUUCAACCCUUUAGGCAUAUACUGCAUAGUAUUUUAUUUACAGUAGCGGCUUUUAUUCCUUACUCUUUAUCAUACAUAUUGUCAUAACUAUUGUAGUUCUCUUUCAUAUCACGACACUUGUAUCAGUUUGUUCUACUUUUAUUGUUUUUCAGUGAUUACAACUUGCCUUUGUGGCUCUGUCAUACGCACUAGAAAACCUCGUUGUGGUUUCUCAUACCCUUCUUCCCAGGUGGCAUGGGCGAGGAGUUAGACUACGGUGCGACGGAAGAAUGGCCUAGCUAGCUAGCAUUAGUGGUCUUUACCUUGCUUCAUUUUUUUAUUGUAUUCAGUAGUUUAAAUAAAUGAAUGGUCUAGUUAGAUGAUCGAGUUAUUAUUGCAUGAAUAAUAAUCUUGGAUUGUAUGAAUUUGGAAUUUCAAUUAUGCAUGUACUUGGAAGUUUUUGGACUUUAGUAUUUCUACUUGUAGAAUUAUGUUAUAUGGUUUCUACCGCUCGUGAUAGUUAGUUUUCAAAAUAUUGAGUUUUCGUGUAGAAAAUAGUUUUCAAAAGGAUUUUGAAUGAUUUUCGAUUGAUGGUUAUUUAGAGUUUAAAAAUAAAACUUUUAGGUUGGGAGCGCUUUUAAAUAGGAUGAUUGUUGUAUUGUGCAUCGCAUCAUCUAGCGCCUAAGAAGUGCUUAGAAGCAUGCAUCAUUCCUACGGAUGGCUAACUGUAUAGAAAUGCAUUGUAUUGAUUGCUUGUGGAUUUCGUGAAUGUGGGUUGUGAAUUGUGAUCCUAUAUGUUAAGAUAUAAAGUGGUACGUCGUACAAAUACAGAGAAGACUCUGUCCAUGUGGGUAAAGGAACUUGUAUUUGUGGUGGGUCUGUGCGUCACAUGGACCAAGCUAUUUUUAAAAGAAGAAAUUGGCACAUUUUUUGCAGCUUUGCUUUCUAAACCAGUAUCUUUUUAUACAAAGGCUCUUCCAAAUAGGCCUCGGGGUGUGACAAUGCUCUACCAAAAAAUAGUGUUAUCAAGUGCUCCACUAGUACAUCUAUCUCGACUAGGAGAAGCUAACUAUCCCGCAAUCCCCUUACCUCAGUCAGACGCAGCAAUAGGAAUAGAGAGCUCUGUAAAAUAAAAAAGGUAACAACAAAAUGUGUGAGAACUACUAGGCAAGUAGUUUCCAAUAGGUACAAUCACAGACGACGACGAUCUACCCACUAGGCCUACCGAAGACAAGAGAACUAUACUGAGCUGUAAAGCAAGAUAUAUAAAAAUGAGCUAGAAAGAAAUCUACAGCUACCAUGCCUUUAUACUAUAGCUGCUCGAGAUAGCAACAGAUAACUGGGAUGCAUCAACUAGUUAUAGGGUACUUCAACCAUAACCCAAUCUCAUCGACCGACUCGAGGGUCCGGUCAAGUCUGCGCCUACCUACUGCCACGGCACCACUUUUGCAGAUUGCCCAUUAAAAUAUAGGUCGCUCAUCAGGGUAGCCGCAACAUCAACACUAAAGACAAACACUCGAGCAGUACUCGAUGGGCGCGACCCCACUGAGUAUAUAAUAUGUAUCUCUGUUGAGCUCAAUACAGUUCAUGCAGGUUGUAGUUAAUACAAAUAAUCAACCAGAUUCUAAAACCACUAUCCACGUGUCCUAAACAUAAUCUGGAGUGUAACCCAAUGAUCUGGAACCAUCGUAUCAUCCACAGCAAUAGUUGAACUCCAAACAACCCACUAACUAAUCUCACCCCAAAACCUGGGAAUGCAACCAUCCCAUACUAUCACAACCCUCACCCACUAUCCUCGGUAAAGAAUUGUCACGCCCCGGGUUUCAGCGGAAGCCCACCGGGCGUGUGCACAGAUCCGCCGUGUGCACAGAUCCGCACAGAUUCACCAAACCAUAGUUAGUUAAUUCGGAUUUGGGAAAAUUUUGAUACAGAUAUAAUACGCAUAAAAUUGAUUUUCUAAUUUUUAAAUUCGUUGAAAAAUUCGGCUUAAAAAACGAAUUUGGUAUAAAAUAUAAAAUAUAAGAUAAUCUAUAUUUGAAAAUAAAAAUUAUAAGUUUUUUAUUCAUAUUUUCAAUAAUUCGGGAAUAAUUCGCAAAAAAUUCGCGAAUAAUUCGGCUGGCCCAAAAUUCGCGAAUAAUUCUCUUUUUUUCGGAAAAAUUCGUAAAUGGACCGUUUAAUUUGGAUUUUCAAUCAUUCACAAAUAAUUCGCGAAUUAACUAACUAGGCACGAAACACCCCCGACAUACACAAGGCAUCUACAACAAACAUAAAGAAAAGUAUAUACCAUUCCUAACAUGAUAAUCAGAGCAAAAAAUAUAAUUCCACUAGAUACAUAAACUCAAACUAAAUACAUCUCCUAGACUACAAUCCUCCAAACAAGAAGUAUAACAUACACACUAGGAAGUUCAAAUAAAUUACAAGAUUAUAUCUUUAAACUAAACCAAAGAAAGCUUUUUACGGGCUCGUCUAUCUCAACAUCAAGGAGGCUCUAGCUAGUCGCUGACCCCUUGCCACGAACCCUAACCUUUCCCGUGCGGAAGGCUCUGAAACAAAAACAAUCAACAAAUAGGAGUGAGAACUAUUAAACAAUAAUUUUCAGUGGGUAAGCCGCCGAGAGUGGCGAAAUACACCAUUAGGUUAACUGAGGCAUGAAUAAAAUACAACAAGUAGGAGAUGUACAUGCAACAGUUAAUUGAAAUGGUUCAUAUAUAAACAUGCCUCAACAAGAUAUGUUUUCUAACAUGUCUGUUAUACUAAUUAUCACAUAUGCAAGUUUUGUAAUUCAUGCAAGUUACAUGUUUGUCCAUUUUUAAACUAUAUGCCAUAAUUAACAAGGAAUUCCAUCAUUAUAAUAAACUGGCUAAUAUUAUCAUAUUACACUAACAUAAGAAUGUCAUUACAACUACUGACUAACAGGAAUGUCAACUUUCUAGUGUGUUCAUUUACUAGGUAUGCCUCAACUAGUGUCACAAGGUAACAUCUACUAGUAUGUCCAUCCAAUGUCAAGUUUAUUUACAUUUAUCCAAUUAACGAGGGACUUACACGUGGUAAAGUUCCGGCUCGUGCUGUGCCUAAUGGCCCCGUGAUAGUCAACACUCCCCACGGCAAUCCACUUCGGCGCUCAAUCCCGCACUGGCGAUCUGUCGUCGCAAGGCUAACUCCGGAGUGCCGGCUUGUAGAGAGCGAUCCUCACAAGCUUGUGCGAAUGAGCACAAUGGCAAGCAAGCGUGAUCAAUAGCAUAGUGUCCACAAGUCACAUACUCAAUCAUCAUGUCUAAAACAUGGAAUCAUAACAUCGACUCGAAGGUCGAGUACUAUAUCACUUAUGUCAUGUUUUGCUAACAGUUAACUUGGUUUAAUUCUACACUAGUUUCACCUCUCAUUGAUCCAAUAAAAGAUAUACUAUUUUCCACUAUAAUACCACAGUCGUUCAAUGAACUACAAGAGUGUUAACUAACCAUGAUUUAAGUCAUGCACAUAUCCUGCUACACGAGCCUCCACUUCAUGGAGUAUAAGAUAAACAUGAAAGUAAUUUCAUUGAACCGAACAAUUAUAUACAAUUGCCCCUUUUUAUUCGCCCAAAGGCGUAGCCAUCCUUUUGUCAUGUUAAAGGCGUAGCCAUCCUUUUUGUCAUGUCUAACAUGAAAGGCAACUAUCGACCUGAAUGUAGAGUACAAUGUCAUAAUGCUCACUUAGUUAUGUAAUUAGUUAAGUGCAAUAUGCUUAACUUUAUAAGUCAUAUAUCUCAACCAUACAAUAGGUCAUAUUUACCCUUGUCUAAAAUGCAUACAUUAACUGUCAUGCAAAUUAUGCAAAUUGAACUCAGUAUUUCCACUAACCAUGCGAAGUCCUGUAGGACUUUCAUUUACUCACCUCUAUCAUGCGUUCUAGUGUUGUAUAAGAGGAAAAUGCAUUUACAUGCCAUCUAGUGUACAAGUCCACAUGCUAAUGCUCUACUACAUAGAGUAUGAAAUUUCUACAGGUAACAUGAUUGUAUCAUGCAUUCGAAAAUUCUACUAGAUCAUAAUUAGUAUGAAUAUACACCAAAUUAUGUCUUAUAAUAAUAACGAAGACGUAGAGGGAGUUCACCCAUUUCGGUAAGGUCAAACCCACCAGAUAUUCUUCGAACUCGUACGUUUGCUCGCGCGAAGAUGUCUUUUAGCCUCCCAACACCCUAACAAAUAUUCUAAAUGAAUUAGGAGCUUCUAACAGCCUCCCACAAAAUCCCUCAAAAUUCAACCCAAAAAUGGGUAGAAAAUACCUUAAAUAGACAGAGACUUAUCCCAAAACUUCAAUUGAGGUUGGGAUACUUCAAUUCCCACCUAAACAAGAAUUUUGCAACCAUUAAUUAAGCUCCAAAAGCUCAGUCAAGAGAAACCUCAACACUAAACUCAAUUUCUACCAAUUCCACCAAAAUCACAUACCAAAAAUGGCAAUUAAGUAGCUAACCUUUCAAGAGCUCCAAACUCAGCCAACCUCGGGCUAGGGUUGGAGAUUUAUUCUCAAAACACUCCCUUCUACACUUCCAAGAUCCCUCCAAGAAUCACAACACAAGCCUCCAUGGAAAAAAGAAGAGAAAAGGGAUCAAUUCCAACAAUUUCCACCAAAAGUUGGAAAGAAAUCUAGAGAGAGAAAGAGAAGAAGCUCACCUACCAUUGCUCAGGUUCUAGCACAAAAGAACAGCUGGGGGGGGGGGGGGGGGGGGNGGGGGCGGUUGGGGAUAAACACGCUGCCCUAUUACCAAAAGACCCCUCACCAACUCACAAACAAAACAUUCUGCCACAUUGAGUACCGGUACUCGAAUUGGAGUAUCGGUACCCGGCACUCAGACAUACAAAACCCAAGUGUUGAACCUUCGGGUUUAAUGCAGUGUACCGGUACCCAGCCCAGUACCGGUACUCAACACCCAUUCUCAAACAAGAGAGCAGCCCAUUCUGGCAUGCAAUGGGGUUCCGGUACCUCACUCAGGUACCGAUACUCAACACUCAAAACCUGCAGUUUGCAGAUUUUAGUGUCAGUAAUCCGAUCUCACACUAAUAGAACUUAAGUUAGGUGUCGGUACACUACCAGCAACCCUCAAAAUAGCUAGAAUAGUUCUAAAUACUAUUCUUACACUAGAACCUUACAAUUUGCUAAAGUUCAGUGUAUUACAAGAACUCAAGCCCCCACUAUCCUUGGUAAAGAACUCAAGUAACCAUGAUGCCAACAGUGUAGGGUUGACUAAUUCAAUCAUCUUUAUCAAGUGAACAAUAUGAAUGAUAAAAAUUCACCUAGACAUUUGGGAUGCAAUUUUUCGCUAGUAGUUAAUCUUACAAUACAACUAGAUUUCACUACUAAUAACUUUAAUUUCAAUAACUAUCCCAUAAAGGAUACUACCCAUGUGACCUUGGCACAAUCCAGUAUGCAUACAAUUUGUCCGAAACCGUCAUACCAACCCAUGGCAAAAGUGAAUCUCUAACUAGUAUACCAACUGACAUCACCCCAACUCCUAAGCGUAAAGUAAUCCUACACUACCAUAAAUAACCACCGCUGACUACCUGGGCAUAAUCAGUUGAAACUGAUACAACAAAUUAAAUUAUUGCAUGAUUUAGUUUGAGGAAAAUACACUACAGUGCAUGUGGGAGGAUUAUCAUUUCACCUAGAUGGCUAAAGAAUUAAUUGCAAGUGGAAUAUCAAUGCCAAGCAACUAGGUUCAGGUUCAACAUAAACUAUGUCCAAUUUACUACUAACUAACUAAGAACAAUGUCUAGUUUUCUACCAAAUAACAUACUGUAUACGUGCUGGGUUACAAGCUAGACAUAGUGAAUAGUCUAUUGUAUUCGGGAAUCUUAAACCCACCUGAAAAAGGAAAAACUAAUCUAAUAGUGGAAUAAACCGCUCAAAGACCUCCUCACAGUGCAGGAAGACUCCACAAGACCGAAACUCCAACCACUCAAGUAAAACCAAUAGGAAAUCUCCGGAUCUAGCUAAAGAAAAAAGGCCAUUAGUCCUCAUCCUCCUCACUUAGUGACGAACAACACCCGCUGGCCAAGCUUGCAGAAGAACUCCACCUUGGGCAGGCGCACAGUCCCUUUGUUUCAGCUCCAGAACCAGUAAAGGAGAUCUAGGAAGUAGGGAAAGAGAAGGAGAUGGAGUGAUGGUAAAAGUCUCUGGAUGAUUCAGAAGUGAAAAAGAUGUGAACUGUGAACCCCUGGACAUGUAUAAAGAAAGAACAAUUGCAACGGCACCUUAUAAACUUAACGCACCUCAGCCCAAACUACUAUUUUGGGGCACCUGAAUUGAGCUUUCCAGUACCCAAACCUAUCGUAGCUCCACCCAAAUGAUCCCGCAGGCACCCGGUGAGAAGUGCGGAUCCAUUGUAACUCCAUCCGAAAGUUUUCGGGCAUCCGAAACUGUAGUGUACCGGAUUUUUUUUUUAUAUAGAAGCAAGUGUAAAUAAAAAUAGUGUAAUAUACUAUUUUAUCGGACUUAAAGAAAUAAAAUAUAAGUCGAAAAUGACUUGUGCUGAGAUCGAAACGAAAACAGAAGAUUUAGAAUUUUCUGUGAGAAAGAGGCUGAUAUUUUAGCAAAAAAUGCACAGUGUCAAAAAAUUAUGAAAACCUGGGAAUAUGUCGGGAUUAUUUUUAUGAGGUUAGAUUUAAAGUUCAUGUCAAUCCGACACCCGGAAGGUGAAAAAUAAAAUCCGACUGCUAUCUACUAGAGAUUAUAGUUCGGUAGGACUUUCGGUGACCAAACAUGGUCUAAAAUGGAAAGUUAAGAUAUAUUCCGUUUAUUUAGCAAAAACCGAGCCUGACUGUGAAAUUUGAGCGAAAACGGACAUUCAGAAGGGCCGGCGAAAGGUAUUUGUACCUGAGCUGCUAAACUGAAAAUAGUAAUAGUGUUAUGUGAGGGGUUUACUUGGAGGUGAAGUUUCAUAUAUAUAUAUAUAUAUAUAUGAGGGACUUUUUCUCUCAUUCUCCACCACUUAAACCAAAAGAGAAACCUUCCCUUUCUCUCUCUAAACCUUUCUCUCUCCUAGAGUUUUGCUCCAAUAGUGGAGAUUUGGUGGAAGAAGCUUACUUGGAGAUGAAGCUUUCUUCUUCUUCACCAUUGGCUUGAAGAGAGCUUGGGUUUGAGGUGAGCUUUAUGGGAUUUUAUGGUUUUAGGUUAGGGGUUUUGUGUAAAUCCCUUCUAAAUGAGUUUAAUUGGAAUCCUAGUUGAUUCUAAACCUUGUUAUUGCAUAAUCUAUCAUGAGAUUUGAAUUUUAUGCAAUAUAAGGGUUUUUAGAGUUUCAAAAGAGGGCUUUUGAUCAUGAGAUGUUUUGAUCUCAAUUGAUCAUAUGUUUCCACAAUUGAAGGUAAAACCGACGCGGAGGAUCACUCGGAUUGAGAUUCCGUUGAGCCGGUGGUGGUCAAAGUGAAGAAAAUCCUAUUUUUGCUUCGUUUGCCGCAGUCAGAAGAAAUCGACGGCCAUAAAUCGCGCUGCUAGGCUAUCCACUUCGUGUCGACGCCACGAGGUGGGGGGUGCUAUCCGAAAUAACCGAGUUUCAUUCUAUGUCUAAGUUCUACUAUUAUUGACCAUAUAUCAUCAUGUAUAGAAUUGUGAGAAUCCUAUGAGUUGUGGUAAUUUCAUGCUUAGUGUGAGGGAUGAUGAUAAUCCAUGAUUGCAUGAUACUUGUAGGAAUAUUUAUUUGCAUGAUGUUGAGAUAGAUGUGGACAUGUAUAUUGCAUGAGAACUUUUAUAUGAUGCCAAUAUUGUAACACACUGAAUCUUUGCAAAUUGCGAGGUUCAAGUGUUUGGUCUGUGCUCUAAGCCUUUCUGUAAGUUUUGGGAUGCCCAAGGAUCUAUCUAGAUUGUAUCCAACACCUAGAAGGGGGUGAAUAGGUGUAACGGCCAAAACCUCAAAUCUCGAUGCAAUAAAAGUAAAUGCGAAAAAUAAAAAUCACACCGAGAUUUACGUGAAAAAACUCCAACUUGGAGAAAAACCCACGGGACCAACACGCGAAAAAAUAAUUUACUAAGAGAAAAGAUUACAAGGUGAUUACCGACUCCACGAACUCGACCUCUCCUAACCUCCUAUGAGUCUCGCGCAAUCCUCCGGGUUGUCCACGCCCUCACGUUUAAAUCCACGAACGCCACGUUCCAAAUCCACGAAACACCUCCACUGCGAAUCCACGAAGCUCUAGCACUUCGAAUCCACGAAGCUUUCGAUCCGAAUCCUCGAAUCCCUUGAUCAUGCCGAAUCCACGACGCCGUUCAUGAAGAGCAUCAUGAUUAUGGUGAUCCUUCGCUUAGAGUAUCGAUGAAAACCAGAGAACAAACCUCCAAGCGAAGAAGAGAUCAAAUCGACAUAUAGAUAUCGAAUUACAAUAUCUCGAUUUGACCUAAACGAGGCUAAUAUGUAGAAAAUAGGUUUUAGAAGAAAUCCGAGCCUCUAGGGUUUCUCAAACAUGUAUUUUCGUGAUGCUUAAUCUGUUAGAGAACCCCAAUAGCUUAUUUAUAGACUUUAGAAUCAAUUAGAGUCGGAUUUGAAAGCUUUUUAGAUUUUUAUAUUGUGUACCGGUACACUUUUAAGCUGUUACCGGUUACACGAUGACGGAACAGAAAACUUGCGAAACAUUGUAACCGAUGACAUGUCGCUGGUUGUACUGGAUAUCACGCCCCUGGCCCGAGACCCCUACCAAUUUGGCACGGUUCAGGCGCGGCGAACGGACGCCGAACGAACAGCACCUCCCCUGUCCACCGAAGGCUCAACAACAGAUCGAGUACAAGAAUUUACCCCGGAUUUUAAAUUCUAUAAGUACACAAUCAACGGGGCACAAACAGUGCCAACAACAAAGAGCAAGUAAUCCACAAGAUACACGAGUGAAAUAAAGAGAGAACUUACUAACUAUUACACCACAUUUGCAUCUUGUAUACAAUUACAUUUUUUUUCUCAAAAUGAAUACAUAUUUUCUUCUAGUACAUAGCUCUCCAAAGUCCUCACCUACAUGAAUCUCUCUUAAAUACAUAGGUGUGCUAAUGCAAAAGGAAAGCUACUACUCUACCAAGAAUCCUGACUGGUCGGGUGCGAUGCCCUUGCCGCGGUCCUCGCCCGGCAAACCUGUACCUAGCCUUGGAAAUAGAGUGGGGUGAGAACUAUCUUCCAUAGUUUCCAGUGGGAUCGGCCGCCGACUCCGCCGAUCUCCCCACUAGGUCCAAGUGGGCACAAGUAACAACGAGAUAGAUAGAUAGAUAUAUAUAUCAAAGCUGUAAAGACAUAAUAGGAAAACUAUACUACUAUGCCCAUAAUCAUGUGUAAUGAAUGCAUGCAUUAUAUAGUAAAAGGUUACUAUCAUGUUAACAAGUUCUAUCCAUGUUCGAUAAGCAAUGUUCAAUGUCAUUAUUAACUUUUCAUUUACGCAAUCUGUAGCAAAACCCUUGGGUUUGCCUAUGACUCACAUAUCCAUCCCAUUGGGUAAGGAGGCUCCAUGUGCCCCCGAACUCGGGACUGUCUGCGGACAACUCUGUCCUAAUCACCCGACACUCCGGUGUACUCGACGACCAAUCCUCUCCAUGUGAGGAUAUGGAUGGCUUUACCACCCCAAAUAACAGACUGUGAGCUUGAUCUAUCCUCUCCACGUGAAGAUACCCUACGAACUAGUGCCAACAUUUCUCUCGGAACUCAACUAUUCCGGCACUCAUGCAUAGUUACUUAGCUCUACUAAGUUCAUUGUUCACGAGUCAUUUUCUAGGAAAUCCACCUACCCCUAAGUUCAUGAACCUUUAGUGUCAAAUACACUACAUAAUGCCACUCGUUCUCUUCUUUAAACAUUUAGAUGCCACUCUCUAUGUCACUAAAUAACCAUCGAGUUCAUCUCUUCACUUUAGCACUAUAGGAUCCACGUUCCGACCUAAUCCUUACCUAUCCAUUUCACCAAGUAUUCCAUGCACACUAGGUUAACAUUUAGAAGCAUAAGGAAAAAGUGCUACAAUGCAAUCCUACAAUACAACAUGCAAGAGAUGAGAUUAUAUGUUAUUCUAAGACACAAUAGAGAGUUCGGUUGCUUCGGGAUGACACCCCCCAUCUUUUGAGGGUAUGAAGGUUCUAGAAAUGCCUCUCGCCGAACGUUAUGAUGAUGUCUCGGCCUCCUUGGUCCAAGACGGCGCUCAAUCGGCUAUAUUUCGCCGAUAGCUUUUCAUCCGCUCGACGAAUCGAAAAUCCGACUUCGCCCCCGCGUUUAGACACCUAUCAAUUAGGUUUACAAACUAUCAAAUGAGAUCAAUCUCAUCAUUUAUCAAAAAUCCCAAUUUGGAGCCCUAGGCUUGCACCUAUAGCAAACCACUCCAUCCAAACCCUAGAUUCUAGCAUUAAUCUAUUUAGAAGCAUGCUAGAGGUCCAUUUGACCCAUUUCCAAAGCCAAAAAUCCAAAACCCUUAGUUCCAUAUGCUAGGGUUUAGUAGCUUACCUCUUGAGCUACUCCAAAGGGAUGAAGAUGGAGAGAAGAAGAGUGGUAGAGAUGAUCUUCUCCAAGCUCCCCUUCUUCUUUUUCUUCUCCUCCUUCUUCUUCUUCUCUUUUCUUUCUUCUCCUUCUCUUUUCUUUCUUCUUUCUAGAGAGAGAGAGAGAGAGAGAGAGAGAGAGAGAGAGAGAGAGAGAGAUGGGAGUGAGGGUGGAAAUAAGAGAGGGAGAGAGAGCCCUUUGCUCUCUAUACCCCUUACUUAUGUCACAUUUUCAGUUUAGGCCCUCCACUUUUGCUCCUCUCAAGUUACUCUGCCUGGGCAGAUUUCGCGCAGAGGGACCGGUCCCUGGUCAGGAGAACCAGUCCCCUAGGACCUGCCCAAUUUUUACGCGUACGGGAACCAGUCCCUACCCGAGAGACCGGACCCUUGAGGACCGGUCCUUCCCGAGAGACCGGUUCCCGAGAGCUGACCUCUCGGGACUUGGCCAAAUUUUCACUUCUCCCGCGGGUUUCACCUACGGGGACCGGUCCCUCAGCCCAGGGACUGGUUGCAUCAGGCAACCCCGCAACCACCAACUACGGGGACCGGUCCUUCCCUGCCAGGGACCGAUCCCCGAGAGCAGAAUCUGCCAAGUGCAGAUUUUGCACUAUUUGCUCUCGUGGACUCAACUCCAAAGUACUUUUUGUGUUUUGGACAUCUUUAACUUUUCCGAAGGAUACCCACUCGACAAAUAGUCGAUCCUGGACGAAGUAUAACUAUCGAAUUUCGAGAAUUCACUUCCUUACACCGGAACACAAUUUGUACCGGUACACAUUCAAUGUUGUACGGGUACACUUUGCAUUUUCUUGAUUUUUUCAUGAUUUUGGAUUUUGCAAAGUUCCGAUGCACUUUCUAAUCCUGUAAACAUUAAUUUUCUGAUUCUAAUGCCUACAACUAAGUAUGGAUCACCAUAACAUGAAUUAAAAACUUACCUGGGUAUGGUGAUUCACGUCGUUAGUUAUUUUUCGAUUUCUUCGAAGUCUUGGAUUCUUCGAUCUUCGACGAUACGCACCGAUCCUUCAAGACUCCGACUCACUUCACGAAACUUGCCAACACACAAGGCUUAACACUUUCCACAGUUUCUAGAGGGUCGUAAAUAGUGUUCCAACCCAUGACACGCAUCCCGAGAAUUGAGGUUUAAAACUUUGCACCAAAACUCAAAAAGUUGGAUUUUUGGUCUGCUCUCGGGUUUGCCUCAGUAGGGUUGUGUACCGGUACAGCCUUGAUGGUUGUACCGGAAUCCAUUUUGUACCGGUACACCUUGAUGGUUGUACCGGUACAGAUGUGGUUUUCUGCCAACCCGAGGCUCAGGUUUGCGCAUUCGGGGGAGUUGUACCGGUACACUUUCAUGUGUACCGGUACACUUUGCCAGAUUGCAAACUGGCAGCUUUUGAGGGGUGUAUUUGCUAUUAUUGCUUCUCUAUACAUACCCCACGCCCUUAGAGAGUUCCCUGAGCUGGGAAACAGUGGAGACAAGGUAGGGAAGCCUCUCUCUUUCCCUAUUUGGAUUUGAUCUCCAUUUUGCAUGGAUUUUGGUGGAUUAAUCCCCUAUUUUUCUUCUUGGUGCAAUUUUCACCUUGGGAGAAGCUUGGACUUCGAGAUUGGAGCUUGAUAGGAGAGACAUCUUCGAACCUAGUGAACUUUGAUCCUUGUUUGAAGCUUCUAAGAGGUUAGCAACUUGUUUCUUCCUCUAGAUUCAAGCUUUGAUAGUUUAUUUUAGAUAAAACCCUAGAAAUGAAAAGUUAGGGUUUAUUUGGGGGUUUUGGAUUUAGGGCUUUUGGAGCUUGAUUUCUUGGAUUAGAACCUUCCUCUAGGUUGGAUUGGAAGGGUUCUAGCUCCCAUUUGGAGAUCGAGAGAGACUAUCACCAUCUUAGGUGAGUUUUGCCCCUUUUCGUGAUUUGGUUAAAGAUCAACCUAUGUGUUGUUCGUAACGUUCGUGUAACUCUCCUUUUACUAUCUUUAGGGUGCUAGGAGAAUAGUAGGCAACUUCGUUCGGCAAAACGAAGGGUUCCGAGGGGCUCUAGGUGGGUUUGGCCUCAUCAAAUAGGAUAAAAUUUCCUCUAUGGUGGUUUUACUCUCCGUAAAGUGGAAUUUCAUGCAUAUUUAUAUUAGAUGCAUUAUUUGUGAAUUUUAGAAUGCUUAGAAUGCAUAUAUUAUAUACAAUGUACAUUUAGACCUCUAUGUAGUAGAGAGCUAUUCCUGUUGGGAUCAUGAAUAUGGUUAGCAUUCUUAUACUUGGAUUGAGACCAUGUUUCAUUCAAUGAAAAUGACAAGUACAUUGUACCCUUGGACUUAUAGUGGCAUUGAGCUUGGCCUAUGUAUGAACUUAGUAAGCUAAUGUCAUAAAGGGGCAUUGGGCUUGGAAUGUAUUCGGGACAUAGUAAAACCUAGUGUCAUAAAGAGGCACUAGUGUUGGAACAAGAUUUAGACAUAAUGAGAUAUAUUGCCAUAAAGGGGCAGCGAAUAUAAUGAACAGUUAAACCUUCACUCUGAGACAUAGAACUAGACCGUUGGGUUGCUAGUGACUAUUACCAUGUUAGAGACAUGAUGAUCAAGUUCUUGAGACGACGACUAUACUUGCUUGUCAUUUGUGCUCAUUCGCAUAUGCUUGUGAGGGUCGCUCCCUACAAGCCGGCACUCCGGAGUUAGCCUACGCGACUUAUGAUCGCUCAUGCGGUAUUGAGAAGCCUACAGGGGCCUGGCGGGAUAGACUCAUUUCUCGAGUGGGAAUGCUGGAGCUAUCACGGGCACUUAGGCGGCACAAGCCGGAUUACCUUGUGUAGGUCCUUAAUUGGAAAUGAAAAUCGACACAGAGUCAUAUAAGUAAUAAUCACUACUAGACAGUUCAUAGUAGUUGGAUUUAUCGGGCAUUUGGACAUGUAGUGUAUUUGAUAGUAUUGCUUAUUACAUUAUAGCAUACCUGUUUGCCAUGUUGGAGCAUACUAGUCAUGUAUUGGUAUUUCGGACUAUGAUAGAAUAGAUGUACACCAUGUUGACAUCAUGUAUAUUUAUGGCAUUGUAGAUUAGCAUUUCAUUACAUGCUUUACAUAACGCAGCUUACUAGUAGUUCUUUUAUCUACUUAUGCUCUUGGGCCUAGUGGUGCAUUUUACUCAGGUCAGUAAUUGCCCACUGGGAACUAUAAAUUAUAGUUCUUACGCCCCCUGUUUUAUGUUUCCUUUCAGAGCCUUCCACGCCGGGAGAGGUUAGGGACCACGGAAAGGGUGUCGCCUCGAACUAGCUAGCUUUGGCGAGGGACUUGUCGAUAGGUGGUCUACCUCUCAUUGGUUCUUUUUUUGGAGAGGUUGAGAGUUGUACCUGUGUAUAGAGACCACCCUCUCUUUUGUGUGUAUUUUGAGACGGUUGUUGUAUUACUUUAUGUUUUACUUGAGUUGAGUAGUUCUCUUUCUUCCAUUUCUGUUGAUAGAAUUAGUUGUAUACUUGCUCUGAUAUCUCUAGUUACUGUUUACUCUUAUCUUUCAUACCUCUUUGUUGUAGACGCCUUAUAUGUGCAGGCAUAUGGUGGGUCUGGGUACGCACCGGGCGGGCCUAUGCCGGGUUCCGGGGCGUGACAAAUAUAGAUGUACUUAUGCAUGUUGCAUUGAGUUGCCAGUGGACAUAUGCAUGAGGAUAUGAUGUGAGAAUAGACUAGAUUCAUGAGGAACUAGUAUGUGAACCAAUGACAUUGUAAAAUUGGAAACCAUUGCAUAUGUGGCCGUCUUGAACAUAUAUAGCAUGCUUUGUGAUUGUUUGGGGUGUGGGAUCCCCGAUGUCCUCGGGCAGGAGGACUAGAUCAUACUUGAUUCAUCUGUUGUAUUUGAGGAGGUCGCGCCUCCCAUUUCUGUGAGCUCCAGAGUUGUAUCACAGUGAGAUUGAGACGGGGGAGGUGGUCACGACGGUGUGCCCCCGGCAGACGGUCACGGUGGCGUGAUGGUGUGGACUGAGUCGUGGUUCGACCUUGGGGUGAACCGAUUGGAUUGAAUCAAGGCAUGUUCAUGGCAUUACAUAGAGUGCAUACAUGGUAGAACUUAAACUUAUUCUUGUUGACAUGAUUGGUAAAGGCAUAGCUGCACAUUUGAAGCAUGAUGUAGAUGUAUAUGAGCAGGUUAGGCUUAUUGUUUAUCUAUUAUCUCUUUGACAUAUUGUCCUAUUUAUUGUUUCUAUGCCUUUCUUAGACCUAGUGGAAAAAUCGGCGAGGUCAACGGCCGAACCCACUGAGAACUAUGAAUAAUAGUUCUCACACCCUAUUUUGCAGAGCCUAGUACGAGUACAUGCGUCGAGGAUCACGGCAAGGGCGUCGCGCCCUAGAUAGAGUGGACCACCGGCGUUAGCUCACUACCCUCGAGUAUAGAAAGGAAAGAAUGAUAUGUAAAACCCUUUUGUGAAGAAAUGUGAUGUAUAUGAGAGAUGGCAUUUUGGUUGUAUGUAUGAGAAGUAAAGUGAAAUAUGUAAUGGUUCAUGUAUGUGAACAAGUGAUGUAAUAGAUAGUUUAAAUUCUCUUGUAUCUGUGAUUGCCUCUCUCAAUGUUAAAUACUAACAUCUCUUGUUGGAUAUGCAUGCAUAGACUUUGUUACGUUUCGGGCAGACAGGGGAAACUCUGUCCAUUCGGCGGGUUUGUUUCGGGCCCGAACUGUCCAAAUUGGUGGUGUCGGGUCGUGACAGAAACCUUGCGCCUGAAACUUUUGUAGUCAUUGUACACGUAUCGAGCCAACGACACAGAUCACCACCAACUCCAAAUCCAGGCUACAGUAUUUUCGAGGAUUCGAAGUAACAUCAAAACUUGCAUAGGAAUUCUGGGCGCCCUAAAUACUUUCUGGGUGUCCAAAACCUAUAAAAACUUUAGUUUCAACAAGUUUUUAGGUUCCGACAUCAUUUUCGCAUCUAUUUCCUGCUAAAACAACUCCAGUUCGGCCCAACACCACACAGACAUGCUGACCAGUUGCCCACACUCCCAAACCCAACUAAUAAGCUCCAGAACGCCACAUAAUAUGUCCGAUGAAUGUGUUUAUAGUAAAAGGAAAAUAGGGAAUCAAGUUGUAAUCAUGUGCUUAUAUGUAGAUGAUAUAUUAAUAUCUGUAACUAAUAUGGAUGCGAUCCAUUAUGAUAAAAGUUUGUUAACUGAAAAUUUUAAUAUGAAAGAUUUAGGUGAGGCAAAUAAUCCUAAAUACAGAAAUCAUUAGGAAGGAUAUUUUGAUAAUUUUAUCACAAGAGCAUUAUGCCGAGCAAUUGUCAAAGAAAUGGAUACUUUGAUUUAAAAUCUGUUAGUACUUUAACUCUAUGACGCACCUAAAGGAAAAUACAGGUGAUUCUAUUUGUGUUGAUAAAUAUGCACAAAUCAUAGUGUCAUUAGUUUUUUAGUUAAUUUUACUAGACCUAAUUUAGCUUUUUCUUCAAAUAAGCUAAGUAAAUAUUUGUGUUACCCAAGUAGAGGGCAUUGGUUAGCACUUAAAAGAGUACUUGCUUUUAUCAAAGGCUUUCUUUUAUAUAUGCGUUACAUUUUAGCGGUUACCCUCCUUUCUUAGAGGGCUACAAUGAUGCAAAUUGGAGUAGUAACACCUUUAAUAUCCAGUCCACUAUUAGGUGGUGCAGCUGUCUCGUGAAAAUUAACUAAACAAACACUAACAGCUAGAAGUACUAUGGGAUCUAAAAUGAUAGCGUUUAACCUUAUUGUUGGUGAGGUAAAAUGGCUGAGAGAAUUUCGCAUCAUAUUCCAUUUGGUAAGCAUCCAAUUCCACCAAGAUCAAUACAUUGUGAUUGUAGAGCAGUGAUUGAUAAACGUGCACAAAAAAAUUUAGAAGUAAAGAUGAGUAGACAUAUGAAGAUAUAAAUAUAUUAGAGAGUUAAUUAAACAAAAUAUGAUCUAUAAAGAAUAUUGCUGAUUAACUGGCUAAAGGUUUAUCUAGGGCAGUGGUUCUAUAGUCGUCGAGAGGAAUGGGGUUAAGCUCAUAAUAGAAGUCAUCGGCGAUGGGAACCCAACCUAAUUCCGAAUGUAUGACUAAUGUGUGGAGCUAUAAUGACUCGACCGGCUAACAAUAAUAACUCAUUGGGCUCGUACCACUCGCCCAAGUGCUUAAGCCCAGUUAUUAAUAGUAGUGUCUAUGGUUUCUUAUAUAACCAAUCACAGCCCUAUUCUCAUCUGAUGUGGAACUAUUGGAAUGUUACAAACACCCCCCCCCCCCACCCGCCUCCUUCCCCGUCUCCAUUUAGAGUCUGAUGUCUUUGUCAACCCAAUCACAUAGACACAUCCUAAGAUCAUCAGGCGAUGUGAGACUUGUCUCGUUAACCUUGUCAUUCUAACUCUGGCUUAAUCCGUCAUUCUCUGACACUAGGUUAGCCGUCAUUCUGACUCUGGCUCAGCCGAAACUCAUCUCACACUUCUGACUGGUAAAUUGUUCUUAUACCAAUUGUAAAAACCACGACCAGCUAGUAAUAAUAACUAAUUGGGCCGUCCCUAGAGCAAGUGGCAAAGGGCUUGGUGGUUGGUACUCGAGACCCAAGUUCGAAUCCUAAUUGAUUCACAAUUCCAGCUAAGUUCAUUUCUAAAUGAAAUAAACGAAGCGGGUAGCGUGCUAUCUAUCUCUCAAAAAAAAAAAAAAAAAACUAAUCGGGCCCACACUACCGGCUCAAAAUGCUUAAGCCCAGUUAUUGUUACUAGUAUCCAUGGUCUCUUACAUACCUAAUCACAAUCUCAUUCUCAUCUAAUGUGAAACUAUUUGAGUGUCAAAUUAAGGAGGACCCAACAUUUGUUGCUUGGAGAAGAGAGGAUUACAAUGACUUAGGCUUAAGGGCCUGGAGAGACUGAGGCUUUCUCGUCCUUCUUAAUCAGACUAAUUAACUUUGUUCCCUACGAGGUCCAGCAAUUAGGCGCCAAAAGUGGUGGUGGUUUCACAUAAACCAGAAAGAGGCAGCUGCUACUAGCAUACCUACUAACUUCUAACGACUAACAUGAAAAUGGACGCUACGUACAAACUAUAUAUGUGGCAAAGCACUAAUUAACUUGUUGGCAUCUGCAUCCACAAUGUAAUGCUUUAAAGUAGCUUCUAAAAGGAUAUCCAAACCAACCUCCGAAAUUGCGCCGCCGCCGCUUCCGAGUGAUCGCCAAGAGCUGGAGGGGAGGGUUUUCGCUGAGUUCAUCACUCCUACCUCAGAGGACUUUGGAAACAAAGGAUAUAUUUUAAUGCAUUUGCAUUGAUUGAUCGUAUCAUACGGACUGCUACGAACAAAUUAAUAUUUGUAAGGAGUUAUAAAGAGAAGAAGAAUUUUUUCACUCUCGAGGUCUCGGCCCUGUGUAGAGACUGUUCUUGGCUCGACGCCGAUCUCAAUGGAAGAAUUGUCUGUGAGGACUUGUAAUAAAUUUUGAUAACGACCCGACCAACCAACAACAAUAUAUAACUCGUUGGACCUAAACUAGGUGUCCAAAAUGAUUAAGCCUAAUUUUUAUUAGUAGCGUAUAUAUAACUCGUUGGACCUAAACUAGGUGUCCAAAAUGAUUAAGCCUAAUUUUUAUCAGUAGCGUAUAUAUAACUCGUUGGACCUAACUAGGUGUCCAAAUGAUUAAGCCUAAUUUUUAUUAGUAGCGUAUAAGCCUCAUAUAUUCUAAUCAGAAUUAGUUUUAUGGCGGUUAUCCGGCAGAUUUUUUUUUUUUUUUUUUUUUUGUUCUAUACUUUCUAAAAUAAAAUACAUAUAUAAUACAAAAUCAUAUAUAAUUUUAAAAGCAUAAUAUAAUUUGUUGUUUAAAAUAUCACAAUAUACAAUAAACAAUAAAAAUUUUAAAACGUAAUAUUACAUCAUAUAAAAAUAUUUUAUCAUCACAAAUUUUCGUGAUACAAAAUUAAUAAAUUUUUAUAAUUAUAAAACAUAUAUCAUAAAGUUUAUAUAUAAUUUCUUUAAAGAAAUACACAGGUAACCAUAAGUACUUGUAGGCUACCCAAAUGCUUACAACUUAAUAAGUACCGAUUUAUUAUUUAUCUAUAAUCUUUUAGGUAGGAAAACUAAUAAUACCUGCAAAUUAAAGGUAACCCGCGGGUACACAUGAAUAUGGGUAGAGAUCCGGGUUAAGCAUAGGGUGAGUUAUUUUUAAAUUCCCGCAUCUAAUGAAAAUAAGAAUCUGUUUGGCCUAAAUUCUAAAAAAAUUUCUACAAAAUUAAUUUGGCAUUUGCAUAAAAAAUCCACUUAUUUUGGGCUUUUGCAAAUGCGCCACCUUUUUCAUUUUUGCCCAAUUCGGUCCGUUUUUCUCGCCAAAACUGACCAAAAUACCCUUAUUACUUUUCUCUUUCCUCUUUCUCUCUCUUCUUCGUUUCUCUCGUUCUUUUUUUUUUCUCGCCGGUAGAGCGGAGGCGAGCGGAGGCAGAAACGGUCCGUCUCGCUCUCACCCUCAUGCUCUCGCCUCGCCUCGUCCAUGCACCCACCUUCCUCGCCUACCGACCCCCGUUAAGGUCGCGCCGCGACUUUUUUUUUUGCUUUUUUCUUUUCUUUUUUUCUCCGACUCUUCUCCACCGUCUCCGACGACGACGCCUCUCGCCUUCCCGCCCUUUCAUCUCUCCCCUCCCUCAUUUCUGCCGCCUCCACGACGAUUUAUCUUCGCCGGCGCUGACGUCGACACCGUAUGAGGUCACUGCAGCCGCUACAGCCUCGGAGCGGGGGGUCCUUAGCGGCGUCGUCACCGGCGCCGUCACCGGCGCCGUAGCUGUUGGCCAGAGAAGGUGACCAAAAAAAUUAUAGAAAAAACAGAAAAAAAAAAUAAGAUAAAAAAUUUAUAAAAGAAGGGAUGAGAUAGAAAUUACAUCGUUAAUUUACAAAAAAAAUUAUAAGUUGCAACUAUUUAAGGAUGUAAACUGCUGCUUUAAGAUAAAAAUUAUACUCUUUGAACGAAAAUUAUACUAUUUUUUAUCUUAAACUGCAUCCUUUUAAGUGAUAUUAUACCGUUCUCUCUCUUGUUGCACUGUUGUCUCUUAUUGUUGCACUAUUUCUCUCUUAUUUAUCACCAGAAAUGGAGCAACAAGAGAGAAGAAACGCUGCAACAAGAGGACAAAGAGGAGAAACAGUAUAAAUAUCUCUUAAAAGGGUGCAGUUUCUCUCUUAGUGCAUUGUUUCUCCUCUUGUUGCACUAUUUCUUCUAUUUGUUUACACAGAAAAUGGUGCAAAGAGGAGAAACAGCAACAAGAAAAGAAACAGUUAGUAUAUCUCUUAAAACAGUGCAGUUUCUCCUUUGUUGCACUAUUUCUCCUCUCUGUUUACACAGAAAUGGUGCAACAAGAGGAAGAACAGUAUAUUAUAUCUCUUAAACAGUGCAGUUUUUUUCUCUUUUUGCACUGUUUCUCUCUCUUGUUGCACUAUUUUUUUCUCUUAUUUACAACAGAAUGUGCAACAAGAAGGAGAAACAGUAAUAAAUAUCUCUUAAAAGGGUGCAGUUAAGAUAAAAAAUAGUGUAACAAGAGGAAGAAACAGUACAACUUUUGUUUAAAGAGUGUAACUUUCUCUUAAUGGAUGCAGUUUACAUCUGAAAGAGUGUAAUAAGAAGAGAAACAGUUGUAAAUAUUUCUCAAAGAGUGUAAUUUUCGUUUACAAGGGUAUAGUUUAUCUUAAAGCUGCAGUUUACAUCUUAAAUAGAGGCAACUUAUAAUUUUUUUUGCAGUUAACGAGUACAAAUUUGAUGUUCAUCCUUCUUUUUAUAUAAUUUUUUAUCUUUAUUUUUUUUCUGUUUUUUCUAUAAUUUUUUUUUGUCCCUUCUCUGCCAACAGCCACGCGUGCCGGCGACGACACGCUAUGGACCCAGCUCCGGCCUGUAGCGCCGCCGCAGUGACCUCCACGGUUGUCGACGUCGCCCGGCGAAGAUGCAUACGUCGUCUGGUAGGCGGACAGAGAAUGGGGGAGGCGAGGAGAUGAGAAGGCGGGGAGGACGAGAAGACGAGAGACGCAUCGUCGUCGGAGACGGUGGAGAAGAGUCGGAGAAGAAAAGAAAAGAAAAAGCAAAAAAAAAAAAAAAAAAAAAAAAAGUCGUGGCGCGCCUUAGCGGGUUGGAGGCGAGGAAGGUGGGGGUGCUGGACUGAGGGCAAGGGCGAGGGCGAGGGGGCGAGGGCUAGAGAAUGAUGGGGUGAUUGCUUCUAUACUUUCUAAAUAUAAAAUACAUAUAUAUAAAUACAAAAUUCAUAUAUAUAAUUUUUAAAAGCAUAAUAUAAUUUGUUGUUUAAAAUAUCACAAUAUACAAUAAACAAUAAAAAAUUUUAAAACGUAUAAAUUACAUCAUAUAAAAAUAUUUUAUCAUCACAAAUUUUCGUGAUACAAAAUUAAUAAAUUUUUUAUAAUUAUAAAAACAAUAUCAUAAAGUUUAUAUAUAAUUUUCUUUAAAGAAAUACACAGGUAACCAUAAGUACUUGUAGGCUACCCCAAAUGCCUACAACUUAAUAAGUACCGAUUUAUUUUAUCUAUAAUCUUUUAGGUAGGAAAAACUAAUAAUACCUGCAAAUUUAAAGGUAACCCGCGGGUACACAUGAAUAUGGGUAGAGAUCACCGGGUCUAAGCAUAGGGUGAGUAAUUUUUUAAAUUCCCGCAUCUAAUGAAAAUAAGAAUCUGUUUGGCCUAAAUUCUAAAAAAAUAAUUCUACAAAAUUAAUUUGGCCAAUUUGCAUAAAAAAUCCACUUAUUUUGGGCUUUUGCAAAAUCGGGCCACCUUUUUCAUUUUUGCAGAUUCGGUCCGUUUUUUCAGCAAACUGACCAAAAUACCCUUAUUACUUUUUCUCUUUCCUCUUUCUCUCUCUUCUUCGUUUCUCUCGUUCUUUUUUUUUUCUCGCCGGUAGAGCGGAGGCGGAGCGGAGGCAGAAACGGUCCGUCUCGCCUCUCACCCUCAUGCUCUCGCCCUCGCCCUCGUCCAUGCACCCCCACCUUCCUCGCCUNAGAGGCGAGACGGACCGUUUCCGCCUCCGCUCUGCCGGCGAGAAAAAAAAAGAACGAGAGAAACGAAGAGGAGAGAGAAAGAGGAAAGAGAAAAAGUAAAAAGGUUAUUUUGGUCAGUUUGCUGAAAAAGUGGACCGAAUCUGCAAAAACGAAAAAGGUGGCCCGGUUUUGCAAAAGCCCAAAAAAAGUGGAUUUUUUAUGCAAAUUGGCCAAUUAAUUUUGGUUUUAAUAAUUAAUUUUAGUUAAAAACUGUAGAGCUUUUGGCUAAACUUAAAUAAAAAGCAAAUUUUUUUUUGCCGAACUUUUACAAAGCUUUUUCCCACAAACUUCCAAGGGGCCUCAAACAUCAUCAACUCUGAAAAUAAUAAGAUUCCCUCCGAAGAGAGAUAAUCAUACUAACGACAGAGGCCGUGGGAAUCAUACAAUUCUAAUGCAAAAGCUUUUUUCAAAAUUCAUAAAUUACCCUAAAAAUUCCAAACCCUUAUUGAAAUUUAUAUUUUAAUUGAAAAUAUUAAGUUUACAUUAAAUCAAAAUUUAAACUAAACCAAUAGAAAGUCCUUUCAAUCAAAAAAAAUUAAUGGAUAAACUUCAAUUUACCCCAAUGGUUUAUUGCAUUUUAUUUUGUCGUACUGUAAUUCAAAACUUGCCGUCAACUGCAAGGUUUUUUGGGCUACUAAAAUUAUGAAACUUUUUUAUUAUAAAAAUAAGCAUUUAAAAUUUUUAUUUGUAAAACUAGACUUAAGUGUUGAAUGAUUUACCGUUUUUAGAAAACAGUAAUUCAAUCACCACUUUCUAAAAAUAAUAAACUAUUAACCACUUUUACGUAAUUUAUAUAUUUUUUUCAUAUUCGAACUCUAAAAUACAUAUAUAGCAUUAAAUGGCCAAUUUGCAUCAAAAAUCUACUUAUUUUGGGCUUUUGCAAAACUGGACCACCUUUUUCGUUUUUUUAUAUUCGGUCCGCUUUUUCAGCAAACUGACCAAAAUACCCUUAUACCUUUUUCUCUCUCCUCUUUUUUUUCUCUCGUUCUUUUUUUCUUUCUCUUCCCAUAGAGCGGCGGAGGCGAAGGAGGCGGCUUGUCCGGCGCAUCCUUACCCUCGCCCACACACCCGCGUACCUUCCUCGCCUCCGACCCUGCCGAGGCCGCACCACGACUUUUUUUUUUUUCCUCUUUGACUCUCCUCCACAGUUUCCGACGACGACGCCUCUCUCGCCUUCCCCGCCCUUCUCGUCCUCUCCCUCUUCUUCCUCCUCUGCCGCCUCCGACGACGACGCAUCUUCGUCUGCGCUGACAAUAUGCCAACGCAUCCUUACCCUCACCUGUACACCCCCGCACCUUCCUCGCCUCCAACCCUGCCGAGGCCGCGCCGCGACUCUUUUUUUUUUUUUUUUUUCCCUCUUCGACUCUCCUCCACUGUCUCCGACGACGACGCCUCUCUUGCCCUUCUCCGCCGUUCUCGUCCUCUCCCUCUCCCUUUUCCUCUGCCGCCUCCAACGACGAUACAUCUUCGCCGGCGCCGACACCGUUGAAGUCACUGCGGCACUGCAGCCUCGGAGCGGGGGGUUCUUAGCAGCAUUGUCGCCGGCGCCGUGGAGAAGGGUGACCAAAAAAAAUUAUAAAAAAAGUAAAAAAAAAUAAAGAUAAAAAAUUAUAGAAAAAGAAGGAUGAAGAUGAAAUUGUAUCGUUAACUGCAAAAAAAAUUAUAAGUUACACUACUUAAGAUGUAAACUGCAGCUUUAAGAUGAAAAUUACACUCUUUAAAUGAAAAUUACACUAUUUGGAAGAUAUUUACACUGUUUUUUCUCUUAUUGCACUCUUUUAGAUGUAAACUGCACCACUAAGAUGAAAAUUACAUUCUUUAAAUAAAAGUUGCACUAUUUCUCCUCUUGUUGCACCAUUUCUCCUCUCGUUACACUAUUUUUUAUCUUGAACUGCACCCAUUUAAGAGAUAUUUAAACUGUUUCUCCUCUUGUUGCACUGUUUUUUCUCUUGUUGCACUAUUUCUCCUCUUAUUAUACUAUUUUUCCUCUUAAAUGGUGCAGUUUAAGAUAAAAAUAGUGUAACAGGAGGAGAAAUAUUACAAUAAGAGGAGAAACAGUGCAACAAGAGGAAAAACAGUAUAAAUAUCUCUUAAAGGGGUGCAGUUUAAGAUAAAAAAUAGUGUAACAAGAAGAGAAAUAGUACAACAAGAGGAAAAACAGUGCAACUUUCGUUUAAAGAGUAUAACUUUCAUCUUAAUGGAUACAGUUUACAUCUGAAAGAGUGCAAUAAGAAAAGAAACAGUGUAAAUAUUUUUCAAAGAGUAAAAUUUUUGUUUAAAAAGUGUAAUUUUCAUCUUAAAGCUGCAGUUUACAUUUUAAUAAUUCAACUUAUAUUUUUUUUUUUUCAGUUAACGAUACAAUUUCAUUUUCAUCCUUUUUUUUCUAUAAUUUUUUAUCUUUAUUUUUUUUUCUUGCUUCUUUUAUAAUUUUUUUGGUCACCCCUCUUUGCCAACAUUGUGAAUGAUUUAACACAUUUAAAAUUAUUAACCGCAUAAAACUAGUUUUGCAAAUAAUUUUUUUAUGAAACCAUUUUUAUAAUUAUAAUAUUCUUUCAGGCAUUUACAAAAAGAAUUUCUCAACCACCCUAUGGUUCCGCCUAUUUUCAAUUCGCCACCCUCAGCUCAAAAAAUUACUUGACUUGCUAUAGUUUUAUUUUAAUUUUACUAUAAAAACCUGCCAAUAAAUAAAGUAGCGUCCUAUAUUUUCAGAAUAUUUUUUCUUUAUUGCCCUAAAAUUUUUUCGCACGAAACAGAAGUAAAACUACAAGAUAGUUGAGCACGAAACAGAAGUAAAACUACAAGAUAGUUGAGCGCAACUUAUUAAACCAUAAGGUGACUAAGUAAAAAAAAGGCACUAACCAAACAAAAGUCACAAUUUAAGCAGAAAAUUAAAAUUAAAAUUUACAAGAUAAAUAUACAAUUUGAAUUUAGUAUUUAACCUAAAAAUUUAAAUUUUUAAAUUUAUUCAGUUUGGAGUAAGCCCCUUGAGCUCUCUAAAUUUAAAAAAAUUAAGCACAAAUCGGAUUUAAUCUGUGUUUAAAAAUUAAAUCACAUGUUUGAUUUAUAAAUUUAUUUUUUUUUAAAAAAAAUUUAAAUAUAACGACAACAAUUCAUAAAAUUUGCCUACAUCAUAAUCUAAUUACACGAAUAUCUACUAGUUUAUCAAACAGGAUAUUUUCAUAUAUUUAGUAAUCUAUGAAAAAUCAUCAAUCAAACCAAUCACAAAAAUAUUAUAUUCCCUAGUAAAUCUUGUUUGAAUGACAUUCCUUUAAUUUAGCAAUUCCUAGAAUCUUUUACAAUAAUACGAACCAAGCGCAACGUAAGGGCCCUGGCGCCCCUUCGCCACCCAUAGGCGAUCUAGUCUAGUUAGUUAUUUCAAAUGGAAAAAUACAAUUUUGUAAACAAAUAGUGGCGGAAAUGUGAACAAAAAGACAAAAACAUGGAGCAAUAAUCAUAUGUUUGUUAAACUAGUAAUUGUUGCCGGCAUUCCGCAGCUCCAACCAAAAUUCUAGCCCCAUUGUAUUGUACUUGCAUAGCACCACCGGGGAAGGGGGCGAACAACGAACGGAUUGCGGCAUACAAUAUAAAAUUUAAAAACUGAACUAAAACAAACACUAUACUAGUACUGGAGAUGAUGAUGAAGCGCAUGUUAAAUGAGCUAAGCUAAGCUUUUGAAUAACUUAAAAAAGCCACCUAUCCCAUUGCAGUCAGAGGCUAAGUAUAACACAGAGAAUAUGACUAACACUGGAAAAUAGCAGCAGCCGCAACCGGAUGGGAUGUUCUCAUGAUACCAUCUACUACUUAUGAUAAAGAUAGACGAUGGAGAAGAUGAAGAAUGCCGCCAUCUGCAACGGAAGUCAAAAAGGAGUUUCAUCAGCAUGGACCUUUACUAUUUGCGUAAAUUCAAAACAAUAUCAAGAUCCAUAAUACUGCCCAAGUAAUGAUGCUGGUAUUUUGGGAUAGUACUGCUGCAAGUUCUACUUAUGUACAAAUCCUCCAACUAAGGAUUUGAAUAUCACAUCCUUAGGUCAAACCCUUCUUUUUUAAAAAAGAAAAGAAAAGAAAAGAAAAGAAAAUCUGAUUCUAUCAUUCGAUCUGAAUCACAUGAGAAGAAAAUACACUCAAACCUUGGAUUCAAAACUACUCUAAAACUGAAUGUUGAACAAAAUUUUCAUUUAUACCAUAUUAUUUAGAUCAAUCGCAGCAUUUGAUUCCUCAAAUUUUGCACAUUAGGAAGACAGCAGCCAAUAAACCCUCGAAGCUCACAUAACAAUAUGCCAACUGCUUUUAACUAGUAAACGCUAAGAAGAAAAUUUCAAAAAUUUUAAGAGGAAGAGCCAUGCCAAUAUCUAACAACUACUGAUAAAACUGUACUCUGUUGGACCAACUUUAUAGCAAAGAUUGAAAAGAUAAAACAUGCAUUGUUGAGCAAAUCUACAAUUUAUGCACUAAGAUGAGAAAAUUGACACAUAAAUUUAAACUAGAGAGCAAAAAGUAUAUUAGCUUAAAAUAAUGCUGACGGAAACAACAAUUAGAAUUCAGAAAGUUGCAUGCAUGUUAGUUUACACACACCAUCAUAGUCAAGCUCACCAAUUAUUUUAAAUAUAUUUAUUGAGUACACAAAUUAACUUUACAUUUUGCCGGCUCCAUUUAUCCAGUGAGAAGGAUAUUCAAGAAAUUAAUUCAGUGAAGAAUAAGCCUGACUUUUAGUUUCAUUUUAUCAUCCAAUACUUCAAUAUUACAUACAGAUUAAACUAAGGAUCCUACAGAUCUGCGGCGUAGUCUGAUACUAGAGAUCGACAGUUGGGCAAGGUCCUUAUACAGCAUCGACAUGGUUAGAUAACAUCAAGCAAUGAUGCCAGAUAAAUGAUGCAGAAUAAGAAUAAAAAAGAUUAACAAAAGUACUUACAGUAGAAAAUGAUGCCCCAUAAUAUGGAUAUGCUGCUGUUAUGAAUCUCUCAUACUCAUUGUGUCUGAAAGGACGAACAGGAAUCUGCGUUGCGCACAGGUACAGCAAUUUAAGGCCAAGAAGUCACGCAAUCUUGUUCGAUUAAAUAAAAGAACAAACAAGAUAAUCUUGUUCAAUCAAUAGAUGAACAAUUAUCAUGAUAUACGAGACAAUAAUUAAGCAACCAAGAAACACAUUAGUCUAAACUCUAAAGUAACAAGAGGUUAACUUUUCACUAUUAAACAUUCAUUCCAAAAUAUCAAGUAUACACAUUUCUAUAGCCGCACCCUGUAGAUAAAAGCCGUAAAGAACUAAAAGUUAAAAGUUAAAGCAGCCUCCUGAUAAAGAACUUUGGGCCACGAACUAACGGAAGUUAUCUCCCAAGUGUUAGCCAUAAAUUCAGAGGCAAUCUCCUCUAGCGUAAUUUGGAUACCCUCCCUCCCUCUCUCCCUCUCUUGGGCAUCUUUCGUCUUGCCUCACAAAAACAUGGUAGCAACUUGUAGACCACGUAGUUCUCUUCAACUCCAUUUGCAUAGGUUUUCAAUGUGCCAACAAGAAAUUUGCCAGCAUCCACAUUCAAAAAGGAGUGCAUGUUCGGUUUUUGGGUUGGAGGCCCUUCAAGUCAUCCAAAACGCACACCUUAACGUGCACUUAAAGGCCAAGGGAAAUGAAGCAUUGUUGUUAUGCUGACAAACAAAACAAUCAAUUGACCAUCAAUGUGCAGGUCUUUAGAUGUUCUUCAUCUUCUUUAUUCUUAUAUUUUAUUUUGUUUGCCUCCUUCCAUAUGCUACAUAUUCUUAUAUUGCUCUACCAUAAACAUUUAGCUGUAUCGUUAGGGGACUGUUUCAUAUGUAACUUGCUAAGUACAGAUGCACCCACAUAUUACACAGGCACUACACGGUUCUUAGUCACCAACAUACUAUUGUAUCCUUUAAGAAUAUAGUUUAGUACGCACAUGUUUCUUGUUAAUGGUAAUAUCAUUCCUAUACAUGUACUUUUCCCUAGACAAUAUGCUGAUGUAACGCUAGCUAAAAGAAAACGAUCAAAGCAACAAAAUAACUGAAAUAUUGCUCAGAAGAGUUCAUUGAUAUCACUUUUUAUGAUGUCCAUAAAGAAUAUUUCCAUCAUUCAAACAUACUUUGUUACCAUAAGUACAUCUCAUAUCAAUAUAUGCUUUUGGGUAUUUAUUUCAGAUUAUAAAUAUUUCAUGACUAUCUUGAAUAUAAAAGAAAUAUUUCAUGUACAUUUGAUUUUGGAAAGUUAGUGGAGCUUAGAAGCAAAUAUGCACACCCACGCACGUGCAGAAAAGCGUGUGAGCACGCCCACGCGCAUUUGUAUACUUAGUACAUGUGUUUCUUUCCAAGGAUGCCUAACUUACCCAUAAUCAGAAAAAUUUCGCUACUCAUAGUCCAAAACAUAAAGAGAUUCAUAGCAAUGAUAACUAGGAGAUGCCAGAUUUAUGCUAUGGUUCCAAUGUUAUGUAGUCACCCUUCUGUUCAUGCUUACAACGGGUCUCAGUAAGUGUGACUCAUAAAUAGAAAUGUCUAAGAGAUUUCAGAUUACUCUAGUUAUCUCCUAUAAAGAUAGCCGUGCCACUGUGAUGGAGCAUGUUGGUUUAUCAGAGGCAUGGAAUGCCGGCAUACCUCACCCUAUUUUGUAUUUUGGCAGUGCAAGCUUAUCAGCACGGGGUAGUUGUCCCAGACUAUGCCUGGCAGGCUGGCACAUCAAUCCUAUUAUGAUCUUAUUUACGCUAAUUGAUCAAUGGAAGAGCAAAAAUCACCACCAAAUAACUUGAAAGUAGCUUACAAAUUCAAGAAAAUAGUCCAAUCUUUGUAGCAGGGUGACACCCCCAAGAUUUGAAAUAUAACUACAUAUAUAAUAUAAUAUGGCUAAUCUUCUUAAUCCGGCUAAAGCAUUUUGAGCGAUGGCUAGGCUCAUCGAGUUAAGAGAUUAGCGUACAAGGGCGCGAGUAGUUCUAGGAUGGAUGACCCCCUAGGAAGCGAGGUCUCACAGUUGGUAUUAGAACCAAUCAUCAGUCGGAAGUGUGAAAUGAGUCACGGCUAUAGUUAGUUAAUUCGGAUUUGGCAAAAAUUCGGUACGGGUAUAAUUUGAAUAAAAUUCGUAUCUCAAUUUUUAAAUUUGUUGAAAAAUAUGGCUUAAAAAAAGGAUUCGCCAAUUAUUCGGAUACGCGACUUAUACAAAUAUUAUACAUCACCAAUUAACAAUUCGGGAUAAAAAAUUCGGCUAUUAAACCAAGCUCUUUUUCUCUAGAUUUAUGCUACUAGCAUAUAUAGUAAUAAAUUCUUAAAAAUAUAAAAAAAGAGAGAUACAAAUAAAGUAGAUUAAGUAAAAAAAGCAAUAGCAAAGUUUAUUGUCUCCAUCUUCAUCUUUUUCAUGAUUCACAUAUUUCGGAAGUUCAUGAAGUUUUUUAAUAAUUCAUGAAUAAUUCGGCAAUACUUCGACAAUAAUUCGGAAAGGAAUUUUAUCAAAAAAAUUUACACAUUUUUUUGGCCGAAUAGUUCGGCAGACGCGAAUUAUUUGUGAAUAAUAAAUCUAACCCAAAAAUUCGCGUAUUAUUCUGUUUUUUUCGGAAUAAAUUGUAUGCGGACUGUUUUAUUCGGAUUUUCAAUAAUUCGUGAAUAAUUUGCAAAUUAACUAUGGUCCCGGCUGAGCCACGAUACAGUGAGUAGAGAGUAGCUUCCCGACUGGCGAUCAUUAAGGGUGAAGAGCAACUCCCCAUAAGGUCAACUAAGGCACGAGAGACGAAACUCACAUCAUCUAAUAUUUGUGAGUUUGCUUGAGCCUAACGAGAACAUCCGGACUUAAAAGGAGGAGGAAUGUGACACCCCCAAGAUUUGAAAGUUCUAUAUAUAGGAUAUAAUAGGACUAAACCUUUUAACCCGGCUAUAGCAUUUUGGAUGGUGAUUGGGCCAAAGAGGCUAAGAGGGCUAAGGGUGCUAUAGCUAUAGAAUGGGUGACCCUUGAGGAAGUGGGGCUUCACAGGUAGGCUGGACAGAAGAGAAACAACAUUGGAAACAAACUCAAAAUAAAGGGCCGCACUGCAACCAAAAAGAAAAAAAAGGAGAAAGUGAAGGAGAAUAUGGUGAAAAAGAUACGGGAAAUAUAGAGAAGAGAGCACCCAGUUCAAAGUUAAGUGAGAGAGAAAAUAAGGACAACAAGAAAGAUUUCCAAAAGCCACAAAAAUGCUGCCAAGCAAAAAGAUGCCUAAAAUCAUCGCUAGCUGGAGAUAAUAUUAAACCCAAGACAAUCACUACGAAUAAAACCCAUAAUGAACAAGCAAGUCAAAACAUAUAACCAAGAAAUCCAGAUAUGAAAGAGUCGCACAAUGAAAGGAAUCAGGGGAAGGGCAGCCAUCUAGGAAAACAAAAGGAAAAAUAACCUAGAAGUGAUGAUUUGUUAUCAUUGACCACCAAUGAUGAUGAGUGCAGGCCCAAAACUAAACUAGAUAAAAUAAAAAUACUGAGAGCUUCCUUACAGCAUCACAAUAAUUGGUAACUUUCACCACCUGCAUACGACUUCGUCUAAAACAUGAUAUGCUGAGAGAUAGGUCUUCUUUAAAGCUUCUCAGUUUUCACCUACAAUAUGUAGUGACAAAUUUGAGGGCUAUCCAAUCUAAUCAAAUCUUGGUCCGAUCAGCGCAUACCCACAUACUACAGUCUGCCAGUAUUAUUACAACCAAAUAGCUCCUCAGAUAUCUCACUUGAGUUCUUUAGAUGUAUAAAUGGCUCCCAUAGACUAGAUUAGCAACUAGAUUGGUAAUUUCUCACAAGAUACGAACCAAGUAUUCCAUGGAGUCUUCUCUAGUUCAAGAAUCAAGUUAUGCUCUAAAUUUGAAAAAUUCUCUAAUGGCCUAAUGGUUUCAUACGAAUCUUUUUUCUUCAUUUUUUGCAACAAUUUGUUUAAGCGGAUAUUCUUCAGUACAGCAGGCAGCACAUACCCUGAACAAUUAAGUUUAACUAUGACGUACAAAUGAAUCUCUUUAAUUGAUGUUGUUCAUGAAUCACUGAUUAAGAAACAACAAUAUAAGGCCUCAGUUAGCAUCGUUAACGUUUUUUUUUUUUCUUUCAAAUAUAAUUUCGAUAUGAAGUACUGUAGGAGGGGAUGGUAGAACGCUUGCAAUCCUUAAAUCCAUGGUGUUUGUUUGACAACAAAAAGGAAAAACUUGGAAGGACCUUUCUUAGUUACCAAGAUUUGCGUGUGUGCGUGUCAUCCAUCACUUGGCUAGGUGUGUUGCAAUCUAACCAAUAACAAAAACAAGAAGAAAGCCUUUUCGUUGGUAUAUCAACGUAUAUAGAAUUGGUGUUUAAAAAAACAAAAGAAAAACAACAAUGAUGCCAAACGAGGCCUAAGAGAGAUUGCAUGAUAACUUUGACUCGCAGCCUGAUAAAUUUCCUUAGCAUGACCUGCUCUUCUCCUCCAUUGAGUUUGUUAUAACAUCUUCAACAUAAACAGAAAAAGCUUAAAAAGGGAGAUUUCAAAUUAACAUAUUGUAGAACCCAAGACAAUUAACAGUGAAUUUCUUAAAAGAGGGUGUAUUAUCACAGAUUUCAGAGCAGUUUGCAUCAAAACAAAAAUUGUCACUUUCAUGGCUUUCCAGUACUGUAGGUCAUGUGAGGGGCCUCGGUGAAUUUUCAUGUGAUAAACUGAUGUUCUAGGGAAAUAAAUUGAAUGCGUGCAAAAUAAUUGAAAAAGAGUUUCCAUUCAAAAAGUGAAACAUUUCAUGUGUCAAAGAGUGCAAUUUUUGAGGUGGAGGAACUUAUGAUCAAAACACACAUAUCGGUGAGUUUUGGAUAUGAAACUGUGAACAAGAGGGAUUAAAUUGCAAUUUUUACAACUUGUGAAAAAAGGGCAAUGCACGAAGGGGUUAUCAUUUCAUGUGAGAAAUUCUGGAAUUUCCACAAGCGGGACUUAUGUGAAAAUAGACCCGGCGAGGAAUAAGCGGAUUCAAGUUUCACGAAAUUCUGACGUUUUUGUGCAAAAUGGCACUAAAUGGAAGUAGAAGAGAGAAAUUUGAACGAGGGAUCACUUCACAAAAUGCGCGACAGUUUAAAUGCGAAACUGUGAAAUUUUACUACAUGAGGGGUUCCUCUGCAAAAUGUGCUGUACUCUGGACCUAUAACCUAAUCCUCUCUCCUCUCUUCAAGCCUCAAUCGCCGGACCCUCAUUGCUCCAGCACUGCACUCCGGCAAACCUCCUCCCUCCGCCCAUCUCUUUCUCUUCUCUCUCUCCAUACAUACAUACACCCUAAACCCUAAUCAUAUAGAGUCCGGCUACUAUACUAUUGAUAGUAUCAAGCCUUUGGUACUAUUGAGUUUUCUACCGUUAGAACUACCCUUUGAUCAUUUCCACCCAUUAGAUUAUACUGUUAAACCAACCACCCACUCAACCUUAGGGGACCACUAUCAUCCUAACCGCACAUCCUUUCAUCCAACGGCCAAAAACUCAAUAGUACCAAGGGCUUGGUACUAUUGAUAGUAUAGUAGCAUAAUUCUAUAUUCUAUAUAUAUAUAUAUAUAUACAUACACACAUAUAUUUACAUACACACACAUAUAUAUAUAUACACACACACAUAUAUAUACAUACAUAUAUAGAGUACGCCUACCGUGCUUUCGAAGGUACGGAGGCCUCCGUGCUUGUAAGUUGUUUUCGAUGAUAGGACAUCCGAUUCGACGAUCGGCUCCGUUAGGCAUAAUCUAUGCUAUUGGAACUAUCUAGAAACCAAAUUUUAUAAUUUUUCGACUUCAUUUACCAAGUGAUCAGAGGGUCUCAAAAAUGACUAUUUUAACGGCCGAUGUGGCACGUUUUGAAGUUCAACGGUGUAGAAGUAUCCAAAUUACAUGAAAUAAUAGAUAAUUUUACUUAACAUCAAGAGUAAGAACAAUACUUCCGAUUUGAAAUUUGAGUCUAUUAUCACUGUUUUUUAUUAGAUUUUUAUUUUCAACCGUUCAUUUUGAGGCUACUCGUUCACUAGGCAAACGAAAUUAAAAAAUUAUGAAAUUUGGUUUCUAGAUAGUUCUAAUAGCGUAGAUCAUGUCUAACAGAACCGAUCGCCAAAUUGGACGUCCCAUCAUCGAAAAUAACUUACAAGCAUAGAGGCCUCCGUACUUUCGAAAGUAUAGGAGCCUAGCUCUACAUAUAUAUAUAUAUAUAUAUAUAUAUAUAUAUAUAUAUAUAUAUAUAUAUAGAAGUCAACUACUAUCUUAUUAAUAGGAUUGAGGACAUUGUCCUAUCAAGUCGUUUGAAUGAUCGGAGAGUCAAAUUUAUAAUCGGUACCGUUGAAAUUGAUCUACACAAUUAGAAAUGUUUAGAAACCAAAUUUUAUAAUAUUUAAAAAUCAUUAUCAAGUUCAUCGAAGAGUUUGAAAAAUGAACGGUCAUAAAUGAAUAACCUUCUUAAAUAGAGGUUAGACUUUCUCAAUUCAUAAUCAGAGUUAUCAAACAUUAUCUAAAUAGUAUAAAGAAUUUUCUACCAAAAUUCAAGCAAUUUGGAUUGCUCUACACCGUUUAAAAAGCAAACAGUUCAUAUAGGCCGUCAAAAAUUGUCGAUUUUACGACACUUUGAUCACCAUGUAAAUAAUUUUUUAAAAUUUAUGAAAUUUAGUUUCUAGAUAUUUCAAAUAACUCUAGAUCAACUUUCAACGACUCCGAUCAUCGAUUCGGAAUAUCUAUCAUCAAGAACAACUUGAUAGGACAAGUGCUACUAUCCUCUUAAGAUGAUAGUAGCCCUAGCCUAUACACACACAACACACACACACACACACACACACACACAUAUAUAUAUAUAUAUAUAUAUAUAAAUAUAUAUAUAUAUAAUAUAUAUAUAUCAUACAUACAUAUAUAUAAUACAUAUAUAUAUAGAGCUAGGCUGAGCUAAGCUGGUAUACUAUUGGUAGCAUGGAGCCUCUCGUGCUAUCAGUUGUUUUCAAUGAUGCGCGCUUAAAUCGACGAUCGCUCCGUUAGACUUGAUCUACACUAUUGAAGUAUUGUAAACUAAAUUUAGAAUUUUUCGAUAUCAUUUACCUAUCAAACGAGUAGUCUAAAAAUGAACGGCUGAAAAUAAAAAUCUCAUAAAAAAAUGAUAAUAGAAGACUUGAUUUAAGAUCAGAGGUAUUGAUCUUACUCUAAAUAGUAAAAAGAAUUUUCUAUAAAAAAUUUCAUUUGAUUUGGAUUGUUUACACCGUUAAAUUACAAAUGCCUCACAUCUACCAUUAAAAUUGUCAAUUUUGAGACUUUUAUCACUAGCCAUGAAUGUUCGAAAAAUUAUGAAUUUAGUUUCCAAAUAAUUUUUAGUAAGUGUAGAUCAAGUCUAAUAGAGCCAAUCGUCGAUUUGGAAGCCGCAUCAUUAAAAACAACUUGGUAGCACGAGGCUCCGUGGCACCNNNNNNNNNNNNNNNNNNNNNNNNNGGAUUUCUACGUGUAGGCUCUGCGGGUACUUGACUUCGGGCCGCUUUGGAGUGGUUUUCCGUGUGAUGCAGCCGUGUCGUUCCUUUGGCUUAGGGACUUCUCCUUGCCGAGGGAUUAGCCUCGCGAGGUGGGGUUGCACUCGCUUUAUUGAAUAAGUAUCGUAUUUAGUCGAUCAUUUAUGAUUUUAGUUUUGUAUAUCAUGUUUAGCUCAAUUUGUCUGCGAUUAGUAUCGUUGAUGAACUCCGUAAUUUGAGAUACACUGAUUAGUAAACCCUAAUAUAUUCAUGUGAACUUGGUUUUACACUUAGGAGGAAGAAAACUGAAAAACUACGAGACAAGGGAUGUAAGUCAUAAGAAAUUUGCUGCGUAUUCAUAUCUUCUAACUGCCUUUCCAAGAUUAGGUAUUAUUACUAUCAUUCAAUGAUACUGAUACACUUUUAGCUCCCAUUAGGCUGCUAACAAGAAGAUUUGGAAGGCUUUGCACUCUAAAAGUAUGACUACUAUAGAACAAAGCUGUUGCAUAUAGAAGUAUGCUUGUCAUAGUCACGCUCAAUUUUCUUCUACGCUACCUAGAAUGGUCCGCUAGAAAUAUAUGCUAGUGUGGAGUAUCCAGAUAGUGGUCACGAGUUCAAGAUUUUUCACGAUAGAUUCACGCUUGUCAUGAGUCACAUUCGCUGAAAGAUCAGAGUUUGGCACGAUAAGCAAUUGAUUCGUAACUGGGAUCAAUCGACGGUAAUUUUUAAACAAGUAGGCCUUUACGAUAGUUGAUUUGGAGGGAAUUCAAAAGAAGUCCUUUGGCGAGCAUGUACGCGGGGUUGACUGAACCCGUUGCCUUUUUAUUUGGCCAGAAGAGAGUGUCUAUCUUCACUGCGAGAACUUUUAAUGCAGAGGGCACGUACCCAACAUUUCAUGUGGAUGAGAAGAGACGCCAAGCAGGCCAAGAGCUACGUUUGUGAGAGUUGCUUAGAAAGCCAAGUAUAUGGAUGUCGUUUGGCCUGCGACAUCUGCUUUAGGAGAGCAUCCAAUGGUAAAAACUUUAGUGAUCUUCUCAAUUUCAGCGAUAGUAAACUACACGUAACUAAACUAAGCUACGUUCCUACGUUGGUAGCGAAUAACUCAGCAUAGCCUAUGAAGCCUAAAAGAAAAUUAGAAGAACAGUGAUAGACACCUCAAGUAUAAGGCCUAAAGUGACCAACAACUUGGACCUCCUUCUUAUGUGAAAAAUAUCACACUUCUGCUUGAUGUCGUGAGGCAGAGAGGUGGCGGCGCUAUUUAUUUCGGCCGUUGGCUGUGCACGCUCAUUUGCAAAUACCGAUAACAAUAAAGCUUACCGCCUCAAGCUAAUGUGUGACCUUGGAACUUCUCUCCCGGACGUAGUAGUGUGGAGGUAGCUGAAUAGUCACAAACUGGCAGGACGGGUGUGAUCACAGUCCCAGAGACAACAGUCCUGAUUGGAUUGGAUUGAGCGCACUUGGGUCGAUAUGACUACAAGUGAUCGGAUAUUGCUGCAUGUAUGAAGACAAUUGGCUGGAAAUGAAUGUGUGUGAGGGUUAAGAUUCAUACUCGUCGAGAUUUAUGUAUCUCCUGCAUUUACUACUAUCCUUUGCUCCCUUCUGUAAGACUUAGUGGGUGACCGAUGUUGUUGAGGGCGGCACCCACUGCGACUACCAUGUUUUUACAUGUAGUUUCUAGCCUGUGUUACCGUUACCUCAGAAUUCACCCUGUUUUUGCAAGUCACCGUCGUCGGCUGCUGCUGUCCCAGAUCAGGAUCUGAAGGCAAGGGCGUCCACUGAGUUAGAGCCCUGCCAGAGUGACGAGCUAAGAGGUACUUUCGUCUACUGCAGGUAGAUGUUUUGUUUGAAGUCAUAUACAUCAGUUCUAAACUCGCAGUCGGCGAGUACCUUAUACUGUUGGUAUUUGACUAUGUAUAUGAACUCCGUUUGUUUACUUCAGUGUUUACUCUUAGCAGCUCUAUCUACUGUUCGUAGUAUUGUAAAUGUUUACAGGUAAGCUGUCGGCUUCGUAUACACGAAAAUUCUCUUUGUAUUACGCGGAUUGUCGCAUCCCUCGGAAAUUCGUUUGUAUUCAGUACAGCUUCGCUUUUGGUAUUAGGUUUCUAAUCAUGUUCUCAAUCGGAUUUCAUCAAGAUAUAAUCGAUCGAAAUUGAGCUACACAUGACAUAUCAAUAACCUAAAAUCAUACAUUCGACUAAUACGAUACUUAAGAAUAUAACCGAUGUAACUACCUCGCUACAACCUGGCAGCGUGACAGCCCCCGAUUUACCGUUCCCUCGGCACGCCGACAAAUCCAUCGUAACAAAAGGAAUUUUCCCUGUUACGAAGCGACGCUGUACUGUAAACCAAUACAAUACUACGACAGUUAGUAAUAAGACUGCUAGAAGGUAAACAAAGCUACAACAAACGAAGUUCCAUAUACAUAUUCCAUACCAAAAGUACAGAGGGGGUGGGGGGGGAGUUAUCGCACUGGGAGUUAAGUUAUACUAUGAUACAUGAACUCAAUAACCAAAAACAUCUACUACAGUAGGAUGACCUCUAGCUCGUACACGUCUCGGUAGGGCUCUAGCUCGUUGACAGCCCUUGCUCGAUACUGAUCUGCGACAAGUAGCCAGCCGACGACGGUACUCUGCAAAAACAGUGAGGUACACAUGAUAUAUCAAAACUGAAAAUUCUAAUAACAUUGAUGUAAAUACGAUACUUAGGGAAUAAACCGAUCGUAAGCCCACCUCGCGAGCUAAUCCUGGCGAACGAGGAAAGUCCGAAGCAAGGCAGCGCCCGGCUGGAUUCACCGAAAACCUCAAAGGCCGAAGUCAAGCUCCCGCCAACUUUCUAAACCGUAAAUCCGCAAUAAGCAUCAUUCUGGCUCUAAAACAGGCACAAGAGAAACCUAAAAUUCCGACCGCAAACCUUCACCAAUCCAGCAAAUAAGGGCUUCGUGAUUCUCUCGAAGUCCUGAAUCCACGAACCAAAUCUCGACAACAAAUCGCGACGCUCCCUACUCGAGUUACGAGCCGAAUACCAACGAUGCCGACGCUGGAAGCUGCCAGGGACAGCACCUAGCUGAAUUUGAAGAAGCUUGAAAUAAAGAAGCAUUGACAGGCACAGACCCACCUCGAGCAGCGACCUCGUAUUGGUGCGACGUUCGAGGACUGGCGGUAACACACCCUCGCCCGCUCUCAUAAGCGAUGCUACGCGCCAACAGACCGCGCUCGAUUAGCUCCGACGACGGACGUGACGUUGCUCCAAAAGCUUCCACCGUGCUCUCCCCAACUUGUCACGAAAUAGCUUCAGCUAGAUGAGAAACUUAAAUUAGCAAUCCCCAACAGCCUGCCACCUCUAAUUAAGGCGGUGGGCUGAUAAGGAUUGGUAAAGGACCAAACUACUCCAGUGGCAGUGCCGACUACGGCAGUGCCCCCACCAGCGCCAGUUGCGCCUUCCAGAGGGCCAGUACAGAUGACAGAGGCCGAGCAGGAGCGAUUGACGGAGAGACGCUACGGCAACAGACGCGCGCACGAACGGCUCCGCGACGCGACGUCGACGUUGACGUUGCUCCAAGCUUCCACCGUGCUCUCCACCACGAAUAGCUCAAGCUACAGAGAGAGAGACUUAAAUUAGCAAUCCCCAACAGCCUGCCACCUCUAAUUAAGGCGGUGGGCUGAUAAGGAUUGGUAAAGGACCAAACUACUCCAGUGACAGCGCCGACUACGGUACUGCCUCCACCAGCGCCAGUUGCGCCUUCCAGAGGGCCAGUACAGAUGACAGAGGCCGAGCAGGAGCGAUUAACAGAGAGGUUGGCCCGCUUUCGUCGCUUUGACUCGCCGACCUUCGAUGGCACUCGCCGACCUUCGAUGGCAGUUGCACUGAGCCCUGGGUGGUUGAGGGCUGGGUUAGUGCAAUGGAAAAGCUAUUUGAGGAUUUGUUCAUUCCAGAGAGGGACCAGGUACCUCUGGGAGUGCACUUUUAGCAGGUGAUGCUCAUGAUUGGUAGAAGAGAGUGAGGCAAGACCAGAGGCUGGUGGCGUCGCACCUGAGGUGGGAUCAGUUCUGUGGAAUGCUGUAUGGGAUGUAUUUUCCCAACAGCAUGAAAUAGAAGAUUGAGGAGGAUUUGAAGAAGAUCCAGCAGGGUGAGCGAACAGUUCAGGAGUAUGUUCGGGAGUUUACUAGACUCCUGAACUGUAUUCCGUUCGUGGCCAGAGACGAGGCACAUAGGGUCUACUUGUUUGAGUAGGGUUUGAGACCCGACCUUUUCAGGUUCGUUAGGGCGCAGAGGUCGAGGACUCUGGAUGCGUCCAUUGAGCAGGCAUUAUGGGAGGAGAGAGGAGAGGUGUCGCUGAGAGAGAGGGCUCAGGGGCCGGUGCAGAGUCAGGAUAGGAAGCGCCCAGCUUUAGACGACGAACAUCAGUCGAGUAGCAGGCGUCCGCCGAGACCUCCACGAUCGCGUUCUCAGUGUCGUGGGUUUUCGGGACGCCAGCGAUCCAGGGACUCUCGUCAGAGGGGCCAGCCCGAAAGGACGCCAGUGUGUGAUCUGCCGGGGACCACACUGGCCCCGACAGUGCGAGGAGAGGGAGGGCCGGUGUUACGGAUGUGGUCAGCCGGGACACAUGAGAGCAGCUUGUCCGCGAGCAGCAUCAUCAGUACCAUCUUCAGCAUCGGCACAGCAAGGACCUUCGCAGUCUUACGGGACGCCAUCGAGUUACCAUCAGGAGGAUAGAGCAUCCAUGCCGCGACAGGGUGAGCGGCGGCAGCAGGCUCCGAGUGGCAGAGUGUUUGCAGCACAGGUGGAGGACUCUUCAGCGGCCGACCGAGUGGUGGCAGGUAUCACUUUGCUUUCUGGUAUUAGAGCACGUACUUUAUUUGAUACCGGUGCCUCGCACUCCUUUGUUAGUCGCGCAUUUGCAUUGUUACAUGGUCUAGAGUUAGAGUCAUUGUCUAUGGCACGAGAGGUGCAGAUCCCCGACCAUGUGUUACAGGUUGCAGAGUGCUGUCGGUCUUGUCCAGUGCAGUUAGAUUCUUGGAUUAUGCCCGCAGACCUGUUGGUGUUAGGGCAGCUGCAGGACUUUGACAUUGUGCUCGGUAUGGUUUGGCUGGCGCGGUACUAUGCUACUAUCGACUGUAGAGCGAGGAUGGUGACGUUUCGCGAGCCAGGCCAGGAGGAGUUCACUUUCAGAGGCUGCAGGAGCACGUUGUUUGCCACGUGGAUUUCUUCAGCGAGAGCUCGACAGCUGAUGAGUAGAGGAUGUGUUGCCUUUAUAGCGACUGUUGUUGAGGUACCUACGGCAACGCCGGGACUCGAGGAUAUUCCUGUGGUCCGCGAGUUUUCAAAUGUGUUUCCCCGAGUUGACGACGAUGCCGCCGGAGAGGGAGAUUGAGUUUGUGAUUGAUGUAGUUUCUGGAACUGCACCAAUCUCAAAGGUACCCUAUCGGAUAGCACCGGCGGAGCUGAGAGAGCUAAAGGCGCAGCUUUAGGAUCUGAUGGAUAAGGGGUAUGUGAGACCCAGUGUAUCGCCUUGGGAAGCGCCGGUAUUAUUUGUAAAGAAGGAUGGGUCGCUCAGGUUGUGUGUAGAUUACCGGGAGCUGAAUAAAGUGACCAUCAAGAAUAAGUAUCCUUUGACGCGUAUUGAUGACCUGUUUGAUCAGCUGCAAGGAUUUGUGUCUCUCGAAGAUUGAUCUCCAGUCAGGUUACCACCAGUUGAGGGUGAGGGCCGAGGAUGUUCCCAAGACGGCUUUUCGGACUCGGUACGGGCAUUAUGAGUUUACGGUGAUGCCUUUUGGAUUGACGAAUGCCCCUGCCGCAUUCAUAGAUUUGAUGAACAGAGUGUUCAAGCCGUUCUUGGAUAGAUUUGUAGUAGUCUUCAUAGAUGAUAUCUUGAUAUACUCCCGAAGCGAUGUCGAGCACGAGGAGCACUUGAGGAUUGUGCUACAGCUUCUGAGAGAGAAGAAGUUGUAUGCCAAGUUAAAGAAGUGCGAGUUCUGGUUACGAGAAGUCGCUUUCUUGGGCCACGUGAUAUCAGCAGAGGGAGUAGCAGUCGACCCGAAGAAGAUUGAUGCGAUUUGGGAUUGGCCCAGACCGACGAUGGUGUCAGAGGUGAGGAGUUUCCUUGGACUAGCAGGAUAUUACAGUCUGUUUGUGGAAGGCUUUGCGAAGCUUUCCACACCCCUCACUCGAUUGACGCGCAAGGGGAUUAGAUUCAUCUGGAGUGAGGAUUGUCAGAGGAGCUUCGAUAAGAUGAGACAGAGGUUGACAUCAGCUCCUAUUCUUGCCCUUCCUGUGAUGGGGGAAAAGAUUCGUGAUCUAUAGUGAUGCAUCGCACAGUGGACUGGGUUGUGUGUUGAUGCAGCAUGGUAGGGUAAUUGCUUAUGCUUCACGGCAGUUAAAGGAUUAUAAGAAGAAUUACCCUACGCAUGACUUGGAGCUGGCCGCAGUAGUUUUUGCUUUGAAGUUGUUGCGGCAUUACUUGUACGGCGAGCACUGCGAGAUUUUUACUGAUCAUAAAAGUCUCAAGUAUCUGUUCACUCAAAGGGAACUGAAUCUGAGGCAGCGCCGGUGGUUAGAGUUACUGAAGGACUAUAACAUUAGUAUUCAGUAUCAUCCCGGCAGGGCGAAUGUAGUCGCAGAUGCGUUGAGCAGGAAAGCAGUGCAGGGCCUGAGUUUGAUGAUCACUGAGCAGAGGCCAUUACUCGAAGAGUUUCAGCGGCUGAGGCUUGAGAUAGUGUCCCCUGGAUCUACUGCGAGACUGAUGUCUCUGGUUUUUUUGCCCACUCUGUUGGAUAGGAUCCGGGAGAAACAGAGUGGGGAUCCAUACCUGUUGAGGAUUCGAGAGCAGUUAGACGGGGCAGGCUGAGGGUUUUGCGGUGGAUAGUUCGGGAGUACUACGGUACAGGGACCGGCUGUGUGUGCCUGUGGAUUCAGAGAUCCGAGAGGCUAUUUUGAGAGAGGCUCAUUGUUCACCUUAUACGGUUCACCCUGGGGGAACCAAGAUGUAUAAAGAUUUAAAGGCACAGUUUUGGUCGAAUGGAAUGAAGAGAGACAUUGGCAGAUUUGUGGCUCAGUGUUUGACUUGCGAACAGGUGAAGGCCGAGCAUCAGGUGCCUGCUGGCAAACUUCAGAGUCUGCCAGUGCCCGAGUGGAAAUGGGAGCAGAUCACGAUGGAUUUUGUCGUGGGGUUACCGAGAGCACAGGGUGGCUAUGAUGCGAUUUGGGUGAUAGUGGACAGACUGACCAAGUCUGCUCAUUUCCUACCAGUUCAGACUACCUGGUCCAGAGAGAGGCUCGCACAGCUAUACCUGGAUGAGAUUGUCAGGCUACACGGCUUGCCGGUAUCGAUUGUAUCCGACCGGGACCCGAGGUUUGUGGCACAUUUCUGGAGGAGUUUACAGACAGCUUUGGGGACUCAGUUACAUUUUAGCACGGCGUUCCACCCACAGACAAAUGGUCAAUCAGAGAGGACCAUUCAGACUCUAGAGGACAUGCUGAGAGCGUGCGUCCUGGACUUUGGAGAAAGGUGGUAUCGACAUUUGAGACUAGUUGAGUUUGCGUACAACAACAGCUAUCAUGCGAGCAUUCAGAUGGCUCCGUUUGAAGCGUUGUAUGGACGCAGAUGUCGAUCCCCUUUGUGUUGGAGUGAGGUGGGUGAAAGAAAGACGCUUGGGCCUGAGUUUUUGCUAGAGGCAGAGGAAAAUGUGAGAGUUGUUCGACGACACCUUUUGACAGCCCAGAGCUGCCGGAGGAGCUACGCCGAUACCAGGAGACGAGACUUAGAGUUUCAGAUUGGAGAUCAUGUUUUCCUCAAAGUCUCGCCAUCCAGAGGGAUUCGCCGAUUUGGAGUACGUGAAAAGCUCAGUCCACGGUUUGUUGGCCCUUUCGAGGUAUUGGAGCGAGUUGGACCGGUUGCAUACAGGAUCGCUCUACCCCCGCUACUUGCUGGCAUACACGAUGUCUUCCACGUCUUGGCAUUGAGAAGAUAUGUUUUCGAUCCUUCUCACGUGAUUGACUUCACUCCACUCGAGAUUGGCGAGGAUCUGAGAUACGAGGAGCGACCAUUGCGGAUUCUUGCUCGGGAGACGAAAGAACUGCGCAACCGGGUCAUCCCGUAUGUGAAAGUGCAGUGGAGCCAUCACGAGGAGCGGGAGGCGACUUGGGAGCCUGAGACGGUGAUGAAGUAGUCCUAUCCCUACCUAUUCGAUACCCUGAGCUGAGGUAUGUUUAAGUUUCGAGGACGAAACUUUUUGUAGUAGAGGAGGAUGUAGUAUCCUAGGUAGGCUAAUAGGGAGUUGGUAAAGGGCCUUUUGGUCCUUUAUCAAUCCUUAUCAGCCCACCGCCUUAAUUAGAGGUGGCAGACUGUUGGGGAUUACUAAUUUAAGUCUCUCUCUCUAGCUUGAACUAUUCGUGGUGGAGAGCACGGUGGAAGCUUGGAGCAACGUCGACGUCACGUCGCGGAGCUGUUCGAGCGCGCGUCUGUUGCCGUAGCAUCGCGAGGAGGCCGGGCGAGGGUGUGUUACAGCCGUCCUCGACGUCGCACAGAUACUAGGGUCGCUGUCGAGGUGGGUGUGCCGUCAAAUUGCUUCUUUAUUUCCAAGCUUCUUCAAAUUCGAGCUAGGUGCUGUUCCUGCAGACUUCCAGCGUCGAUCGUUAGCGUUUCGGCUCGUACUCGACGUAGAAGCGUCGGAUUUUGACGAGAUUUGGUUCGUUGGAUUCAGGACUUCUAGAGAAAUCCACGAAGCCCUUAUUUGCUGGAUUUGGUGAAGGUUUGCUGGGUCGGAAUUUUAGUUUUCUCUGCUGCUGUUUUUGAAGCAGAAUUGAUGCUUAUUGCCGGAUUCUACGUGUAGAGUUGGCGGGAGCUUAACUUCGGGCCUUUGGAGGUUUUCGGUGAUCCAGCCGGGCGUUUCUCAUAGUGAGUAUUCCAGGUAGUUUAGUUUUCAGUUACGCUCGUGCUGGGAUGCCGAGUGUAUUUUUACAGUAGCGUUCAAGCUGUUCCGGAUUGUUGGGUGCCGUCGGGGUUGACGGUGGACCGGUAUCGCCUUUUUGGCGUCGAAUUGUGCCGAGGGCACGUUACCUGUUGGUUGUUAGACCAGUUUGAGUCGGUUACUGGACUUUGACUUUCGAGAGCCUGAUUGAGCUCGACAGAGAUACGCUGCAUACUCGGUUGGGUAGCUCCCACGAGUGCCACUCCGGAGACGGGCGCUGUGCUUUCACGUUGGUGUCGCUCAUGCCGGUUGGACUUGCUCUCCACGGACUAGUAGUGUGGAUGUAGCUGGAUAGUCACAACUGGGCAGGGACGGGUGUGUUCACAGUCCCAGAGACGGGUAUGCUUACAGUCCCGAUUAGAUUGGGUUAGAUUUGAUAUUUCCUACAGUUGGUUAGUGUAGAGCAUGAUAGUGUAGUGAUUCAUAGCGGUAGAUUUUAUUCCUGCAUUUACUACUAUCCUUGCUCCCUUCUGUAGACUUAGUGGGUGGACCGAUGUUGUUGAGGGCGGCAGGUAGAUGUUUUGUUGAGGGCGGCAGGUAGAUGUUGUUGAGGGCGGCAACUAGAGGUACCCCUACUGCAGGCAGGUAGAUGUUUUGUUUUGAGUUCAUAUACAUAGUAUAUUUAACUCGCUAGUGCGAGUAACUCUGUACUUUUGGUAUUGGACUAUGUAUAUGGAACUCCGUUUGUUUAGCUUCUGUUUACUCUAGCAGCUCUAUACUACUGUUCGUAGUAUUGUAUGGUUUACAAGUACAGCUGUCGCUUCGUAUACAGGGAAAAUUCCUUUGUAUACGGCGGAUUUGUCAGCGUGCCCGGAGAACGUGUAAUCUGGGGCGUGACAAAUUAUUCGUUAUAUAAUUUAUUAUUAAAUUUUUAUGGAUAGAUCUCACAAUUUUUCUUAAAAAUUUUAAUAAAAAAUAAAUUUUUCUUCAAAAUUUUAAAAAAUAUUUUUAAUAGAUUCAAAAAUUAAAAGAAAUUAUUGGAACAAUUGUAGUAUUAUGUUAGUUAAUCUAGACAUCAUGCGAUCUCUCAUCAUAUCAAUGUUAUUGAAUCUUGCAAAUUGCAUGAGAACUUUAAGAAAAAAUAAUUUUCUCUAAUUUUGUAUUUUAUAAUUUUUAAAUUUUUGAAAAAGGUAAAAUCAAAAUAUUUUCAAAGUAAAUCAAUUUUUUAUGUUAUUCUCUAUGAGCUAUAAUUAUAUUUUACUUUACAUAUAUAAAAUAUCUAUUACUAUAUUAAUUGCUAAGUGUAAUAACUAAUAAACUAUACAUAGCCAAUAUUUAUAAUUAUUUUUCUAAAUCUUCCAAAAUAGUAUUAUAAGAGUUUAUUGGGAACAAAAAAAACUAAAAAAAUUGUGCCAAAACGUGCCACUAGAAGGUUAUGCGUAUCCAUCGGCACGCAAGCGUGCCACGCGUCAGCACGGAGGCGUAUCUAUACCGUACCAUGCCAUGCCAUGCGACAACCGACACGCCUCCAUGCCACAGCACUUUAAUCCUUGGCUCGUGCUGUGGACCUUGUUACUCGUCCCUAAUUUACUUUCUUUAUUAUCAUGUGUCGUUUAUGUGACUUAGUUUGAGAGUAGUUUUACUUGGAUUUUUCCUAUUGUAGUGGUUUAGUAAUUUCCUAGUUAUGGUUGUGAAUUGUAGUUGUAUUUGUUGUUAAUUCCUCUUUAUUCUGGUCGCUUGUGGUUGUGUACCUAUGCUCCUACGCCAUGCAUGUACAGGAAAGACUUCGUUCAUGUAGACAGAGGAAACUCUAUACGUGUGGUGAGUCUUACGUCUCAAGCAAGGUGUAAAAAAAGAAAAAAAAACUAUGCACUUUUCCACAAGACUUUUUUCAAAAUGGAAGGAUUUUUUUAAAAUACUUUCCAAAAAGGCCCGGGGCAUGACACAUAUAGAGCAUCUUCCUGCCUAGUAGUAAUGCAAUCAUCCAGAUAGAAGAUUGUUAAACCCCUUAUAUAGCAAAAACAUCUAGUAAUGAAUUUUAAAUAUUGCAUGCCAGAAAUGUUACUUCAGAUAACAGAAUUACCAUUAUAUCAGCAAAAAGCCCAUUUGCACUCAAAAAAAUUGGAAGUAAAUAUCUAAACUUUCUAUGUCAACGUCAAAAACCCUGAUCUCAUCAUGAAGAUCAGAAACCUACUCAACAUAAUAGCAAAGAAGUGUUGAUUAUCUUCUAUAUACAUACUUUGAAAGUCUUAUUUUCAGAUUUAUUCUUGUAGAAGGAAUUUAAAUGCUGAAGAGGGGUUCCAUACUCAGAAACCCUGGAUUUGAUAGAAAUCCCAGUGAGUCAAGUUAAAAUAAAGGGGCCUGUGGUUUAGAUUAACUUGCUAAAAAAACAGCAUCAACAUAUCUAUUCCAUUUUCAUAUUACAAAGUGACCAACAAAAAUCUUCAUUCAUGUGCAUACUGCUACCUCUCAAGACAGGAUGUAAAACAUGUAAAAAGAAUAAUCAGUGCGUAAUUAGUUCUUACAUAAAGGUAGAUGCUGAAACCAAAUUCCAGCAUCUGAAAACUAUGCCAUUUCAUUAUACAAUUACGACCUAUGCAGAGAAGCCACAGCUAAAUACUGCAAAACCAACUUUUUUAAACUGAAAAGUAAAACUUCAAAAACAUAGCUAACCUGCUUGGCGAGACGGAGACUGGUAUAUCCAAGCUUUUGGUACUCAACCUUAAAUUGGAAAACUCCGUAGACAUCCGGAACUUUAAAGGAUGUCGAAUAAAGACCCUAUCAAAAAAUAUCAUGAGUGUGUUACUACGAGAAGGUCGAUCAUUCUCCAAAUACGUGUUAGUGUCACUGAAACAUACCUUCUGGUUAUUCGACAAUGUUUUUAAAACAUAGGGACUCAUCAUGUAGAAUUGAACUUGAACAUCAUCAGCAACAUAAGGUUCCCAGCUUGUUCCAGACCAUUCAUAGAUUUCAACAGAGUAUUCCUAAAACAAAUAUCAAAGUUAGGAAUCAAAUAAGAGAGAAGAAAAUAUCUUCUUUUUUUCAUGAUAUCAUUUGUCACAACCAUUAUUAAGACAUUUACCAAAUCAUCAUUUAUACGGUACAUUGCAGGUUCUGUCAUUUCUCCAACUUUGCGAUGGCUGACAUUGACAGCCUGAAAAACCAUAAAUGUAACAUUCAUCGAUCAAUUGGAAACUAAUAAUUGAAGAUAUUUACCACAAAAUUAUAAGAGAUCAAAAGCAAGCUGUACUCUUGUUAUUUGUCAUAAUGUUAUUUGUUUUUCUCAAGUUUUUUGCAAUUAAAGGUGCCUAGGUUCCAGCAAUGUCCUUGAUUAAUUUUGCAAUUGUCAAUUGGUAGAAAACUCCCAAGUGUACGAUUUUGUCUGGCACGAUUUUAAUUAGCAUACAGUCAAUCUAGGGGGGACAAGAUACACAUAAGGGGACAAAAACAAAACGGAUAACCGACGAGUUAUUGUCAUGUUAAAUGUUUCACCUUGAGAUGGCCCCUUUCGUGGAAGACCCAUUUGCUGAUUUCAGUCACAAAUUGUUCAUUUCCAGAUUUCUCAUAUCUGCAAAUUCGUAUCAGAAUAUACAAACAUCUUUGAUCAGAGAAACUAUGUCAAACAUAAGAUUGACAGCUAAAAAAAUGUGUACAUCAGGCAGUUAACGUCUUAUUUUGUAUAGAGUGUAAGCAAAAAUCAUUUCUGCUAACAUGCAAUCAUUUGUUAUACUUCAGUAGUUACUACUUGAUUGUUUGAUUCUCUAGUGAUUUUCAUUUGCCUAUUGUCCCCCCAUUAUCUUUUUUUCGUGUCCCUUAUUACAUCAUUAAGCAAUUAAAAGAAGCUACACAUUAAUACUUUUCUUUUCUUAAACUUGCAAGAAACGUAUUCUUUAAGCAUUCAAGUUUCUAGUACAAGGGAUUAAACCUUGUCAAUUUACUUAGGCACCUGAUAAAGUUAAAAGAUGAUUUAAUUUCAUUAGCGGCAACUUAAAAAGCAAUUUGUUGACGAUCAUACAAAGUGCCACAGCACGAGUUCGUACUAGGCACUUAUUGUCACGGUUCAGCAUGUACGUGGGCCAUGGACAAAAUGCUUGUGCCUUGUCAAACUUCAGCAGGAAAAAGUUAAAUUUCUUUGGAAUCACAUCCCACCAUGCCAAUGUGUGCCGUUGACAUAACACUUAUGUGUCAUCCAUUUUGGCAUGAAAAAGAUUCAUUUUCUUUGGCACCAGUAAAUUCUUCUUGCUCUUAAUAUAUCUCUUAUCAAUAUCUUAUACUAUACUCAUGUAAUUACUAACUAAUUAUGAAAAAAAAAAAAAGGAUUUUUAGCCGUGCCAUUGGCACAGAUGUCAUAUCACUGAUUGGCACGGUACAGUACGAUGGGCAUGGCCCAAGCCGUUGGGCCCUUAUAUCAUUGAUAGCGCUACAGGCACACAGCAAAUGUGUUCUUAUUGGUUAGGCUGUUAGCAAGCAAUUAAAAUGCUCUCACCAUGUGAGAUAAGACGCUUAAAAAUGAAACAUUCUCAAAGACAUUCUUCUUACUAUGUGAGAUCUGGGGUGUUAAAUUCUAUAGUCCCAAAGUAGUCGUGCUGCACCCCUGUUACCCCUGUUACGAGCAUGGACCCCGAAAGAACCAAGCAGAAAAAUCAAAAAGCUUAAGUUGGACUCUGUUUGGCCUUAGUAGCACUGUACUGGCAGAAGAAUUAUCAAAAAAUAGGUAUACCAACUCUGUUCCACGUAUGGUAGUAGUCAAAACAACUUUUACAAAUCAUCUCCAUCAUAUAAGGCAAGAGUAUGUUAAUAUUACUACACUAAUACAAGAGAAUUUUUUUAUAAUUGUUUCUAUCAUUAAGAAGAUUGCCUGAAGAGCAGAAAUAGAGCAUCAUACCAUUGAAAGUUAUAUGCCUUUUUGCAUAAAACAUCCACCAGUUUUGCCUUUUUCCAUAAAACAUCCACCAGUUUUGCCUUUUUGCAAAAAGGAUCCAGCAUUUUAGAUUUUACAGAUAUGGCACGAAUUUUAGAAACUAACUAAAAUACCCUUAUUCCUUUUUUUCUCUCAAUCGUCUUUCUCCUCCCGCUCCUGGUUCGUCUCCCUCUUCCUCGCCGUUUUUUCCUCUCCUUCUCCUACAUCCUCUCCCUUCUCCUCCUCCUCCUCCUCCUCCACUGCCUCCACAUCAAUGCCACGCUCUGUUCUUUUAUCUCGCUUACACCACCCCCGACAACAAUUUGAACACGGCCCACAUUGCGGAGGUGAGGUGGCAACAAAGUGCAUGGCAUAAAUUGCAAAGGUGCCGCAGGAUUUGAGAGCGACGCAGAAAGAGAGCAUGUCGGGGCAGGGGCAGCUGGUGCGUCAGAGGACAAGGGCACGAUAGUGAAAAAUGAUUUCGAAGGUAGAAGAAAAUUAAAGAAAAAAUAAAGAAAAAGUAUAUUUUUCUUCUCCUGGGAAGAUCACCAUAUGUCGUGGCUGCUACAAAAAAGGCCAAGAAGCAGAGAACAAAGAAGAAGACGUUGCACUCUUUGAAGCGAAAGUUGCACCAUUUAAAACUAUUUGAAACUAAAUUGCACCACAUAAAGCAGAAGUUGCACUGUAUUAGACUUUAAGUUGCACUAUUUUAUGCAAAUUGGUCUAAGUUGCACUGUUUGAGACUUGGUCUUAAAUAGUGCAACUAAAGUCUUAAACAGUGAAACUUAAAUCUCAAACAAACAGUACAACCUCUAUUUUAUGUAGUGCAACUUAGUCUCAAAUAGUUUAGAUGGUGCAACUUUUGCCUCAAAGAGUGCAAUUUCAUCUCAAACAAUGCGAUUUCGUCUUCUUUUUCUUUCUUCUCUACCUGGCUUUUCUUGUAACGGUCACGACACAUGAUGAUCUUUCCAGACGAAGAAAAUUAAUGUUUUUUAUUUUUUUAUUCUUUCUUUUUCUUUUUCUUUCACCAUCUACAUCUUUUUCAACUAUCACCCCCUUUCCCGCCCUGUGCUGCAGCCGCCAACCCCGCCCUAACGUGCUCUCCUUCCUCAUCAUCCUCAAAUUCUACGGUGCUCUCGUCAACGUCGCUGUCACACGGUCGCGAUCUGUGCCAUAUUCGAGCCAACGUCGGAGAUGUGGGCGAUGUAAUAGAGCAAAGCAUAGUGUCAAUGUGGGGGCAAUGGCGAAGGAGAAGGGAGAGGAAGUGAGAGUAGGAGAGUAAGAAAAGGCAAGGAAGAGGGAGACGAAUCGAGAGCGAGAGAAAAACAAAUAAAAGAAAAAAAUGAGAGAAAAAAAAAAAGGUAUUUUGAUCAAUUUACUAAAUAUUCGGGCCAAACAUGCAAAAUCCAAAUGAUCGUCUAUUUUUGCAAAAAUGCAAAAUCGGAGGAUUUUCUAUGCAAAAAGGCCAAUGUUAUAUGACUUGUAGCCUGAUCAUAUAAAAUCAGCCAUAUUAAUCCUUUUUAUUACGGAUUUUAUAUUAGCAUAUUUCAUGGUUUGAAUCGAAGUCUUGAAGGGUUCAAUUCAUGAUUUUGAUAUCUGAAAACUAGAAGAUUUUGCAAAGAAAUCAAAAGAAAACUCAAAAGCGAAGAAUCAAUUUUUUCACCAGUUGAGUUCACGAUGCAUAGGUAUUAUCUAAAUGUUUUCAUGGUGAUUCUUACUUCUUUACGGUAUUGGAAUCAAUUAUAUAUGUUUAAACUAGAUUAGAAUAAGGUUUUAGGAACUGUGGGUUUUAAUCUAAUUCAAUUUUACAUUGAGUACCGGUACUAGUAAAGAGUUCAUCAAAAACAGAGUUUGAAAAACUGAAUUGAGUACCAGUGACCACGUUCAAUUCUGCAAAACCUAGUUCUUAGUUUUGAACUACGUAUCGGCUCCAAAGUUAAAAGCACCGGAAUUGAAAGUGUAUCGUACUAAAACUCGAGUUCUGAUACACAAUACUAGCAAUCUAGUGUUACAUUUUUCAGUAUCGGAAUUCAGCUUCAUGAACUGGUACACAAUGUUUAGAUUAAUAUUAUGUGUUCUAAUCCGACUCUAAUGUAUUCCAAAGUUAUAAAUAUGUACUUAGCAUUUCUCAAUCAGGGGAAUUAGCUUAGAAUCCACCCGAGAGCAACCCUAGAGGCUUUUUUUCGUUCUAAACCUUUUCUACCAAACAGCCUCUUCCGGAUAAACUCAAAGUUACUUCCAAGUUCAUUUUUCAUGUUAUAUCGAUCUGUCCUUCGCUUAGAAAGCUCUUCCCUGGUUCAUUGAUGAUAUUCUAAGUGUUGAAUCGCCAUCACAGCUUUUUGUUUUUGGUCCAUUGAAGUGUGCGUCGUGGAUUUGGUGUUGCAUCAUGAAUUCCACGUGAUCGAGGCAUUUUAGUGGAUUCGAAACGUUAAGCUCAUGGAUUCGAGAGGCGUUCAUGGAUUCGAACGUGGGCGUGGACUAGCCGGUGGAGUAGGCAAGAUCCAAAGAAGAUAAAAUAGACGUUUGAGUUCGCAGAGUCAGUAAUCACCUUAUAAUCCUUUAUUUCUUUGUGGAUUAUUAUUGCGUGUGUGAUCCCAUGAGUUUUUACUCCUGUUUGGAGCUUUUUUUCCCACAUAAAUCUCUAUGUGCUGGUUUUUACUUUCUGCAUUUACUUUUAUUGGAUAUAGUUUGUCUUAAUUUUGGCCUUCAUACCUAUUCACACCCCUCUAGGUAUUAACAUAACCUAUUAGAUCCUAGGGUUCAUUACUUAUAAUUUCUAGCAGUUCAACUUCAGUUUAGAAUUCAGUCCUUCAUCAACCUUACGGCAAUCUGAAGUUACUUGAAUUAUUCAUAUAUUAAUGAUGCACUGUAAAUCAUUACUAGUCUUGCUGGAUUCAAUAUGAACAUAGUUUAGGUAAAAUAAUCAGAAGCCUGAUCAACUAUAGGUUCUUUCGAAACAGAACCCGACACUUGUUUUUUCUCUUUUGGUGAAACCACCUCAACUUUUGAUCAUUUUGGUUUGUGUUUAUUAUGUUAGCUGAAAAUUGGAUUCUGUUAUUUUUAACAGUCACCCUGUUCUUUUAGUUCGAAUUCUAAAUUCUGUUAACAGUUAAUAGCUAGCAGGUAAAGCAGGGGUAAAGUUUGACGAAAUCCCAAAUGCAACCAACAAAAUUAGUCAAAAUUAAAAUAAAUAGAUGUUGAUGGGGUGUCAAGUGUCAACCGAAAAAAAAAAAAAAAAAAAAAUAGUAUUGAGUCCCUCAAAUAAUCCUUGUGCAUUUCAGCGGUCCUUUAAGCUAGAAACAGAUAUGGAGUAUUUUAGAAAUAUAGUGAUAAUUUUCUACCUUACAGGAACUUUUAGUCACAUGUUAAGGACAACUUUUGCACCUGGAGGUAAAACUCCUACUUUACAAAUGAUCCACUAAAUCAUCUCCCAGAAAUCUCAAGCACUCCUGUGCUUUUCAUUCCUACAAUUUAGGAUACCUCCAAAAGGAAAAGAAUAGGCACCUUACAUAACACAGAAGUCAUCCGCCCAAGAUAGACAGAAAAAAGGGACAAGUUUGAGCAAACAUUCUAAAAGAUUUGAAGAUUUUCAUCAAUAUCAUUUGUAUGAGGAGAUUAUCUUCAUUAUAAAUAAUAUUAUUCAUUUUAGAAUGUGGAAAAAAACAAGGAAAAAACAUAUGGUAAGUUAAUGGAGAGUAAAAAGUCAGAGAACUUUCAACUUGAGAGGUAAAAUUUAAAAUUCACCGCUUAAAGUUCCUUUGCUGAAGGAAUGCACCGCCAAGCUACACUUAGCUUUUGUGAUUUUAGACCUAAAUCCUAGAUGAAAGCCGACAUGGUGAUGCAGACCAAACCAUUUUUCUAAUUUUUAUCUUUUAGGCCAUUUUGGAUUUAAUCAGUUAUUCAAGAUUAUUUUUUAAAUAGUUGUUUAAGAUUUUUUUGGGUCAACUAACCAAAGAAACUGGGGAUAGAAAUAAAUCCAUACAUCUAAGGGAUCUACUUCAAGGAUCAAAUAAGGUACAUAUUAUAAGUAAAGACCACCAGGUUCUAUUCUAAUCAGAACUUUCCAGAGUAGGAAAAAGGGACUAGGAUAUUUCGCUGUCUCUAAGCCUGUUUGGCCGUAAUCUCUUCCAUUCAGCUUGGACUGUACGCAUUUCUCUUUUCUUCCUCUCUUGCCUUCUAAUUCCUUUUUCUUCUAUUCCUUCUUUUCUCCCACACAGCCAUAGCAGUAAAAGUACUGUUGCUAUAGUACCCAGUACCACUAUAAUAUCAGCACUAGUGCACUACACUAUUGCUACAAUAUUUUUUGCAUCAGAAGCCUAUACAAAUUCAUUCUCACUAUUGCUCAUUAAAGGCCCAUGCUGACUCUCUUCAUUUUAACUUAACGUGAUUAUUUUUAUUCUCCAUCAAUCCAUCUAGUAAACACCUAUAUUUUGGAGACAGUGGUUCUUAAAUGAUGCAGGAGCUUUAAUAUUAUGUUUUACUUUUCAAUUGUUUUAUUUAUUUUAGUUAGCUAGUUGUCAUGUGACUAGCAUGUGACUUAUUAUUAUAUUUUGAUGGUUAGGAUUUAAAGUUAGCCAAUAAGUCAUAUUUAAGGGGCGGUAUUGAAUAGCACCUUGUAACCCUAAUAUAAAAAGGAUGCAGAUCAGAUUACGACUGUUUUUUAUCAUCUUUUCAAUAUGUCUAAGAAUCUAGUGGUUUUCUUAAAACCCUAACUAUUCCAUCUUUAUUCAUAGGUCUUAUUAGCCUAAAUCCGCCUAUUUGCUCUCUGUUUUCCUCCCAUGCUACAUCAUUCUUGGUAUCAGAGCCAUGGUUAGACGUGAUAGAGGACGUGGAAGAGGAAAUCAAGGUCAGCAAAUAGAUAUGGCUGAGAUACGACGUAUGAUUGAUGAUUUGUCGCAGGCAGUACAAGCCUUGCAAGGGUAGGAACAUGUGGUGGCCCGUAUGGAGAAUCCAGAAGGUGACCACGGCCCUCUAGACAUGCCGAAAGGUAGUCUGGAGGAUACGACUAAUCAAGAAGACUUUGAAAAUCCCUUUCAUGAUGCUAGAACUGCAAACAAUGCGGUGCGAAGUGGAUUGGAGGAGCGAUUGCUGCAUGCCCUUGAUCUAAAUAGCAGCGAAUCAAAGAUUGAAGUUGCUGAUUUCUAUGAAAAUAUGCACACAGAAGAUUAUCUAGAUUGGGAAGCUAGUAUAGAUAAUUAUUUUAAGUGGAAACCCAUGGUUGAGAAUAGGAAGGUAUUGUUCGUGAAGCUUAAAUUGAAAGGCACUGCACUUCAAUGGUGGAAGAUUGCUGAAGAGCAACAUGCGUGGCAAGGCAAGCCAAAAGUCAACACUUGGGAACAAAUGAAAAUAAAGUUGCGGAAGCAAUUUUUACCGCUGAUUAUAUGGAGCAGUAUGAGACGUUCCAUUCGUUGAAACAGCGGAGUAUGAAUAAAGAAGCAAGAAUUUAAGUGCCCAUCGGCACGGACCGUAUCUAUCAUGCCGUAUCGUGCCAACAAGAUAUUGGCACGAUACAGCUCUCGUACUAAUGGCACAUCUCAAAACCCUCUAUUCUUCAAAUUAGUAAGUAAUUUUUUCAAUAAAGUUCAAAAGAUUUGAUAAAGAUACUGUUACAACAUAUUUAGUAUCUCAUGCUAUAUAAGGAUACAAUAUAUUACGACAUAUUUAGAGUAGGAUUACAUGAUAUGUGAUACCUAGUUAUAUUGUUACUAUAUUAGGCAUUGUUACUAUAUUAGACUCAUCUCUUGUAUUAUAUAACAUCAUCAAUAGAGCCCAUAAGGGAAUGCUCUUUUACCACCCUUUCUCUUAGCAUAUUACAGGUGGUUGUUUCUAGUUCUCCUAAAACUGCAUAUGAUGCUUGGAAAACUAUUGAAGCAUAUUUUCUUGAUAAAACUGCUUCCACGGCUUUCUCUCUAAAGUCCGAAUUGCGAAGCAUCAAGAAAGGUUCAAUGAACAUGAGCGAUUACAUGCAAAAGAUUAAAUCAAUUGGUGAUGCUCUACAAGCGAUCGAUGAAUCUGAAUCAGAUCGUAACUUGGUCAUGACAGUUUUUCUCGGGUUACCGGAAGUAAGGUUUAAAGUGCCGUGGCACGGGAGCGUGCCGUUGUCCCUGGCACAGUACGUCACAGGCACGCUUGCGUGCCGACACGCGGCACGCUUGCGUGCCGAUAAAUACGCAUGGCCUCCUACUGGCACGCUUUGGCACGAACCUAUUUUAGUUUUUUUUGUUCCAAUAAACUCUUAUAAUAUUAUUUUGAAAGAUUUAAACAAAAUAAUUAUGAAUAUUUACUAUAUAUACCUUACUAUACUCAUCAAUUAACAUGCAUGAAAACUUUUUGUAAGCAAAGUACAGCUAUACCUAAUGUAGAAUGAAAUUAAAAUAUAAUAAUAAAAUUCACAAGUAUAAUAAUUAUUUAAAUUUACAUAUUUACAUAGAAAUAACUACUUAAUUCCACAUAGAUCGUCGCGCUUAAUCAUCUGGCAUAUUAUUAUCUACAGAUACAAGAUUUAUUUGACAAUGUUGAUAUAAGUAUUGCUUGUAUUGUGAGAAAUUCAUAUAUUCCCAAUAUUACAUCUAUAUUUUUUGUUCUUUUAUUCUUUUUAAAAAUAUCUGAUCAAAAUUUGUUUAGGAAAUUGAUUUUUGUUCCUUUGAUUCAUCGAAAGUUUCGCGAUGUGACAAAUUUUGACAAUUUUUUGUGAAAAAAAAAAAUGGAUGUCAGUGGUGGGCUGCUCGGCUCGGGCCGGGUGCGGGGGUGAAGCCCUUGCGGUAUGGAUCGCUAUGUCAAUUAAAAAUUUACUCCUAUAUGAUAAAUAGAAGUUAAAAAAAAAGGCAUCCGCCAUAAAGGCAAAAAAAAGUUGAAAAAAGACAACAAAGUGAAAAAAUGACAAUAUAGGUGCCCAAGGGGGAAAGGGAGGCUCCAAACCCCAGAGAACUAAAGGAAAAAAAACAAAAAAAAAAAAAGCCAAAAAGAAAAAAAAAAAAUAUUGGCGCACGCACGGUAACGUGACGCCGGCACGCCCUGGUGCGCUUUGUCUCGAGCGGCACGCAGGUGCGUGCCGCGAGACAGAGGGGGGGUCCGAGACCCCCCCGUACCGUGCCCCCUUCUUGGGGGCACGGUACGGCACGGCCGGCACUUGAAUCCUUGACCGGAAGCAUAUAGGGCAAGGUUUAAAGUGUCGUGGCACAGAGGUGUGCCGCUCUUUCUCUGGCACGAUACGGCACGGGCACGCGUCCGUGCCGACACGUGGUACGAAUGCGUGCCAAUGGAUACGCAUGACCUCCUACUGGCACGCUUUGGCACGUAUUUAUUUAAGUUUUUUUGGUUCCAAUAAGCUUUUAUAAUGUUAUUUUGAAAGAUUUAGACAAAUAAUUAUUAAUAUUUGCAAUGUAUAGCUUACUAUACUCAUCAAUUAACAUGCAUGUAAGCAUUUUGUAUAUAAAGUACAACUAUACCUGAUGUAGAAUAGAAAUUAAAAUUCUUUUGUUUUUAUUUUUUUUUAUUUGAAAAGUACAACUAUACUUGCUGUAACAUUUGAAAAUUCUUUUGUUUUUAAUUUUUUUAGAAUUAAAAAAAUUAUAACAAAUAAAAUGACAAAAAAAUUUAUUUUCUAAAAACGUUUCAAGAUCUAUAUAUUGAUUCGAUUAGGAAGCAUAUAAUAACUAGAACAACCAAAAUAGUACCGUAAUUACAUCCAUUUUUUUUAUUCUUUUAAAAAAUAUCUGAUCAAAAUUUGUUUAGGAAAUCGAUUUUUAUUCCCCUGAUUCAUCGAAAAUUUUGCGAUGCGACAAAUUUUGACAAAAUAUUCUGCGAAGAAAAAAUGGAUGUCUGUGGCUGAAGCAGAGGGGCCCGCAUCGGAGAGGGGUGCGGAGGGCUUCGCCCCAUGCGGUAUGGAUCAGAUUUGUCAACUAAAAAUUUACUUCUAUAUUAAUAAAUAAGAAGUUAAAUUAUAAAUUUUUAAUUUAACAAAAAAAAAAGAAAAAGUCAAAAGAAAAAGCCAAAAAGAAAAAAAGAGGACGGCACGCUGCAUAGUGCUGCGGCACAUGGCCGCGUGCCGCUCUGUCUCAAGCGGCACAGGUCAUGUGCCACGGCACCCAGGAGAGGUCCGAGACCCUCUCCGUGCAGGGUACGACACGGGGCGGCACUUAAUACCUUGAUAUAGUGGUUUUGUCAGUGCCCUUAAUACAUAUCGACAUAAGCCUACUUUUGAACAACUUCGUCCACUUCUAAUGCAAGAGGAAACUGAAGCUCAACGUCGUACUAGUUUGACGACAUCACCAGCCACUCCCACUAUCGAUGGCGAAGCUCUUUAUGCAAAUCGUGGUGGAGUUAGAUAUCGCGAUGGUCGGGGACAAUACGGUAGAUUCAAUUCAUAUCCUGGUCGUGGAUCUCCUGGAGCCUAUUCGCAUUCUCAACCUAAUAAUUCUAAACCCUAUACUCCGACCUAUCAACCUUACAUUCCGAAAUCUGGCACACAAUGUUAGAUCUGCGGCAAGUUUAAUCAUUCGGCUCUUCAGUGUAGACAACGCUUAAAUCAUUCCUUUGUUGCAGAUGAUCUUCCUCAAACCUUUGCUGCUAUGAAUCUUCAUGAACCUGGUGAGGAAGUGUGGUAUCCUGACACCGGAGCAUCUAAUCAUAUGACCGCAACUUCUGGUAUUCUCUCAACCUCUAAACCUCAUAAAGGGCAUGAAAAAAUUCUUGUUGGUAAUGAAAAUUUACGUGAUAUUACUCAGACAGAUGAAACCCAGUUGCAUUCCUCCUCUAAAUCCUUAGCUCUUAAAAAUAUUCUUGUUGUUCCUUCUAUUAAGAAAAAUUUGCUUUCCGUACGCCAGUUCUGUCAUAAUAAUAAUUCCCUUUUUGAGUUUGACUCUUCUGGUUUUUCUGUGAAGAACAAGGAAACCGGGACGGAGCUCCUUCGAUGCCCUAGUUCGGGAACAUCACUCUAUUCACUCUCUUCUAAAGUUGCAAGUGUCGAAAAUAAGCAACAGCUAGCACUGGUUGCAUCUAGGGUUGAUAGUGAUAUUUGGCAUAGAUGGUUAGGUCACCCUAGUUUUUCUGUUCUUUCUACGUUCUUUAAAAAUAAUAAAAUUGUCUCAGAUUCUAUUUUGAAAUUAUCUGUUUGCAAUGCUUGUAAUAUGGAAAAACAAGUCAAACUUUCGUUUAAUGAUUCAGAAUCUCAGUCCGCUUUUCCCUUUCAUAUUGUUCAUUCGGAUGUAUGGCAAUCACCUGUUCCCUCACUCUCCGGCUACAAGUAUUAUGUUAUUUUUAUUAAUGAUUACUCUCGAUUCUCUUGGCUUUAUCUUUUAAAAUCUAAACACGAAGUUUUUGACAAAUUUUUGGAGUUUAAAAGAAUGGUUGAAAACAUAUUCCAUAGCUCGAUAAAAAUUUUCCAGUCCGACAAUGGCACUGAAUUUGUAAAUGAGUAGUUUUCUAAUCUGUUCACAAAAUGGCAUUAUUCACAGAUUUUCUUGUCAUUAUACUUCUCAACAAAAUGGUCUUGCUGAGAGGAAGCAUAGGCAUUUAUCUAACGUUGUUAGAAGCCUACUUUUUCAAGCUUGUUUACCUCCUCGGUUCUGGGCUGAGGCCAUUCAAACUGCCAUUUUCCUUGUAAAUAGAAUUCCAUCUCUCACUGUUUUAAAAGGACGAUCGCCAUAUGACAUUCUGCAUGGUUGUGCUUCUCUUGACUUGCAACUUAUUAGAAUUUUUGGAUGUUUAUGUUAUCCCGAUGUACAGGACAUUGCAGCUCACAAGCUCGCUCUCCGGUCACUUCCUUGUGUCUUCUUGGGUCUUUUUGACAAACAUAAAGGAUUUUGCUGUCUAUAUCCAAGCACCGGUAAAGUCUUUAUUUCUCGCCAUGUUACAUUUGUUGAACAUGUUUUUCCUUAUUCUUGUCUGUCUAAAUUUUCUUCUUCUUCCUCAUCCUCAUUUUCCAACUUGCAAAUGUUUCAAAGUUUUCUCUCUAAUCCGUUUUUACUGGGUGAAAGUCCUACCACUGUUGAUGCGAUUUCUGGCUUCUACUUCACAUGUCCUCCUCCUGAUAUUGGUUCACACACAUCGGUUUCACCGUCUGAGGACUUAUCAAUAUUUUCUUCUAGCUUGCAUUCUGAUGCUCCACAGGUUGGUCCUGAGAAUGUUGCCACUGUUGUUGGUCUAUCUGAGCUUCGGGUCUAUACCAGACUACACGCCAGCCGGCCUGCUGCUCCUUCUCCAUCUGCUACUGAUGUGCCACUUACUUUUUCUGAUAAUCCACCUCCUCAGCUUGCUACUGUCUCCUCUCCUUCAUUUUCUAUGGCUCCGCUGCCUACCCGUACCCAUUCUAUGCUCACUCGCUCUAUGACUAAGGAUUCCACAGGGUCUACUUCCUUACUCACUUCUGCCCAUUCUACUCUUCCUACUGAGCCUACUUCUUUUCAUGAGGCUUUUCAAGAUGCAGAUUGGCGUGCUGCCAUGGCUGAGGAAUUUGAUGCCUUACUGACUAAUGCUACUUGGGAUCUUGUUCCUCCUCCUUCUUCCAUUAAUCUCAUUGGAUGUAAAUGGAUAUACAAGGUAAAGCAGGAGGCGGAUGGUUCUCUUGAGCGUCUCAAGGCUCGACUUGUUGCUCAGGUUUACAAACAACAACGAGGUGUUGAUUUCGAUGAGACUUUUUCUCCCGUUGUCAAGGCGACCACUAUUCGUACUGUUCUCUCCGUGGCUUUAUCGUCCGGUUGGUCUCUUUAACCAAGGUUUAAAGUGCCGUGGCACGGGGGCGUGCCGCUACGUCCUUGGCACGGUACGGCACGGGCACGCUUGCGUGCCGACACGUGGCACGCUUGCGUGCCGACAGAUACGCACGACCUCCUACUGGCACGCUUUGGCACGAAUUUAUUUAAGUUUUUUUGGUUUCAGUAAGCUUUUAUAAUGUUAUUUUGAAAGAUUUAGGCAAGUUAUUAUUAUUUUUUGCUAUGUAUAGCUUAUUAUACUCAUCAAUUAACAUGCAUGUAAGCAUUUUGUAUAUAAAGUACAACUAUACCUGAUGUAGAAUAUAAAUUAAAAUUCUUUUGUUUUUAUUUUUUUUUAUUUGAAAAGUACAACUAUACUUGCUGUAACAAUUGAAAAUUCUUUUGUUUUUAAUUUUUUUGUAAUUUAAAAAAUUAUAACAGAUAAAAUGAUAGAAAAUUUUAUUUUUUCUAAAAAUUUAAAAUCUAUAUAUUGAUUGAUUUAGGAAGUAUAUAAUAACUAGAACAACGAGAAUAGUACUGCAAUUACAUCCAUAUUUUUUUUAUUCUUUAAAAAAUAUCUAAUCAAAAUUUGUUUAGGAGAUCAUUUUUGUUCCAUGAUCAUCGAAAAUUCGCGGUGCGACAAAUUUUGACAAAAUAAUUUGCGAAAAAAAAAUGGAUGUCUGUGGUGGAAAGAGAGGGUCGGGCACAGGCCGAGGGCGUAGCCACAUGGACAUCCGAGGGGGGUGCGGGGGCGAAGCCCCCCCCCGGGUAUGGAUGGAUUUAUCAAUAAAAAUUUGCUUUUAUAUUGUUAAAUAGAAGUUAAAUUAUAAUUUUUAAUUUAACAAAAGAAAAAGAAAAGUCAAAAAGAAAGCAAAAGGCAAAAAAAAAGGUACUAGCCAAAAGAAAAAAAAUGUUGACAAAAAGACAACACAAUGUCAAAAUAAAGAAAAAGUGAAUAAAGGCAAUAUAGAUGGCCGGGCGGAGGCUCUUUGUAUUCCAGAGAAAAAAAAAAGAGACAAAACAAAAAAAAAAAGCCAAAAAACUCAAAAAAAAAAAAAAAAAGGCCGGCACGCGGCACAGUGCCGCGGCACAUGGCCGCGUGCCGCUUUGUCUCGAGCGGCACGCGGCUUGUGCCGCGGCACCCAGGGGGGUCCGAGACCCCCCCUGUACCGUGCCCCCUUCUUGGGGGCACGGUACGGCACGGGGCGGCACCUUCAACCAUGUCUUUAACAACUUGAUGUGAAGAAUGCGUUUCUUCAUGGAACUCUCUUAAGAGGUUUAUAUGGCAUAACCACCGGAUUUUGUGGACCCCUCUCUUCCUCAUCACGUUUGUCGUCUCCGCAAGAAAAUCUAUGGUCUUAAGUAGGCCCCUCAGGCUUGGUUUCAGCAGUUCACUUCAUUUCUUUCUGAACUUGGUUUUGUCGGCAGUACCGCGGAUCCCUCGAUAUUUGUUUCUCCUUCCUCUUCUGGCACUCUCGUUCUUCUUUUAUACAUUGAUGAUAUUAUUAUCACUGGCAGCUCCUCUCUUUUGGAGGCUCUCAUUGUCACCCUACAACGUGAGUUUGCUAUGAAAGAUCUCGGGCCGCUCUAUUAUUUCUUGGGCAUUGCGGUUACUCCGUCUUCUUCUGAUCUUCAUCUGACUCAGCACAAAUAUACGCAUCAACUACUUCAACGCCAUGGCUUUCUUGAUUGUAAGCCUGUCUCUAGUCCUCUUUCUCCGGCCUCUCACCUCUCGUCUUAUGAGGGAAUUCUUAACGAUCCUUAUGUCUAUCGUCAGCUUGUUGGUGCUCUCCAGUAUCUCACCUUCACGAGACCGGAUAUUUCGUAUGCUGUCAACUCUGUUGCUCAGUAUUUGCAGACGCCUCGUGAACCACAUAUGCAAGCCGUCAAGCGUAUUCUACGUUAUAUUCAAGGGACCCUAUCUUAUGGUCUUCCACUCUCUCGCUAUGUCAAUCAUUCUCUUGUGGCGUUUGCCGAUGCUGAUUGGGCUGGUUGCCCCGAUACACGUCGCUCUACUUCUGGCUAUUGCGUCUUUCUCAGGCCCAAUCUUAUCUCCUAGUCUGCUAAGAAACAGCCCACCAUUUCUCGCUCAAGUUCUGAAGCGGAGUAUCGCGCUGUGGCAUAUACGCUUGCUAAUACAGUUUGGAUUCGCCGUUUACUCCAUGACCUUGGUGUUUUCUUAUGGCGCUCCAUCAGCAUCUAUUGUGAUAAUCUCAGCACGACUUAUCUUGCGGCUAAUCCGGUUCUCCAUGCUCGGACGAAGCAUAUUGAGCUUGACCAUCAGUUCCUACGUAAGAAAGUCCAGUCUGGUGAUUUGGACUUGGUGCACAUCUCUUCUGAUAAGCAACUUGCUGAUAUUUUCACCAAGCCUUUGUCGCCUUCUCGGUUUUCGAUAUUGCGGCUCAAUCUUCGCAUCCGACCACCGGAUGCUUAGCUUGCGAGGGUAUGUUACGACAUAUUUAGUAUCUCAUGCUAUAUAAGGAUACUAUAUAUUACGACAUAUUUAGAGUACGAUUAUAUGAUAUGAGAUACCUAGUUAUAUUGUUACUAUAUUAGGCAUUGUUACUAUAUUAGACUCAUCUCUUGUACUAUAUAACAUCAUCAAUAGAGCCUAUGAGGGAAUGCUCUUUUACCCUUCUUUCAGAUACAUAAUAAACUAUUAGAAUAUUUUGUUGCUAAAGAAAAUAAAUAUUUCAUGCCAUUAUGUGUCACCACACAUGUAUUUUUUGUGACCUGCACGCAUUGGCACAGCCCAGCACACACCGUGUCGUUCUGUGCCGGCAAGUUUCUGGCACGACCCCGUGCCACAACAUUUAAAACCACGUGUAGAAGAGUAUAAUUCUGAGUUCUACAAUUAUCGGUUUGAGUGGGAUUGAAUAAGACAAAUAAGCAAGUAACUUCUCGUUACUUGCCGGACUAACCCUUCUAUUAGAGAUGAGAUAGGAGUUGUUCGUUUGUUCAGUCUUGAAGAUGCUCGACAAUGUGCCUUGUUAGCGGAAAAGCGAGUGUGGCGAUAUGGUGUGUAAUGGCAUAGCUCAGGGAAGAUGACAGAACCAGGGUGGAGGUAACUAGGUAGGAGAUCGAAUAAAGGGUCGGGUCUGGGGAUCCACAAUCCGACUAGAGGGAAGCUGGGACUGAGGGUUGCUCGUGGGCCUCCACAAGCCGUCCAUCUCAAAUCCAGCUACAAGCCCAAUGGUUCGAUGUGGUCCAUGGACUCCACUAGUUGGUUAACAUUCUUAUAGCUACCAUUGUUUGUAUUCAAUUGCAUUUUAGUCCCUGUAAGACACCUAUAAAUAGGUGAAGAACUUUGGAGGCAGUUAUGAAUGGGAAUUGGCAUUUCUUCUACAAGCUUCUUCUCGUAUCUCCUUCUCUCUCUCUUCUUCUUCCUCCUCUAAACCCUCCUCAAAUCUCUAUCUCUUUCUCACUCAAACCCUCUCAAUUCCUCAUCAAUGGAGGAUUGUUAGCUACAUCGAGCCAAGGAUCCAUCAUCUCCACUCAGCGCAACUCAGAGUAGCUUCAUCAUUGCUACGCUGAGAGGAUCAGGGUGUGACAACUUGAUAUCAGAGCAGCUUCGAUCCACGAGGUAAGGAGAGUAGUAGUUCCACGGAUUGGAUCCAGAUCUCAGAUCUGUUGAACCAAUACAGGAACGCAUAACUCACAAUCCGAUUCUUCUUUUUUUAAAAAAAGAGAGUCAGAUUACAAGGGUUAGCUACUUCCUGUCGGAUCUAAGGAAAGAGAGGGCACAUCAGAGAAUUGAAGAGUUCGUCAUCGGAGGUAGAUCCGUCAUUGGGUCGAAGAAGAGCAAUCGAUUCAAAUUUGUUAGCAAAACAAAGGCGGCCAUAGCAGAGGGAACCCGAUUCAGAGUGCUUGAUGAGCAUGUGCAAUCUCUGGAGCAACACUUGCAUGAAUUAGCCACGGGGAGCAACAAGAGAUUUGAGGAACUCCAUCUCAAAAUUGAGGCUAUGAGGGCUGAGAAACAGAGCCACUAUGAAGCAUUGCGCAAGGAUUCAACUACCACCACCAAGAAACUGGAGCAAUUGAUGGAAGUGAUCUUAAAUCAUCAGCGGCUGUCAUUCUCCAAAGACACGGCAGGGUCGAUCACACAAGAGAGAGGUAUCCUCCCAACCCCAAAUAACUCAAUUAGAGAAGAUAAUAGUUCUUAUCAGUUGCAUAAUAGGCCUAGCCCACAAUUACCCUUGCCUCGAUUAGAGUUUCCACAUUUUAAUGGAGAUAAUCCUAAGAAUUGGGUGAGGCGAUGUGAGAAGUACUUUGAGAUCUUUGGAAUCAAAGAGCAACAGAAAUUAGAAGUUGCCGUUAUGCACAUGGGGCCUAAGGUAGAUACCUGGUUUCAUGGUUAUGUAGCUGAAAGGGGAGUAAUGAGCUGGGAAAUCUUUGCCCAAGAUGUUUGUAAACGAUUUGACUCUGAUGGUCUCCAUGAUGUUGUGGAAGAAUUCAAUAAGCUGACUCAACAAGGAACUGUAGAAGAUUAUCAAGAACAAUUCGAAUACCUUCGGUCAAGAUUAUUACAAACCGCUUCCCAAUUUGCCCCGGAGUAUUUCUUAUCUAGCUUCUUGAGUGGAUUAAAGGAAGAAUUAAGAUCUGCAGUUAAGAUGAUGUAUCCCCGUUCCCUCACUCAGGCUUUUGAGAUAGCAAGACUGCAGGAGCAGAACAUGGCAGCCAUGUUGAAGAAGAGCAGAAUAUGGGUUAAGAACCCAGGUAGUGCAACACUUUCCGACAGCAGCAAGGGUAACAGUUCGGCAACAAACCCCCGGGGGGUGGAUGCCACCAGGAACUAUACCAGCAAGCCAACAACGGAAAGGUCACAAACCAAUAGGCAACUAUGGGAACAAAGAAAGGUCGCGGGGCUAUGUUUCAAGUGCGGGGAUAAAUACUCUUUUGGGCAUCAGUGUAAACAGCAAACAGUAAGUGCUAUGGAAGCCACAGGAGAGGUGACUGAAGUCUAUGAUGAAGAAUAUCUGAAGAAAGUCAAUGAAGGGGAUGAACAGGAGGAUGAGGAAAAGGAGGAAAUUGGGUUGUCAGUACAUGCCUUUAAGUGCCGGAAACUUGGAAGAAACCAUUAAAAUUCAAGGAGAAUCAAAAGGGAAAGACCUGGUCAUAUUGGUGGAUACAGGAAGUACUCACAGUUUCCUCGAUAUAAACACGGCGAAGGAGAUCAAGACUACUAUAGCCCCCACUUCCUCCUUGUUAGUUACGGUUGCCAAUGGGCAAAAGGUUUUGAGUAAAUUGAAAUGCCCAGGAUUCAGUUGGAAAAUGCAAAAUGAGGGAUAUGUGGCUGAUUUGAGAGCGAUUCGAUUAGAAGGUUCAAGUAUGAUAUUGGGCAUUGACUGGCUGAAACUUCAUGGCCCGGUCACAUUCGACUAUGAGCAAAACAUAGUGUCGAUUAUGAAAGGAGGGAAAAAGUAGAGCUCAAGGGAAUGGCAGAAAAAGCAAAAAUUCGAAGUAUCACUGCCAGGCAAUGGGAUCAGGAGUAUUUAGAAGGCAACUGUUGUGCAGUGGCUCAACUAACCAGUAAAGAUGAGGAUCGGGAUUCUGUUCCUGCCGCGAUUCAAGAGGUUCUGCAGCAAUUUGAGGAUGUGUUUCAAGAGCCACGAGGGUUACCACCUGCUAGAUUACAGGAUCAUCGGAUACCGUUGCAAGCAGGAGCCCGACCUGUUAAUAUUAGACCUUAUCGCUAUAGUUACGAACAAAAGAAUGAAAUUGAGAAGUUGAUCAAGGAAAUGCUUACCUCAAAGGUAAUCCAACCGAGUAAUAGCCCCUAUGCUUCGCCGGUGUUGUUAGUCAAAAAAAAAGAUGAAAGUUGGAGAUUUUGUGUUGAUUACCGACAAUUGAACACACUUACUAUCAAGGACAAGUACCCGAUACCUAUAAUUGAAGACCUUUUGGAUGAGUUGGGUGGAUCCACUCUAUUCUCAAAGAUAGUUUUAAGGUCAGGAUAUCAUCAGAUCCGGAUGUAUCCAAGCGACAUUCCGAACACGGCAUUCCGAACUCAUGGGGGCCACUACGAGUUUCGGGUGAUGCCAUUCGGGCUCACCAAUGCCCCCGCCACCUUUCAAGCCAUAAUGAAUGAGGUAUUCGCUCCUUUGCUCCGCAAGUACGUCCUUAUAUUUUUCGAUGAUAUAUUGAUCUACAGUAAGUCACUGGAGGAGCAUGUCACUCACCUGGAGGUGGUACUCCAAAUUUUAAGAAAGAAUCAACUCUAUGCAAAGAGGUCGAAGUGUUUCUUUGGGCAGCGACAAAUAGAAUAUUUGGGUUACAUCAUCACACCAAAGGGAAUAGCUACAGAUCCUUGUAAAGUUGAAGCCAUGCAACAAUGGCCACGGCCAACUUCAGCAAGAGAGUUAAGAGGUUUUUUGGGCCUGACCGGUUACUAUAGAAAGUUUAUUAAGGGGUAUGGAGUUAUUAGUAAACCCUUGAUUGAUUUAUUGAAGAAAAAUGGAUUUGGAUGGGAUAGUUCUGCUCAAAAGGCCUUCGAAUUGCUGAAGAAAGUAAUGACUGAGGCCCCUGUGCUAGCCAUGCCUGAUUAUAAAAAGACAUUUAUUGUGGAAGUUGACGCGUGUGAGGAUGGCAUUGGAGCUGUGCUGAUGCAGGAGGGGAGACCUAUAGCCUAUCUCAGCAAGACCAGAAGCAAGAAGAAUCGGGGACUGUCCACAUAUGAAAAAGAGCUUUUGGGGUUGUUCAUGGCCGUAACGAAGUGGAGACACUACCUGAGUAUGAGACAAUUUAUCAUAAGAACAGACCACGAGAGCCUCAAAUAUCUCCUCGAACAGCGGAUCACUACCACGUUGCAGCAGAAGGGGAUGCUUAAAUUGCUGGGACUGGAUUAUAUGAUACAGUACAAGAAGGGUAGAGAGAAUAAGGUAGCUGACGCUUUAUCCCGUAGGAGAACGGAGUGCGGUAGCAGCCAGGCUAUCUCGGCGGUUGUUCCGGAGUGGACAGUUGAUAUUAUUACUAGUUACAAAGGAGACGAGGACUGCCAAAGGUUAAUAGCUCAACUGACAGUACAACCUAAUAGUUUAGCCAAUUACUCUAUGGUCCGGGGGAUAUUACGCUACAAAGAAAGGCUAUAUGUGGGAUCUGGUGGAGAGUUAAGACAGAAACUGCUCAUUCAGAUGCAUAGUUCGGCUAUGGGAGGUCAUUCUGGGCAGCAGACUACUUAUAAAAGGAUUAAGCAGACAUUUUUCUGGCCAGGCCUCAAGAAGCAAGUAGAAGAGAUGGUAAAGAACUGUUCUAUAUGCAUUCAGAACAAACCAGAUAAUCAGCCCUACGCAGGGUUGCUUCAACCAUUACCAGUUCCGCGACAGAUUUGGAGAGAAAUCAGCAUGGACUUUAUAGAGGGACUGCCGAGGUCGGAAGGCAAAAACUCUAUUCUGGUGGUCGUUGACAGAUUAACCAAGUAUGGGCAUUUCAUUCCUUUAUCCCAACCUUUCACAGUCAGUGAGGUUGCUAAAGCGUUCUUUGACACCAUCUACAAAUUGCACGGACUACCGGAGAAGAUUAUAUCAGAUCGAGACAGAGUCUUCACUAGCGAAUUGUGGAAAGAAUUGUUUAAGAUGCUGGGAACGAAGCUACACAUGAGCACUGCAUAUCAUCCCCAAACUGAUGGCCAAACCGAGAGGCUUAAUCGGUGUUUGGAAACAUAUUUGCGAUGCAUGUGUUUCCAACGACCGCAUAGUUGGCGGAAGUGGCUUUCCCAUGCCAAAUUGUGGUAUAAUACAAAUUACCACUCUUCUCUGGGGACAUCACCAUAUCAGGCUCUAUAUGGAUGUGAGCCCCCGAACUACCUGGUAGCCAAUUUGGGGCUGGGAACUGUGCACGAUGUAAGGGAAUGGGGGAAAGAAAGGGAAGGUGUAACUCGGGACCUGCGAGAAAAUCUCUUGAAGGCGCAGAAUCGCAUGAAGCAAUUCGCUGACCGUCGUAGUGUGGACAGAGAAUUUCAGGUAGGUGAUUCAGUUUACCUAAAGUUGCAACCUUACAGACAGUGCACAGUGGCGGAAAGAAGGAACUUGAAAUUGUUUUCUCGUUACUAUGGGCCUUUCGAGAUCUUGGAGAAGAUUGGUACCGUGGCCUACCGGUUGCAGCUUCCUGAAGGGUCGCGAGUUCACCCGGUGUUUCAUGUCUCUUUACUGAAGAAGAGUCCUCCCAGUGGACAGUCAGCCACCAGGGCCGCACCACCAACUGGUGAGGAAGAAGAACCGCGUUUGGAGCCGGUGGAGAUAUUGGACCGCCGUUCGAUUCGCCGGGGUAAUAAGGCCGUGACACAAGUAUUGAUCAAAUGGAACCAUCUACCUGAUGAUCUAGCGACCUGGGAGGAUUAUUGGUCGUUGAAGGAACAAUUUCCUGGUUUGGAUCCUUGAGGGCAAGGAUGGUCUGAAGGAGGAGGGAUUGUAAUGGCAUAGCUCAGGGAAGAUGACCGAACCAGGGUGGAGGUAACUAGGUAGGAGAUCGAAUAAAAGGUCGGGUCUGGGGAUCCACAAUCCGACUAGAGGGAAGCUGGGACUGAGGGUUGCUCGUGGGCCUCCACAAGCCGUCCAUCUCAGAUCCAGCUACAAGCCCAAUGGUUCGAUGUGGUCCAUGGACUCCACUAGUUGGUUAACAUUCUUAUAGCUACCAUUGUUUGUAUUGAAUUGCAUUUUAGUCCCUGUAAGACACCUAUAAAUAGGUGAAGAACUUUGGAGGCAGUUAUGAAUGGGAAUUGGCAUUUCUUCUACAAGCUUCUUCUCGUAUCUCCUUCUCUCUCUUCUUAUUCCUCCUCUAAACCCUCCUCAAAUCUCUAUCUCUUUCUCACUCAAACCCUCUCAAUUCCUCAUCAAUGGAGGAUUGUUAGCUACAUCGAGCCAAGGAUCCAUCAUCUCCACUCAGCGCAACUCAGAGUAGCUUCAUCAUUGCUACGCUGAGAGGAUCAAGGUGUGACAUGGUGCAAGAAAGCCUCUAGUAGGAAGAACAAUAGAUGCAACACAAAGAGGCUUUGGGGCUGUUUGAAAUGUUAAAAGUGAACAAACAGCUCAACGAACCAGCCGAGAAACCUAUGCGAAUAACCGACCAACUAGAGAAAGUGCAAGUAAUUUUGAACGGAAUGAUAAAGGAAAGACUAUGGUGCGGUAUGGAGCACAAAACCAUUCAAGCUCCACUGUCUCUAAAUGGGUAGCAACUCACAAAUUCGGUGUUUCACUUGUGGUGAAAAGGGUCAUAACUCUUAUGCAUGUCCGGAACAACGGAUGAACCUAGCAGAACUGGAGGACAAUGAAUAUGAUGAGUCGGAGACAAUUUAUGAUGAUUAUGUGGAAGAGAGCGAAGAAGUAAUCCAUCGAGUUCAAGGGGAGUCGUUGGUGGUUCGACAAGUGAUGACAGCAGCAAUUAAAGAAGAAGGAAGACUUGAGGUGACAAUUCGACAUUGCAUUUUUCGAACUCGUGUUCUUUGUGAUGGGAAGGUGUGUGACCUAGUUAUUGAUGGAGGUAGUAUGGAGAAUAUUAUUUCAAAAAGACGCUGUAGAAAAAUUGAAGUUGCCCAUCGAAAAACAUCCUUAACCCUACAAGAUCCGUUGGCUCAAGAAAGGCAAGGAAAUACUGGUUACAUCUCGUUGUUUGGUGAGGUUCACAAUGGGAGCUAAUUUGGAUGAUGAAGCUUUGAGCGAUGUUGUGCCUAUGGAUGUUGAUCAUAUACUUGUGGGAAGACCUUGGUUAUAUGACAUGACAAGGAACACUAUGCUAAGCCAAACACUUAUUCCUUCUAUAGAGACAACAAGAAGUAUACCUUGCAUCCGUUAAAGGAAGAAGUAAAAGAACUUGCUGGUGGUUCAAAAAGCAACAAGGUUAAUGGCUUUUUAUCUGCUGAACAAUUUGAAAUUGAGCGCCAAGAAGCAAGGUUUGCAUGUGCCUUAGUAAACAAAAUAGUAAAAAAGGAGCAGCUUACAAAAUUCCCGCGACAACAACCUGAAAUUCAGCAAUUGUUUAAGGAUUUUUCAGAUCUGGUUAGUGGUGACUUACCACAAGGUUUACCACCAAUUAAGAGCAUUCAACAUGCCAGCGAUUUAAUUCCAAGUGCCUCUUUACCAAAUCUGCCAGCAUAUAGAUUGCCACCUGUACAACGGGCCGAGAUGCAAAGACAAGUUGAGUUGGUGGCCAAGGGUUUGGUGCGUGAAAGCAAAAGUCUAUGUGCUUGUCCAGCUUUACUAGCCCCAAAGAAAGAUGGUUCUCGGAGGAUGUGCAUGGAUAGUCGUGCCAUCAAUAAAAUUACUAUAAAAUACAAAUUCCCAAUUUCUCGCUUGAACGAUAUGCUUGAUCAAUUAACUGAUUCUGUAGUGUAUACGAAGAUAGACUUGAAGAGUGGGUAUCAUCAAAUCAGGUUGAGGAUUGGUGACGAAUGGAAAACGGCAUUCAAAACACCGAAUGGCUUGUAUGAAUGGUUAGUGAUGCCGUUCGAACUCUCUAAUGCGCCAAGCACGUUUAAGCAAGUCACGACUGAGGUAUUGAAACCUCUUUUGAACAAAUUUGUUGUUGUCUAUUUCGAUGAUAUCCUAAUCUAUAGCCGCAGUGUGGAAGAACACUUAGUUCACUUACGCCAAGUUUUGGAGGUAUUCCAGCAGGAGCAACUCUUUAUAAACUUGAAGAAAUGUUCUUUCAUGGACCGUGAAGUUGUAUUUUUGGGAUUUAUUAUUUCAGCUGAAGGCAAAAAACCUGACCUGGGAAAGGUGCGGGCCAUUAGGGAGUGGCUUAUACCACGAACCAUUAAAGAAGUUUGAAGCUUCCAUGGGUUAGCCUCUUUUUAUAGGAGGUUCAUAAAGAAUUUCAGCUCCGUUAUGAGUCCUAUAACUGAAUGCUUGAAGAAGGAUAGUUUCGAGUGGUCGAAAUCAGCCCGAAGAGCCUUUGAACACAUUAAGACUAUGACAACUGCAGCAUCAAUUCUUUCAUUACCUGAUUUUGAAAAACUAUGUAUUCUGGAGUGUGAUGCAUCUCAUACUGGAAUCAGGGGCGUUCUUAGUCAAGAUAGGAAGCCCGUAGAGUUUUUCAGCGAGAAGCUGUUCAAUGCUAAACGAUGUUAUUCCACCUAUGACAUGGAGUUUUAUGCUUUGGUGAGGGCUAUUCAGCAUUGGGAGCACUAUUUGGCUUAUCGAGAGUUUGUGGUUUAUUCCGAUCAUCAAGCUUUAAGAUACUUGAGUUCUAAGAAGAAACUUAAUGCACGUCAUGCCAAGUGGAGUUCUUACCUUGAUGAGUUCAAUCAAACAAAUACAUGAAUGCCGAGUCUUCUACCUAUGACGUGUUGACUCCUCAGCUCUUCGAGUGCUAUUUUCCUCCGNGGAUCUGCCGCGAUCCCCACUGCCGCAACGUCACAUCCCACCUAUCUCGCAAUCCCGGAGAUCUCAUUGACCGUACCACAGAUCUCGGAUCUAGCGCCCCAAAUCCUGCUGUCCUGCACCAUCACAUGCAUCUCCAAUCAUCGGUACAGAUCUAGAAUUUGGUCCUUUCUAGAGGUCUACAAAAAAUGUGGGAGGAGAAGCCAACCGAAGGAUACAACAAAGCGCCCACACAAACCCCACAACUGUACACCACCCACGAUCCACUACCACACACACCAGAUCCAAAAAAAAAAGCAAGGUAGGCAAUGGUGGAGGCAACGGCGAAGGCUUCGUUGGCUUUGGAGUGAGAGGGAUUUGAGGUUGGAUAGAGAGUGGAGGCAUCAGAGGAGAAGUGCAGAGAAAGACUCUAGGACGAAGUAAUGAGGGUAGAGAUGAGGGUGAUGGGAGUUGGAGAGAGAGAGAGAGAAGAGCAUGUGCUCAAGCCUAGCAUCCAUGUCUUUUCAGAAAUGAGUGUAUUGCACUGCUACUGGUUUUGAUCUUUUCAAUUAUAUUUUUUGUUGGGUCUUAACUUUUAAAAUUUUAAUUUUAAAAUUUUAUACUUUCAAAAAUAUUUUGUCAGUUAUUUUAUAUUUAUUUAAUGUUAGAGGAAAACUAUUGUCUAAAUUUAAUACAUUUCUAUCGGCAUGGAUCAAGCUUCAAAAGGCAUGUCCUCGAUUUCUCAUUUUAUAUUUCAUAAUAUAACUGAAACUAAUUUUAUGUUUCUGUAGUAUUUCUUUUCUUUUUUUAUAUAUCUUAAGCUUUUUUAUACUGUUUUUUAUUUUCUUUUCCCUUUUUGUCAGUGGAAUAAUCCGCAAACAUUGCAUUUAAUCUUUAUGAUAUGCUUUAUUAUGUAAAUUAAUGUAGAGUUUAGAGCUUAGAGUUAGGAUUUAGUGUUUAAAAUUUUAGUUCCUAUUUUAAUUAGGGUAAAAAACAUACUGAUAUGAAUUAUGAACUAUUUUGAAUCAGUCACCCAACAUUUUAAAAUUUUAAUUUUACUACUCAUUCAAUAUUGUUUGAUUUAAGUCAGCCAACAGCAUUUAAACUUCAAAUUUGAAUGUAUUGUUUGUCUUUACAUGUUUAGUUAAUACACUUUAUACAAUUUUCACAACUAUGAAUUUAAAGUAACGUUAGGUGACUCAAAUUGAACAAUUGAAAGGUUGGGCAAUAAAAUCAAAAUUAAGGUUGAAUAGCCGAUUCAAGAUGGUUCAUAGUUUAGAUAAAUUCCAUACAUUUUAACUUAAAAUUAAUAAUAUUAAAAAAUUAUGGAAAAUAAAUUACCCGCCGCGAAGCGCAGGCCUACACUAGUUUUUCAUUAAAAUACAAGUAGGGGGAGUCUAACAUUGUGGCAGAUGCACUUAGUAUGCGAUCUACUCUACAAACGGUGAUGAGUAGUCAAGUAACUGGUUUCGAAGAGCUAAAAUAUCAAUACAAAACUUAUCCAUAUUUCAGUAAAAUAAUUGCUGAAUUGGAAGGGCCAACAAGGCUUGAAACUUUGCCUUAUUGUUUACACAACAGAUAUCUCUUCAAAGGCAACCAACUGUGCAUUCCAGAGGGAUCUUUGAGAGAGCAGAUUGUUAGAGAACAUCAUGGAAAUGGCUUGGGAGGUCAUUUUGGUAGAGAUAAGACCAUGUCAAUGGUUGCAGAUCGCUAUUUUUGGCCAAAAAUGUUCAAGAAUGUGGAUAGGUUGGGAAAAAGGUGUUAUGCUUGCCAAUUUGGUAGAGGUAGUUCGCAAAAUACCAGAUUGUAUACUCCAUUACCUAUGCCAGAUGCACCAUGGAUUCAUUUGAACAUGGAUUUUAUCUUGGGACUUCCAGAGACUGCCAAAGGAAAUGAUUCUAUCUUUGUUGUAGUGGAUCUAUUUUCGAAAAUGGCACAUUUCAUUCCUUGUUUGAAAACUUAUGAUGCUACACAUAUUGCUGAAUUAUUCUUUAAAGAAGUGGUGAGACUCCAUGGUGUUCCAUCUUCCAUUGUUUCAGAUAGAGAUGUCACAUUUGUGGGACACUUUUGGAGGACCUUAUGGAGAAAAAUGGGAACUCAUUUAAAAUAUUCUAAUGCUUGUCAUCCACAAACGGAUGGACAAACUGAAGCUAUUAAUGAAAAUAUGUUGAGAUGUCUUGUUAGGAAUCAUGCGAAGAGUUGGGACUUGAUUAUCCUCAAGCUGAAUUCGCUUACAACAAUUCAGUGAAUAGGACAAUCAAGAAGACGCCAUUUGAAGCUGCAUAUGGACUCAAACCGCAACAUGCACUUGACUUAGUUUCUUUGCCUUUGGGAGCUAGAGUUAGUGAUGAUGGAGAGGCAUUUCCAAAUCAUAUCCAACGAGUUCACGAGGAAGUUAAGGCUGCCUUGAAAACCAACAAUGAAAUUUAUGCGAAUGCAGCCAAUCUACAUCGUCAUUUCAAGGAAUUUGAAGAGGGGGAUUUGGUCCCUGUUCACUUGAGGAAGGAAAGGCUUCCUAAAGGCACAUACCACAAGCACAAGUCAAGGAAAUUUGGACCAUGCAAAGUGUUGAAGAAAAUAAGGUCAAAUGCUUAUUUAGUUGAGCUACCAUAAGAUUUACACAUCCAUCCCAUUUUUAAUGUUUCCAAUCUAUAUUCAUUUGAGGGUUUUGAUAGAGAAGUGGCUAAAAUUUCAGAUGAGUUUCAGCAAUAUCCAAAGGUUAUUGAAGAUGUUUUAGAUGUUAAAGAAGUCAAAUCUCAAAGGGCCAACCAGUAUAGAAGAUUUCUGGUGAAGUGGUUAGGAAAACCAGCUAGUGGGAGCACAUGGAUAGCUGAAGAUGAAUUAAUGAAGAUUGAUUCAAACAUGUAUAAUGAAGUCGUGAAGGUUUUCUUGCCGAAGUCGAGUUUUCCAAGCCAAGGAGAUUGACACAGGAGCUUUAAUAUUAUGUUUUGCUUUUCAAUUGUUUUAUUUAUUUUAUUUAGUUAGUUGUCAUGUGACUAGCAUGUGACUUAUUAUUAUAUUUUGAUGGUUAGGACUUAAAGUUAGCCAAUAAAUCAUAAUCACGGGCUGGUAUUGAAUAACACCUUGUAACCCUAAUAUAAAAGGGAUGCAAAUCAGAUUACGGCAGUUUUUUAUCAUGUUUUCAAUAUAUCUAAGAACCUAGUGGUUUUCUUAAAACCCAAACUAUUCCAUCUUUAUUCAUAGUCCUUAUUAGCCUUAAUCCGACUAUUUGCUCUCUGUUUUCCUCCCAUACUACGUCAUUAAAAUCCAAAUAUCAUAAACUUCUAGUCUUCAAUAGUGUAAUUAUUAAUGACAAAUGGCCAUCCAUACAACUAAAAAUAUCUCGAAAACUAGAUAGUCUAACCAGUUCAACUAGGUCUAUAAAACUGCUCUACAAGUGAACAGAAUAUAUGCAACAUCAAGUUACAUUUAUGUAAGCAUUGGCAAAAUGCCACUUGAACAUGGCAUUAGAAAAGUACCAAAACAAUGCCAGGUGAAAACCAAUAGAGAGCUAACUUCAUCUCAAGCAGUAUAAAACAAUAGAGAGCUAACUUGAUAUCAAGUCUUAAUUUCGAGCCCAUGAUUUCAACAAAGAAUGAUAAUUGCACAAAUAGAUAAUCUGCAAAUGAUACAAGGUUAAGUACUUACUUUAUCUUACUCCCAGCCUUCUGCACAACAGACUUCGAAAAUCUAAAAAUUGGAAAGAUAACUAGGUUAGAACUUUUAGUAAGCGAUUCUAGAGUGAAAAGUGAUUUUUUUUUUUUUUAAUAGAGCAUUUGGAAACGUUUUUUCUAAAAUCUAAUUCUGAUUUUCAGAAUCAAUUUUUUUAUUUUAGAGGCCUCAAAAUUAGAAGCAGCUAAAACCUGCUUCCUAACAUCUAAUUCUGCUUUUUGAGUUCAAGUUUCAAAUUUAAAUUUUGAUUUCGGAUUUGAAUUUUAAAUUUCAAAUUUUAAAUUCAAAAUAAUAAGUUUAAAUUUUUUAAUUUCAAAUUUUCAAAAUUUCAAUUUCAACUUUCAAAUUUUGAAUUUGAAAUUUCAAAUUUCCAAUUUAAAAUUUAAAUUUCAAAAUUUUAAAUUUCAAACUUUAAACUUAAGAAAAACUUAAAUUUUAAACAUUUAAAAUUUUUAAAUUUCUAUUUUCAAAUUUUAAACGUCAAAUUGCAAAUUUCAAAUUUUAAAAGUUAAAAUUCUUGUUCAGAUUUAAAAUUUGGUCUUUUGCACAAAAAAAUACACUAGUUUUGCAUUUUUGCAUAACUGGACCACAUUUUUCGUUUUUGUAGAUUCGAACCAAAAUUUUUGAAAAUGGACCAAAAUAUCUCGAUCCCUUAAACAUCUUAUCUCUCCUUCCUUUGCUCCCUAUUGGUAGCCCUAUUUUUUCACCACUGACGGUAGCCACAGGCACUAAUCCCUCCUCCGCCGUCUCCACACACCAUCGCAUUUGCGUCAUGGUGUUCCUCACAGGCAAGAGGAAGAUAACAAACUUGACCCGCUCGUCAUCGUGACUACUCAGACCUUGCUAGAGACGAAGACGAAGGUAGCAAAGGAGGACAAUGGUCGCUAGUAGAGAAUGCUUCCGAAGCGUGUUUGCUACGCGAGCGUGACCGACGGCGGCAAAAUGGUGGUGGUAAUAACAGAGAAAAAUCUUACGAAUGACACGAUAUUACUCUAUUUGAAAAAAAAAAGUUGCACUACUGAACAUAUAUUGCACUACGUAGCAAGAAAGUUACACUAUUUUACAUUUUAUCAUACGAAACAAAUAGUGCAACCUUCUUGCUAAAUAGUGCAACUUUUUCCAAAUAGUGCAACAUCACGUGUCUACCAGAUUUUUCUCUCUCAUUACCGCAACCACCUCAUCAUCGUCGGUCGCACUCGUGAACCCACUUACGAAUCUACUUCAGGGGCAUUCUUGACCAACGAUCAUCACCCCCCACCUCUGCCACCUUCGUUUCCAUCUCCAGUGACGCUCCUAACGGCGCCACCGUCGUUUCUACCACGGUGACCUCGUCAAACCACCCCAAGACAGCCACGGCCACAAGUGAGUCAAGCUUCAUCAUUGUCCUCUCACUCGUAAGUGAGGUAGGAGAGUGCGGCGGCGACACAGGGACAAUGGAGUGAGAAAAAACAAGGGGAGAAUGAGAGCAAAGACAGAGAGAAUAAGGAUAUUUUGUCAGUUUGAAAGAAAAAAAAUCGAUUCAGAUCUGCAAAAAACGAAAAAUGUGACCCACUUUUGCAAAAUCGCAAACUAGCAGGCUUUUUUUUUGCAAAAGGGCCUCAAAAUUUUGAAUUUUAAUAUUCAAUUUCAAAUUGCAAAAUUUCAUUUUAAUUUAGAUUUCAAAUUGGCCUAUCUUUCUUGCAGAUUCAGCCAAAAUUUUUUUAAAAUGAUCAAAAUAUCCCUAUUAUCUCUCUUUGCUCUCUUUAUCCUCUUUCUUCCUCUCACUACACCGUCCCAACGUCGCUAUUGCGCUCCUCUACUUAGCACAAGACUACAUGAGGGAAAGAACCAUGACGAAGCUUGACUCAUGACCAUGGCAAUUCUCAGCGGUGGCGUAACUCAAAGCAUCACCGAAAAUGGAGUCAGAGAUGGUAAAGGAAAAAGGCGUUGAUCACUAGUCGAGGAUGCUCCUGAAGCAAGUUCGCGAGCAGGUUUCACAAGCGUAGCCGACUGCGACGAGGUGGUGACAAUAGUAGCAAGGAAAAAAUCUGGCCAAUGACGUGAAGUUGCACUAUUUGAAUAUAUGUUUUACUAUUUAGCAAGAAAAUUGCACUAUUUGAUGCGUAUAUUAAACUGUAAAAUGGUGUAACUUUCUUGCUAAACAAUGCAACAUGUAUUCAAAUAGUGUAACUUUUUAAUAGUUCAACAUAGCGUUGUCGACUAGAUUUUUCCCUCUCACUAUCACCACCACCUCGUCGUCGUCAGUCACACGACUCACACUCGCUGCAAACAUGCCUCCAAAGCAUUCUGAACUAGCGAUCGUCGCCCUCUUCUGACACCUUCGUCUCCGUCUCCAGCAAAGCACCGAGCAGCCACGACGACGAGCGAGUCAAGUUCGUUGUGUUUCUCUCAAUCGUAAGGCAUUCACGACGCAAACGCAACGAAGGAGUUGGUGUGGAGACAGUGGAGGUAGGAUGAGCGCUCAAGACUACCACCAGUGGCGGAGACAUGGCCCUUGAGGAGAGGGCAGAGGAAAGAGAGAUCGUAUUUUUAGGGCACGAGUAUUUUGGUCUAUUUUCAUUUGGUCCGAAUCUGCAAAAAUAAAAAAUAUGGCCCAUUUUUGCAAAACCGCAAGACUACUGGAUUUCUUUUUGUAAAAAGCCUUUUUAAAUUUCAAAUUUUAAAAUUUUAAAUUUUAAAUUUGCAAAUUUUAAAAUUAAAAUUUCACAUUUUAUAUUUUAAAAUUUUAAAUUUCAAAUUUUACAUAAUCCCUUUAGAAAAUUUGCUAAACACUUUACAAGAUCACUUCAAAAAAAUCACUUUUCUACCGGGCUCAGUUAGUCACUCUACAACUUUUAGCUGAAAGCAAUUCUCCAAACCAAAAUAACUUCAGUUGAAAUCACUUCUCCUAAAGCUAGGCCAAAUAGGCCCAUACAAAUCCAAGAAAAAGCUAUAGAUGCAUACCGAUUGCUAAAUAGAUCCAAAGAUCCCGAUAUCAACACCCGAGCAUUGUUUCUUGCCUGAAGGAAUGAAAUACAUGGCUCAUUAGUUUUCCAUCCUAAACCAAGUACAAUACAAAAUAAAUUGUUUACUUGCCCAACUAAAAAUUAACCAUGCGUAACCAUGCAAAGCAAGAAUUAAAGUGUCGUGGCACAGGAGCAUGCCGGUAGGUAGUUGGCAUGGUAAGGCACAGGAACGGUUCCAUGUCAAACACAUGGCACGCUUGCGUGCCGAUAAGCACGCAUGGCCUCCUAAUGGCACAAGUUGGCAUAGCCCUAUUUUAUUUUUAUUGGUCCCAAUAAGAUCUUAUGAUGUUAUUUUAGAAGUUUAUAAUAAUAAUUAUCUCAUAUCAUAUUUACCAAUUUGCUAAUCUACAAUUAAAUAAUGAGCUUUAAUUUUACGACUGUAUUUGGUAAAAUUACCUAAUAUAUUCUUGUAUAAUUCUAUAUGAAAUUAUUUAAAUAUAGCUAGAUUAGUUAAAGUUUAGAGUAGAUUAGCUUAUAUGGAUUAGAUCAGGUAAUUCUAAAUUAGAUUUUAUAUAUAGUAGCUUAGAGUAAUUUGGAUAAUCUAGAAAGAACAAAAUCAAAGCCAACAGUAAAUAAAAAAUAUUUAUUUUUAAAAUAAUUUAAUAUAAUCUAGCCAAUUCUAGAUUAUAUUAUCUUAGGUUAGGUAAUUCUAGAUUAGAUUAGAUUAUAUGAGAUAUCGGAUUAGGUUAAUAUAAGUACAAACUACGUUAAAAUUAGUAUUUCUAUAUCAGAUUAAGUUAGACAUUAUAUUAGAUUAGAGUAAGUAAUCUAGAUUAGGUAAAUUUAGGAAAUAUAAAAUCAUCUAAAUCAAAUCUAAUUUUAAAUCAUAAUAUUUAUAUUUAAACUAGUUUAAUGCAAUCUAGGCUUCUGAAUUAGAUUAAAUUAGAUUAGGGCUUUUUUUGCAUUUAGCCCCCUGGCAAAUUUUUAUUUUAAAAAUAGCCCUGUCAAAAUUUAAUUUGCAAAAAUGGCCCUAGGCCUGCCAUGCAGGCGCCACGUCAGUGCCACGCGGGCGGAGCUGGGGGCGGUAGUUAAGUUAAACACGAUGAACCAUUCACCGUGUCUAAACACGGUGAAUGGUUCACCGUGUUUAGUACGUAUUUUUGUAUAUCGAAAAGAGGAAUAGGGAAUUUGUAUUCCUUUUCUUCUCUUUUUCAAAAAUCCAAACCCGAACCCGAACCCGAACCCGAAAAUCAAAUUAAAAUCCAAACCCGGAUUCGAACCAGACGGAUUUUAAAAAUUCAUACCCAUAUCCAUAUCUGACCAAAAACUCGAAACCCGAACCUGAACCCAGCGGGUUUUAAAAAUCUAUACCGUUGGAUGAAGAUCUAAGAAAUAAAAAUUAUUAAAUAUUUUAUAUAUUGUAUAAAUAAAUAAAAAUAAAUUAUGUAUAUAUAUAUAUAUAUAUAAUUUAUUCGAGUUUGGAUUCGGAUAAUAUUUCGGAUAUCCAUACCUAUUGACAUCCCUACUCCAUAUUCCUCUUUUCAAUAUACAAAAAAUACGUACUAAACACGGUGAACCAUUCACCGUGUUUGAACAUGGUGAAUGGUUCACCGUGUUCAACUUAACACACGGGCCCGGUCCUGUCCGCGCGGCGCUGACGUGGCGCCUGCGUGGCAGACCCAGGGCCAUUUUUGCAAAUUAAAUUUUGACAGGGCUAAUUUUAAAAUAAAAAUUUGGCAGGGGGUUAAAUGCAAAAAAAGCCCUUAGAUUAGGCUACAUGAUUCUAGAUUAGAAAAGAUUAGAUUAGAUAUUGGAUCUGAUAAUUUAAAUCUACAAUACAUUAGAUUAGAUUCCAAUUCCAUAAUUAGAUUAAAUUACCUAGAUUAGGUAAGUUAUUUUAAAUUUGAUCAAAUUUUAGAUUAGCUUAAUAUAUUAAAAUAGAUUUUAUAUGCAAAUCAAAUGAUAAGGGGGAAGAAGUUAGGGUAUAGAAACAAAAAGAACCAAAAAAAUAAAAAAGAGAGAGAAACUCACAUACUAUAAAAAAAGGGGGAAAACAAUAACAAAUAUUAAGAUAUAGUCGGCACGCACAGUAUGUAUCGCAACUCCUGCGUGCCCAACUGAAUGUAUCGCAGGGUACCGUGAUACAUAUCGCGGUAUUCUACUCUCUGCGAUAAAGGGAUUGUAUUGUGCCCCUUAUUUAGGGGCACGGUACGGCACAGGCUGGUACAUUAAUCCUUGAAUCAAAGCAUAUGCUACACUCUAGGAACAGAGUCAAUAAAUUAUUAUUAAACAAGCAAAUGAUCCCAAGCUUUUGCUUUCUAGGUAUCUCACUUUAGGUCUUUUCAUUUAAGUACUAGAUUUUCCUCAAGUUAUUCUCAACUUAUGACGAUCAGCCCAGCAAGAGCAGCAUUGAGUUAAACAUAUGCCACUAGAUUCAUUAACAUGUUUAGGUCCACAUACAUCUAUGCUGCCACAUGGUUUACAUGCUAAGUCCAACACUCAUUUUACUAAUGAAAUUGGCAUUCCAACAGCUUUCAGACUAAAUAAUGCCACACUUAGUCUCUCUGACAAUGAUUCUCAACAUGCAUUCUAAGCAGAACAACACAUAAAAUACUUCAGAAGUGAUAGUUUUGACUCAAAUAAUAAUUAAGAAACAUACAUUUGAUCUAGAAGAAAUUUUUAGUGCUUUACACCAUCUUGCUUAACUACAAGUACUUGUGCGGUCAACUCAUGAUAGUCGAGACAUACAGCUUGAUCGUUAGUUUUGAUACAAGUAAUGUCAUACACUCAUACUAUACUACUAAAGAUUAUUUUUGGAAGUCGUAAUGUUUCAGAUUAAAAUAUAUAUAUAUAUAUAGAGAGAGAGAGAGAGAGAGAGAAAGAGUCUAGCUAGCAUUCUUUCGUCUACACUAUUGGAGGUCUAUAGAGACUAAAUUUUAUGUUCUUUUGGCCAUCCUUUGAGUAAUGACCAAAAGGUCCCAAAAUUGAUAAUUUUAAAAGCCGAUGUGAUGCAUUUGUAAGUUUAAUCGCGUAGAACAAUCCAAAUCUAAUAAAAUUUUGAUAGAAAAUUCUUUUCACUAUUUAGAAUAAAAUCAACACCUCUGAUCUGAAAUUUAAGUCUUUUAUCAUUACUUUUUAUGAGACUUUUGCUUUCAGCCGUUCAUUUUUCAUUCUACAGUCAAAUGAUGUGGAAAACAUGAUAUUUGGUUCCUAGUACUACCAAUAGUGUAGAUCAUGUCUAAUUGAGUCGAUCGUCAAUUCGGAUGUCUCAUCAACGAAAAUAACUUGUUAGCACUAAGGGCUCCGUGCUAACGAAAGCAUACUAGUUGGACGAUAUAUAUUUUAUAUAUAUAUAUAUAUAUAUAGAGAGAGAGAGAGAGAGAGGAGUUACUAUCCUCUUAAGAGUACAGAGGCCUCUUCCUAUCAAAUCAUUUCGAUGAUCCAAACUCCAAAUUGAUAAUCACUAUUAAGUCCAUCAAAGAGCCAUAAAACGAACAAUUGAAAACGAAUAACCUUGUGAAACUAUAGGUUAAACUUCCGCAAAUGAAAAUCAGAGUCGUCAAACGUUAUCUAAAUAGUCAAAAAAAAUUUCUAUACAAAUUCACGCAGCUUGGCCUGUUCUAUAAGAUUAUUUAUUGAAUAAUUUACUUGAAUAAUUCAAUUGUAUGCGCCUGAUACUUCUUUUAAUUAUCCAACUAUUAAAGAUAAAACAGAUGGUAUGUAAUAAGAAUGGAACAAUAAUUUAUUUGAGAAAUUUCAAUGUAUGUGCUUGAUACUUCUUUCAAUUAUCCAAACUAUUAAAGAUAAAUGCAAAAGGACAGAUUUGGCUCAAAUACUUUUUGUGUUACAGCAACCGGUGUACACAAAGGCCAAGGUAUAUAGAAGGAUUCUACAAAUAUAGAUCAAGAGCUCUAGUUAAGGCAGGAAAUUCGAUAUUCUGAUAGAUUUUGGUUUUGCUAUUAUCAUGAUCUGUAGACUUGAAAAACAGGACAAUUUUUUUAAUUUCAUUCAACUAUUACAGCUAUUAUUUGUAGAUCACUAUCUCUUAUGUUGUUCUUUCUUUAUAGUAUAGUCAAUAUCUUGCAUUACAGUUAAUGUAAAAAAUCAUUAUCAAUGCUGUGAAACAUCAUUAUAUGUUUUACUCAUUUACUUGAAAAAGCAUAUACACAAUAAAUAAAACCCAUCCAUCCACUCCUAUCAUUUCGUACAUAUACAGUAAAUGCCAAAUGUAUAUUCACUAACAGACCAAUCCUAACUUUCCAAAGGUAUGCUUUAUCCAAAAUCCAAAUUUUAAUGCAUAUAUGCCUCAUAUCAAUAUCCAUGCUUGCAGCUUGACAGAUAGCAAAUAGAACGAGUUGCAUCAACUACUGACAGCAUCAAAACUAAUUCGUACCGUAAAUAAACAGCUCAACUUCUUUAACUAGUUCAAGAUAAAGGAAUUGGAGAAAAAUUGCUUGAUUAGUAACUUCUAGGGCACGUCUAGUUUGAAGGAUUUAAUGCUUGGAAUGUGAAUCGAAAUGGUCCAAUCCAAUUGCUGGUCUUUGUUUUGCGGGAUGGACAUUCCAAUUCCCAUUCCAGCGGAAAUCAAAUCCUCCAAAAAUGAUUCCCCCCCAUUUAGGUGGGCUUCAACUUUGAUUCCGGAAGGAAUUGAGAAGAGAACUUUUUUUUCGCACUAACAAUUAUUUUAAUUCAAAUAUAAAUCUAUAUUUAAUUUUAGAUUAUAAUUUUAUAUUUGAAUUUGAAUAAUGGAUUCAAAAUUAAAUUUCUAAUUUUUUUAAAUUCAUUCCCCUUUUUCCGCACUAAAAAUUAUUAAGUUUGAUAUUUGAAUUUACUUAUAAAUUUAAAUUUUAACUUUGAACUUGAAUUUGAGUUGUAAAUUCAAAUUUUAAGUUCAAAUUAUGGGUUCAAAUUUGGAUUCAAAUUUUGAUUACGAAUUUCAAUAGUAAAUUUAAAUUUUAACUAAAAAAAUUUUUUGACUUUUAAGUGAACAUGAUUCCAAUUCAAAUUCCCCUUACGAACCAAACAAAUUAGAGCUUUUAUCAUUCCGUUUUCGAUACCGGUCCAUUUCAAUUCCUAUUCCACUUUUGAUUCCCAUUUGGAACCAAACAUGCCCUUAUUGUGAAUUUUAGGUCCCAAAUUUAUAGUUGACAUUUUAUGAAAGACAAAUGACACCAAAUCUACCCAAAGGACUAUACCUGAUCUACCCAAAGGAACGCAUUCUUACGUAAGUAGAUUAAAAGGUUAAGUUCAACAUAAAAUCUAUGGCCAUCCAACUUGCAGUAAUGAAUAUUAGAACAUAAUGCCUUGGAAGCUGGAAAUGAAAUCAUACAAAGUAUCCCUGAAAAUUGAAAGUAAUGCUAAGCUUUAACCUGUAAUGGUUCAAAGCAAAGGACCAAGGGAAGUAAACAACUAUUAUGAAAAUUUUUUUUUUUUUUUUGAGAGAAAACUAUUAUGAAAAUUAAACAAGAGAGAUGUAUAGUAUAUAGUGGGAUCGCACUUGUCUUAUUAUAGAGGUAAGACAACCAGCUAUUUACCACAACCUUAAAGUCAAUUAACUAAAGCAAAUUUUCUAAUUUAUCAGCACUUGGACUGGUAAAAUUAGAAUAUCAUGUAAACAUUUCGGACUGGAUGAAGGAACAAAAUUCACGUAGAUGAUCCCAAAACAUUUGAGACUAAAAGCAAGUGUACGAAGAAUUGAAACAGCAUUGCGUGAGAGAACCUUUAGGUGACCAGAAGCAAACAAAACAAUGAGUUACCUGCAUGAUUGAAACCAGAGAUAUUGCCGAUCCAGUGAGAGAUGGAGGACUUGACAACUUAGUCUUUGGAUUUGCUAAAUAUGCUGAAGGGGAGGCAGACAAAACUUUCAGAACCUGAUUUAGAGAAUAAAGAAGGAAAAAAUGCAAAUGGUCAUUAAGAACAAGCAAAUAAAUUACCAAAUAACAUGAAGUGCAUGAAUCUUUCGGACAAAUUACAAGCCAGUCAAAUAAGCACGCAACUUGGAACUUACCAAACUAUUAGCAGGAUUAACAGAAUGCCCAGUUCCUCGGAAUAGUAUAGGAGCCUGUUAACAGUAUAUUUUCAAUAAGAAAGAGGAAAAAUGCAGCUUAAAAGGCAUGCUUAAAGGCAAGGAAUGAAACAAAAUUACAUAAUAAUUCUCCAAAGAUAGUAUAGGCGCCUGUUCAUAGUAUAUUUCUAUCAGAAAGAGAGAAAAAGCAGCACAAAAGGCACGCCUAAAGGAGCGAAACGAAAUACAUAACGCAAAUUGUCGGAAAGUUCUUCGAAAAUGUGUUGCCUUAAAGAGAAAAGAAGUAUACGAUUGCUGGUCUAGUUUCUAAACGAUAAUGUAUGGUCACAAAAUUUGAUUUAAUAAUAGAGAAUCAAAUGUCGACAGCACACUAGAUUCAAAAAUUUUCUUCAAUAAGAAUCCAAGAUUCUUAAGAGACGUGAACACAUAUUUCGCAUAUGAAAUUUGUAGUACUAAUUAGGGUAACAUACAACAGAAAUCAUAUCCUUUUUUAUUCCAUAACAAUUAGAUGAGAUAUAUGCAUUUUCCAACUAAGGAUUGCACAUUAUGCAAUAUUUUGCCAUUAGCUGUGGAGAAUUAAAAAGCAACACAAAAAUAUAACAGUAUCGGCAAUAAUAAUAAUUGCAUGAGAGGAAUUGCACUAGUAAUAUAAUCUCAUCUAUGUUUCCAUCGAAGAGGGCGUUGGAGACAAAGCAGGGUUUGUCUAUGGUUACAUGAGGUAGAUUAAGGUGGUUUCGUGCGGGAUUAAAGUCCCAAGGUGAGGACGAGACGAUGGUUGGUUCAACCAAUAUAGGGUUGUGUGACACAAAGGCUGGCUAGAGAAGCAAGCAGUUACAUGCUUCUCCAGUAGUGGUCCCACCAUCAUUUUGUAGCAUUAAAGAAGGCAAGAUUGAAAGCAUUUUCGCCUUUUUCUGGGGCUUCCAACACAUAAAAGCCGGUGCUUUUAGACACCGCAGUCCCAAAUUUGGCCUCAGGAUGCUAUAAUUUGCUGGUACGUUCCAUUUGGAUGGAGAGAAAAGAAGUUUAAAAAAAAAAGAAAAAAAAGAGCGAAAAGUCAGUAGAAAAAAUCACUCUCAUUUGGAUUGAAAUACGAGGCGAGAAAAGAAGAGAAAUGAAGAGCAAAUGACCUUCCACAACAGUGAAUCUCUUUUCUCUCCAAAGUGGAGAGAAAGGGAGAGAGUUAUUUUCUCUUCUUUCCUUCCCUUCAUCCAAAUAACAUGAGAGAAAAUUACUUACUUUUCUUCAUUUUCUCUCCUUUAGUUUCUCUUCUUUUCUCUGCUAGCCUCUCCAUUCAAACGAAGCAUUAAUGACUCGCUUGAUAUAUCCAUAUUACCAUACAUGGCAAUAACAAGCUUUUGAUUUCAUAGAGAUUGAAAAUCAGACGAAAUAGUAAAAUCAACUUACUUCAAUCUUUUUGUCCCCCAAAAUCACAUCUGAGUGGAUGAGGGCAUCACUGGCAAUGAGAGUGUGAUCCCCUUCGGUCUCCGAGACUGCGUAGCUGGUGUGGUCAAUAACCAGCGCUUCCAGAUCCUUGGUCCAACCAAGAAAACAUUAAAAUGUUAAUAAAUAAAAAACACUACUAAGAAGAGAACAAAUCAACAGCCAAAUCAAAAAAGGAGAAGAGGAAAAAACUCCUCUUGCCUCAUCGAAAUCUACACCACAUUCCGUGGCAAUGCCUCGGAUAACAUCAGAGGCAGAUGAGUCUGCUGCCAGAAUCAAAUCACGCCCAGAAUCCACGAACUCCAAAACCGCAUUUUGGUCCAGCGAGCCACCCAAACCUACAAAGAGCUCCCAAAAUAUAUAUAUAUACAUAUCAACCUUACAACACCGUAGCAGAUCCUACAGAUCUAGCGAGCAGAGAUCUGGUUACGCAUUUGGUUCGCAUUAUGUUUUUAAGAUACCCAGUAAUCCAAUCGGAAUGAGAAAAUAUGACGGUGUUUGGCUAAAUACAUUAAGUAAUCUAUUCGGUAAUCUUAAAUUCACUUGGUAAUGAGAUUAAUCCAAAGGUGCUAAUCCUAUUCCCUUGGGAGAGGGUAGGUAUCUCACAGUAAUUAUUGGGGUAAUGUUAAAUUUUUUUAACCUGACCUAUUAUUUCCUCCCUCCCACCAACCUGUCACCAACCCGUCCCUGAUCUCCUCUCACACCAUGCAAGACUCUCCCCGACCUCUUAUCUCGACCUAGGGCACCAUGCCAUGAUCACCUCCACCAAUCGCAGGGGCAUUGCUCGCCAUUUCUGAGGUUUCCUUGCUCCAGAACAAGGUUCGUGAGGUAAUUUCUUCUCCAUUUGCUUUUCCCAUUUCAGAUCUCAAUUCUUUUUUUUUUAUUUUUUUAUGGAUUUAUUGUUAUGCCAUGAGCAAAAUUUUUCUAGUUUGUAUUGAUGCUAUAAAAUGUUGUUUAAGUUGGUUUAGUGCAUUAUUUGCUUUGAUUUUGAAGGGAUUUAUUGUUUAAAUGAGUUUAUAUUCUAUUAGUUUUGAUUUGGAUAGGUUUAUUGGUUAAUUAGUUUAGAUUUAUACUGUAAUUCUGAAAAUGCAUGUAUUAAUUGUUUAGUUUACUGUAAUUUCCUUCCUUCUGUUUGCUCGCAAUCACUAAUUGGGAAUAACAUGAGGUAAAAUCAGAGGGUCACAGUAGUAAAUGUCAAUGAUAUGUUUUAUGAUAUAGAUUUUGCUGUCUAUUUAGUUUCUUAGAUUGAACAUUUCCAUUUCUCAAAAUAUUUUGUCACUAUAAUAUUUAUUGUCCAAACCUCUUCCUGAUUUUCGAAAGGCUAUCUAAGAUACCAUUUGCAAAUAUAUAUAUAUAAUUACGUAAAUGUAUACGUACGCAGAUCCCGUAUUUUCGGGAUUUGUGAGUAGUUUCUUGUACUUUUUACUAAAUUAGUUCUUGAACUUUCACAUAAGUUGUAUUUCAGUCAUCAAACAUCUAAUUUUUUUAAUCAUAAAAUAAUCAUUUUAUUCCUUUCUCUAAGAUGGCAUACUUACUUUAGUAUAAAUAUCAAACUAGAUUUUUUUGUUUUUAAGAGAAAGAUAGCAAGGUAUCUCUUUCGUUCAUUUUCCAGAAAUGAACUUAGCCAAACAUGUGAAGCAAUCGUAUGCAAUGUACAAAUGUGAAAGUUGAUUAAAUAUUUUAGUAACGACUAUGCAUGGACCCAGUCGCUAUAUUAAGAUAGUUAAUCAGUGGAUUAUCCUAUAUUCUGGUCCCAAUAAAAUUAUGGCAUUAAGCCAAUUGAAUUGAAAAAGUUUUUCUUAUGGCUAACUUAUGUCUAUGGAAAUAAUACUACAUAAAAAAAUACAUUUAUACAUACUUCAAUACAUGGCUAUGUAUAUAUAUAUAUAUAUAUAUAUAUAUAAAGAGAGAGAGAAAGAGGAGUACUUUUAUAUAAGUAGUUUGUCUAGGUUGAGUGGUCAAGUUGUAGAAGCUUUCAUACACAUAGGUAGCUAAUUGAUCUUUUAUCUAUAAGAUUCAGUAUCCUUUGAGCAUAUUUGAUAUUCCUAGGUAAUUGACAUCAUGCUUUUGAAUAUGCUAGAAAAGUAUUUACUUUAGUUAAUUUGAACAGAUGAAUAAGUUAAUUCUCUGAUAGUAACAAAAGAAAGUUGAGUUAAAAAGUACUAUUUAAUUGCUUUUUAAUUUAGUUUGACUGAAUUUUUUUUUUUCUAUUUGCUUUAUUUUAGUUGUGUUGAAGAUGGAUCUAACUUCAAAUGAAUUCAUGCCCGUGGUCGUGAGCAUUAUAAUGAUAUACAUGGAGAUGAUUAGAUUAUUGCUACUUUUAAAAUUAGUGGUGGUACUCUUUUAUGUUAGACAACACAUGAGACACCGUUGGGGAGGAAGACAAACAUUACAAAGGCACUUCAUAAGACAUAUAAAUAUUAGGAGAAUAAUCUAUGACAAUGAUCUGGCAUGUUAUGAGAACAAUCGUAUGGAUCGAAGGGCAUUUCAUGCACUUUGUGACCUUCUAUCGACCACUAGGAGAUUAAGCGGGACCCGAAAUAUAGCAAUAGAGGAAAUGGUUUCUUUCUUUCUACAUAUUAUUGCACAUGAUGUGAAGAAUAGGGUAAUUAAAAGGCAAUUUGUCAGAUCGGGGGAAACAAUAAGUAGACAUUUUAGUAUUGUUUUAAUUGCUAUCUUGCGAUGCCAUGGAAUUUUACUAAGAAAGUCUGAACCAAUUUCUGAGAACUCAACUGAUGAAAGGCAGAAGUGGUUUAAGGUAUUAACUCUUUUUUUUCAUAAAUCAAUUGAAAAUUAUAUGGCUAGUUUUAAUACGCAAAUAACAACACACAAUUUUAAUAUGCAGAAUUGUCUUGGUGCACUAGAUAGAACUCAUAUCCUUGUUCAUGUCCCUAUAGUUGAUAGGGCUAGAUAUCGAAAUAAAAACAAAGAUCUUACGACGAAUGUGUUAGGAGUGUGCUCACAAGAUAUGCAAUUUAUCUAUAUCUUGCCUAGUUGGGAGGGUUCAGCCUUAGACUCUAGGGUGCUUAGAGAUGCUAUCUCAAGACCAAAUGGGCUAACGGUUCCCAAGGCAAGUGUCUAAUAGGGUGUUCAUAGAAUUAUUUAUAUCUACAAUCAUUUAAUUUAUUUAAUGCAAUGUAAGUUAUUAUUAUCUUUGUGAUGCUGGUUAUUCAAAUGGCGAAAGGUUUCUCACGCCUUAUAGAGGUCAACGGUAUCAUCUGAGUGAGCGGAGGCAAAAUAAGAAGACGCAAACUCCACAAGAAUUCUACAAUUACAAACAUUCGUCCACACGAAAUGUCAUUGAGAGAUGUUUUGGAUUACUAAAAAGACGAUGGGCAAUACUUAGAGGAAAGUCUUAUUAUCCUUUAAGGUUGCGUUUGGUUCGAGUAUAAGUAAGAACUGCUUAUUCCAGAGAUAGGUACAAGUUCAGGUAUAAGCAGGAAUUAGACCAAUUUUACGUUUGGAUGAAAAUUAGAUUGUUCCUAGGAAUAAGGUAAUAGUGUUUGGAUGGUUAGAUUGGAACAAGAGAAAUAAGAGUUAUAAUUUGAAAUUAAAAUCAUAUUAUCUAAUUAAUUAACAUCAAAAUAUUACUUAAAAUAAAUAAUAAAUAAAUUAUAUUAUUAAUUAUUAAUAAUUAAUUAUAAAUAAUAAAAUAAUAAUAUAGAUUAUCUAAUUAUGAGUAAUAAUUAUUAAUAAUUAUUAAUUAAUAAUAAUAUCGAUUAUCUAAUUANNNNNNNNNNNNNNNNNNNNNNNNNNNNNNNNNNNNNNNNNNNNNNNNNNNNNNNNNNNNNNNNNNNNNNNNNNNNNNNNNNNNNNNNNNNNNNNNNNNNNNNNNNNNNNNNNNNNNNNNNNNNNNNNNNNNNNNNNNNNNNNNNNNUUGUUUUUUUUUUUUUUUUUUUUUUUUUCCUUCCUUCUCUCUUUUUACAUAUAGAGAAGAGGAUUUUUUUUUAAUUUAAUUACUUUUUUUAAUUGUAAAAAUUUAAAAUAUAUAAUUAUUUAUGCCUAACUUUUUAAUAUUUUAUAUUGUAUGUAUUCAAUAUAAAUUUUAAUUUUAGAAUCAUUUAGAUAUAAAUAAUACAAUAAAAAAUUAAAACAUAAUAUAAUUAAGUUAAUUUUUUAUUUUAGUAAAUUUAAUUACGAAAAUUACAUAAAAUAUACUAACUAAAUAUGUAAAGUUACAUUCAAAUUUUGAAGUUAAAGUACCAUCGAUUAACUCAAAUCUAACGUAUAAAAAAAUUAGAUAAUAAAAAAUAAAAGUUUUGGAAGUGAAUAGACGAUUCAAAAUGGUUCAUAAUUCAGAAAACUUUUAUAUGUUUUUACUGUCCCACGAGUGAUUAAUUUUACAUUUAAAAUUUUUUGAAAUAUCUAAAAUUUGAUUUGUUGAGUUUUAAUUUUAACAAUUAGGGUUUUUAAAACUCAUGUAAUUUUCUUAUAUAAAAUUAUUAAUUAAAAAAAAUGAUCAAUGCUUAACUCUCACUUUGUUUAAAAAAAAAACAAAACAUAAAAAAUGAAUAAAUUUUGCUUUUGGUCCUCAAAUAAUAAGACGCAUGAAAUUUGACUCAUCGACCUUUUAUGCGUUAUAAGUUUUUACUCAAACUAUAAAGUGUAUGACAUAGUUUUUUAAUUUUUCCUGCUAAAUGAUUAGUUACAAAAGGAUUUUUUUUUUUCGUGAACGUGUCACAUGUUACUGUAAAUAUAAUUUAUUAUUCUUAUGAUUUUUUUUUAUUCUUAUACUUUUAAUGUAAUGUCAACUGUUUUUUUCCUUAAAUUUUUCUAUUUUGUCCUUUUUAAUUCUAUUACUUUUUUUUUGCACUAUUUUUCUUUAAGCAGCGUUAAAUUGGUUGAUGCAGAUUCUUUUUAUUUCCUUAUAAUUUUUUUAAAAUUUAUUAAAUUAUUUCUGAUAAAAUUUAUUAUAUAAAGUUAAAAAAAUAUCCGACGUAUCGCGCGGGUUACCAUCCUAGUACUGGAUGCAAACGGAUCCGGGCUGAAUGGGACCGGUAAGUAGAAACCAAAAUUAUUAUUUAUGCAUUUAUUUAUUUUUAUUUUUACUUAGGCCAAUUUGCAUAAAAAAAUCCACUAGUUUUGCGUUUUUGCAAAAUUGGGUGACCUUUUUCAAUUUUACAGAUUCGGGCCGUAUUUUUAAAAAACUGACCAAAAUAUCCUUGUACUUUUCUCUCUCUCCUCUUUUUUUUUCUCUCGUUCUUUUUUCUUUUCUCUCCCCAGAGGAUGGCAGAGGUAGAGGCAAAGGCGAAGGCGGCCCACUUUGCCUUCGUCCGGCGCACCCUUUGCCUUCCUCCCCUCCGACCUCGCUGAGGCCGCGUUGCGACUAUUUUUUUUUCCUUCUCCAACCCUCCUCCACCGCCUCCGACGAUGACGACGCCUAUCUCACACUCUCUCACCCUUCCCCGCCCUUCUCGCCCUCUUCCUCUCCCUCCUCCUUCACCUCCUUCGUCAUCUCCGACGACGACGUCUCUCUGCCGACACCGACGCCGCCGAGGUUACUCCGUAGGGGACUCUUGACUAUAAAUUAUUUUAUUAUAAUAUGUUACUUAUGUAUUGACUACUAAUCCUCUAAGUUAGUGAUCAUGCUUGAUUUUGAAUUUAUAUAUAUUUUUUAUCCUAAAAUAAAUCAUACUAUAAUUUAUCCUACAUUUUAUUGUAAUAAAAUAAAAGUGAAAGAAAUGAAUUAUAGUGGCUUAAAGAUAAAAAAAAGAGCGAUACUAACUACUUACGAUUCUCGAACACUUUACUAUCCUGAUGUACUCGCUAAUAUGGUUGAUUUACAAUAGGAGUCCUCACUCAGAUAUAGAGAUUUUAAUUCUUAGUUAAUUUUCUGUAGUACUCGUUUGUCCUUUUUAUCUUUAGAAGUAUUGUUUUAUAAAAUACACUUAAAUAAAAUUUUGUACUUCAUUUCAGUCAAUUAAAAAUUUUUAAUAUAAAAAUAUAAAAAUAAUUUAUAUUAAAAAUUUCGGUAAAUUGUAUUGUUACCGUCUGAACUUUUGGCGAGUUUCACUUCACCCCCCCAGACUCCUAAAAUAGACAUCUAACACCCAAAACUCUAAUAUUUUAUUCAUUUUAUCCCUUCCGUCAGUUUUCGGUUAACGGAGCUUGACGGAAAACUGACGGAAGGGGUAAUAUGAAUGAAAUAUUAGAGUUUAGGGGGUUAGAUGUCCAUUUUAGAAGUUCGAGGGGUAAAGUGAAACUUCGCCAAAAGUUCACGGGGUAAUAAUGCAAUUUACCCUAUUUUUAAUUGCAGCUGAUAAUUGUUUAUUGAUUCCUUCUCUAACCUGAAAUUGAGGAAUCAAAUAUUUUAUUAGUUGUAUCUGUAGUGAUAAAAACAAUAAAGACUUUCUUCCAUCGCCGACGAUAAGGAUGCUACCGCCAAUGCUACCAAAAAUAAUGCUUUCACUCUAAUUAAUUUUUUUAUAUUUUUUUAUUUGUAAAUUCUAAGCUGAUGAUAAUAGAAAAUUAUUAUACUUUUUUUAAUAUUACAAUGAGCUUUUUUUAUUUAAACUAAUUUAUUUAUUUUAGUUAUUUGGUUUAUAUAUGUUUAGAAAUAAAUAUACUUUAGUUUCAUUCUUUAAUUUUUAAUUGCUCAAUACUGUCCGUUGUAUCGUGCGUAUUCCUUAACUAGUCAAUACAUGAAUUGGAAACCGAAAGAAGCCCUCCCCUUAUUUUGGAAAUGUGGAGCCCACAACUUUUUUUUAAGGAUUAAUUGCAUAGUACUCCGCAAACUUUCCACCAUUUUUUAUUUUGGUCCUUAAUUUUUUUUUUUUUGCAAUUAAGUUUUCAAACCUCUUAAUUUUAUCGCGAUAAAAUAGCAACCGUUAAAAAAUAUUUUAGAAUUAACAAAAUUAUCAUACCAUCGCCUAUUUAACUUUCUUUUGCAUGCCAAUUUUGAUCUCUAAAUUUUACAUAUUUUUCACUUUAGUUCCCAAAAAAUAUAUGAAUUGGCAACCCUAAAGAAAGCCCCUCCUUAUUUUGGAGGGUUGUGAAGCCCACACAAUUUUUUUAAGAAUUAAUUUAUAUAUAAUAAUAAUUUAUUUAUUUUAAAAGAUUAAUUACACAUUGGGCCCCAACCUUUUUACUAUUUUUUAUUUUGAUCCAUAAUCCCUAAAUUUUGCAUAUUUUUUACUUUAUUCCCUAAAAAUAAAAAUUUAAAAUUUUGAAUUUAAAUUCGGAAUUAAUCUGAAAAUUAAAAUCUUUAUCUAUCUGUCUAUCUAUUUAUAAUCUAUAAAUAAAAUACAUGAAAGAAAAUUUAGGAAUUAUGUAUUUUAUUAGUUGUAUCUGUAGUGAUUAAAAGUUAAUGAGAGUUUUUCUUUCAUCGUCAACGACAACAAUGAGGAUGCUACCAUCAAUACUACCAAAUAUAGUGCUUUCACUCUGAUUAAUUUUUUUAUAUUUUUUUAUUUGUAAAUUCUACGCUGAUGAUAAUAUGUCACGCCCCGGGGCCGAUUUUAAAAGCCUUUUUAAAAUCCAUUACUAUUUUGAAACAGAGUUGCAGAAGAGGUGCUAAUUUUUUUUUUUUUUUUCAACCUGGCCCACGUGACGUACAGAUCCGCCACAAAUAUAAAGUUCCUCUGUCCACUCGAACAUAGUCUUCUUUGUAUUUGCACGGCGUACCAACUAUACAACAGGAUCUCAACCCCAACCUACAUUUACAAAUCAACAACCAAUUUAUGAUAUGCAUUUCCAUACAGGUAACGAUCCUUAAAGAUGAUGCAUGCCUCUAAGCACUCCUUAGGCGCUAGAUGAUGCAAUGCACAAUACAACAAACAUCCUAUUUAAAAGUGCUCCCCACACAGAAGCUUUUGUUUGUAAACUCUAAUUCAUUCAUUCAUGAAAACUAUUCGAAAAACUUUUUAAAAUUGUUUCCCACACGGAAACUCUAUUUUGAAAAUCAACUACCUCAAGGGGUAGAAAACCACGAAGCGUAAAUAUGUAUAAAUACACAAAUCCGAGAACUGAAUAUCCAUAAAACCAAAACCAGUGAUCCACAAGAUCUCCAAUCAUGCAUAACGGAAAUCACAAACAUUCAAACAUCUAACUGGACCAUUUAUUAUUAACAACUACUAAAUGCGGGAAGAAAUAUAACCAGGGUGACGGUCGCUACUACCGACUAGCUAAAUCGUCCUCCCAUCGAGCCCAAAUACCAACUCCUCGUCCAUGUCACCUGGGGGGAAUGGGGGGUGAGAAACCGCAACCAUGGUUUCCCAGUGGGUACGACAGAGCCACGAAGGCAAGCCGUAAUCACAGAAAACCAAAGGAGAUAGAACAACAGAUAUAAACAUGAUAUGAUAUAAGAGCAACUACAGUAGUAAUAGAAACAAGAUAAUAACUGAGUAAGAACAAAACUACUACUGUAACCAAAAACUCAACUGAUCGGAUGCCUCAAAGGUGGAUAGUCCAAACCAAACCCAAUCUGAUACUGCUAUAUUGGUCCGCAGACCUCAAGCGUUGCUUGUCACCGAGCAGACACUGCCAACUAUUCAUGCGUCCAGCGACGACCUAUCCAGAUACGUACACCCCUUGGUUGGUGGCCAAACCAACCUGGUGUCUAGAAUACAUAGUGCUGUGACUAAAUCAUGCUGAUAUGCUCAAAUGAAAAUCGGCAAAAAGAGACCGGUGCCUUGGCCGAAGCCAGGUGAAAGGGCGUACAACGCCGAACCACGAUCAACCCAAUCGAAACACAUGACAAAGGAGUCAAUGUGUUGCCUGGACCCAAGGUUCAUAGAUAUACAGUAUAUAUAUAUAUGCAACCUGCUCUACAUGUCUAUCAACAACUAACAAAAUGCAACCAACAAAGUAAGAUAUACGAAUGAUAAUCAAAGCAAAGACAUAUAGAGACUACGAUACUGAUAUGAAAGAACAGAAAAAGGGUGAAACGAUCUCACCGACUACCAGCUCAGAGCACCCACCUGUCACUGUUGCAUCGGAACACUGAGUGCGCACGGAGUCUACCGGACCUACGAAGGUCCACCGGGUCAGUAUCCAACCCACUAAUCCAAAGCACAAGACUCACAAACCCCACACAAGUCCCCGAAUCGGUUUCCCAAAACCGAUCACCGUAACUCACCGGAAGUCCCGACAACCACACCAAGACACCGUCGGGACCCACAAGUGUCCUAAAACUCACCGACUCAUGUCACGAGUCACCCGCUGCGACAAAACACUCCUGUUUGGAUGUCUUGGCAGCAAACACAAGAUAACACCACUACACAAUUAUCGUCGGACAAUUGUACGAAUACAGCUUCCCGGAAGCGUCUAUUUCGACACCGGAACCCACCGUCGCUCACCAAUCAUCACCGAACCCACAAAAUGAUGAUGGUGACCAACCAACAAGGCUCAGCGACAAUUCACAGGAUAAACAAACCACGUCGGAAGAAAUCGGAACUGAAACCGCGUUCUUUCGGCGAAUUUUACCGAAAAACGCACCGAAAUCGACUUCUCGAUUUCCGUGAAGGCUAUCGAAUCAUGGACAAUCAGUCCAGAGGUCACCACACACACACAUGCACUGCCCACAGUAGCCACAAGGUGCACAAUUGCACAAAAGCUCCUAUAUUUAUAUAAAAUCCUAUCAUUUUAUAUAAAUCGGGUGAUUAUGUAGCUCGUUCACGCAAAAUGAGAACUUCUAAGGUCUACCGAGACACGUACUGAUAGGUCUCGAUGUGCUGGAGGCCGUGCUCAUGAUCCAGAGCACAACGGCUCACUGUGGGAGACGCGGCAGCAACCCGAAGUUCUGCGAACAGCGCGCAGUCAGGGAAAAUCGCGCCAAACAAGACUAAUCGAACUCUUUUGAUCCAAAGUGAGGUGAGCACUGUGAUCGGCACUGACCAACGAUCACCGUGCUCUCCUCCGAAGGCAUCAAGACAGCCUUGGAUCGCCGAAAAGUGCGCGCAAACCCGCAACAGCAGCCAAAAAGGCUCCACAGGGUCGACACUGCCGAAACAGCGAAAUAGAGCCUUCCCGACAGAAACUAAGGUGAGCAUGAUGAUCAGAAGUUUUCCACGAUCAUCGUGCUCCCUUCCGUAGAGAUCGAGGAGCCUCGGAUAGCUCAGAGCAACAAGCAGCCAAGAAAAACCCUAUUUUGGGCUUGGCCGGAGCAAGCUUGCUCCGACUGGCUUCCGGCGGCACGGCGAGGCGCGCGCGAGCCAAGCAUUGGUGCGGGCGAGUGGAGGAGCAUCAAGCUCACCUCGGUUGGCGGCGGGGAGCAGCGGCGGCGACGGUGGAGAGAACCAAGCCGGCACAAGCUAAGGCACGGGUCCAGUGGCUCCUCCCAGCGACGGCGAUGGCCGGGACAGGUCGGGGACGACGGCGGCGGGUCCCCAGAGGCCGGAGAAGAAGGAGAAGGCGGGCAACGGCGGCGGCAGCCCGCGGCUUGGGCGCGACCGCGUCGAGCUUGGCUCGGUCUGCAGACCAACGCGGCGGCGCCCAAGGUGUGCGGCGGCGGUGACGACCUUCCCGGCCGGGGGCGGGUUGCCGGAGGGUCUCGGAGUCGUCGCAAGUGCGGCACUAGGCGGCGGCGGUGGCGGUGGCGGUGGCAGCGCGGAGGGAGAGUGAGGUCAGCUCUGCCCGAGUAGACCUGGGGCGGCCGCGGAUGACAGAGGAUGCGGCAGCGGCCCACAGGGUCGACGGCGACGGCGCGCGGGGGUCGCCGGGGCUCCGGGGAAACCGUCGCGGCCGGGCUAAGGCGGUGGCGACGCACCGGCCAACUGCAGAACUCAGCUCGGCCCGAGCUUUGCCCUAGGUGGCAACAGGCUGUAGUGGCGGCAAAGGCGGCGCUCGGCGACGACGACAGGCGGCGGGGGAGGUCGCCGAGGCUGCGGGGGUGACGCCGGAGAGAAGAGCAACCUCGGGCUUGCCCCCGACCUGAGAUGAAGAGAGGUGAAAGAAGAGAGAUGAAGAGGGAAGGUGGCAAGGCUUGCGGCUGCGGCUGCGACGGCUUCUGGCCGGCCGGGCUCGGUCGGUGGCGGCCGGCGCAUGCGCGGCGGGGUAGUGGAGAUGUAUGAAGGUGGCUGGGGGGCAAAAAGGCUAGGGUUAGGGUUUCCAAUGGGCUAACCCUAAGAUACACUACAUAUAUAUAUGUUCCAAAUUGCGCAUAAGUCCCCUAGAACUCGAUAUUUUAAUCCGAGUCCUUCACAGUGCGAGUAAAACAUGCGAAUACCCUUCCACGUGCGAAUUCACGCGAAACAGUAUAUAAAAUGUCGCAACUUUUGCGAAAAUACCGUUUUGCCAACACCAACCAUUCCUCGAUCAACGUGCAAUCUCCGCAGAUCUGUCCGUCCGAUUUGCGAACGGAUCGCACCAGUACGAUCAGAACGACGGAGACAACAAAGCUACGAUUUUGGUUCGCCACGAUCGGUCACGGAUUUGCGACGAAAUCUGCUUUCUCACCAAAAGGCCAAAAUGACGCAUAAUACAUAUGAAACAUGUAUUUUCAGAUUUUCUCAAAAUCUGUGUGUCAAACCCAAAAUCCAUCAAUUCCAGUGGUUCCAAAAUAGCUGAACCGUUUGAAACGAGCUAUUGGAUCGCUAUGAACGGAGUCCGAUACGAGCCUGAAGCCAACUCUACGCAUUGAGCUCUCCGGAAAACUAAGUUACUAUUCACUAUAAGUGAAAUUUAGAGAUCGUGUAAAAUCUCCGUUCUAACUCAUUUUCGCCCAAAACAUGACGAGUACUUUUGUAAUUAAAUUACACACAAAAACAUCGUCGACUGAGAGUUUAGCUACACUGCCAAAAUCUCGGUCCUUACAUAAUAGAAAAAUAUUACACAUUUUUUUAAUAUUACAAUGAGCUUUUCUUUUAUUUUAAACUGAUUUAUUAAUUUUACUUAUUUGGUUUAGAUAUUUCAGAAAAAAAUAUACUUUAGCUUCAUUCUUUAAUUUUUAAUUGUUCAAUAUUGCUCGCAGCAUUACGCGGGUUCCUUAACUAGUAUUAUAUAAAAAUAUAACCUAAAAUGCUUUGUGAUCCUGCCACGCCCCGGGGCCGAUUUUAAAAGUCUUUUUAAAACGAUUACCAUUUCAGAAAUUAGAGUUGCGGAAAACGUGCCUUUUUUUUUAUUCAACCUGGCCCACGAGACCGUACAGACCCACCACAAAUACAAAUUUUUUCUGUCCACUCGGACAGAGUCUCCUUUGUAUUUGCACGGCGUACCAACAAUACAUCAGGAUCUCAACAACAACCUACAUUUACCAAUCCACAAUCAAUUCAUGCCAUGCAUUUCCAUACAGCUAGCGAUCCUUAGAAAUGAUGCAUGCUUCUAAACACUCCUUAAGCGCUGGAUGAUGCAAUGCACAGUACAACAAUCAUUCUAUUUAAAAGUGCUUCCCACCCGGAGGCGUUGAGUUUUUAAACUCUAAUUAUUCAUCCAUAAAAACCAUUCGAAAAUCUUUUUAAAAUUGUUUUCCACUCGGAAACUCUAUUUUGGAAACCGAUUACUUUGAAGGGUAGAAAACCACACUGUAUAAAUACAUAAAUCCAGAACCAAGAACACAUAAAACCAAAACCAUAGAUCCAAACUCCCCAACUCAAACAAUUCAUGAAUAUUCAAAUAUCAAUAAUAAUCAUCUAACUAAACCAUUCAUUUAUUUAAAUUACUAGAAGCGGAAAUAAAGAUAACCCGGGUGACGGUCGCUACUGCCGACUAGCUAAAACGUCCUCCCGUCGAGCCCAAAAGCUAACUCCUUGCUCGAACCACCUGGGGAAAUGGGGGGUGAGAAACCACAAUCAAGGUUUCCCAGUGGGUACGACUGUGACACCCCAGCUUCCCAGGGGGUCACCCAUCCUAGGACUACUCCCGUCCUAGCACACUUAACUCUCUUAACCUCUUGGGCCUUGCUACCACUCAAAAUGCUUAAGCCGGGUUAAGAGUUUAGCCCUAUUAUAUCUUAUAUAUAGGACUAUCUGGGGUCUCACAAUCUCCCCUCCUUUAAGCCCUGACGUCCUCGUCAGGCUCAGACUCACAAGUACCAGGCGAUGUGAGACUCGUCUCGCUAGCCCGUCAUCCAGACCCUGGCUCAGCCGAGACUCAUCUCACACUUCCGGCUGGUAAUUGGCUCUCCAUCCUAGGACUACUCCCGUCCCAGCACGCUUAACUCUCUUAACCUCUUGGGUCUAGCCACCACCCAAAAUGCUUAAGCCGGGUUAAGAGUUUAGCCCUAUUAUAUCUCAUAUAUAGGACUAUUUGGGGUCUCACAAUGACAAAGCCACGAAGGCAAGUCGUAAUCACUGGAAACCAAAGGAGGUAAGGUAAACAAAGAACAAGUGCUAUGAUACAAAAGAGAACUACAGUAGCUAUAACAGAUAUGAUAAGAAGCAAAUAAUAAAGACUUCUACUGUGUAUAAAACAAUGCCGAGCAUGCCUCAAGGUAACCAAACCAAAACUGUACCCAAUCUGGUGCUUGCUAUAUUGGUCCGCAGACCUCGAGCGUUGCCUGUCACAAUAUUUGCACCGACCUGAUUCAUCCGCCCACUGGACGACCCAUCCAGAUAAGUACACUUCCGGUCGGUGGCCAAACCGACCUAGUGUCAUGAAUACCCCCAAGUGCUGUGACUAAGUCAUACUGAUAUGCUAAAUGCGAAAGCCGGUUGAAGCUGGUGCCUUGGCCGAAGCCAGAUACAAGGGCGUACAACGCCGAACCACGAUCAACCAGGUCGAAACACACGACAAAGGAGUCGAUGUGUUGCCUGGACCCAAAGUCCACAGAGAUACAAUAUAUAUGCAAGUCUGCUCUACAUGUCUAUCAACAACUAACAACAUACAAUCAAUAAGGUAAGAUAAACGAAUGAUAAACAAAGCAACCGACAUGUAGAGACUACACUGGUAAUAUAGAAAGACAAGGGAAAGUGAAACGAUCUCACUGACUACCAGCUCAAAGCACCCACCUGUCACAAAAGCGCAGAAAACAUGGGUACGCAACGAGUCAACCGGACCUAUGAAGAUCCACCGAGUCAGUAUCCAACCCACUCACCCAAAGUACACAACUCACGAACCCCCCACACAAGUCCCCAAAAUCGGUUUCCCAAAACUGAUCACCGUAACUUGCCGGAAAUCCUAAAAACCACACCGAGACGCCGUCGGGACCCACUAUGUCACGCUCCGUGACCGCUACCAAUUUGGCUCGGCCCGGGCGCGUCGAACAGACGCCGGACGUACAGCACCUCCCCUGUCCGCCCAAGGCUAACAACGAGAUUGUGUACAACAAGUUCCCAGGAAAAUAACUUGAAUACAUACACAAUCGAUAACUACAACGAGAGCACAAUCAGUGCAAAACAACCAAGAGCAAGAUACAAGUAUAGUGUUCAUUUACUCCAAUUACUUGCUCACUUAUCGAAGUGGAAACCUGUACUAUUGUCCAAUCAACGAAUGGAUAAAGUAACAUGUACGUAAGUAUAUAAAUACUAACCCGUAUCAUCUCAUCGAAAUGAGGACAGUAAAUGGCGAAAGGAAUAGAUAGAUAGAUAGCUAAUAGAUGAACACGGGCUGAACCUGGAUCACCCCUCUAGCCGCCUCAGCCGCCGGCUUGGGUAACCCUUGAUUCCUUCAAUCAAGAGUGGGGGUAAAAUGAUGUCCCGGCUCGCGUUCAAGUGUGCCGCUCCUAGCGCCAUUCCCGAAUCGCGGGAUCAACGUCAUCAGAUGAAAAGAUAAAGACAUAAUCUCAGUGGAAAAUACGAAACUCUCAUCUACUACAUAUCCAACACUCGAUAAAACCCUACUUACAUUCGAUAACAAAUAUAAAACCUUCUACAUUCGAAAUAUAAUACAAAACCUUCAAGUUACAUAUUAGUUUAACAUAAUAUUUCCGACUUACUUACAUUAUCUAUCUACGAGAGAGAAAUAGUAAUGAACAUACAANNNNNNNNNNGAAGUCUAGCAUCAGGCAACUUAGCCUAUGCACGCCGGCCACACGAGCAACAACUCGUCCACCUCAGUUCGAGGUACUACUAGGCCCACAGGCCAAGUUCGACGUUAAUCAACCAAUUUCGCAACAGUGGUUCAUUACCAUUGUCCGAUCUAUCGAAUCCACCUCCGAAAUACUCUUGGGAUAUCCGGGUGUCCCCAAACAUCAAGGCUCAACUCUCGCAAUCUCUAAUCUAUUACAUCGAGAGUUCUCUUACAUUUUCGAUUUCCAUUACGAGCUUCAUUUCUUAUCCAAAAUCACCACUAGCCAUUUGCUAGUGCCCAAUGGCUCUCUCUACCUGCCCCAGCAGGCGCCAUACUCUCAUCCUGCUAGCAUGCUCGGGUACCUACUUACCCGACCACUCGGUCCCUACUAUGUAAUGUAGCAAUAGUAGUAACUGACCAUAUGAUAAAUGCAUGCUAUGCAUCAACUUGAGAUCAUGCAACGUAUAUGCUUGCUCAAGUAACUUAUACCUGCCAUGACAUCGUCGGCAACGGCAGGCACCCCAACUCGGGUCGCUUAUCCAUGGCCACUUGGCGCUCGUCGCGAACCCCCUGAUUGUAACGUCCUCAACGGCUGCUCUCCCGACCAUGCUGCAGGUGGCACACCUGCAGGCUGUCCCAAAGAGGGAUAGGCCGUCGUUAGCGUCAAGGCCCGGCUAUCGCCUUUGCGGACACUCGUCCCGCACAUUGCCCGGCAGCCAACACCUGAAGCACUUGCCCUCACGCUGUUCACACUGUUGUGGGCAAUGAGGGCCCCCCACAAUUAACGCAUCUCACCGAGGACUGAAUGUGGUAAGUCCCCGGAGCUCGGGAUCGCGAGCGCGAACUUAUCGAAGUUCGUUGGGAACUUGGCUGACCAUCAUGUCCACUCACCGGCUGUCCUUUCCCCUUGUCCUUGUAGUAUGCUUCGCGCUCCUCCCGCAGGGAUUCCUCAUCUUGUUCUAUCCACAAGGCCUGAUCCCGGACGUCGGCGGAAGUCUGCAACUUAUGUGCAAGCACAAUCUUGCAAACGUCUGGCCGAAGUCCACGCACAAAGCAGUCGACCAUGUCCUUGACAUCGCGCGCUACGUUCGGGACGCAACGCACGACACGGAAGAAUUCCUGCUCGUAUCGCCUCACAGUGCUGUUUACCUGCCACAGCUUCGGAAACCUUUCUGAAGCUUCCUCGCUUACCGUCAGGGAAGUGAACGGAGAAUACCAAUUCUCAACUUAUCCCAGACCAUAGGAGGGAUACCAGGCAAUCGGUUCCGUCGAAUGCCUUUCCACCACACCUUUGCCGACUGUUUACAAGCAGCGUACGGCUAGGUGUGCCCUUCCUCACUCUACGACGCAUAGAUCCCCAAAGGGGGUCUCGCUCUCGGUUCGUCACCAGCAGCUUGCCGGUACCGACCAAUCACCAAUUUCUUUAGAUAGAUGACAUACCACCAUGACUUAUGCGUGCUGGGUGACUUCUCUGACCUGCGUCCUGAUCUCUACUAUACCAAUAUGUAAAUAAUAGUAAAAGACCACAAGCAAAUGCAUACAAUUGCUCAAACUACUUCAUGCUAAAAUGUAUGAUUGCUUUAAUUAAAUCAUACCUGCGGUAACAUCACCAACAGCAGCAGGUCCCUCGACAUGAGCCGCGUAUCCAGGGCCGCUUGGCGCCUCCUGUGAAUCCUCCGGCUGCUCGACCACCCCCAGCCCUCCAGACUGUGCCACAGGCUGCACAUCCACCAUCUGUCCCGAAGAGGUGAAUGUCGACGCUGUCGGCGGGAGUCGUCCAUCGUCCAAGGGGCAAUCAUACUUCAUGUGGCCAGACUGCCCACAACGAAAACACCUUCCCUCUCGCAGUGCACACCGCCGCGCCUGGUGGGAUCCUCCACAAAUCACACACCCCGCAGAUACGGCGGUAGCAGACGGAACUCCACCAAACUGUCGCUGAAUCUCUGGGGCAGAUGCAACUGACGGGGCAGGUGGCACUCCUUCCGCGCACUGACGGGCCAUAUGUCCCGCUCGACCACACUUGAAGCACCGCCCCGCCCGAUCCCUACAUUUCCCCGCGCGAUGUCCUCCACCGCAGAUCACGCACCGCAUAGGUCCUUGUCUAAUGGACCGCCGCUUUUGGUACUUCGGGGCCUUUUUGGAACUAGACUGUUUCCCCGAACCACCACGAGGCCGUUUCUUCACUCCACUCUCCUUGAACGCCUCGCGUUCCUGUCUCACUUCCCCAGCUGCCGCAUCGAGUAUCAUAGGACCCGAAGCCGCCAGAGGAACACUAGCCGGCAGGGGAUGCGCCGCCGCCGGAGCUACCAAAAUGCUCACGCCCUCAGGCGCAUUGGGCGCGUGAGCCGAGGGCGCGGGCGGACCAUGGCCUUUAGUUGUCGUCACGGCCGCCGUCGCCACUUGUCGCUCCAAAAGCUCUUGGAGCCGCUCGAUCUGACUUCCUUGGCGUUGAAUCACGCCGAUAAGCGUAGUCAUCUGCGCUCGUAAUUCUUGCACUUCUUCAGAUCCAGACUGCUCGGGCACCUCGGGCGAUGGUGCCAGAGUGGGUCUAGUCACGGGGCGUCUCUUUGGUGCCAUAGCUCCUGAAACGCAACAACUUGGUUAAUCACCUUAACCCGUUAAUCUCGUCGCAACUACUAGACAACGUGACUCGAAUCAGGCGAAAGUCAUACAAGGGUGCCUAUUCUCAUCACUAGGUUUCAUGUUGUCGCGCGCCAACAUGAACACACUUGGGUGAGAAUACACCACACCUUGAGUCUACCUCUAAUAUCCGUCUUAGAGGUUUACAAAACUUGACCCAAUCAAUUCAACUUCCGCCACAACGCAUAGGUUCACGUCACUCACGCACCUAUAACCUUAGGGUUCACCGUCCUAGGGUCUCCUAGGUCCAUCCUAAACUUCUCUCUUUACUUGCUCUUAAUUGCUCUGAUACCACUUUAUCUGUCACGCCCCGCGACCGCUACCAAUUUGGCUCGGCCCGGGCGCGUCGAACAGACGCCGGACGGACAGCACCUCCCCUGUCCGCCCAAGGCUAACAACGAGAUUGUGUACAACAAGUUCCCAGGAAAAUAACUUGAAUACAUACACAAUCGAUAACUACAACGAGAGCACAAUCAGUGCAAAACGACCAAGAGCAAGAUACAAGUAUAGAACAUACAAGUAAUGAUAAAGAGAGAGCAUCUAUCUAUUACAUUCAUUCAGCCUUUAUAAUACAAUUUGAUUAUACAUUGAACUUCCAAAACAUAAUAUAAAGCUUACAUCUUCCAAAAUAUAAACAUUAGCUUACAUUCAUUCCAGAAUAUCUCACAUCCUAUACAUCAUCUACUCUCAAAGCAUAUAAAGGUGACUCUAAUGCAGAAAUAGGAAAGUAGACUAAUGCAACUAGGGCGCUAGGCCCUUACCGCGAUCCUCGCCGUGUGAACUCGCGCUCGGCCCUGUAGUAAAAUGGGGGUGAGAACUAACUUCCUUAGUUCCCAGUGGGUUCGGCCGCCGACUCCGCCGAUCUCCCCACUAGGUCCAAGUCGGGCACAAGUAGAUAAUCGAUAGAUAGAUAGAUAAGGAAAGCGGUAAAUGACAGGAGUAAAGCUACUCUACUAUGCCCAAUCAUAAAUAUAUGAAUGCAUGUACAAUGAAAUAGGUAAGCAACUAACUUGUUAUCAUGUCCAAAGGUGAAGCUAUUCACUCGUUCAUUAACCUCAUUUACUUGUCCAUUAAUCUCAUGGCUUACCCGAAGGCUCGCCUACGGCUCACUAGCCAUCUCGAAGGUAGGGAGAAUUAACUCACACUACGGACCCGAGACCGUCUGGCGGGGCCAUAUAGGCAAUCCCUGGCGUGACCAACAUCCGGAGCGCACUACUUGUGUGGGGCUUCCAUCACAAGAUUUAACAGACCGUGAGCAUGAUCCAAUCCUCAUCUCGAGAAUACCCUAUCCUCUAGGGUUACAAUCAUCAUGUAGUCCAUAGGUUUCAUAUACACUACGACUCACAUAUGUCACUCGUUCUUUUGUUUACUAUCAACUAGAUGCCACUCGUUCUUUACAAGUUUCCAAUGCAAUAGCCAAUACAUUACUAAAUUCCAUCCACACUUAUCAUCUCAUUAUAGGGUUUCCACAUCACAUAUAUAAACCUCAAGCAUGCUAGAUAUAAGUACUAAGCCAAAUACAUUAUUCUACCAAAGAACAUGCAAGGUAUAGGACCAAACCAUCAGUUAUCACCCUAUAAUGCAAGAUGUCAAUAUGCAAUUGAUCAAUAUAAACUUAGACAUAAAAGGGAGCCCGAUUGCUUCGGGAUGGACACCACCCACCUUUUAUAGCGUUCCGAUUGCUCGUCGUCACUCGCAAUCGGCCUCCUGCGGCGCACGCCGCACGGCUCGACCCCAAUCACAUGCGACCGUCAAAUGACCACCGAUCCGCGAUCCGUCUGUUCUGGAGUUUAUUCCCCGACACCACGAUGCUACGAUUCCAUUUCUAUGAUUUUUGGAAGCUUACGCCGCGAGCUGCGGCAAUCUGUACCUUAACGGCUUCGAUCCGUAAUAUCUCCGCGUACACUCGUCGGAUCGCCGAACCGAGCGCACCGUUGCGUUCGUAGACCUACCAAUUAGGUUUACAGAGGGUUAAAAGAGAUCAAACCCUUAUAUAUAUCAAAACGCUAUUUCGAAGCCCUAGGUUUGCAUCUAGGCAAUAAACCAUCAUUAAAGCUUUGGAUUUAAGCAUAAUCCAUCUAAUUAGCAUCUAGGAAAGCUACUAAAUCCAUUUCUAGAGCAUUAGGAUCAAACCCUAGAGAUCUACCAUUGUAGGGUUUGAAGCUUACCUUGUUAAGCUUGCUCUAAUGGUGAGAGGAAGAAGAAGGUGAUGAUGGUGGUGAGGAACCUCUUCUUCUCCUCUCCUUUUUCCUCCUUUUCCUUCCUUCUCUUCUCCUCUUUCUUCUUCUUCUUCUUCACGUUUAGAGAGAGAGAGAGGGAGAGUUUAGGGCUUUAGAGUGUGAGAGAAUGAGAGAAAUGAGGGAGAAACCCCUCACUUAACCCCUCUCAUGCAACAUUUGCAGAAAAACCCCUCAACAAAGCCUCUCUCGCAACAGCCCAAACUGGGCCAUUUUCGCGCUCGGGGACCGGUCCUUGCGGUGAGAGACCGGUCCCUGAGAGACCUGUCCUUGGCUGAGAGACCGGUCCCCGAAGGUCCAGAACUCAGCCUCAAGGACUUAGCCAAAUUUUCAGCAUUUUCGCCCGUUUUCGUCCGUUUUCGCUCGUUUGACCUCCGAUUCGUUUCAAAUCGAACCGAGACUCUCCAAACAUGUUUCCAAACAUGUUUUCAUCAUCUUUCCAUCCUCGCUAAUGUCGGAUUUAGCUCACGGCCCAACAUGGCCUUUCGGCUCCGUUUUAGCGCCUACGCGCACCGAAACGCCCGAAUGCUUCCGGGCCUCACCGAACUUCACCGGAACCUUUCAAAUGGUCUUCCAACCAAAUGUACACCGUAACUUCAUGAUUUUAGAAGUCCGAUACCUUACACACUAAGUGUCCCGAAACUCACCGACUGACACUACGAGUUACCCGCUGCCACAAAAUACAUCAAUUUAGAUGUCUUGGCAAUAAACACAUGGUAACACACAUAAACAAUUAUCGUCGGAUAAUUUUUCGGAUCCGCGUUCCCGAAAGUAUCUAUUUCGACACCGGAACCCACCGUCGCUCACCCGUCAUCUCCGAACCCACGAUAUGACGAUGGUGACCAGCCGACAAGGCUCAGCGACAACUCAUAAGGAAACCAAACGACGUCGGAAGAAAUCCGAAUCGAAACUGAGCUCCGCCUCCGCCGACGAAUUUCGCCGAAAAAUGCACUGAAAUCGACUUUCGAUUUCCACGAAGGCUAACGGACCUUGGACAAUCAGUCCAGAGGUCACCACACACACAAAUGCACAACCCACAGUAGUCACAAGGUGCACAAUUGCAUAAAAGUCUCUCUAUUUACAUAAAAUCCCACUAUUUAAUGUAAAUAAGGCGACUUUGUGGCUCGUUAACGUAAACCGAGGACUUCCAAGGUCCGCCGAGACACGUACUAACAGGUCUCGACGUGCCGAAGGCCGUGCUCAUGAUUCGGAGCACAAUGGCUCACUGUGGGAGGCGCGAGAGCGACCCGAAAGUUCUGCGAAUUACAGCGCGCAGUUGGAAAAAAUCGCGCCGAACAGGCCGAUACGGCAUCCGUUGAUUAAAAUAAGAUGAGCACUGUGAUUAGCAUGACCACCGAUCACCGUGCUCACCUCCAGAGGCAUCGGGACAGCCUCGGAUCGCCGAAAAAACGUGCAUAAGCCAGAAACAGCAACCAAAAAGACCCUAAAGGAGCGACACUACCGAAACAGCAGAACGAAGCCUUCCCGACAGAAAUUGAGGUGAGCACGAUGAUCAGCAAUGAGUCAAGAUCAUCGUGAUCCCUUCCACAGAGAUCAAGAAGCCUCGGGUUGCUCGAAACAGUAAGCCACCGAAGAAAAGCCCUAUUUCUGGCUUGGCCAGAGCAAGCUUGCUCCGGCUGGCUUCCGGCAGCACGGCGACGUGCACGCGGGCCAGAGGUGGGUUUGGGGGAGGGGAGGAGCACAGUGCUCACCUUGGCCAGCGGCGAGGAGCGGCGGCGGCGUCGGCGGAGCCGGCACCAACUAGGGCUCGGGUCCGGAGGCAAUGGCGGCCACGGCGGUGGCGGGGGCUCCCAAGGGUGACGGCGGGGGAUCGCCUGAGACAAGAGGGAUGUCGCUGGGGUGGCUCCGGGUGGCGGCGGCGCAAGGAUGGAGCCGCAAGCCAACCUCGGCCCGGGCAGACCUGGAUUGGCUGCAAGCUGAUAGAGGCGGCGACGGUGGCCCGCAGGGAUCGCGGCGACCAGCGGGGAAGGUCGCCAGGGCUCCGGGGGAGGCGACAGGUGUGGUCUCAGGCGGCGGCGGCGGGGGCAGCACGCGGUUAGCUGAUGAAGCUCAGCUCGGCCAGAGUUUGCCCUAGCUGGCAGCAGGGUACUGGGGCGGCAGUGGCGGUGCUCAGGGGCGGCGGUAGCCAGCGAGGAGGCUCACCGGGACUUCGAGGGUGACGCCGAAGAGGAGAGUAGCCUCGGAUCUCGUCCUCAACCCGAGAGGAAGAGAGAUAGAGGGAGAGGGAAGGUGGGAGGCCGCGGCUGCUAGCCGGCCGAGGUCGGUCGGCGGCGGCUGGCGCAUGCGAGGCAAGGUAGGGGAGAGAGAUGAAGGUGGCAGGGUGCUCGGCUAGGGCUAGGGUUAGGGUUUCCUAGUGCAAAAUCCUAGAUGAGCAAUAUAUACACCUAAGGUAAAAAUGCACCAUAGUCCCUCAAAACUCGAUAAUUUAAUUCGAGUCCCUCACAGCGCGAGUAAAACCCGCGAAUACACCCUCACAUGCGAUUUCACGCAAAACGGUACAUAAAAUGUCGAGGUUUUUGCAAAAAUACCGUUUUGCCAUUUAAGACCCCUCGAUCAACGUGCAAUAUCCGCAGAUUCGUCUGUCAGAUUUGUGAAUAGAUCUUACCAGUGCGAUCAGCACAAUAGAGACAACAAACCCACCAUUUUGUUUCACCUCGUUUGGUCACGGAUUCACGACAAAACUCACCCUCUUUCCAAGAGGCAAAGCGACGCACUAAUACAUAUAAUACAUGUAUUUUUAGAAUUUCUAGAAAUUCGUACGUCAAACCAAAAUCCGUCAGUGCCAUUGGUUCCAGAAUAGCUGAGCCGUUCAAAACGUGCUAUUGGAUCGCUAUGAAUGGAGUCUGACACGUGCCAGAAGCCAACUUUAUACCGUGGCCUCUCCAGAAAACCGAGUUACUAUUCACUUUAAGUGAAAACUGAAAAUCGCGUACAAUCUUUGUUCUAACUCGUUUUCUCCCGAAACUUGACGAGUGCUUUUGUAAUUAAAUUACACACAAAAACAUCAUCAAUAGAGAGUUUAGCUAUACUGCUAAAAUCUCAGUCUUUAUAGAUCCGCCAAAAAAAAAAACAAAUGGAGGAGAUCUAUGAAAGUUUUGAGAAGCCCAAGGAUCAUCUAGAUUGUAUCUAUCACCUAGAGGGGGUGAAUAGGUGAACGGCCAAAAACCACAAAUCUCGAUGCAAUAAAAAUAAAUGCGGAAAAUAAAAAGCACACCAAGAUUUACGUGGGAAAACUCCAACUUGGAGAAAAACCCACGGGACCAACACGCGAAAAAAUAAUUCACUAAGAGAAAAGAUUACAAGGUGAUUACCGACUCCACGGACUCAACCUCUCUUAACCUCCUAUGAAUCUUCGCGCUACCCUCCGGGUUGUCCACGCCCUCACGUUCGAGUCCACGAACGCCUCCACUUCGAAUCCACGAAGCUUUAAUCACGCCGAAUCCACGACGCCACUCGAAUCCACGAGCCAACGAUCCGAAUCCACGAACGCCUUUGUUCACGCCGAAUCCACGACGCCGUUCAUGAAGAGCAUCAUGAUUAUGGUGAUCCUUCACUUAGGAGUAUCGUAGAAAACCAGGGAAUAGAACUCCAAGCGAAGCGGAGAUCAAAUCGACAUAUUAAUAUCAAAUUUCAAUAUCUCGACUUGAUCUAAAAGAGGCUUUUUGUAGAAAAUAGGUUUAAGAUGAAAUCCGAGCCUCUAGGGUUUCUCGAACAUGUAUUCUUAUGAUGCUUGAUCUGUUAAAGAAGCCCAAUAGCUUAUUUAUAGACUUUAGAAUCAAUUGGAGUCGAAUUAGAAAGUUUAUUUCCAAAAACAGCACCUUGUACCGGAACAAGGAAUGUUGUCCAGGGUACACCAUGACGGAAGAUUUUUCUGCGAAGCUCCUGUACCCUGGAUAGCUUCAGCUUGUUUCGGAACAGGGCUUGUACCGGUACAGCAUGAAGCUUGUACCGGAACAACCAUCAAACUUUCUGCGCAACGUUGAUGGCUGUUCCCUGGACAGAAAAGCCUUGUACCGGUACAGCAAUGCAAUUUUCGCUAAAAAUGCAUUGUUUUGGAUUUUACAAACUCUUAGAAACUUUCUAAUAAAUUACAACUUGAAAACAUGAUUCUAAGAUCUAUAAUUAAGUAUGAAUCACCAUAAACAAGAUUUAAAGCUUACCUACGCAUCGUGAUUCAUGUUUUACGUGUUUUGCGUCCUUUCCGAUUCUUCGAAGUCUUGGAUUCUUCGAUCUUCAAUACUUCGCUCCGAACUUCUUCAAGACUCCGACUCGACCCACGAAACUUGCCAACACAUAGGACCUAACAAUCUCCCCCUUUGGCAAUUUCGUGAUAAAACACACAUAAACUCACAAAUUACAAUUUAAAGAAAAACGAAGUUCAAUGUCAUCACCAAAACAUCGAACCCCUCGCGUGUAAUCCAAAUACAAUUCGAAAACUCAAAAUUACAUCAAAACUCCUAAAACAAACUCUAUGACUUAGACACAACUAGGAGUCUUGAAGUCUUGAUUUCCUGCAAAACGCAUUCAAAAAUGAUUAACCUUAAAUUCUUAUACCUUCUCCCCUUUUGUUCUUCACGUCUCGAACACAUCUCCCCCUUUGUUCUUGAACUCAUCAUCCUCUGCUUCAGUUCAAUGCCUGUUCAUCCAUGCUCUCCCCCUUCAUCUAUGCUCUCCCCCUUUUUGUCAAAAAUUGCCAAAAGAAAGCAAAUAAAGAGAGAAAACAUACUAGAAAAACAUGAGAGUAGUGUAGCCAUAGUUACAGGCCUAAAACGAAAAUAAAAACAUACUACAGAAAGAUAAGCAAGCAAAUCUAAAACAUCGUCCUAAACAUCAAAUGCAGUGAAAGAAAGAAACUAAGCCCGACGAAGAAAUCACUCCGUGUCCUCAUCAUCAUCAUCAUCUCCAGCACCAGCUCCAGAACCUGCAGCCUCAGGAGCAUCACCAGACGGUGGAAUGAGAGGAUGUCGUGAAGAUGACCGCUGAUACGAAGUAGAAGAUGGGGUAGGUACCCAAAUAUCAUCAUGUCUACACCCCAUCUUAUCCAUCAAUCUCUUGAUACUUAGCUCAAACUUCUUGAAGCCGGACUCAACUUUCCUUCCAAUAUUAUUCACCUUCUUCUUUAACUUUCCCAAAUCUUUCUUAACUGAUUCCAAUGUCAUUGCUUCCCCCGAACUAGAUGAAGUAUCAUAACUUCCUCGAGAUGUAGGCGGAGGAGCAAAGAUAAUUGGGAUGUGGAAUUAGUAGAUUUUGACUGCGAUGGAUGUUUUGAUUUGCGAUUGUAAUGNNNNNNNNNNNNNNNNNNNNNNNNNNNNNNNNNNNNNNNNNNNNNNNNNNNNNNNNNNNNNNNNNNNNNNNNNNNNNNNNNNNNNNNNNNNNNNNNNNNNNNNNNNNNNNNNNNNNNNNNNNNNNNNNNNNNNNNNNNNNNNNNNNNNNNNNNNNNNNNNNNNNNNNNNNNNNNNNNNNNNNNNNNNNNNNNNNNNNNNNNNNNNNNNNNNNNNNNNNNNNNNNNNNNNNNNNNNNNNNNNNNNNNNNNNNNNNNNNNNNNNNNNNNNNNNNNNNNNNNNNNNNNNNNNNNNNNNNNNNNNNNNNNNNNNNNNNNNNNNNNNNNNNNNNNNNNNNNNNNNNNNNNNNNNNNNNNNNNNNNNNNNNNNNNNNNNNNNNNNNNNNNNNNNNNNNNNNNNNNNNNNNNNNNNNNNNNNNNNNNNNNNNNNNNNNNNNNNNNNNNNNNNNNNNNNNNNNNNNNNNNNNNNNNNNNNNNNNNNNNNNNNNNNNNNNNNNNNNNNNNNNNNNNNNNNNNNNNNNNNNNNNNNNNNNNNNNNNNNNNNNNNNNNNNNNNNNNNNNNNNNNNNNNNNNNNNNNNNNNNNNNNNNNNNNNNNNNNNNNNNNNNNNNNNNNNNNNNNNNNNNNNNNNNNNNNNNNNNNNNNNNNNNNNNNNNNNNNNNNNNNNNNNNNNNNNNNNNNNNNNNNNNNNNNNNNNNNNNNNNNNNNNNNNNNNNNNNNNNNNNNNNNNNNNNNNNNNNNNNNNNNNNNNNNNNNNNNNNNNNNNNNNNNNNNNNNNNNNNNNNNNNNNNNNNNNNNNNNNNNNNNNNNNNNNNNNNNNNNNNNNNNNNNNNNNNNNNNNNNNNNNNNNNNNNNNNNNNNNNNNNNNNNNNNNNNNNNNNNNNNNNNNNNNNNNNNNNNNNNNNNNNNNNNNNNNNNNNNNNNNNNNNNNNNNNNNNNNNNNNNNNNNNNNNNNNNNNNNNNNNNNNNNNNNNNNNNNNNNNNNNNNNNNNNNNNNNNNNNNNNNNNNNNNNNNNNNNNNNNNNNNNNNNNNNNNNNNNNNNNNNNNNNNNNNNNNNNNNNNNNNNNNNNNNNNNNNNNNNNNNNNNNNNNNNNNNNNNNNNNNNNNNNNNNNNNNNNNNNNNNNNNNNNNNNNNNNNNNNNNNNNNNNNNNNNNNNNNNNNNNNNNNNNNNNNNNNNNNNNNNNNNNNNNNNNNNNNNNNNNNNNNNNNNNNNNNNNNNNNNNNNNNNNNNNNNNNNNNNNNNNNNNNNNNNNNNNNNNNNNNNNNNNNNNNNNNNNNNNNNNNNNNNNNNNNNNNNNNNNNNNNNNNNNNNNNNNNNNNNNNNNNNNNNNNNNNNNNNNNNNNNNNNNNNNNNNNNNNNNNNNNNNNNNNNNNNNNNNNNNNNNNNNNNNNNNNNNNNNNNNNNNNNNNNNNNNNNNNNNNNNNNNNNNNNNNNNNNNNNNNNNNNNNNNNNNNNNNNNNNNNNNNNNNNNNNNNNNNNNNNNNNNNNNNNNNNNNNNNNNNNNNNNNNNNNNNNNNNNNNNNNNNNNNNNNNNNNNNNNNNNNNNNNNNNNNNNNNNNNNNNNNNNNNNNNNNNNNNNNNNNNNNNNNNNNNNNNNNNNNNNNNNNNNNNNNNNNNNNNNNNNNNNNNNNNNNNNNNNNNNNNNNNNNNNNNNNNNNNNNNNNNNNNNNNNNNNNNNNNNNNNNNNNNNNNNNNNNNNNNNNNNNNNNNNNNNNNNNNNNNNNNNNNNNNNNNNNNNNNNNNNNNNNNNNNNNNNNNNNNNNNNNNNNNNNNNNNNNNNNNNNNNNNNNNNNNNNNNNNNNNNNNNNNNNNNNNNNNNNNNNNNNNNNNNNNNNNNNNNGCCAAAACCUAGAAGCUGCUCUCGGUGAAAGUGCCGGGCUAGAGCUUCAGGAGGGUGGCCCUUAGGUCUGAUGAAAUGACUUGAGAGUGCUAACAGAUUUAGCCCAAGUCACUGAGUCAAUAGGCCCAAGGCCAACAUCAUAUUUGUCACAAGAUGUAUCCACUCCAUUGGCUUGAAGAAUCCUCGUAAUCAAGAACAGGGAAUGAAAGUAAGAUCCCGACGAGUGGCACCCUGAAUUACGUGAAUCAUCCUUUGCCCAGAUCAGAAUGGAAUGUUGAUAUUCAACCCUGCGAGCCUGCCUCGGAUGACCAAGUAGAUAUAGCAACACUAGUCUCUCCCAGCGAAUCCUCUUUGUGCCGAUAGUUGGUUGAACAUUGUAGCCUCAUAACCAAUGGGAUAGCAAGUGAUACUCGGGUAAUAAGUCCUUGGAUUCAAUGUAACCAUGAGUUAUGUAAACACCGGCUUUGCAUAUAGCUCCCAAGAACAGUAUCCAUGUGGAGUUGAUGCUUGAAAUCCUCCUGAAGUAUAGAGAAGACCUGAAGUGUCCACAUGCAUCCCCAAGAUCUCUCCAAUAAUCAUGGGAAGUAACUGGAGAAUCUCCUCUGACGCACAACAGGUCUCGAAGAUAAAAGUGCUUGUUUCAUCAUCUUCAGCAAGCACUUUCCAUUCAUAUAGAAUCUCCCUAGUAAAGUUCCACACAGAAAGGAGCCUUUGCAGGAACCCGCGUCCAACAAGGCCUCAAUAGGUGCCGCGCGCUGUAGUCAAUCGGCCAAGGAAUCAGGAACCUCCCGCGAAUCAGAUCUUGGAAGUUCACAAAGCAUUCAGCUAUGCACGACUUUGAAUGCACAACACGCUUCGCCGGCUGGAGGAACCUCCCUCCAGCUUGUUUUGAACGUCCCUCCAGCGAGUACGAUAACCACCUCUGCGAGAUGAUUCACCAGCUACAACCUUUGCCUUUGUCCAAGUUGCGCAAUAGGCUUCUUCAGAUUCUUCAGAGGAGCUCCUCCUGAAUAAUCCGGAUCAGACCCGGACGCUUCUUCAGUGGUAACGUGUCCUUUUAGAAACCCCAUGACGACCUCUACCACUACACCGGCUUCGUCUCCCAGCAUAAGCACCAAAAACACUAGUACGAGCAGAAUAGCCAUUUCGCUAUACAGAAAUUGCAUACAUAAACAUAAUUUCUGAAAAAAUCUGGAAAAUAGCGAAAAAUUUCUUAAUAACAUUAGAAUGCAUACCAAUGCUAUUCCUAGCCAGAUCAUGCAGAAUUUCAGCAAAAAUCAAAUUUUUGAAAAUCCCGAAAUUACAUGCAUAUUAUAGGCCAUAAAUCCUAGAUCAGCGAAAAAUAACUUGUAUUGAUGUCGUUCAAGUGUUCUACAAGCCAAGGUAAUGUCCUUAAGCAGUGAUUUAUAGCAAACACAGUUGCAUCAAACGAAUUAGAACGUGAGAUCAAAUCCUUAUCCCCGCAACAAAACAAUGUAAAUACAAAACCGGGAUAAAACUCACAAAUUGAUGCUAAAAACUUCACAAAUCUACGGGGAAAACGUGUAGAACGAAUGAGAAAGGUCUCUGGAGCUCAAGAACAAAAAUUCUUGGAAAACAAUUGAGUCUUUGAGAAAAAUCGAAGCGUUAUACCCGGUAUUCCCGCUCCGCCGCAGACCUGGAACCGUCCUGCGGUUAUGAUGACCGUCAGGCUGUGCGAGACAGAGGGCUUCUGCUGAGAACCGUCCCCGAAUCCAAGACUUCAGCCCAACUAGCCAAAUAAUCUCAUCUCUCACUUGCCAUUUUUGUUUGGGCAAUUCCUUUUGAUGUGUCCUUCGAUGCCACAUCGAUGACACACUUUGCCUUUUGAAGUUGUUGAGACUUUAGAUGUCGCCGUUUGAUCCUUCUCAAUAUAUGUCCGUUCAUAUCCAAGACCCCAUUUGCUCGUUUGACCCAAUCCAAGCAUUUUGUCCAACUUCUUUGAUCCCGAAGAAAAUUGUAGAAGAUCGGAUUGGAGUUGACGAACUUGGUUGAUCAAGACUUGAUUGGACUUGUGCGAUUCAUGAAAUUGAUGCUCCAAAAAUCCAAUCUUGUCGUUAGAAGAUUUGAUCGUUGAUUCCGCAUCAUUAAGCUUCUCUUGGAGGAUUGAAUUAUUUUUCAUCGCUAAGCUUCUCUUGAAGUUCCGAAUUAAUCUUCAAACUUGAAUCUCUUUCCUCCUCAAGAGCCUUAUUCAAACUCUUUAUGUUGUUGUUUUCCUCCUCAAGUUCCAACAAACGACGUCUCAACUUCUUGUUGAGUUUAGCCAUCUUCUUCGAUUCAAUGAGAAGUUGAUUGUACGUUUCCGCUAUGUCGUCGUUGUUUGAUUCCUCUUCACUUUCGACAUUGUUGCUCGAUGAAUCAUGUGAAGAAAGAGAAAUAUUGGAGUUAGUAGCAAAAGAGGAUAAACACACAACAUUCGACGUAGGAGUAUUAGCAAAUAGAGCAAUUUGAUCAUUCUUUUCUUCGUCACUUGACGAUGAUUCACUUGAUGUUGAAUCAUCCCACGUCUUUGCUUGCAUCGCCUUUUGUCUAUACAUCUUCUUUGAAGGACAAUCUGUCGCAAUGUGGCCGUAGCCUUUGCACUUGAAGCAUUGGAUUUCGCCUUCAAAUACAUCCUUUUUCUUUGAGGACUUUGCACGGUUUUUAUCCUUAGACUUUGAAGAUAAAGAUGAUUUAGACAAAGAUUGUCGCUUGGAUGAUGAAGCCUUGUCCAAUCUAUUCUUGUUCUGGAAAUUUCGACGAAACUUCUUCGUGAGAAGCGCCAAUUGUUGUUCAAAGUCCGCAAUUGAUAAAUCAUCGUCGGAACUCGAGUCUUCGUCCUUCUCCUUUGUAGAUUUCAAUGCAACACCUGUGCUUUUAGAAGAAGACUUGGAAGAAGAUUGAUUAGUAGGAAAAGUCAUUUCAUACGUUUGUAAAGCUCCUACUAAUUCUUCUACUUUCAUCUCGUCCGGAUGCUUGACCGUUUCGAUCGCGGCGACCUUUGCCCGAAAACGUUCCGGAAGAGUGCGAAGGAUUUUCCUAACAACCUUUGAAUCCGGGAUUUUCUCUCCCAAGUUAGCACAUGUGUUCACAACAUCUUGUAGACGUGUAUAGUACUCGGUAAAGGUCUCAUUUUCGUCCAUAGAAAUUGAAUCAAACUUGCUAGUUAGCAUUUGCAAUUUUUGGACCUUUACUAAGCUUGUUCCUUCAUGCGUAACUUGUAGAGUAUCCCAAAUUUCUUUUGCCGUUUCGCAUGCCGAAACCCGAGUAAACUCCGUUUGUGAUAAAGCGUUGAAUAAAGCAUUAAUUCCUUUACCAUUAAACGAAGAUGACUCGUUUUCAUCUUUAGUCCACUUGUUUCGUGGUUUAGGGACGGUAGCACCAUCGACAACUUCGGUAGGAUGUUUCCAUCCGAAUUCAAUAGCUUUCCAUACCCGCUCAUCGAUUGCAAUUAGAAAAGCUCUCAUGCGAACUUUCCAAUAGGCAUAAUUCGUGCCGUCGAAGAGCGGAGGUCGAUUAAUGUUACCACCUUCGGCCAUUAGAUAACAAUUUAUCUAGAUCCCGCUCUGAUACCAAUUGAAAGUUUUGAGGAGCCCAAGGAUCUAUCUAGAUUGUAUCUAUCACCUAGAGGGGGGUGAAUAGGUGAAAGGCCAAAAAACCACAAAUCUCGAUGCAAUAAAAAUAAAUGCGGAAAAUAAAAAGCACACCGAGAUUUACGUGGGAAAACUCCAAACUCGGAGUAAAAAACCCACGGGACCAACACGCGAUAACAAUCCACUAAGAAUAAAAGAUUACAAGGUGAUUUACCGAAUCCACGGACUCAAACCUCUCUUCUAUCUUCUCCGGAUCUCGCGCACACCAACGGGUUGUCCACGCCCCACGUCCGAAUCCACGAACGCCACGUCCCGAAUCCACGAAACGUCACCACUUCGAAUCCACGAAGCCUCGAUCACGUCGAAUCCACGACGCCCACUCGAAUCCACGAGCUCACGAUCCGAAUCCACGAACCGUCUUCGUUCACGCCGAAUCCACGACGCCGUUCAUGAAGAGCAUCAUGUGUAUGGUGAUCCUUCGCUUAGGAGUAUCGUAGAAAACCAGGGAAUAGAACUCCAAGCGAAGCGGAGAUCAAAUCGACAUAUUAAUAUCAAAUUUCAAUAUCUCGAUUUGAUCUAAAAGAGGCUUUUUGUAGAAAAUAGGUUUAAGAUGAAAUCCGAGCCUCUAGGGUUUCUCAAACAUGUAUUCUUAUGAUGCUUGAUGUGUUAGAGAAGCCCAAUAGCUUAUUUAUAGACUUUAGAAUCAAUUGGAGUCGAAUUAGAAAGUUUCUUUCCAAAAACAGCACCUUGUACCGGAACAAGGAAUGUUGUCCAGGGUACACCAUGACGGAAGAUUUUUCUGCGAAGCUCCUGUACCCUGGAUAGCUUCAGCUUGUUCCGGAACAGGGCUUGUACCGGUACAGCAUGAAGCUUGUACCGGAACAACCAUCAAACUUUCUGCGCAACGUUGAUGGCUGUACCCUGGACAGAAAAGCCUUGUACCGGUACAGCAAUGCAAUUUUCGCUGAAAAUGCAUUGUUUUGGAUUUUACAAACUCUUAGAAACUUUCUAAUCAAUUACAACUUGAAAACAUGAUUCUAAGAUCUAUAAUUAAGUAUGAAUCACCAUAAACAAGAUUUAAAGCUUACCUACGCAUCGUGAUUCAUGUUUUACGUGUUUUGCGUCCUUUCCGAUUCUUUGAAGUCUUGGAUUCUUCGAUCUUCAAUACUUCGCUCUGAACUUCUUCAAGACUCCGACUCGACCCACGAAACUUGCCAACACAUAGGACCUAACAAUCUAUUUCUUUUUUCUUUAAUUUGGAAAAAAUGAUCCCAAUUGGAACGGUUAGUGGGAGGCAAAAAUAUGACAAAAAAUAAUUCGCCCUAAUUUCAUAUUGAUACGACAAAAAAAAAGGUGGGUGUGGUCAACCCUCCCCCUGGAUCCGUUCUAUUUGCAUCCCUCAAAAAGGAGGCCCAAUCCCAAGCGAUCGGGUUGUCAUAAACUAUCAUCAAUCAAAUUCGCACAACAAUCAAGUACCUUGCUUUAAAAAUUUUUGUAAAAAAAUAGGUCUGAUUGGUAAUAUAAAACUAAUCUAUUUUGGAUUAAAUAUUUUAUUUUUCAAAAAACAAUUUGUGCCACAUAAAAUAAAUAUUCUAUUUUUUAAAAUAUUUUAUUUUAUUUUUGAAAUAAAUCUAAAAGGGUAAAUUUCGUCGAUACCCUUCCAAUAGCUCUAACUUCAUGAAUACCCUUUAAAACUUUAAAAUUUUAUAUUUUCCCUUCAAAAGUAUGAAAAAAUUUCAAAAAUAUCCUCACAGUUAGCAUUCUGACAGGUUUAGAUAUAAAGCUUCAAAAUACCAAUUAAUUUUACCCUCUACUUCAUUCUCAUCACUACCUUCACAAAAUUUUUUGAAUAUAUGGAGACCACCUCAAUUACAACCCAUUGUGAAAUAGCCCCCUAAAUUUAAAUUUUUAAUUAAAGUUUUCUUAAAUUUUGUUUUCUUAAAAUUGAAUGAUUUUUUAUUAUUGAAUUAUAGAUUUUAUCUAAUCCAUUAAUGAUUCAAUUAAAUUUAGUAAUUUUAGUAACUUUGUAGUAAUGAUUGGAGCUUCUAAGGAGGUUUGUUGCCCUUUCUCUCCAUCUAGACUUUGGAUUUGAGGUUUUCUUGUGUUGAAACCCUAGAAUGAGAUUUUAGGGUUGAUUUUGGGGCUUUUUGAUUUAGGGCUUUUGGAGCUUGAUCACUUGGAUUAGAGCCUUCCUUUGGGUUGGAUUGGAAGGGAUUUAGCUCUCUUUUGGAGCUUAGGAAGAGAUUUUGCACUAGAGGUGAGUUUUGACUCUAUUUUUUGANUAACUUGCGCUUUUAUGUUUUGUAGUGACGAUGCCGGUUACACGCUCCCAGUCUGCCGGGGCGGAUGAUGUGGCACACCCCGAGGAGGUCGAGACCUCCGCUACUUUCGGAUCUAGCGAGGUCCGCGACUUGAGGGCCCAGCUUGCGGUUCUCACUGAUCUGUUGGCGCGGCAGACGGCCGCGGCGCAACGACAGGCUGAGGUGGCUCAGUGGCAGGAGGCGCGGAUGAAGCACCUUGAGGACCUCCUACUUCAGCAAGCGGCAGCUUCGAGGGAGACCCAGGGCCCCACACCGCCCGCACCCGUGGUGGAUGUCGCACCGAGGGCGCAGUCCCCCGCGCCCAGUUCCUCACGUGCGGCACCGGCGACCGCACCUCGGGAGGAGGUGGCUGCGACACUACCAGUUCAGAGACCGGCCACGGGGGCAGCUUUCCCCGUGAUGUCCGAGGGAGCUGAGUGGGAUCGGCUCAUGGAUCGCCUCAGUGAGUUUAGGAGGUGCAGCCCGAGAACGUUUGAUGGCGAGAACGUCGACCACUGGAUUGUUGAGAAGUGGUUGCUGCACAUGGAGAAGCUAUUUCGAGAUACCUUCGUCGAGGAGAGGAAUAGAGUUUGGCUCGCCACUCACUUUCUGGACGGCGAGGCCUAUCGUUGGUGGUUGGAUAUCCAGGACAACCCCAACACCGACUUGGCGGCGAUUACUUAGACACGAUUCAAGGAGCUUCUACUGGCGCACCACUUUCCUACCAGUGUCAAGAGAAAGAUGGAGCAGGAUUUGCGCAGCUUGCGCCAGGACGAGCGGUCAGUGGCUGAGUACGAGAGGGAGUUCUCCCGGAUACUACACUGUGUACCGUUGUUGUGAGGGAUGACGAGGACAAGGCCCGCAUCUUUGAGCGUGGAUUGCGGCCUUCGAUCUUUUGGUUGGUGUAGUCCUCCAACCUCCAAACCUACCGGGAGGUUGUGGACCGUGCACUCAUUGUGGAGGCUGGUGCGGCAGACCUUCAGGAGCGUCGAGAGAGCUCGGAGAAAGGGAAGGGGAAGAGGCCCGCGGCUGAGGAUGCGAGUCAGACGCACUCACGGAGGCCGCCAAGGCACCGAGAAGCCGAAGCCAAUCGCGAGGACGUGGCCAGUCUCCUCAGCGAGGAGGACCCGAUCGUCGUCAGGCUCCCCGCUGCGUGAUUUAUGGCGGUCCUCAUUAUCCGCGGUAGUGUUCACGCAGCCGGGGCAUGUGCUUCUUGUGUGGCCAGGAGGGCCACUUCCAGUCGGACUGCCCGAGGAGUCCUUUGCUAGCGCCAUCUUCGGCAUCUACACCUGCAACGCCAGGUCCCAGCCAGGGGACAUCUUCUGCGCAUCACCAGGCCGGUCGGCCACCUGUCGAGCGGUAGACGGAGGGGUCACGACAGGCCCCGAGCGGGCGCAUGUAUGCGGCCCAGACUGAGGAGGCGGCGGCAGCCGAGAAUGUGGUCGCAGGUAUCAUUUUACUUUAUGGUAAUCGAGUUAGAGCAUUAUUUGAUAUCGGUGCAUCGCAUUCAUUUAUAGACCGACUGUUUGCCGAGUUGCAUGGCAUCCCACUUGUAUCCUUGUUGCAUCCGGGACGAGUCGUUGUACCCGAUCAUUCUUUGGACAUUCGAAAGUUUUGCCCCAGUUGCCUUAUUCGGGUUGGAGAUUGGGUCAUGCCCGUGGACUUGCUAGCUUUGCAUAAACUCGGGGAGUUUGAUGUUGUUUUGGGCAUGGAUUGGUUGACUAAGUACUACGCCACUAUCGAUUGCAAGGAUCGAACGGUGACGUUUAGAGAGCCGGGGCAGGCGGAAGUUGUGUACCGAGGAUGCCAGAGUUCGCUCUUUGUGAUGACUAUCAGCUCCUCUCGAGCUAGGCAGUUGAUUAGUAGAGGCUGCGUAGCCUAUUUGGCUACUGUGGUGUUGAAGGGUGACGACGACGCCCCUAGGAUUGAGGAUAUACCCGUAGCACGGGAGUUUAGAGACGUAUUCCCAGCGGAGCUUCCAAGCAUGCCACCUGAUAGGAAAAUUGAGUUUGUGGUAGAUCUCGUUCCCGGGACUACUCCAAUCUCAAAGGCACCCUAUAGGAUGGCACCAGCAGAAUUGAAGGAGCUGAAGGCACAGUUGCAGGAUCUUCUGGACAAAGGUUUUGUGCGACCGAGUGUGUUACCUUGGGGAGCACCGGUCUUGUUUGUUAAGAAGAAGGAUGGAUCACUUCGCUUGUGCGCGGACUAUCGUGAACUUAAUAAAGUUACGAUCAAGAACAAGUAUCCAUUACCGAGGAUUGAUGAUCUAUUUGAUCAGCUCCAGGGAUCUUGUGUAUACUCCAAGAUCGACUUGCAGUCGGGAUACCAUCAGUUGAGGAUCAGACCUGAGGAUGUAUUGAAGACGGCUUUUAGAACACGGUAUGGACAUUAUGAGUUUACUGUCAUGCCGUUUGGGCUUACUAAUGCCCCGGCGGCUUUUAUGGAUUUAAUGAACCGUGUUUUCAAGCCUUAUUUAGACAGAUUUGUCGUGGUGUUCAUCGACGACAUUUUGGUCUAUUCCCGAAGUAAUGUGGAUCACGAGGAACACUUGAGACUUGUACUUCAAGUACUUCGGGAAAAGAAACUAUAUGCCAAGUUGAAAAAGUGUGAGUUUUGGCUUAGAGAGGUGGCGUUUUUGGGCCAUGUGAUUUCAGGAUCAGGCAUAGCCGUGGACCCGAGAAAAAUUGAAGCUAUCAAAGAUUGGCCGAGGCCGACGAGUGUGACCGAGAUACGGAGCUUCAUUGGUUUGGCUGGCUAUUACCGACGGUUCGUCGAGGGAUUUGCAAAAUUAUUCACUCCCCUCACGAGACUCACGCAUAAGGAUACCAAGUUUAUUUAGAAUGAUGCGUGUGAAAGGAGCUUCCAAGAGUUGAAGUAGCGAUUGACGACCGCCCCGAUCCUUACCUUGCCGACUGCUGGAGCAGGGUAUGUGAUUUAUAGUGAUGCUUCCUUUAAUGGAUUGGGCUGUGUUUUGAUGCAGGACGGGAAAGUGAUCACGUAUGCAUCUCGCCAAUUAAAGGAUUGUGAGAGAAACUAUCCUACCCAUGACUUGGAGUUGGCGGCCGUAGUCUUUGUAUUGAAGCUAUGGCGCCAUUACCUCUAUGGCGAGCGAUGCGAAGUAUGUACGGAUCACAAAAGCUUAAAGUAUCUAUUUACUCAGAAGGAGUUGAACUUGAGGCAGCGUAGAUGGUUGGAGCUACUCAAGGAUUAUGAUUUGACGAUACUUUACCACCCGGGCAAGGCUAACGUGGUGGUGGAUGCGCUAAGUAGGAAAUCGACUGAGAACUUAGCGAUACUUGUGAUUACUCAACCGCCGUUGAUCGAGCAGAUGAAGCGGUUGGAGUUGGAGGUUGUGGCUCCUGAUACACCUUUGAGACUGAUGACUUUGGUGGUGCAACCUACACUUUUGGAAAGGAUUAAAGAAAAGCAAGCUUCCGACUCGGAGUUGCAAAAGAUUCGAGCUAAGAUGGUUGCUGGUUGCACCGGUGACUUCACUUUAGACGGUGAUGGAUUGAUGCGUUUCCGCGGACAACUUUGUGUACCGGCGGACUUGGGCAUUAAAGAGGAUAUUCUUCAAGAAGCACAUCGAGCACCGUAUGCUUUGCAUCCGGGAGGCACCAAGAUGUACAAGGACUUGAAGUUACUUUAUUGGUAGCCCGGGAUGAAAAAGGAUGUUGGUGAGUUCGUUGCUAGAUGUUUAACCUGCCAACAGGUGAAGGCUGAGCACCGAGUUCCUGUGGGGAAGCUGCAGAGCCUACCGAUUCCAGUGUGGAAGUGGUAAAAGAUCACUAUGGACUUCGUGAUGGGAUUGCCUCGCUCACAGGCCGGGCAUGAUGCUAUAUGGGUGAUCGUGGAUAGAUUGACGAAAUCGGCACAUUUCAUACCUAUCCACACNNNNNNNNNNNNNNNNNNNNNNNNNNNNNNNNNNNNNNNNNNNNNNNNNNNNNNNNNNNNNNNNNNNNNNNNNNNNNNNNNNNNNNNNNNNNNNNNNNNNNNNNNNNNNNNNNNNNNNNNNNNNNNNNNNNNNNNNNNNNNNNNNNNNNNNNNNNNNNNNNNNNNNNNNNNNNNNNNNNNNNNNNNNNNNNNNNNNNNNNNNNNNNNNNNNNNNNNNNNNNNNNNNNNNNNNNNNNNNNNNNNNNNNNNNNNNNNNNNNNNNNNNNNNNNNNNNNNNNNNNNNNNNNNNNNNNNNNNNNNNNNNNNNNNNNNNNNNNNNNNNNNNNNNNNNNNNNNNNNNNNNNNNNNNNNNNNNNNNNNNNNNNNNNNNNNNNNNNNNNNNNNNNNNNNNNNNNNNNNNNNNNNNNNNNNNNNNNNNNNNNNNNNNNNNNNNNNNNNNNNNNNNNNNNNNNNNNNNNNNNNNNNNNNNNNNNNNNNNNNNNNNNNNNNNNNNNNNNNNNNNNNNNNNNNNNNNNNNNNNNNNNNNNNNNNNNNNNNNNNNNNNNNNNNNNNNNNNNNNNNNNNNNNNNNNNNNNNNNNNNNNNNNNNNNNNNNNNNNNNNNNNNNNNNNNNNNNNNNNNNNNNNNNNNNNNNNNNNNNNNNNNNNNNNNNNNNNNNNNNNNNNNNNNNNNNNNNNNNNNNNNNNNNNNNNNNNNNNNNNNNNNNNNNNNNNNNNNNNNNNNNNNNNNNNNNNNNNNNNNNNNNNNNNNNNNNNNNNNNNNNNNNNNNNNNNNNNNNNNNNNNNNNNNNNNNNNNNNNNNNNNNNNNNNNNNNNNNNNNNNNNNNNNNNNNNNNNNNNNNNNNNNNNNNNNNNNNNNNNNNNNNNNNNNNNNNNNNNNNNNNNNNNNNNNNNNNNNNNNNNNNNNNNNNNNNNNNNNNNNNNNNNNNNNNNNNNNNNNNNNNNNNNNNNNNNNNNNNNNNNNNNNNNNNNNNNNNNNNNNNNNNNNNNNNNNNNNNNNNNNNNNNNNNNNNNNNNNNNNNNNNNNNNNNNNNNNNNNNNNNNNNNNNNNNNNNNNNNNNNNNNNNNNNNNNNNNNNNNNNNNNNNNNNNNNNNNNNNNNNNNNNNNNNNNNNNNNNNNNNNNNNNNNNNNNNNNNNNNNNNNNNNNNNNNNNNNNNNNNNNNNNNNNNNNNNNNNNNNNNNNNNNNNNNNNNNNNNNNNNNNNNNNNNNNNNNNNNNNNNNNNNNNNNNNNNNNNNNNNNNNNNNNNNNNNNNNNNNNNNNNNNNNNNNNNNNNNNNNNNNNNNNNNNNNNNNNNNNNNNNNNNNNNNNNNNNNNNNNNNNNNNNNNNNNNNNNNNNNNNNNNNNNNNNNNNNNNNNNNNNNNNNNNNNNNNNNNNNNNNNNNNNNNNNNNNNNNNNNNNNNNNNNNNNNNNNNNNNNNNNNNNNNNNNNNNNNNNNNNNNNNNNNNNNNNNNNNNNNNNNNNNNNNNNNNNNNNNNNNNNNNNNNNNNNNNNNNNNNNNNNNNNNNNNNNNNNNNNNNNNNNNNNNNNNNNNNNNNNNNNNNNNNNNNNNNNNNNNNNNNNNNNNNNNNNNNNNNNNNNNNNNNNNNNNNNNNNNNNNNNNNNNNNNNNNNNNNNNNNNNNNNNNNNNNNNNNNNNNNNNNNNNNNNNNNNNNNNNNNNNNNNNNNNNNNNNNNNNNNNNNNNNNNNNNNNNNNNNNNNNNNNNNNNNNNNNNNNNNNNNNNNNNNNNNNNNNNNNNNNNNNNNNNNNNNNNNNNNNNNNNNNNNNNNNNNNNNNNNNNNNNNNNNNNNNNNNNNNNNNNNNNNNNNNNNNNNNNNNNCAUCUACCGAUGGCAGAGUUUGCUUAUAACAAUAGUUAUCAAGCAAGCAUCAAGAUGGCACCGUUCGAGGCACUCUAUGGAUGAAAGUGUAGAUCGCCACUUCAUUGGAGUGAAGUUGGUGAGAGAUUGGCUUUAGGCCCUGAUGUGCUCCAGCAGAGGACAAGGUUCGCAUUGCUCGGGAGCGAUUGUUGACGGCCCAGAGUAGGCUGAGGAGUUAUGCUGACAGGCGGCGACGAGACUUGGAGUUUCAUAUUGGAGAUCACGUCUUCUUGAAAGUCUCGCCGACUCGAGGAAUUAGACGAUUUGGAAUCCGGGGCAAGUUGAGCCCCCGAUUCAUUGGACCGUUUGAGGUUUUGGAGCGGGUAGGCCCGGUAGCGUAUAGACUUGCUCUACCGCCGAACCUAUCGGGUGUACACAACGUAUUCCAUGUAUUGGUCCUCAGAAGUAUAUCCACGAUCCGGCUCACGUGUUGGAUGCUACGCGUUUGGAGCUGAAGGAUGAUUUGAGCUUUGAAGAGCAACCCUUGAGGAUUUUGGCUCGCGAGAUAAAAAGAUUGCAGAACCGAGAAAUUCCUUACGUGAAGGUGGUUUGGAGCAACCACGACGAGCGCGAGGCCACUUGGGAAUUGGAAAGCGCGCUGCGGGAGCGCUAUCCCCAUCUUUUUCAGAUGAAAGCUUGAGGUAUUUGUCAUUUCGAAUUUCGCGGACGAAACUCCUUUUUAGGAGGGGUGAAUGUAACACACUGGACCUCUGCAAAUUGCGAGGUUCGAGUGCUUGGAUGUAUUUCGAGCUUUUCCACACUUGGUGGAGGGUUGUAGAAUGUUUUCCGACCUAAAAAGUUCGAAAACUGGAAUUCUGGACAAGUCCUGAGAGUUUUCACUCUCGGGGACCGGUCCCUGAAAGGAUAGACUGGUCCCCCAGUGAGCAAUGUUGCGGCAGCCCUGAGGCAACCGGUCCCUGGCGGGCGAGACCGGUCCCCGAGCGCGCCUUCGCUGAGAGAGACGGUCCCGCGCAGGGAAAGACCGGUUCCCGAACGUUGGUUUUCCGGGUUCGUAGCGAGAGACCGAUCCCUGCUGGGGAGAGACCGGUCCCUCUGGGCGAAACUGCCCAGACCGGGCUGUUGUAAUGUGGAAUUUUUGGGGGACCUAGCUGGAUUUUGUUACAAUAAAGGGUCUAUAUGACCCAUCCACUCUCUCUUCUCCUCAUUUCUUUUCUCUCAACUCUCUCUACACCCUUGAUAGAGAAGAAUAAGAAGAAGGAGAAGGAGAAGAAGGAAGGAAGAAGAAGAAGUUUGAGAGCUACUAGUGGGUUUGGAGCAUCUUCCUCACCCUCUCGUCUUCUUUGGAGCUUAGAGGUUGAACUUGAAGCUUGUCAAAGAGGAGAUCUUCACCCUUGGAGCUUGGAUUGGAGCUUCUAAGGAGGUUUGUUGCCCUUUCUCUUCAUCUAGACUUUGGAUUUGAGGUUUUCUUGUGUUGGAACCCUAGAAUAAGAUUUUAUGGUUGAUUUUGGGGCUUUUUGAUUUAGGGCUUUUGGAGCUUGAUCAUUUGGAUUAGAGCCUUCCUUUGGGUUGGAUUGGAAGGGAUUUAGCUAUCUUUUGGAGCUUAGGAAGAGAUUUUGCAUUAGAGGUGAGUUUUGACUCUAUUUUUUUGAGAUGGUUAAUGUUUGACCCUAUAGUUGAUCGUAAUACCCGUGUAUCUCUUCGCUCAAUACUUUUAGGGUAUUUUGAGGCUCGUGGACAACUCCGUUCGGUGAAUCGAAGGAGCACGCGACGGUUCGGUGGGUUUGACCUAGCCACACAAUGAGAAAUUCUCAUUUGUGAUGAAUUAAGUAUCAUUAAUUGAAAAAGUAUGCAUAUUCUUGUUAUAUGUAUUUAUUGUGAAUUUUAGAAUGCUUAAAAUGCCUAUGUUGCAUAUAGUAANUAGUUGAUCGUAAUGCCCGUGUAUCUCUUCGCUCAAUACUUUUAGGGUAUUUUGAGGCUCGUGGACAACUCCGUUCGGUGAAUCGAAGGAGCACGCGACGGUUCGGUGGGUUUGACCUAGCCACACAAUGAGAAAUUCUCAUUUGUGAUGAAUUAAGUAUCAUUAAUUGAAAAAGUAUGCAUAUUCUUGUUAUAUGUAUUUGUUGUGAAAUUUAGAAUGCUUAAAAUGCCUAUGUUGCAUAUAGUAAAAUUUUGGGCCUCUAUGUAGUAGAGAGCAUGCAUGUGUGACAUAGCAUUCUGGUUGAGACUGAAACUGAGAUCCCUAUUAUGAAAAUGGACCUUGCUUUCAUGCAUUUAGCUUAUUUGUCACUUGUGACAUUAGGAAUUUUCGGAAGCCUAGGGAGGCUUGAGGACUUAGACUAUUUGAGAGAUUAGGCCAAUGUCAUAAAGAGGCAUUGGGCCCGGGCUAAAGUGAACCUAGCUAGUAUUGUUUUAAUGGGAAUAUGGAACAUGAAUUGGGCAUGAUUAGUUGUGAUGCUUAAGUGUCAUAAAGAGACACUAAGCAAGUGUGUGCGUUGGAGCGUCACUUUGAGACUUUGGACUAGAUCCUUGGGAUGCUAGUGGCCUUGCCAUGUGAGAGGCCUGAGAGUAGAGUACUUGAGACUUUGACCUUGCUUGCUUGCCAUUUGUGCUCAUUCGCACAUGCUUGUGAGGGUCGCUCCCUACAAGCUGGCACUCCGGAGUUAGCCUACGCGACAUAUGUUCGCUUGUGCGGUAUUGAGAAGCAUACAGGGUCGAGUGGGACAGACACAUUCCAAGAGUAGGGAUGUUCGGCUACCACAGGCACUUAGGCGGCACAAGCUGGACUACAUUUGGUAGGUCCUUAAUUGGAAAUGGAAAUCGACACGGGGUGAGUUUGUUAUAAUCACUACUAAAUAGAGAGUGGUAGUUGGAUUACUCGGACUUGCUUCUAGCAUAGAUUUGGACUUUGGGUAUACAUACAUACAUGUAGUAUGUUAGGAGACAUUGCUUAAUUGCAUCCAUAUAAACAAUGUUGCUAUGAUAAGGGAUAAUCCUCAUAAUUUCAUUAAGCAAACCAUGAUAUUAUUUGUGGCUAAGUAGAGACAUAUCCUUCAUGACAAGAUAAUUGUGCAUUACAUAAUUGCCAUGUUUAAUUGCAAGUAAUAUUUUAACAUUUUCAUUAUGCUUUCAUAGAUGCAAAUUACUCGUUAUUGCUAUUGUUUUUGACUUACCCUUUUCUUUUGGGCCUAGUGGUGCAAUGAGCUGAGGUCAGUAAUUGCCCACUGGGAACUAUAAAUUAUACUUCUCACGCCCUCUAUUUUAUGUUUUCUUUCAGAGCCUUCCACGCUGGAAGAGGCUAGGGACCGCGGGAAGGGAGUUGCUUCGAGCUAGCUUCCUUCGAGGACGAUUUGAUAGGUGGUCUACCUCUCGUGGUUUUAUUUUGUGAGAGGUUGUGAGUUGUACCCGUUUAUGUAUAGAGACCACCCUUCUUUUGGAUCUUUGUUUUUCUUUUUGAGGAGAUAGUAUUGUACUAUUUUAUGGCUACUUUUUAUUGUUUAGUUAUGUUUCUUUUACUCUGGUUUAGAUGAUAGAACUUUACUCGCUCUGAUAUCAUUAGUUAUCACUAUGCUAUUUGUUCUACUUCUUGCUUUACUUUCGCUUUUGUUGUAGACGCCUUAUAUGUGUAGACAUAUGGCGGGUCUGGGCGCGCUACCGGGAGGGCCUUUGCCGGUCCCGGGGCGUGACAUUAACUCUCUUGUUAUGCGCAUUUCGUACUCCGCUCUGAUAAGUUUGGAAGUGAUUGAGUGCUAAUAACCAAGUCUCAUUUGUUUCUUCUAAUCUUUCGUUCAUCAAAGUCUUCUAUUCAUUUGCCGUCAAUUCCUUUUGUCUUCCAACCCGUAAAGAAGGAAUUCUUAUCUCGGCUGGAGCUUCAACCUCAUGGCCAUAGACUAACUGAAACGGUGUCAUUUCUGUCGCCGUUUUCACCGUUGUUCGACAUGCCCAUAAUACUUCGAAAAGUUUUUCAUUCCAUUUUCUCGAGUAUCUUCCAACGUAUCGUUUCAUAAGAUUUAUAAUAACUUUAUUUGCCGCUUCGGCUUGCCCAUUGGCUUGAGCGUAAUAAGGUGAUGAAUAAAACAGCUUGAUUUUCCUUGAUUCAAUGAACCAAGUGAACUGUUCCCCGGUAAACAUUGUCCCUUGAUCGGUUGUAAUCGUUUCGAGAAUUCUAAACCGAUAGAUUAUAGAAUCUUUUACGAAAUCUAUAAUAUCUUUCUGAGUGACCAGUCUGGUAGGCUUUACUUCUACCCAUUUGGUAAAAUAAUCAACAGUCACUAUCAGAAGCUGACCAGCCAAAGAAUUCGGCUGAAUUUAUCCAAUUAGAUGCAUAGCCCAUCUUCGGAUAGGCCAAGAUUUAAUUAUUGUAUACAUCUCAGAAGCAUGGGCCCUUUGCACAGAGCUAUGAAAACUAACAAUCUUGACAUCCUUUGAUAUAUUUUAUGCAAUCUUGAUGCAUAGUCGGCCAAUACUACCCCAAGUGUCGAAUUGUCCAUUUUAAUCUUUUCCCUGCUAAGUGAGCUCCGCAUAAAACAUCGUGGGUUUCACCCAUGAUCAAUAAAGCUUCUUCGGGUCCUAAACAUUUUAAUAACACCUCUUCGGCUAUUCUCCUAUAGAGUUGUCCAUUUAAUAGACAGUAGCCGAGUGUCCUCUUUCGAACAUGAUAUUCGACCCAUUUAUUAGGAUCUUCUAAAAAUUCAAUUAAAGGCUUUCUCCAAUUUUCUUGAUUUUCAACAAGAGCAAUCAUCAUCGGUUCUCAUAUACGAAUCGACGGUAAUAGCCUUCUUUCUGUGUUCACUUGAUUUCUUUUUGGCUCUUUAUACCCUGAAGUUGAUUGGGACAAAUCAUUGGCUUGCUCAUUUUUUUUCUCUCGACAGGUGCACGAAUUCUACUUCUCCGAAAUUGCGAAGUAAUUCUAUUAUUUUCUUCAAGUAAUUUUGCAAGUUUUUGUUUUCAUAUAGGUAUUCUCCAUUCACUUGUUUGAUCGCUAAUUGUGAAUCACCGAUGAUCUUGAGUGAUUGUGCUUCCAAUUCUCGUAAAAUUUCAAGACCAAUUAUCAGGGCUCAUAUUCAUCUUGAUUGUUAGUGUCACGCCCCGUGACCGCCAAUUUGGUCGGUUCGGGUACAUCGAUCAGACGCCGAAUGGACAGAGCCUCCCCUAUCCGCCAAAGGCUAACAACAACAAAAUCAUGUAUGUAAAUAGUUGCCCAGGAAACAUUAACCUCAUACAUGAUCUAAGCAAGUACAAUACAAGCUAAACAAAAGAGAGAGAGUUCUAGCUAUUAUAAUUCCAUUCAACAUAUACAUCGAGUUUACAUUUUUCAUCUCCAAAACGUAUACAUGUUCAUCUCAAAAUACAUAUAUACAACUCUCCAAUAUUUACAUCAUCUGUCAUUCAUGUACAUGAAGGCACUCUAAUGCAAAAGGAAAGCUGCUAGCUAACUAGGGCGCUAUGCCCUUGCCGCGGUCCUCGCCCGGUCCGCUCGCACUCGGCCCUGCAACAAAGUGGGGUGAGAACUACGAAUAAUUUCCAGUGGAUUCGACCGCUGACUCCGCCGAUCUUCCCACUAGGUCUAAGCAGGCAUAAGUAGAUAGAUAGAUAUAUGAAAAUGAGCUGCUACAUAGUAACGAAAUCUACAACAUGCUACUAUGCCUCAAUAAACAGAAUGAAUGCAUGAACAUAGUAAUGUACUCUACUAAUAUGAUACUAUGUCUCAAUCUGCAUGAUAUACAUGAUAUAAAGGAAAUAUCUACGUAAAAAUGAAACCUACUAUCAAGUACUAUGUCUCAUAUCCAAUCUCAUCUCGGCUAACCCAAAGGUUAUGCCCAAACUCACAUCUCAAAUCUCAUCGGUGGGUAGACUCUGCGCUACACACACCCGAGACCGCCUGCUAGGUAAUCAAGUUAUCCAAACGCGAUAUCUACUCCGGAGCUCACUACUUGGGUGGAGCGAUCACGCGAAGGUUACACAGACUAUGUGAGUACGAUCCAACCCUCUCACUCGAGGAUAGUUAGUGCCUUUGUUGCACUAGUCCACAUGCUAGUACUCAGGAAAUCAUCUUCUAUUCCUAAGUUCAUGUUAUCAAGCUGUAAGUGUUCCAACUACACUAGUUUACAUGCUACUACUCAGAAAAUCAUCUUCUAUUCCUAAGUUCAUAUCAUAGUGUUUCUAUUACACUAGUCCAAAUGCCGCUCUUUUAGGUCAUUUACAUGUCCAAGUUCAUCUUUUGUUCUUUAGCACUAUAGGAUUCCAUGUCAAGACCCAAUCCUCAUGUGUCCACUAAAUCAAGUGCUCAACUCACAAUAUGAUUUCUACUAUGGAAACAUGCAAAGAAUUAAAGUAUAACUACUUAACAUAAUCUAUAAUGCAUGAUAACAAUAUAUGAACAUAUGCUAUAAUAAAAUAACUCGAACAUAGGAAGAAGUUCAACUGCUUCGGGAUGGACACCCCCCACCUUCUGGUGAUGCCGCGAAGCUAAACUCCAAGUUUCGAAAUUUUUCGCCGCCUAUUCCUUCCGAGUGCGGCAAACGAAGCCAAAAAAAGCUUUUCUUUAAUAUCUCCGCGCAGACUCGUCGGAUCGCCGAACCGAGUUCACCAACGCGUCGGAUUACUUAGCAAUUAGGUAUAAAAGAGAUCAAUCCCAACUUUAGAUCUCAAUCUAACAAAAUCCUUUUUGGAACCCUAGAUGUUCAAUAUUGCAAGAAUACACCAUAAGGAUCACUGAUUCAAGCAAAAAUCAUCUACUUGGCACCAAAGGGUUCUACUAAAACCAAUUCUAGAGCUUAAAAAUGAAACCCGAGAAAUCCACUAUUGAAGCUUCAAAAGCUUACCUCUCAUGCUUUCCUCCAAGCCAAGGAAGAAGAUGAAGAAGAAGAAGAUCCACUUCUUAGCUUCAAUUUCCACCAAUUCCCUCUCUUGGUUCCACCUUAGGAGAGAGAGAAAGAGCUUCUUAGAGAGAGAGAAGGAGAAAAAAGAUGAGAAGGGGUGUUCUCUCGUUGUGAACAAGAAAGGGAGAGAUGGGGUUCCUUUAUAGGCUACCACAAUUAUAGAAAAGCCCCUCCUUUUCAUUUUAUUUGAAGCAGACCAAUUCUGCUGUUUCCUGCACUGGGUACCGGUACGCGGGUGGGCUUCACCGUUUAAGCCGCUUCGCAGAGGCCAAACCCGAGAGUUGCUACUCUCGAUUUGCUACGGGGUACUGGUACUACCCGAUUUAGUCACCGGUUAACUAGCUUGACAGAAGCAAACCCGAGAGCUGCUACUCUCGGGUGCCUACCUGGUACCGGUUUUCUUCCAAUGUUCCACCGAUUAACAAUGCUCCAGAAUGCAGUUUUGCAUUGUUUCGACUACAAUUUGCGCCGAGCAACGCUAAAACCUUUCUAACUCACUUGGAGCUCAACUUUAAUCCCUCCGACAUUGUUGGAAUGUCACAUGGACCAUGUCCAAGCAUCUUUCUCGCCACGCUUUGGUCCUUUUGACCAAAAGUGGUUUAAUACUACGAGGAUUUAAUAUCUUACAUCCUCCCAUCAUUAACAAGAGUUUCGUCCUCCAAACUAACUUAACUUAACUCAAAUACAAUCCAUACCUCAACUCAACUCCUCAAAGAGAUGAGGGUGGUGCUCCUUCAUCACAUCCUCAAGUUCCUACGUGGCUUCGCGAUCGUCGUGAUUGCUCUACCGAACUUUGACGUAAGGAAUCUCGUGGUUCCUCAACUUUCAUACUUCUCGAGCAAGAAUAGCUACUGGAAACUCCUCAUAGGACAUACCUCUUGCAAUUCCGGUGGCUCAUACAAAAGAGAAUGCUCGGGGUCGUGGAUAUACUUGCGAAAAUUGGAGACGUGGAACACGUUGUGAACCUCCGAAAGCUUCGGCGGCAAUGCAAGCCGGUACGCAACCGCUCCAAUCCGCUGUAGUACCUCGUAAGGUCCAAUGUACCGGGGACUUAACUUUUCCGGCACUCCAAACCGUUUCACACUCCUCAUAGGUGAAACCUUUAAGAAGACGUGGUCUCCAACCGCGAACUCCAAAUCUCGCCGGCGCUUAUUCGCAUAGCUUUUCUGCCUUGACUGCGCCGUCAACAACCGUCGGCGAGCGAGGUGAACCUUCUCCUCCGCUUCCUGCAAGACAUUGGGACCCAACACCGUUCGUUCGCCCACGUCACUUUAAUGUAUAGGAGAUCGACCUCCCAUAGUGUAAGGAACCGGACUUCUAAAAUUAUGAAGUUACGGUGUACAUUUGGUUUGAAAGCCAUUUGAAUUGUUCCGGUGAGGUUGCGGUGAAAUGUAAUAUACCGGAUUUUUAAAUAUAAAAAUAAAAAUAAAUAAAAAUAGUAUGAGAUACUAUUUUUAUUGGAUUUGGAGAAGUGAAAUAUGAGUUAGAAACGACCUGUGCUGAAAUCGGAGUGAAAAUAGAAGAUUUAGAAUUUUCUGUGAGAAACGGGGUAGAUAAAUUAGCAGAAAAUGCACAGUGUCAGAAAAUUAUGAAAACUGGAGGGUAAGUCAGAAUUAUUUUUAUGAGGUUAGAUUUAAAGUUUCAUGUCAUUCUAACACCCGGAAGGUAGAAAAUAAAAUAUGAUAGUGAUCUGAUAAAGAUUACAGUUCGGUACGGUUUUCGGUGACCAAACGGGGUCGAAACUGAAAGAUUAAAAUUUUUUUGGACUUAUUAAGUAAAACCGAGCCUGCCUGUCAAAUUUGAGCGCAAACGGACGUUCAGAAGGGCUCCGGCGAAAAAUGUCAGUUUUAAACUACUGAAGUGAAUAGUGUUUUGGGGGAGUUUACUUGGAGGUGAAGUUUCCUCCUAUAUAUAUAUAUAUAAGGGUGUUAUGACAUUUCUCUCAUUCCUCUCUACUUGAGCCAACAUAAGAAAAAUCUCUCUCUCUCUCUCUCUAGGAUUGGCUCCAAAGUGUGCAGUUUGGUAGAGAAAAGCUUGCUUAGAGAUGAAGCUUUCUUUUUCUUCUCCAUUGGCUUGAGAGAGCUUGGGUUUGAGAGGUAAGCUUUGAUAGCAACAAUGGUAGAUUGCUAAGUAGUGAUUUGUAUGCCUUAGAAAUGGGUUUAGUGAAACUCCUAGAUGCUAAAUAGAUGGUUGAUGCUCGAAUUUAGAGAUCAAAUGAUGAAUUCUUGCAUAGUUGCAUCUUAGGGCAUCAAAAGAGGGGUUUUUGCUUGUGAGGGGUUUUGAUCUAAAUUGAUCAUGUAUAAACCUAAUUGCUAGGUAAACGAACGCGUUGGCGAAGUCGGUUCGGCAAUUCGUCGAGCCUACGCGAAGUUAUUAAAGAAACGGACGUUUAGGAUUCGUUUCCGCCUGGAGGGCCGAGGCGACGUCGUAAAAUCAUGGAAUCGGAUUUGAGGCACUGUAAUAGCAAAACGAAGACCCUUUUUGCCCGAGGCUGCGAAGCGAUGCGCGGUUGGUGCGCAAUUGCAAGUUCCGACGGAACCGAGCACCGGAUGCGGCGGGAGGCCGAUUGCAAGUGUCGACAAGCAAUCGGAAUGCACUAACAGGUGGGUUGUGCUCACCGAAGUUAUUAGCUCACUUCCAUGUCGAAGUGAAAGUGUAAUUCUCGUUGAUGCAUAUAAUGUAAAUGCUAAAUGAUGCAUAUGAUGUAAAUACUUGAUGAUGCAUAUAAUGUAAAUGCAUGAUGACAUGAGGCAUAUACUAAAUGAUGUUGACAUAUCACGAGAUGCUAGUUGAUAUAUAUACAUGAUAGGGUAUUGGAUAGUCGCAUUUCUAUUCUUGCAUGAUCCAUAGUAGUGUAGCAACAUGAGUUGGCACUUGAGUUAGGAUGCAUGAGAAUAGAGGAAUGGUGACAUAGAACCCUAUAGAGAUAAGUUAAACAAUAACUUGAUCUUGUAUUGAUGAAUAUGAUGAUAUAUGACUAGUAUAGUCGAGCCAUUGCAUCGUGACGAGUGGCAUGUGAAUCAAGUAAACAACUUGACGAGUGGCAUUAGAACUUAGUGUUAAAAGAACACUUGUGACAUGAUGACUCAGGGGAUAGAUGAGUCUCCCUAUUUGAUACCUUGCAUGAGAUCGGUGUGACAUUGAUGACCCUAGAGACAGGGUAUCCUCAGUGCACGAGGAUUGGAUCAUACUCACAUUGUCUGUUCAGCGCUUGUGGCGGUCGCCCCGCACAAGUAGUGCGAGCUCCGGAGUCUUGUCACAUGAAACGAUUGGGAUAGCCUAUGUGGGGUCCCAAGGGAUAGCCUAUGUGGGGUCCCGCAGACAGUCCCUCGGGAGUUCGAGUCCCCUUCCAUAGACGGAUUUGAGAUGUGAGUUGAGGGCGCGCUUAUGGGCCAGCCAGAGGAUUGGGUAAUAAACUCAUGAGAAUUAUGCAUAUUGAGCAUAGUAAGCAUAUUGAGCAUGUUGAGCAUGUUGGGCAUAGUAGAAUUGCAUGUAAACUUGAUAGAGUUAUUAUAACAUGUUAGAUAUUACAUGGCUAUGUGAUUUACUCUUGUUCUCCAGGCAUAGUAGAAUCUUGCAAUUCUUUCUAUAUGCAUCCCCAGUAGAGUGGAUAUUAGGCUGAGGCGCAAGUGAAACGUCCUUUGUCUUGAGCCUGAUUUUGUGCGGUAAUCUGCGGAUGAUUGACUUAAGACCGAGUCGGGUGGAUAGCUUCGUAAAGGUAGAUAAAAACCUUGUGAGCAACAGUAAAGGUCAAUGAAACCUUAUGAUCAGAAUGGUAAUUGACAAGAAUCUAAAAUAGAGGAAAACUUAGAAGUCAAUUGGACGAGCUAUGGAUAGCAGGAUUGAAAGUAGUAUCAAUUAAACUACUAGUUGGCUAUAUAGUUGCAUUAUUGCAUGAUUUUCAUAUUGCAUAUUGCGAGGCAUGUUAUUUGUUAGUUGCAUAAAUACAUGACGAUAUAUAUAUCUGUGGAUGUUUUUGGACUAACAUAUUGCAGUGUCUCCUUCGGACCUGGUAGGUCGAGCUCUUCCCUUGGGUGGCCGUACCCACUGGGAAUUAUAUUUAUAUAGUUCUCACCCCCGUGUGGUUUUGGCGGUUACAGGUUCGCACGUGAGCGGCGCGGUGGCGCAAGGAGAGGGCGUAGCUCCGUAGAUAGCGCCUUACCACCAAGACCAGAGAUAGUGGUACCCGAGUCAGCCAAGCUAGGGGCUGUAGAAAAGAAAAAGAUUCAAAGUUGUAAUAAUCUGGUGAUAAUUGAUUGUAUUCGAAAGUUGAAUGUAAUUUUUAAGAAAGGAAAUGUAUAACUUUCAAAUGAGAUGAAUGCUUGUAAUAACAUUGGAUGUGUUAUGUUUUUGAUAUUUUCUUUUGCAAUCUAUGAUUGAAUACUGUUCCUGGUUGGAACCACUUGUAUUGUUUUGAUUGCGACGCCUAGGACGUACAGGGGAAACUCUGUCCGUUCGGCGGUCUGUCGGCGUGCCCGAACCUGACCAAAUAGGCGGGGCGCGGGGCGUGACACAUAGAGAGCCUCAAAUGGUGCCAUCUCUAUACUAGCUUGGUAACUAUUGUUGUAUGCGAACUCGGCCAUUAGCAAGUGACCACUCUAACUACCCUUGUAGUCAAUGACAUACGCUCGCAACAUAUCCUCCAAAACCUGAAUGGUUCUCUUUGAUUGCCCGUCGGUUUGAGGAUGAAAAGCGGUGCUAAACUCGAGCCGUGUGCCAAGUGCCUCUUGCAAGCUCUUCCAAAAGUACGAAGUAAACCGAGAGUCUCGAUCCGACACGAUCGACUUCGGAACCCCGUGCAACCUCACCACUUCAUCAAGAUAUACCUGAGCAAGCUUGUCACCUGACCAUAUAGUGUGGAUCGGUAGAAAAUGUGCUUACUUCGUCAAACGGUCCACCACUACCCAAAUCGCAUCGUGGCAACCCGACGAACGGGGCAAUUGGACCACGAAGUCCAUGGCAAUAUCCUCCCGUUUCCAAACGGGGAUAGGUAGGCUUUGAAGCUUUCCCGCUGAAAAUCGGCGCUCCGCCUUGACUUGUUGGCAAACAAGACAUUGCGCCACAGAGCGUCCAAUAUCACCUUUCAUUCCCGGCCACCAGUAAAGCAUCUUUAAAUCUUGGUACAUCUUGGUGCCGCCCGGGUGGACACUAUAGGGAGACCGAUGCGCAUCUUGCAAAACCAUUUUUUGGACUUCAUCAUUUUCCGGCACACACCACCGGUUCCGGUAUCGAAGCGUGCCAUCGGCAUCUAUACUGAAAUCACCGCCACGCCCACCCUCGAUGUCGCGCCGCACCUUUUCAAGAUUCGGGUCCGCAGAUUGCAAACUCUUGAUUCUCUCCAACAAGGUCGGUUGGACAACGAGAGCCGACAGUAUAGUCAGUACCUACGGAGCUACAACCUCAAGAUCUAUUCGCCCCAUUUCUUUCCACAGGGCCUCCUGAUUUGUGACCCAUAGCGCGAGGUUCUCCGUCGACUUUGGAUCUAAAAGGUAAGUAACACCUAGAGGGGGGUGAAUAGGUGUAAAAACGGCAAACUCGAAAAUCUCGAUGUAAAUAAAACAAAGUAGCGAAAAAUAAAAAUAGCACACUGAGAAUUUAACGUGGGAAAACUCCAAACGGAGUGAAAAAACCCACGGGAUCGAUCACGCGAAGAAAAUCCACUAAGAAAACUUGAGUACAAGUGAUUUUGACAAAAAUACACGACUCAAUUUACCGAAUUCCCGUUGAUGGUGAUCUUCGCCGGUCCUCGAUCGAUAGGAAUCCUCCAACCGAUCCUGCUGUAACUCCUUGCAACGUCAACGCCUCAACUCCUCGAAGCGUUCACCGAAUCCUCGGCUUCACGCGAGAUCCACGCGCCAAACCUCCUUCCGGAGCUUGUAGAAUCGAAGAUUUGUGGUGAUUUAAUCUUUGAAUCCCAUAAGCUAUGAGAGUUUGUCUUCUAAUCAAACAUCAACUUGAUUCUCGAAGAAGAUCUCAAGUAAAAUCGAAGAACCAAGUCGAUUGUUGAUUUUUUGAAACUCGUUAUGAGAAUAGAAGCAUUGAAAUGGAAAAAAUAAGUUUCUAGGGUUUAGAAUCAGUAAAUAUUCAAAGCCUUAGAUUUUUAGAUGACCCCCAUAGCUUAUUUAUAUGUUUAGAAGACUUAGAAGUAGACUAGGAUUGCAAAAAGUCCUUUUUAAAAAGCUGUGUCGUCCUCAGAGACCGGUCCUCUUGAGGAGACCGGUCUGUGAGAGACUGGUCUCUCAAGUGAGGAACUGGUCCCUCGCUGCGUGUUCAAAAACACAACGUUCGGGAACCGGUCUCUCAAGCUUGAGACCGGUCCCUCGCUGCGCGACAGAAUUACCAAGGUUCGAGAAUCGGUCUCUCAUCUCAGGGGACCGGUUGCAUCAAAACUCAUGCAGUGAGGACCUUAGGGGAACCGGUCUCUCCAACUCAAGGACCGGUCCCAGAACACAGAAAAGUUCAGUAAAAUAGUUUUAAAGCAAUCUAAGCCUUCUGAACUUAUUCUAGUUAAGUAUCUUCACCACAAAUGAACUUUUCUUCAUACCUUAGGUGCCGAAUUAUACGAAUGAAUCUUUGUUCUUCAAUUUGGAUCUUUUCUUCAAAACUUCCGUGAUCAACUCUUCAAGACUCUAAUCUACUUUACGAAAUUCGCAAACCUAUAAAAUCCUUAACAUCUGCUAAGUGCAUCAGCUACUACAUUUGCUUUUUCGUGGUGAUAGAGUAUAAUAACAUCAUAAUCCUUUAGCAGCUCUAACCACCGCUGUUGCCUCAUAUUAAGCUCCUUCUGUGUAAACAAUUACUUCAGACUUUUGUGGUCCGUGUAUAUCUCGCAAUGCGCAUCGUACAAGUAGUGUCUCCACAGCUUUAAAGUGAAGAUCACUGGGCCAACUCCAAAUCGUGGAUAGGGUAGUUCUUUUCAUAGCUUUUUAACUGACGGGACGCAUAAGCGAUCACCUUCCCGCCAUGCAUUAGAAAACAUCCCAAACCCAAAUAGGAAGCAUCGCUAUACACCACAAAGUCCUCACCUUGCACCGGUAGGGCGAGCACCGGAGUCGAAGUCAGCAUCUCCUUCAACUCCUUGAAACUCCGGUCGAGAAUUCCUUUAUGAACCGUCUAUAAUAGCCCGCUAAACCCACGAAGCUACGGAUUUCCGUCACAUUAGUCGGGCGAGGCCAAUCCUUGAUCGCCUCAACUUAUUUCGGGUCAACAGAAACUCCACCAUCGAAAAUGACAUGUCCCAAAAAUGCGACUUCACGGAGCCAAAAGUCACAUUUCUCCAACUUCGCAUAAAGUUUCUCCUCCUGUAGGACUUGUAGCACUAGCCUCAAAUGCUCUGCGUGCUCCUCGUCACUACAAGAGUAGACCGAGAUGUCGUCUAUGAAGACUACAACAAAUCGAUCUAUGUAAGCCCGGAAAAUACGGUUCAUCAAAUCCAUGAAUGCUGCCGGAGCAUUUGUGCGCCAAAACGGCAUGACCGUGAACUCGUAGUGUCCAUAUCGUGUGCGAAACGCGGUCUUUUGCACAUCCUCCGGCUAUAUCUUAAACUGAUGGUAGCCAGACUGAAGGUCUAUCUUCGAGUAUACUCGCGACCCCUGCAAUUGAUCAAACAAGUCGUCGAUACGGGGCAACGGGUACUUAUUCUUGAUAGUGACCUUGUUCAACUCGUGGUAAUCCACGCAGAGUCGAAACGAUCCAUCUUUCUUCCUCACAAACAGAACCGGGGCUCCCCAUGGCGACACACUCGGCCUAAUAAAUUUCUUGUCGAGGAGAUCUUGCAACUGAGCCCUCAACUACUUCAACUCUGCCGGUGCCAUACGGUACGGAGCCUUCGAAAUCGACGCGGUCCCGGGAAUCAAGUCUAUAACGAACUCGAUCUCCCGAUCCGGCGGUAUCCUCGGUAACACCGCGGAAAACACAUUCGGAAACUCCCGGAUCACUGACAUACUCUCAAGUGCUGGAGUCUCCCGAUCAAUCUCCACAACGGUCGCUAAAUAAGCUGCGUAAUUGCCGCUAACCAUCUUCCUCCCUCUAGACGCUGACACCGUCAUGGCGAAGCACGGGCUUUUGCACGCUCGAUAGGUGAACUCCUUCUGUCCUUGCUCACGAAAAGUUAUCACCCUGCUCUUGCAGUCGAUAGACACAUAGUACUUCGAGAGCCAGUCCAUGCCAAAAAUCAGAUCAAAAUCCUUCAACCUCUUCAGCACCAAUAAGCGCAUCGGCAUAAUCCAGUUGCCCACUUGCACCAGACACGCCAAACACUCCUUCCGAAUAACAAAUGCACGCCCGGGGCCCUCUACUAGCCAAGUGCUCUCACUCAACUGAAUGCCUAUGUCAUGCAUUUGUACAAAUGACCUACUGAUGAAUGAAUGCGUAGCACCUGUAUCAAACAUAACCCUGGAGCGAACUCCGUUAACCAAAACCAUACCUACCAAGACGUUGCGCUCCUCGGCCUCAGCAGGUUCCUCGGCUUGAGCGACGAAUACUCGUCCCCUCGAAGCCGACCGGAUCACCUCAGGCUGACGCAGCGCCAUAGCGCGUCCAGCAGACACGGCAGUAGGUGGAUGUAACACACUGAACUUUAGCAAAUUGUAAGGUUCGAUUGUUUGAUCUAUGUUCUGAGUUUUUUCAGGUAUUCUGAAAGGUCAUAGACAGUGUUCCGACCUAUGACUCGCAUCUCGAGGAGCGAGGAUGGAAACUUAGUGUAAGGAAGUGAAUUCUCGAAAUCCGAAAGUUGUACUUCAUUCAGGAUCGACUAAUUGUCGAGUGAGUAUCCUUUGGGAAAGCUAAAGUUAUCCAAAACACAAAAAGUGCAUUGGAGUUGAGUCCGCGAGAGCAUAUAGUGCAAAACCUGCACUGGGCUGAAGUUGCUCUCGGGGACUGGUCCCUGGCAGGGAGAGACCGGUCCCUGAGGCUGGUGGUUGCUGGGGAUCUUUGAUGCAACCGGUCCCUGGCUGAGAGGACCGGUCCCCGUGUGCGACGCCAGCGAGAGAAGGCCAAAAAUCGGCUAAGUCUUGAAAAUCGAGCUCUCGGGGACCAGUCUCUUAGGCGAGGACCGGUCUCCCGAGGACCGGUCUCCCAGGGAAAGACCGGUUCCCGAACGCGAAGAGGCCUUCUGGCUGCCAGGACUGCUGUCGGGGACCGGUCUCCCCGACGAGGGACCGAUCUCUCUGGGCGCAGAAUGCCCAGUGAGGGCUGUGUACAGGGUGAAAAGUUGAGGGGCUAAAAUGGAUUUUGUUACAAUAGAGGGGUAUGUAGGCCCUCUCUCUCUCCCUCAGCCUCUCAUUCUCUCUCUCUCUCUCACACUCUCUCUUACUCCCUCUCUCUCUAGGAAAGAAAGAACAAAGAGAAGGAGAAGAAGGAAGAGAAGAAGAAGAAGGAGAAGAAGAAGGAGGAGAUCAAGUUAGAGAAGGCUUGGAGCAUCUUCCUCUCUUCCUCUCCUCUCCAUUGGUGUAGCUCAAGAGGUAAGCUACAAACCCUAGCUCGUAGAACUUAGGGUUUUUGGAUUUUGAGCUUUGAGAUGAGGUCAAAUGGACUUCUAGCACCAUUGUUGGUGGAUUAGAGCUAGAGGCUAGGGUUUCAUGAUGCAAAUAGCAUGAUGCUAACCCUAGGGCACCCAAAAUGGGAUUUUUGGAAAUGGAUGAGAUUGAUCUCAUUUGAGGCCUUGUAAACCUAAUUGCUAGGUGUCCAAACGCGUUGGCGGAGUUGGAAUUAUGAUUCGUCGAGCGGGUGUAGAGCUAUCGGCAAAGUAGGGCCGACCUAGCUUCGUUUCUCCCAAAGAGGCGGGGAACACGUGGUUUGAAGUGCCGAGGAACACUUCUGGAACCUCCACAAUGAACAUUGACUACACAAGGUGGGGGGUGUCAUCUCGAAGCAACCGAACUCCUUUCUAUGUCUUAGAUUAACAUACUGCAUUGUAGGAUUGCAUAGUAGUACCAUUCCUUAUGCUUUCUAAUUGAUAACCUAGUAUACUUGGAACGCUUGGUGAUUUAGAUAGGUGAGGAUUGGGUCGGAACAUGGAUCCUAUAGUGCUAAAGAAAUGAGAUGAACACGAUGGGUGUUGAUGACAUAGAAAGUGGUGUUUAAAUGCUAAAGAACAAACGAGUGGCAUCCAAAUGUUAAAGAAUAACGAGUGGCAUUAAUGUAGUGUAAAUGACACUAGAGGUUUGAGAACCUAGGGAUAGAUAGAUCCCUUAGAAAAUGCCUUGGGGACAAAAAACUUAGUAAACCUAAGUACCCUCACAUGGAGAGGUUAUCGAUGAUUGAUUGAGAUAUUGACCCUAGUUAUAGGGCAUCCUCACUUGGAGAGGAUUUGAUUGGGUUGUUAACCCUAGUUGUAGGGUAUCCUCACUCGCAGAGGAUAGAUCUAGCUCACAGUCUACUUUUGGGGUGGUAUAGCCAUCCAUAUCCCCACAUGGAGGGGAUUGUCGUCGAGUACUCCGGAUUGUCGGGUGAUUUGGACCACUUGGAGGUCCGGACCACAUGGAGGUCCGCAGACGGUCCCGGGUCUGGGAGCACAUGGAGCUCCCCACCCAAUGGGAUGGCAAGGUGAGUCGAGGGCGAACCCAAGGGCUUCGCCACAGAUUGGGUAAAUGAACAGUUAACAAUGUCAUUGAAUAUUAUUAUUCGAACAUGGAUCGAACUUGUUAGCAUGGUAGUAAACCUUUACUAUAUGAUGCAUGCAUUCAUUAUACAUGAUUAUGGGUAUAGUAGCAUAGUUUUCCUUUAUGCCUUUUACAACUUUUAGAUAUCUAUCUAUCUGUCUACUUGUUGUUACUUGUGCCCACUUGGACCUAGUGGGGAGACCGGCAGAGUCGGCGGUCGAGCCCACUGGGAACUAUGGAAGAUAGUUCUCAUCCCACUCUAUUUCCAGUGGUAGGUACAGGUUUACCAAGCGAGGACCGCGACAAGGGCAUCGCGCCCAAUGAGUGAGACCGUGGUAGUAUAAUAGCUUUCCUUUUUGCAUUAGCACACCUAUGUAUUGAGAGAGAUUCAUAUAGGUGAGGAUUUGGAGAGCUAUGUAUUUUGAAUGAACAUAUGUAUUCAUUUUGAGGAAAAGAUGUACAUGUAAAAGAUGCAAACUAUUGCAAUAGUUAGUAAAAUAUUAUCUUUAUUUCACUUGUUUUCACUUGUGGAUUACUUGCUCUUAGUUGUUGGCACUACUUGUACCCCGUUGAAUGUGUAUGUUUAGAAUUUAAAUUUUCUGGGUAAAUUCUUGUACACAUUCCUGUUGUUGAGCCUUGUGCGGACAAGGGAGGUGCUCUCCGUUCGGCUUGUGGUUACUUGCUCUUAGUUGUUGGCACUACUUGUACCCCGUUGAAUGUGUAUGUUUAGAAUUUAAAUUUUCUGGGUAAAUUCUUGAACACAUUCCUCUUGUUGAGCCUUGUGCGGACAGGGGAGGUGCUGUCCGUUCGGCGGUCCGCCCGGCGGGCCCGAAUCGUGCCAAAUUGGUAGCGGUUUCGGGGCGGGGCGUGACACUUAGCACCAAACCUCUAAAGUGCAGGAAAUUGGGCUGCUCUCGGGUUUGCCUCUGUAGGGCUGAGUACCGGUAUUGCUUUGAAUUGGUACCGAAACUGGAGCUGGUACCAGUACUGCAUCGGGUUGGUACCGGUACCCUAUGCAUUUUCUCGCCAACCCGAAGCUCGGGUUUGCGCACACUGUGGCUUGGUACCGGUACUCUUUCCCGCGUACCGGCACGCAGUGCAGACUGCAGUUUGGCAGUUUUUGAGGGCUCUUUUUGUUAUUGUUACAAUACCUUAUAUACACCCUCACCCCUUAGACAGGGGCUUUUGUGUUGCGACCAGAGGAGAGCGAGGUGAGCUCCUCUCCAUUCUUUCUUGGUUUUUCUUCCCUUUUUUGCUUUAUUUGAUCUUCUCUCUUUGCUCCUUUUUGCUUCAUGUUGAUUUUCCACCAUUGGAGAAGCUUUGGAUUGGUGUUUGGAGCUUGUUAGAGGAAGGAUCUUCAACCUCAGCACCUUUCAAGCUUGGUUUGGAGCUUGUGAAGAGGUUAGUACCUUAGAUCUUCUCUUUAGAUAAAGUUUCUUGUGGAUUUUGAGAUGAAACCCUAGAAAUGGGAAAACUAGGGUUUAUUUGGGGAUUCUGAAGGGUCAUAGACAGUUUUGUUGAUGAUUUUCGAGUUUGAAUUUCAAUCUUUUGAUGCAUAAACAAAGGGGAGAGAUUUUCAUUUUCAUAUUUUUUUUACUACUAACUUUGUUUGUUAACUUUGUUCAUGGAGAAAGUAAUCUUUUUGCAGAUCAUUGAAAACUUCAAGACUCCUAGUUUUGUCUAAGUCAUAAAGUUUGUGUAGGAGUUGCAAAAUUGUAAUUUUGUAUUUGUUUGGAUCUUUCACGCGAGAAGUUCAUUGAUUUGGUGAUGUCAAUGAAUUUCAUUUUUGAGAGGUGAGCGUUGUGAGUAUUUUGAUGUAAUUUUGAGUUUUGUCACGAAAUUGCCAAAUAGGGAGAUUGUUACGGAUUUUAUGUUAGCAUAUUUCGUGAAGUUAGUCCGGAGUCUAGAAGGUUUAAAGAAGGAAAGAUGAAGAUCGAAGACUCGAUGACUUAAAACAUAAAUCCACAAUGCUCGAUAAGUUAAAAUACUAUUGUUGAUGAUUUAUAAAUAUUAACAAGUGUUUGGAAGACUUAGGAUGGGUUUUAAAAUGAAUUGGACUAAAUUGAACCUGUCAAGGUUCAGGGACCGGUCCUUGAUUAGAGGGACAAGACCCUAAGGUUCUCUCUGCGUAAAGAAACGAUGCAACCGGUCUUUGAGAUGAGAGACCGGUCCCCGUAGCAAGGUUUUUUGGCUACGCAACGAGAGACCGGUCCUUGAGAUGAGAGACCGGUUUCCGUGGCAUGUGUUUUUCUUCUACGCAAUGAGGGACCGAUCCCUGGCUUGAAGGACCGGACCCUGAGAGACCGGACCCCUCGAGAGGACCGGUCCCUGAAACCGUAACUGUUUCCAAAAUUGAGUAUUUACAAUCCUAGUCUACUUCUAAAUCUUCUAAACCUAUAAAUAGGAUGUGGGGGUGUUUCUAAAAGAUGGCUAAGCAUAGAAUAUCUUUUUGAAACCCUAGAAACUUGUUGGGUGCUUUCUUUCUUCUCUCCAACAACAAGUUUCUAUUGGAUCUGUAACAUACCAGAUUUUGGUAUAAAAAUAAAAAUAAAUAAAAAUAGUGUGAGAUACUAUUUUUAUUGAAUUUAGAGAAGUAAAAUAUAAGUCAGAAGCGACUUGUGCUGAAAUCGGAAUGAAAACAGAAGAUCUAGAAUUUUUUGUUGAAAACGGGACAGAUAAAUUAGCAGAAAUGCAUAGUGUCAGAAAAUUAUGAAAACUGGAGGGUAAGUCAGAAUUAUUUUUAUGAGGCUAGAUUUAAAGUUUCAUGUCAUUCUGUCACCCAGAAGGUGAAAAAUAAAAUCCGACAGCUAUCUGAUAAAGAUUACAGUUCGGUACAAUUUUCAGUGACCAAACGGGGUCGAAACUGAAAACUUAAGAUAUAUUCUUACUCAGUACGUUAAACCGAGCAUGCCUGUCAAAUUUGAGCCGAAACGGACAUUCAAAAGGGCUCCGACUUUUGCGAACUGCUAAACUGCCCGGGAUGAAUAGUGUUUGAGGGGUUAUUAUGAAGAAGCUGUUGCUUCUUCUUCUUCUUCGGCCGCACACCACACACGCACACGACCCACAUACACCCGCAUGGAAAGGGAAAGAGAGAACCCUCCCUUUCUCUCUCUAAAUCUCUCCCAAAUUAAAGGAAUUGGUGGAGAUUGAAGCUUGGAGGAAGGUCAUCUUCUUCAUCUUCCUCUUUAGCCAUUGGAGAGCAAACUUUGAUGGUAAGCUUUAAGAGUUUUAAUGGCAUCUCUCUCUAGUUUGGGUUUUAAGCUCCAAGAAUGGAUUUAGAGCUAUUCUAGCAUGCUAAAUAGAUGAUUGUUGCUCAAAUCAUGGAUCAAUUUAGUGAUUUCUUGCCUAGUUGUAAACCUAGGGCUUGAAAUGAGCUUCUUGAACCCUCUCAUGGUAGAUCUUUAGAGCCUUAAUUAUAUGCUCUANAUAGUUUAACCAAGAGUGGCAUUGAGACAAGAAUGGCCUAGAAAGUGGCAUGAACAAAUAGGUAGAAAACCUAUCAUAAAAGUGGCAUUGUGACUAGUGGCUAAGUAUCCUCAUGUUGGGGAUUCGAUCGAUACUCAUGAUAAGUCUUGGCUUGAGGGUGGUAGCUCCCCCUCAAGCGGUGAGUUUCCGAAAAUAGUCACCUCGGGGAGCGAGGUCCCCGUAGACGGUCCCUUGGGUCGGUAGUGCUUGGAGCCUCCCCGGUUAAAGGGAUUUGGGUUAUGAGUUAUUGGGGUUAAUAAGGUUAACCGGUAAGAUUGGGUCAAAGCCAAGUAAGAGUUACUUUUCAAAGAAUAUACGCACUACAAUGUGAUUGACUCGAGAUCGAGUUGGGUGGUUAGCUUGGCUAGGAUAGAGAGGAAAACCUUAGGAGCAAAUAACCAAUGAUGUAAAGUGACAAGAUGUAUAAAUUAUGGAAAAGCUAUAGAUAGCAUGAUAGAAACUAAAAUCAUUUAUUUUACUUGUAUAGUUGCAUGGUUUCAUAUUACAUAUUGCGAGGCAAGACAUGUAGUUCAAUAUCGAAUAAAUGUUUAAGUAUUUGUUAUAUGUUAUUGGACUAACCUGUUGCAGUGCCUCAUUAGACCUAUUGGUUGAGCUUUUCCCUUGGGUGGCCGUACCCACUGGGAACCAUAGAGUUGGUUCUCACCCCACGUUGUUUUGGGGUGUUACAGGUUCACACGUGAGCGCGCAGUGGCGCGAGGCGAGGGCGUAGCUCUGUAGUUAGCGCCCUACCAUCGAGACCAGAGAUAGUGGUACCCUGAGUCGGCCUUACUUAGGGAUGUAAGGAAAUGAAAAGAAUCAAGUUGUAAUAAUAUUGUUAAAGCUAGAUUGUAUUUGGAAGCUAAAAAGAAUGUAAUAUGUAAUUGUGAUGUAAAAUGUAUCUAGUGAAUGUGAAUGCUUGUAAUAACAAGUAGAUUAUGUCUUGAUAUUUUCUUAUGCAAUCUUUGAUUGAAAUGUAUUCCUAGUUGGAACUUCAUAUAUUGUAUUGAUUGCGACGCCUUGAAUGUACAGGGGAGACUCUGUCAGCGGUACAGGAAAAACUCUGUCCAUUCGGCGGUCUGUCGGCGGCGCCGCAACCCGGCCAAAUAGGUGGGUGGUCGCGGGUUGUGACAGGAUCAAUUCUUGAAACCCUAAUUUCUUGUUCUUCAUGGAGAAUUGAUCCGACUAUUGCUUAGAAACACCUUCUACGAUUUUUUAAUAAUUAUCUAAGCAAUAAAACAUCAUCGAUCGUAUUGUUCUUGCUCUGGACGGAGUGUGCUCGUGGAUUCGAGUGGGCGUCGUGGAUUCGGCGUGAUCAAGGCUUCGUGGAUUCGAAGUGUGGAGUUUCAUGGAUUCGGGACGUGGCGUUCAUGGAUUCGGACGUGGGGCGUGGACAACCCGUUGGUGUGCGCGAGAUCCGGAGAAGAUAAAAGAGAGGUUUGAAUCCGUGGAUUCGGUAAAUCAUCUUGUAAUCUUUUAUUCUUAGUGGAUUGUUAUCGCGUGUUGGUCCCGUGGGUUGUUUACUCAAAGUUGGAGUUUUUCCAUGUAAAUCUCGGUGUGAUUUUCACUUUUUGCAUUUAUUUUUAUCGCAUUGAGAUUUGUGGUUUUUGGCCAUUACACCUAUUCACCCCCCUCUAGGUGUUAGAUACAAUCUAGAUAGAUCCUUGGGCUCCCUCAAAACUUACAAUUGGUAGCAGAGCGGGAUCUAGAUAAAUUGUUAUCUAAUGGCCGAAGGCGGAAACAUUAAUCGACCACCGCUCUUCGAUGGCACGAAUUAUGCCUAUUGGAAAGCUCGCAUGAGAGCUUUUCUAAUCGCAAUCGAUGAGCAUGUUUGGCAAUCAAUAAAAUUUGGAUGGAAACAUCCUAUUGAAAAGGUCGAGAAUGUUGAAACGCCGAAACCACAGAAUAAGUGGACGAAGGAUGAAAACGAGUUAUCUUCGUUUAAUGGUAAGGGCGUAAACACUUUAUUUAAUGCAUUGUCUCAAAUGGAGUUUACUCGUGUUUCGGCGUGUAAUACCGCCAAAGAAAUUUGGGAUACUCUACAAAUUACACAUGAGGGUACAAGUCUAGUAAAAAUUCAAAAGCUCAAGAUGUUGACUAGUCAAUUUGAUUCGAUUCGUAUGAUGGAGCAUGAAUCUUUUACCGAUUAUUAUACUAGACUUCAAGACAUAAUCAAUACAUGUGCUAAUUUGGGAGAGAAGAUCCCGGAUUCUAAAAUUAUUAGAAAAAUUCUUCAGAUUCUUCCGGAAUGCUUUCGGGCAAAAGUUGCCGCAAUUGAAACCGUAAAGCAUCCGGACGAGAUGAAAAUAAAAGAGUUAGUAGGUGCUUUGCAAACUUAUAAGAUGACUUUUCCUACUAACCAAUCUUCUUCCAAGUCUACAAAGGAAGAAGACGACUCGAAUUCCGACGGAGAUAUUUUGCUCGCUGAUUUUGAACAUCAACUGACGCUCUUAACGAAGAAAUUUCGACGGAACUUUCGGAAAAACAAAGCUUCAUCCUCGAAACAAACAUCAUUUUCUAAACAAUCUUCGAGUUCUAAAAUGAAAGACAAAAAACUUGCAAAACCUUCUAAAGAAAAAGAUGAGUUUGAAGGGGAAAUUCAAUGUUAAAAAUGCAAAGGCUACGGCCAUAUUUCUACGGAUUGUCCUACUAAGAUAUCAUAUAAGAAGAAGGCUUUGCAAGUGAGAACUUGGGACGAUUCUACCUCUAAUGAAUCGAGUUCAAGUGAAGAGGAGAAAAUUAAUGUUGCUUUAUGCUCUCAAUCUUCUAUACCUCCCUCUUCAACUUUUUGUUUAUCAUCUAUUAUUUUUGACUCUUUUGUUUCCCCUUCCUUGCAUGGAAUGUCGAGCGAUGAUGGCGAGAGAGAGGGGGAGUCGGAUGAUGAAAGCUUGGCCGAGGCAUACCAACAACUUCUCGAAGAAUCAAAGAAGAUGGCCAAGCACAACAAAAGGCUAAGAAAACGACAACUUGAGCUUGAAGAUGAGAACACUGACUUGAAGAAUGCAUCUAAAACUCUUGAGGAGGAAAGGGAGCAAGUAUUGAAUAAUAAUACAAUUCUCCAAGAGAAGCUCAACCAAUCGGAGAUAACGAUCAAAUCACAUCAAGAAAAGGUUGGUUUUCUAGAACAACAAUAUGAAGAAAUUCGUUCAUCCAAUCAAGUUUUGACCAAACAAGUUUAUCAACUUAAAUCCGACAUUCAAAAGUUUUUCUCCGGUUCGAAAAAGCUAGACCAUAUGCUCGAAUUGGGUCAAACGGAUAAACUGGGACUUGGUUAUAAAAGGACUUAUGUUGAGAAGGAUCAAAAGGCAAUUCGUAAAGUCUCAACAAAUUUGAAAGAGAAAAUUUGCCAUAGAUGUGGUAGUAAAGGACACAUCAAGAAGACAUGCCCUAGAAAAGAAAAGAAACAUCAACCGGCAUGGUCUAUGCAUCUAUCGGCAUCUUCCAAUACUCGACUUCCCCCACAGAUUCCAAAGCAACAUCAAUCAAGUCGCGCACCUCCGAUCAACCAAAAGUCAAAACAAUCGGUACACAACUACAACAAAUCAAGACAACCGAUAAUCCGACAAGUUUGGAUUCGAAAAUGUGAUAUCUUUCCUUGUCUUAAGUCUUUAAUUUGUGUUUGACUUUAUGUUUUGCUAUGAUCGGUUUUAGUGCAUAUCUAUUGAUCAUUGCAUUACAUGUGCUUCGGAUUUUUUCUGGAUCAUUUCGUGAUUAAACAUUAAACAGUGUGUUGAACGUCGAUAAUUUACAUUCAUUCAUUUUGAAUUAAUUUCAUAUUAAUUAUCGGUUUCACUUUAUUAUCACUAUUUAUGAAGAUAAUUUAUAAUAGAAUAUCUUAAUUCUUAUAUUCAUCAAAUUUAAGUAAUCAUGUAUGAUCUUUCGGCACUUAACCUAUCUCGGUUGUGUGUGUUGAAUUUGAUGAAUGAAAAUUUGCUAAUCAACUAAAACUUGUCAAAUUUUCUUUCAUAUAAGAGAUUGCAUAAUUAAGGGGGUGUCAUUUAAUUUUUUUAAAAAAAAGGAGGAAAAGAAGGAAACACUCUAAGUGAUUAAAGUUCAAGUACUUAAAAGAUGUGGAAAGAGUUACAUCUUGAAGGGAGUGUGAAAACUACCACCACAUGUAGGAAAGAGCUACCACCCCGGUCGUCCGGUAAGUGUGUGAAGCUACCACAUGGGAAUUGAUUGAAUAACCGAAAAGGUUGAAAUAUUCAUAUUAUAUAAAAAAAAUUUUCGGUGUAAUAAGGUGGUUUAGUAAAAAGAUGCUUAAAGAGCCACUUCUGGUACAUUAUUGCUUGAUAUAGAAUUUGAACACUUAUGCGACAAAUUUUUAUCAUUUAUUGAAUUUUCAUAAGUCAUCUUUAGAAUCCGUUACAUCUUGAUAGAUUUUGAGCCUUUAGAUUAUUUUUGAUGACUUGAUUUUGAAGUAUAUAUGAGUAAAGAAAUUUUAUUAUAUUUUAUCUACAUCUUGGUGCUCUUGUAGUGAAAUUCUUAUUUUCUAUGAAAUUGAUGUGGAUUGAAAAAAAUCUAUGUGAAUUUAUUAUGUUCAUGCACUGACAAUUGAUUAACUCUCUCAUUUUUGGUACUUUCUUUUUGCAAUUUUUGACAAAAAGGGGGAGAGCGUGGAUGAUUUUGUGGAUGAUUUUCGAGUUUGAAUUUCAAUCUUUUGAUGCAUGAACAAAGGGGGAGAUAUUUUCAUUUUCAUAUUUUUUUUACUACUAACUUUGUUUGUUAACUUUGUUCGUGGAGAAAGUAAUCUUUUUGCAGAUCAUUGAAAACUUCAAGACUCCUAGUUGUGUCUAAGUCAUAGAGUUUGUGUAAGAGUUGCAAAAUUACAAUUUUGUAUUUGUUUGGAUCUUUCACGCGAGAAGUUCAUUGAUUUGGUGAUGUCAAUGAAUUUCAUUUUUGAGAGGUGAGCGUUGUGAGUAUUUUGAUGUAAUUUUGAGUUUUGUCACGAAAUUGCCAAAGGGGGAGAUUGUUACGGAUUUUAUGUUGGCAUAUUUCGUGAAGUUAGUCCGGAGUCUUGAAGGUUUAAAGAAGGAGAGAUGAAGAUCGAAGACUCGAUGACUCAAAACAUAAAUCCACAAUGCUCGUAAGUUAAAAUACUAUUGAUGAUGAUUUAUAAACAUUAACAAGUGUUUGGAAGACUUAGGAUGGGUUUUAAAAUGAAUUGGACUAAACUGAACUUGUCAAGGUUCAGGGACUGGUCCUUGAUCAGAGGGACCGAACCCUGAAGGUUCUCUCUGCGUAAAGAAACUGUCACGCCCCGGGGUCCAUUUUUGUUUGAAAACACAACGGAAAUAGCUAGAUUUUUUUUUUUUUGAAAGACCUGACCCCAGGGUAUGCCAGAUCCGCCAUAUAUACAGAGAGUUCACUAAUCACACGGACAGAGUCUCCCCUGUAUUUGCACGGCGUCGCACAAGUACAAUAAGUAAACUGAAUACAACCACAACUAAAUGAAUAUAGAAACAAUUAUACAAUCAUUCAUUCACCAUUCACAUCACAAUUAUACAUUCAAUGUUUAACAUAAAUCUACACCUAUCAGUUAAAAACGUUUUCAACCCAGAAACAGGUUUUGAAAUGCUAAGAUACAAAAUCCACAGAAAACCUUUUAAAAACUGUUCCCUACACGGGAACUUUUAUCUUUUAGAAACGCUACCACGAGGGGUAGAAAAUCAUUCAACAUUUGAAAUCCACAAAUCCUUUUUAUUACAUCAUAAAUCCAACUGAAAAUUCAGAUAUUCAACUACUAUAACAAAAACUGAACUAUAAUAUGUCUAAGUUAUUUAUUCAAGCAUGAAGGGUAAAGAAAUAACCGACACGGGACGGAGCUCUAUCGUACGCUAGAAAUGCUCCUCACCAGCUGUCCCACUUGGACCUGCGACGUCACCUGUAAUGGGGGCGGGGGGGUGAGAACAUGUAAACAUAUCUCCCUCUCCUUCCAGUGGGUACCGCAAGCCGACGAGGGCGAGGGGUACUCACUAGUCAGGAGAUAAACAAGGAUAUGAAUAAUGGUAAUACAGUAGCUAAGAUAAACAAGUAAUGAAAUGUGUAUAGAUAAACCACUACAGGUACUGUAUGCGUGCAUCAAAUCAGUCCAAAAGUACCCAAUAUGAAACCAAUGCUCUCUUGGUCCGCACCGCAAACCUCAAGCCAGUGCCACUACUACUCUACCAUGCAUAUAACCCCUCUAGGGCUCACGGAUUGACAACUGCAACCAUUUUUCCGGAAAAGAACACCCCUUGCGGUGGAUCAGACCGCCAGUGUUCGUGAAAUGCGACGAGUAUCGGGCGAUCAAUGCAAUAUGCUCAAUGAUCAACCGUCGGCAACUAGCCGACAAUCCUGCCCCCCAGGGCACACCAGCCAUAUGGGUCAUCAUGUAAUCAAAUCAACCAACCAGGUCACAAGUAUAGGAGAUGCAAUGUCCACAAGUAUAGGAGAUGCAACGUCGACCAACCAGGUCAUGGAGAUCACAUAGGAGAAUAGACCAACCAAAUCAUAGAUGCAAAUAGGAGAACCGACCAACCAGGUCACAGAUGCAAAUAGGAGAACCGACCGACCAGGUCACAAAUAUCAUAUACAGAUAAAGUUUACUAUACUCCUACACAUGAUACUACAUCUGGCAACAACUAAGUAGAGUAAAUAAGGAAAUAGCAUGGGUGUAAGGCUCAACAUGUAUAAGGUAAAUGAUAUACACAACAAGGGUAAAGGAAACGUCACCGAGCGUGCACCACUGUACCGACGUCGGAACGAAGUACCCACCUGUAUGUGUCUGACGAAAAUCUCUCGACUGUGAAGACGGUGCAACCGAACCUACGAAAGGUCCACCGGGUUAGAACCUAACCCACUAACACAUAUCGCUAACUCACAAUCCCACAAUCAUAGCCCUUCGGGAAUCGGUUUUCCAAAACCGAUUGCCGAACUCACCAGAAGUCACAAAAAAACUGCACCGGGACUCCGCCGGGACCCACGAACCGUCCCAAAACUACCCAACUCAUCAUAUGAGUUGCUCGCUGCCGCUAAACACCUAUUUUAGUGUGACAAGGCAGCAAAGACGCUAACUCGAUGCGGAACGAUUAUCGUCGGAUAAUCGUUUCGAUUCGGGUUCCCGGAAAUGUCUAUUUCGACACCGGAACCCGCCGUCGCUCACUCGUCGUUUCUGAACCCUCGAAACGACACGGGUGACAAGCCAACAAGGCUCAGCGACACUACAAUCAACCACGAGGCACUGUCGGAUGAAUUUCGAAUCGAAAACGCGUUCUAUCAGCGGAUUUCGCCGAAAAACGCUCCAGAAAUCACUUUUCGAUUUUCGCAAAAGCUUGGGGCCUUGGACGAUCAGUCCAGAGGUUAUCCUCAGCCUACCCUUGCUGCCAACAUCAUCUACAUCGAAGCAAAAACCCUAAAAGCCCUUACCGAUACGUGAAAUCACAUCAUUUUAUGUGAUUUCUAGGCUUUUCUGGACCGUGCACGCAAACCAGAGAUCGAUUCAGCAAACCGUCGCGCUCGCUGAUAGGUUUCAGCGUGCCAGAGGCCGUGCUCACCUUUCGGAGAACUGCCGGCCACUAUGGCACGCGCACGAGCGACACGAAACUCAGUGAAACAGCGCGCACAGCGCUAAGAUUGCCAUUAAUGCACAAUCCAGGGCAUCUCUGUCCCUGUUGGAGGUGAGCAAGAUGUUCAGCACGUGUUGUAGAUCAUCGUGCUCACUUCCCUAGGUCUAGAAGGCUUAACGGAUCACCGAAAAGGUGACCGAAAUCUCAGACUUUAGUGCUGGAACAUAAAACAGCCUUACCAGAACCGGGGAGAGCUAGGGUUGGUCGCCGACGGUCGGACGGCGGGCGGUCCAGCUAGGGGAGGGCGCGGCCGGUAGGUGAGUUCCGGGGCACUCGUUGGCCGGUGGCUGGAGGCGGCCGGUGGCGCGGCGGCGGAGAUCAACUCCCUAAGGCUGCUCACGGGUUCAAGGGCGCCGACAGCAAGGCGGCGGCCGAAGGAGCUUGGGGCGGCGACGAUUCGACGCCGGAGGCCGAGGGAGAGGCGGUGCACCCUUCGUUGGACGGCGGCGGCGCUUGGAAGUCGAGCGGACUCGACCUCGGUCCGCACCAACCCAGGACGGCCGCAAGCUGCACAAGCGGCGGCCGGCGGUCCACGGGGAUGGCCGGGAUGGCGAGCAGGAGGUCGCCGGAGGUGCGGGGAUAGCGCUGGGGAUGGGCCUGUGCCAGGGGAUGUUGAAGCUCGGGCUUUGAUGCCUUCCCGAGCACAACAGCUGAGCUGGUGGCGAGGUGGGUCUAACGAGGAGUUGAGGGGAGGCCGGGGUGGCUUUUCCGGCGGCCGGAGCUGCUCGUCGGCGGUCCCGAUGUGCGAAUUGGCAGGGCAUGGUGUAGGUAGGGCAGCUAGGGUUAGCUAGGUGAACGUGGGCAGCCAAAGAACCAUGAAAAACCCUAGAUGUUACUUUUAUACAAGGUGUCAUUUUGCGAGGAACCCCUUCAAAGUCAAAUAAUUAUAAUCCUGCCCCUGCCCGCAUGUGUAACUUGCAUGCCAGCCCAUCAACAUUCGAAAUCUCGUGAAACAGCGCAUAAAAUAUAGGGUCUUUUCGCGAUUAAUCGAUUUUGCCAAAUUGACCUCUCAGCGGACUUUUCACAAUUUCCGAAGAUCCGCCCGUCGGAUUUCCGAACGGAUUGCGCCAGCGCGUUCAGAAUGACUGGGGCAUCGAAUCUAGCAUCUUACUUUGUCCGAUUUGGUUUUCGAUUUGCGUCAAAACCAUCCCUCUUUUGUUUUCACUAUGUAGCCACUUAUAUUACUACACGUGAAACCAAUCAAACCCCUUUUUUCUCGACAACCGUGCAUCAGAAUCCAAUUUCGUCAGUGCCAUUGGGUCCAGAAUGGUCGAACCGUUCGAAACGAGCUAUUGGAGCACUAUGAUCGGAGUCCAAUGUGCACCAGAACCGUCUUCUACUCACUGGCUUCGCCGGGAAGCCAGAGUUACUAUUCACUCUAAGUUAUCGGUUCAGGUUGCAUAACUUCUCCAUCUUAACUCGUUUUCACCUGAAAUUUGACAAGUGCUUAUGUAAUUAUAUUACACAUAAAAAUAUUGUCAACAAAGGGUUUAAUUUUUAUUACUAAAAAUCUCGGUUAUUACAUCAUUCCCCCCUUACAAGAAGUUUCGUCCCCGAAACUUAAAUCAAGGAUCCCCCGUGAAUAGCUGCGGAUAACUCUCCCGCAUAGAAGACUCAAGCUCCCAUGUAGCCUCGCGCUCCUCGUGAUUUGCCCACUGAACUUUUACAUACGGAAUGCUCCUGUUCCGUAAUUGCUUCACUUCACGUGCCAAAAUCCCCAAUGGAGCCUCAUCAUAGCUCAGAUCCUCCCGUAGCUGAAUAGAUGUCGGACUAAUGAUGUGAGACGGAUCUGGAAUGUAUUUCCGCAACAUGGACACAUGAAAGACAUUGUUCACCCGGGUGAGACUUGGAGGAAGAGCCAAUCUGUACGCUACCGGACCGAUGCGCUCCAGGAUCUCAAACGGUCCCACGAACCGCGGACUUAGCUUGUUCCGCAAACCGAACCGCUUGAUCCUCUUGGAUGGCGACACCUUGAGCAACACAUGCUCACCGACCUGAAACUCCAGGUCACGCCUCUGCUGAUCCGCGUAUCUCCUCUGUCGACUCUGUGCAGUCAGAAGCCGCUCUCUCGCAAUGCGGAUCUUCGCCAACGCAUCCUCCACUAAGUCUGGCCCGAUCAACCGACGUUCUCCGACGUCGUCCCAACAGAUAGGAGACCGACAUCGACGCCCAUAUAAAGCCUCGUACGGUGCCAUCCCGAUGCUCGCCUGGUAGCUGUUAUUAUAGGAGAACUCCACCAACGGUAGAUAUCGGAACCAUCCAUCACCGUAAUCCAGGAUACAUGCGCGGAGCAUGUCCUCAAGAGUCUGGAUGACUCGCUCUGACUGUCCGUCGCUCUGGGGAUGGAAUGCCGUACUGAAGUUCAACUUCAUACCCAUAACCUAUUGCAAGCUCCUCCAGAAGUGGGAAACAAAGCGAGUGUCCCGAUCAGACACAAUCGACACUGGCACACCAUGAAGCCGAACAAACUCGUCAAUGUAUAACUGUGCUAGUCGAUCACGGGACCACGUUGUAUGCAUCGGCAAGAAGUGAGCCAAUUUCGUCAGCCGAUCAACUAUAACCCAGAUCACAUCAUGGCCUCGCUGUGAUCGAGGCAAUCCGGUGACGAAAUCCAUAGUGAUCUGCUCCCACUUCCAUACGGGGAUCGGAAGUGGUUGCAGCUUUCCUGCUGGUCGCUAAUGCUUAGCUUUCACCUGCUGACAAAUCAAGCACCGAGCCACGUGCUGAGCCACAUCAAGCUUCAUCCCAGGCCACUAGAAAUUCUGCUUCAGGUCGCGGUACAUCUUGGUUCCUCCUGGGUGAACUGUGUAAGGGGAUCGGUGCGCCUCGGAUAGGAUGUCGUUCCUCAGCUCCGAGUCAUUGGGCACACACCAUCUGCCUUUAAAGCGCAGAGAUCCAUCAGUGUGGAUAUUGAAGUCCCCGUCCUUACCCUGCUCGACCUCCGCCCGCACUUUCUGUAAGUACGGGUCACUCUACUACCCAAGCAAAAUCCGCUCCGUCAAAGUAGGCUGUAUCACCAGAGUCAUCAAUUGGGCCGUGGCCCCGGUGGAAACAACCUUGAUCUCCAGACGGCGGAACUCCACGAGUCGAUCCUGGCUCGUGAUCAUAAUGGACAACGAAGCUGAAGGCUGUUUCCGGCUCAAGGCGUCCACCACCGCGUUCGCCUUUCCCGAAUGGUACUGGAUCGUGAGAUCGUAGUCCUUUAAGAGCUCGAGCCAACGUCUCUGCCUGAGGUUCAACUCCUUCUGUGUGAAAAGGUACUUCAGGCUCUGAUGAUCGGUGAAUACCUCGCAGUGUGCUCCAUAUAGAUAGUGCCUCCACAGCUUUAGGGCAAACAUUACCGCCGCGAGCUCUAGAUCGUGAGUCGGAUAGUUCUUUUCAUACGACUUUAGCUGUUGAGAUGCGUAAGCGAUGACCCGAUCCUGCUGCAUAAGCACGCACCCCAGACCGACCCAGGAGGCGUCACAAUAGACCACAAAAUCCUCACCAGGUCGCGGCAGAGUAAGAACGGGUGCGCGGGUCAAUCGAUCCUUCAGCUCAUCAAAGCUCUGCUGGCACUGCUCGGUCCACUGAAACCGUUCUCCUUUUCUGGUAAGCUUGUUUAGCGGUGCGGCGAUCUUGGAGAAGCCCUCAACGAAUCGCCGAUAAUAACCCGCCAAACCCAGAAAGCUCCGGACUUCAGUCACCGAAGUCGGUUCAGGCCACUCGACCACUGAGGCUAUCUUCUUUGGAUCCACCGUAAUGCCCGAUGGAGUCACAAUAUGCCCUAAGAAAGAUACCUCGCGGAGCCAGAACUCGUACUUCUUGAGCUUACCAUAUAGCUUGUGCUCUCGAAGUAUCUGCAGUACUCGUCGGAGAUGAUCCUUGUGCUCCUCAUCACUCCGCGAGUAAAUCAGGAUGUCGUCAAUGAAGACCACGACAAACUGAUCCAAGUAUGCCCGAAAGACCCUAUUCAUCAUAUCCAUGAAAGCUACCGGGGCAUUGGUGAGCCCAAACGGCAUCACCGUGAACUCGUAGUGGCCGUAUCGAGUUCUAAAGGCGGUCUUCGACACAUCCUCAUCCCGGAUCUUAAGCUGAUGGUACCCGGACUGUAGGUCGAUCUUCGAAUACACCGAUGAUCCAUGAAGCUGAUCGAAGAGAUCCUCAAUCCGGGGUAGUGGAUACUUGUUCUUCACAGUGACCUUAUUAAGCUCCCGGUAGUCGAUGCACAGUCGAAGACUACCAUCCUUCUUUUUGACAAAGAGGACUGGGGCACCCCCAAGGAGACACGCUAGGGCGGAUAAACCCUCUCUCCAGAAGAUCCUCAAGUUGAGCCUUCAACUCUUUCAGCUCAGCGAAGGCCAUGCGAUAGGGGGCCUUCGAGAUCGGUGCCGUGCCUGGAACUAGCUCGAUGAAGAAGUCGAUCUCCCGGUCCGGAGGCAUUCCCGGAAGCUCAUCUGGAAAGACAUCCGGGAAUUCCUGAACAACUAGAAUAUCCUCCAAUGGUGGUGCAGCUCGGUGGGUGACAUCUACUGAAGCCAGGUAGGCUACACAUCCCGCAUUCAUAAGCCUCUUUGCUCUAGCUGAAGAGAUAGACGCGGCAAAAUAGGAGCUCUUACAUGCUCGGUAUACGAAUACUUCUUCGCCGGGCCCGAUAAAUGUCACCGUCCUCCGCUCGCAGUCGAUGGUAGCGUGGUGCCUGGUAAACCAGUCCAUCCCAAUCACCACGUCGAACUUCUUCAUGGGAAGUACCACCAGGUUCGCCAGGAAGCUCCGAUUAUCCAAAAUGACAGGGUACGAUAGGAUGCACCGAUCAGCUAAUAGGUCACCUCCAGGCGUGUCAAUACGGAGCGGCACGUCUAGUGGACGCGAGGAAAUACCAUGCUCACAUGCAAAUGAAUGCGAAAUGAAUAAGUGCGAUGCUCCAUUAUCGAAUAUAGCUCUAGCACGAGUAAUGCAGAGGGUAACAAUACCUGCAAGGACGUCACCAUCAUUGUUGCCUUCGUGCGCGCCCCCUCGUUUUGGCGUGAGGAGGAGGGACGCCUAAACGAAGCAGCUGCGCUUGGAGCUCAACGGUUCUGUCGGGAUGCAGCUGGGGAGGAGGCAGCACUCUGAUUAGCCACAUUUCUCUUAGGGCAAUGUGCUUGCAGGUGGCCCGGCUGACCACAAUGGAAACAGUUGUCCCUCCUCUGCGGACAGUCGGUCACCCGGUGUGCUUGCCCACAAAUCACACGGGGUUGACCGCCCCGUCGCUGACUGCCGGAGGGUGCACUCUUCGCCGACUGCUGAGUGCGAGGAUGCUUCGGUGGCUUUUUGCUGAAAGAAGAGCCACUGCUAGACUUAGAAUGGGAACGCUUCCUGUCCCCUGAUCGCUAGGAUGCAUCGCGAUCAGCUCGCAUCUCCUCUGACUCGCUCUGCACUAUAAGAGCCCGGUCGAAAGACUCGUCGAAGGGUAUCAUGCCAUUGGACGCGACCAAGAGCCGAAUGUUGGGCCUCAGCCCCCUGAUAAAAAGCUUGGCCUUGUGGUACUCGUCCCGCACCGCGAAGGGAAUCAGCCCGACGAUGCAGCUGAAAUCUCGCUCGUACUCCGCCACAGUACGGUUACCCUGCUUAAGGCGCUCCAGCUCGCGCUCCAAGUUCUGCUUCGUACUGUCCUUGAAGUACUGCUCAUUUAGGAGUCUCCGAAACUCAUCCUAGGGUGGAUAGAUGCUUGAGAGCUUGUUCACGAAGUGGCGGAUCCACCAUGCAUACGCAUCCCUCUCAAGGCAAUGAGCGGCCAGAGGAACGCGAUCCUGCUCCUCAAUAUGGAGAUCGCGAAAUAGUUUCUCCAUGUGGGUGGCCCAGUGCUCGAUCACCCAUGCAUCGUCAUUCUUCCUAGCGAACUUAGGCGGAUCGAACUUUCUAAACUGGACCAACUUCGCACGCAUGUGAUCGCCCUCCACUGCAGAGGUAUUAGCACCCCCAGCGAAAACCGUCGUGGUAGUCGUCGUCGUCGUCGUGCCAGUCGGAGCUGUAGCCGGUGGAGGUAUCAUCGAGUGUCCGCAGUAACUGGAGCCGGCUGUGUCGGAGGUGGAGCCGGGGGAGCAGCAGCUGCAGUCUGCUGCUGUAUAAACUACUGGAACAUCCCCGAGAGGGCCGUCAGCUGACCCCUCAUCGCUGCUACCUCGGCCUCAAGCUGCUAGGUACGCGCAUCACCCAACUGCUCGGGGCCGACCUGCUUCCCUCCACCCCUGCCCCUCGGGACACGCCCUCCAGGACUGUUCGAUGCCCCCUCAGUGGCGCAUCCACCGCCACGACCCCGACGAGGAGGUCUACCAGGACCACGAGCCAUCUGCAACAGAAAACACCGUCAGCCGAAUAAUCGACUUCGACUACUACCAACCAGGACUCGAGCCCAAACCCCGCACUCACAUGCUUAUACAUCGUAGGUCUUCCUAAAGGUCAACCUAACCAAUGGUUCAGUUUAUUUUUAUUUUCAAAAUAACCUGUGAAUGGUGUUGUGGUUGUAACUUGGCUCUGAUACCACUUUAAUCUGUAACGCCCCGGGGUCCAUUUUUGUUUGAAAACACAGCGGAAAUAGCUAAAUUUUUUUUUUUUUUUAAAGACCUGACUCUAGGGUAUGCCAGAUCCGCCACAAAUACAGAGAGUUCACAGAUCACACGGACAGAGUCUCCCCUAUAUUUGCACGGUGUCGCACAAGUACAACAAGUAAACUGGAUACAACCACAACUAAAUGAACAUAGAAACAACUAUACAAUCAUUCAUUCACUAUUCACAUCACAAUUAUACAUUCAAUAUUUAACAUAAAUCUACAUCUAUCAGUUAAAAACGUUUUCAACCCAGAAACAGGUUUUGAAAUACUAAGAUACAAAAUCCACAGAAAACCUUCUAAAAACUCUUCCCUACACUGAAACUUUUAUCUUUUAGAAACGCUACCACGAGGGGUAGAAAACCAUUUCCAUUUCAAGAAAACACAAAUUCCUUUAUUGCAUUCCAAAACCAACUGAAAACUCAGAUAUUCAACUACUAUAACAAAAACUGAACCAUAAUAUGUCUAAGUUGUUUAUUCAAGCAUAAAGGGUAAAGAAAUAACUGACACGGGAUGGAGCUCUAUCGUACGCUAGACACGCUCCUCACCAGCUGUCCCACUCGGACUUGCGACGUCACCUGUAAUGGGGGCAGGGGGGUUGAGAACAUGUAAACAUGCCUCCCCUCCCUGUGGGUACCGCAAGCCGACGAGGGCGAGGGGUACUCACUAGUCACGGAGAUAAACAAGGAUAUGGAUAAUGGAAGUACAAUAGAUAAGAUAAACAAGUAAUGAAAUGUGUAUAGAUAAACCACUACAGCUACUGUAUGCAUGCAUCAACGGGACAAUCAGUCCAAAAGUACCCAAUUUGAAACCAAUGUUCUCUUGGUCCGCACCGCAAACCUCAAGCCAGUGCCACUACUACUCUACCAUGCAUAUAACCCCUCUAGGGCUCACGGGGUGACACCUGCAACCACUUUUUCGGAAAAGAACACCCCUUGCGGUGGAUCAGACCGCCAGUGUUCGUGAAAUGCGACGAGUAUAGGGCGAUCAAUGCAAUAUGCUCAAUGAUCAACCGUCGGCAACCAGUCGACAAUCCUGCCCCCCAGGGCAUACCAACCACAUGGGUCAUCAUGUAAUCAAAUCAACCAACCAGGUCACAAGUAUAGGAGAUGCAAUGUCCACAAGUAUAGGAGAUGCAACGUCGACCAACCAGGUCAUGGAGAUCACAUAGGAGAACAGACCAACCAAAUCAUAGAUGCAAAUAGGAGAACCGACCAACCAGGUCACAGAUGCAAAUAGGAGAACCGACCGACCAGGUCACAGAUAUCAUAUACAGAUAAAGUCUACUAUACUCCUACACAUGAUACUACACCUGGCAACAACUAAGUAGAGUAAAUAAAGAAAUAGCAUGGGUGCAAGGCUCAACAUGUAUACGGUAAAUGAUAUAAACAACAAGGGUAAAGGAAACGUCACCGAGCGUGCACCACUGUACCGUCGUCGGAUGGAAGUACCCACCUGUACGUGUCUGACGAAAAUCUCUCCACUGUGAAGACGGUGCAACCGAACCUACGAAAGGUCCACCGGGUUAGAACCUAACCCACUAACACAUAUCGCUAACUCACAAUCCCACAAUCAUAGCCCUUUGGGAAUCGGUUUUCCAAAAUCGAUUGCCGAACUCACCAGAAGUCACAAAAAAACUGCACCGGGACUCCGCCGGGACCCACGAACCGUCCCGGAACUAUCCAACUCAUCAUAUGAGUUGCUCGCUGCUACUAAACACCUAUUUUAGUGUGACAAGGCAGCAAAGACGCUAACUCGAUGCGGAACGAUUAUCGUCGGAUAAUCGUUCCGAUUCGGGUUCCCGGAAGUGUCUAUUUUGACACCGGAACCAGCCGUCGCUCACCCGUCAUUUCUGAACUCCCGAAAUGACACGGGUGACAAGCCAACAAGGCUCAGCGACACUACAAUCAACCACGAGGCACUGUCGGAUGAAUUUCGAAUCGAAAACGCGUUCUAUCGGCGGAUUUCGCCGAAAAAUGCUCCGAAAAUCACUUUUUGAUUUUCGCAAAAGCUUGGGGCCUUGGACGAUCAGUCCAGAGGUUAUCCUCAGCCUACCCUUGCUGCCAACAGCAUCUACAUCGAAGCAAAAACCCUAAAAGCCCUUACCGAUACGUGAAAUCACAUCAUUUUAUGUGAUUUCUAGGCUUUUCUAGACCGUGCACGCAAACCAGAGAUAGAUUCGGCAAACCGUCGCGCUCGCUGAUAGGUUUCAGCGUGCCGAAGGCCGUGCUCACCUUUCGGAGAACUGUCGGCCACUGUGGCACGCGCACGAGCGACACGAAACUCAGUGAAACAGCGCGCACAGCGCUAAGAUUGCCAUUAAUGCACAAUCCAGGGCAUCUCUGUCCCUGUCAGAGGUGAGCAAGAUGUUCAGCACGUGUUGUAGAUCAUCGUGCUCACUUCCCGAGGUCUAGAAGGCUUAACGGAUCACCGGAAAGGUGACCGGAAUCUCAGAAUUCAGUGCUGGAACAUAAAACAGCCUUACCGGAACCGGGGAGAGCUAGGGUUGGUCGCCGGCGGCCGGACGACGGGCGGUCCAGCUAGGGGAGGGCGUGGCCGGUAGGUGAGGUCUGGGGCAACCGCUGGCCGGUGGCUGGAGGCGGCCAGUGGCGCGGCGGCGUAGAUCAACUCCCUAAGGCUGCUCACCGGUUCAAGGGCGCUGGCAGCAAGGCGGCGGCCGGAGAAGCUUGGGGCGGCGACGAUUCGACGCCGGAGGCCGAGGGAGAGGCGGUGCACCCUUCGUUGGACGGCGACGGCGCUUGGAAGUCGAGCGGACUCGACCUCGGCCCGCACCAACCCAGGGCGGCCGCAAGGUGCACAAGCGGCGGCCGGCGGUCCACGGGGAUGGCUGGGAUGGCGAGCGGGAGGUCGCCGGAUGUAAGGUACCAGACUUCUAAAACUAUGAAGUUACGAUAUACAUUUAAAUGGUUCCGGUGAGGUUGCGGUGGAAUGUAACAUACUGAAUUUUAAAUGUAAAAGUGAAAAUAAAUAAAAAUAGUAUGAGAUACUAUUUUUAUUGGAUUUAGAAAAGUGAAAUGUAGGUUGGGAAUGACCUGUGCUGAAAUCGGAGCGAAAACAGAGGAUUUAGAAUUUUCUGUGUGAAACGAGGCAGAUAAAUUAGCAGAAAAUGCAGUGUCAGAAAAUUCUGAAAACUGGAGGAUAAGCCAGAAUUAUUUUUAUGAGGCUAGAUUUAAUGUUUCAUAUCAUUCUGACAUCCGGAAGGUGGAAAAUAAAAUCCGAUAGUGAUCUGAUAAAGAUUACAGUUCGGUACAGCUUUCAGUGACCAAAUGGGGUCGAAACUGAAAGAUUAAAAUUUCUUUCGUUAAGUUAAGCAAAACCGAACAUGACUGUCAAAUUUGAGCUCAAACGGAUAUUCAGGGAGCUCCGGCGAAAGAUAUCAGAUUUUGAGCUGCCUGAUGUGAAUAGUGUAUGCUACUAUUGAGGUGUUGACUAUAAGUAGAAGCUACUAGGCUUCUUCUUCCUC